This 243798-nucleotide long non-coding RNA is filed under the name Coffea arabica (coffee). Its description in RNAcentral is "long non-coding RNA (CARA_LNC005608)". Lineage: Eukaryota; Viridiplantae; Streptophyta; Magnoliopsida; Gentianales; Rubiaceae. The record is from RNAcentral.
UUUUUUAUUUUUUUUUUGCUCUUUUUGCUUAAUUUCAUAUAUUUAUUUAAGUUCCUUUUUGAUCAUUUGAAAGGCACUUAAAUGCCACAAUUGUAAUAGUUAGGCUAUUAUAUCAUUUCAUUUAAUUCCUUCCCUCUUAGAUUGUAGUAGGUUUCUCCCCCCGAAUGUAAUAGUUAGGGUUUUAUUUGUUUUACUUGCCUUAUGUGUGUUGCAUGCCUAUGUGCUAUGUGUUACCGCUUUCUUAGGCUUUGGCAUCUAGAUAUGCAUGCUUAUGUGUUAUGUGAAUUACGUGCUCACAUGUCUACUUGCUUUAAUUAUGCACAUUACUUAUAUAUGUGUAUGAUGGAUGCAAAUGCACGAAACCGUGGCUAGUCCAACGCUAGUCAUGGUUGUCCCCUCGAGCCCUUACAAGUCCAAUGCUUGUGAGAGAGCGCUAGUGAAGGACUAGUCCAAUGCUAGAUCCAAUAGGACCGUCCCUCGUUAGUACAUACUUGCAUGCCUUCAUUACAUCUUCAUUCAUUCUUUCCUUUUAGUUUUACACUUUUGCAUGACCCUUCACUCUCUUUCCCUUACAUAUUUAGGAUUACAUUUUCAUUUAGAUUAGUUCAUUUGCUUGUAUAGGUUAGGGAGUCACUCUUUUGGUAAGGGGGAUGGACGAGUUUGGCUAUACAUAGCCUUAGCACGCUCAUUCUUUUUCUAACCAAAAGGAAAAUUAAGUCACGAACAUUAGUCCCCCGUACCCGUCUUGCUUGCAUUCCUCUAGGGUUCAUGCAUUUCAUUUAUCCACUAUCACAUGCACUUUUACUUCAUAUUCUAUCCCUUUUUUCACAUUUUCACUUCACACAACUUUUAUUUUGCACGUUUUCACUCUGCCACUUACAUUUUAUAUACUAUCACGUGCACGCACGCACUUCAUACUAUCACUCUACUCACCUUACUUUGCACAUCCAUUUGUACACUUCCACUUACACACUAUUAUUUUUAUUACUUUUUCACUUCACGCAAACUCAUAUUUUCACAUUGCAUACAUUCAUUCCACUCAUUUUUCCGUCAUUAGCAUUAUUCGUGACCUCUCCAAAGAGUCAUUAUGGGCAUCACUAUUAAGUGAUUGGCACCACUCAAGUUUUGAGAGAAAUUUUGCCCGAUGUUCCCCUAGGUCUAGGUUUUGCAUUCAUAUAGUGCAUUCAAAUGUGAUAAAUUCUUUGGUUAAAAAUAAGAAAAUUCUUGACUAAAUCACGCAACUAGCCUUGGUUAGGUCGAAGGGGUGCCUUGGAUUUUUAUCCUUGCUUCCCCUUCGUCAAAUGUGACUCCCGAACCUUUCCUUUGAUUUUCGUGACUAGGAGUCGUUUAAAAGGGGUUUUUCUACUUUUUUCCUUUGAAAACUCAUUUUUAGGUGACUUGGUACACCUUAACUCAAUAUCAAGUGGCGACUCGCGAUUUUUGUUCAAAAAACCCUUUUUAAACUAUUAUUUUGGGUCAAAUCGUCGCAUUUCAAGUCCAUUUAGACCCAUAUUUUUCCCAUUUUCUUUGUAAAUAAAAUUCACUUUUCAAACUGUUUAUUUUUCUUGUAAAAAUGGGGCGCGACACAUUUGCUUUGGAUAAUAAUGCAUAUAUUUCAUUAGCAAAGAUUAGCUCAUUUCAUGUUUUUAUCAUGAACAUUGUAUGGUUCCACAUGCUCGAUCAUUUUUCCUUUUUUCUUGACUUGCAUGUUUUCUUCUAGUUGAUUGCAACUGUUUAUUUUUAAGAAAUUUUAUUUGUUUUGAUUUUGUCUUUUUCAGGGUGCAAUAAGUGAACUCUCCAUUCUUUAUCAAAUAUACGGUUGGAAAUUUAUCACAUUGCUAUGGAUUUGGAUCGCGCAAGUCAUAAGGGGAGUAUUUUCUUUUACUCUUUAUUUAUUUUCCUUUCCUCACAUUGAGGACAAUGUGAAAUUUAAGUGUGGGGGGUGGGGGGAAAUACUGGACUUGCAUUUUAAUGCUAUGUGAUGAUAUUUUGUGAAUCUAAAUACUUAGAAAUGUUGGAAUUGUGUUUGAAUUAUUUGCCAUAUGGAUAAUUUGCUUGAAAUUUGGUUUGUUGGCAGGGAGUUUUCAUCCAUUUAUAAGGGGAAACUCUGUCAAAUUUUUUAAAAAUCUUUCCAAUAUUUCACUAUGGCCCAAAAGUUCUUCAAAUUUUUGCAUUUUCAUUCAAAAGGGCUAAUUUGUUCCAACCUUAAGAGAUUAAUUCUUCAAUUAUUGAAACUUUAUGUGUAUUUUGGAAAGUUUAGUUCUCAUUUAACUAGGAAAUAGUUAUUAUGCAAUUAGAAUUUUUACAUUUUAGAAAGUAUAUUUGGUAAAGUAAAGAAAUUAUGCCUAUAAUUUUACAUGUUUAAUGAGAUUUCUUCUCUUUACUUAAUUUUACAACUAAGUGAUUGAUAUAGUCAAUAAAGGUUAUACUCCUCCUUUGAUUAUUUUUAUAUCAUUUUCUAUGAGGGAAAAUCUAUUUAUUUUCUUAUAAAAAAAAGAGAGAAAAAAUAUAUAUAAUAAAAGAAAAAAGAAAAGAAAAGAAAGUAAAUAAAAUUUAUUCUACUCCAAUGAUUCUCGUACCGAGUAACUGGGGAUUGGCAUCUAAAAAUGUCGAUUUUUACAUAAAAAGGUAUUUGAAUUAAGAUUAUGCAUAGCAACUUGAAUAGGUGAAAUGUUGAGUAACUGGGGAUCUUCACCUAAAAGUGUCGAUUUUCGUGUAAAAAGGCAUUCUCACUAUUUAAGUAAAAAUUAGUAUGAAUAAAUCCCUCUUAGUUAUAGAAUUUUGAGAAAAGAUGAUUAUAGGAGGAGGAAGGAUAUAAAUUGACUAUGUGAUUUGCUUAUUGUAAAAUUAAGUUAGGGUAAGAGAUUAAAUUUAACUUGUUGAAUUUAGGGUAUAAUUAUCUUUCCUUUACUUGAUAUUAUGAGUAUUUAGUGUAAUUUGAACAAUGAUAUAAUGAUUAUUUUUCAAGUCUUGAGGAAUUAAAUUGGACAAAGUGCAUAUAUUGUUUCACCUCUUGAAUCAUUGUAGUUGAUUAUGUGUGGAUUGCUUGAGGACAAGCAAUGAUUUAAGUGUAGGGGAGUUUGAUAAGUGACUAAUUUACGUAAUAAUUGUAUGAUAUUUUAUAUUAUUUUUAGUCACUUUAGUUAUAUUAUUGGAAGAAAAUAAAUCGUUUUGGCUAUAAUUGGUGAAAAAUGUUUUUAAGUGAUUAAAUGAGAUUUUUAUCACUUUUUAGUGGGAUUUUGUGCAUUUUGACAAUUUUGACACAUUUUUGUAUUUUGGCUAUAACUAGGGCUACAAUGAUCAGAUUGCGAUGAUUUUUAAACCAAUUUGAAGAUAAGAGAUAGAUCUACAACUUUGGUGAAGACAUCUGAAUCCAGUUUGAAGGUUUCCAAAGUCAAAAAUCUGAAUUACAAUAGCAAAUUUCUACUGGUCGAAGCUGAAACAGGGCAAUGAGCAGUCAAGGGUAUUUUGGUCAUUUUUCAGCCUACACAGAUCCAAAUGAGGUGAUUCUUGAUGCAUUGGAAAGAUAAGUCAAAGGGAUACAAGUUUCAUGUUUUGGUCAGGAGCUAAAUCAGCUUUUAUCAUCAAGAAACGUUCAGUGGAAGUUGAUACAAAAUCGGAGCAGAGCUGGAAAUUGAACCAGAAGUGACCAAAUGGUCACUGUAGCAAUCCGGCCAGAAUUUGGCCGGAUUUGUGGCCGAAUUGUGGUUAGAAAAGGCUGCUAUGUACGCAUAAAACUCAAUUUCAUCUCCACCAACUCACAUGUGAUGCUAGACUUGUGAGAAACAUUCCCAACUGUAAAAGAGAGGUGUAAACCUCAAGUCUUGACCAAUCUUUCAUCUAUAUAUAGUCAAAUUCAUUGCAAAAUUGAAGGAUAUAGAGAGACAUACGGGAGAACUUGGAGAGUGCAGAAAUGUAGCUCUUUCAUCUUCCUAGUGUUAGUUUAGCUUAGUGUAGAAUAGUAUAGAUCAUCCAUUCUUGUAUCUUGGCUAGAUUAGGAUGAAGAUGGAGGAAUUGAAGCUCAAGUGACAAGGGUUAUUUCUUCUCCAACUCUUUAUGCUUUGUAUCAGAUUCUUAAGUUUGUUUAAUAUACAAGUUCUGGAUUUUGUGUUUAUUAUAUGUUUUUAAAGUUUAUACCUUGGGUUUGGUUGAACUUUCUAUGAUUGUUAGUGUUUAUUAUUUGGUUAUUUGAUUGCUAUGAUUUGAGCAAGUUAUUUAGCACUUUGGCUCUUUAAAUCAUGAUUAAUCUGGUACCAUUAAUUGUGAUUAUCUAAGGUGUUGUUUCUGCAAUGAAAAUUGAGAUUUAACACUAGUUCAAGAAGUGCUAAACAUAGGGAGUACACUCACGAAAGUAGAGGUGCACCUAUAUGGUUUUUAGUGAUUCAUUUCAUGUAAUUUCACUGAAAAAAUGAACUUGUAGCUAAUUUCAUAACCAUGAGAAUAGGUAUGGAUUAGUUAUAAGUAUAAUUGAUUAACUACGAAAGUAAGAUUCGAAUACAUAAGAAAAUUACACCAUAGCUAGCCUAGAUGUAGUAUUCAAUGAUCCAAAUAUAGCACUUGUAUGAGUAGUUAGGGAUACCACAACCUAAGGAGCUUUUAUUUGUUAUUUCAGUAGGUUAAAUUUGUUAUAAUUCAUUGAUAUUCUAAAUAAUAGAGAAACUUUAGUUAUACCGGUAUGUGUUCACUCUUCCCUGUGGGAUCGACCCGAUAUAUACCCUAAACUAUUAGUUGAUCUGUAUACUUGCAGUGAAUGGGUGUAAUUCGAUUUUUUUUAACUUGUACGUAUGUAAAAUACCCAUCAAUUGCUAGCAAAUAGUCAAGGCGUUUUGCUAGGAAAAAUAGCGCAUCCUCACCAAUAGUAUAGAUUUAGCAAGGAGUCUUUUGACAAAUCUGCAAUGCCCCGCGUACCAAUAAAACAUUUUUUGCCAGGAAAGUUUCCUCUCUAAUAAGCAAUAAUUGAUUAUUGCCUAACUGUUUGGUGGGAAAAUGUUCCUCUCCAAUGCUAUUAUGAACAUUUCUUAAUCCAUUUAGCAUGCUAAUCUUAAUUCUCUGAGCGAAUUACUGGGUGGUUUUAUUAGAAAAUUUAGCUGCAAAUAGCUUCAAUUUGGCUUCUCAUGUGUCUAUUGUACAUUUUCCAGUUCUUAUAAGUAUCAAAUUGUUUGGCAAAAAUUUUUUUUACAUGACCAACGUAGCUGCUCAUUAAAUUUAAACUCAUAAGCCCUAGUAUUUGAUAGCUUUUUGGAAUAUCACUUGGUGCCAACAACCCCUUUUGCUACUUUGAUAAACAUUCAAUAGAAAACAUACAACAGCUUUGGUUAGCUAAAAAUAAUUGCUAGCAAAGUAAUACAUCAACAUCCAGCUCUUUCAACAUCUUGAGCCAUACAAAUAGGAAGUGCUUGAAAUCAAUUGGCAAUCCAAAUUUUUUUAGCUCAUUAACUAUCCAAGAAAUCGCAACUUCAAUAAGUCAUUACAAAAGAAGAUUUCAUCAAGAGAACACCGGAGAAAUAUAGAAGAGAGAGAGAGUUAAACUAAUCAUAUGGACACAUAUUUGUCACCUCAGUAUUUCCAAUUCCUUAAUUCAGUCCAGUUAUCUUGGAACUCUAUCGACAUCCAUGGAACAUUUUUUGAAUGACAAUAUGCUGUUGCAACAUUCUGGUGGAGACUUCAAAGGUUCUAUGAUAGGUUGCAUUUUUGUCAUUAAUUCUAUGAUUAUUUUCCUCGUUUAUAUUACCAAAUAUUGUAUUAAUUGAUUGAUUCUACUUAUAUUUGGUAUUUUGUGUCAAUUGUAGGAAGGUGGAGAAAAAAGUAAUAAAAGAGGUGAUUUUUCAAGAGUUUUCCAAUUCAAGAUGGAGUUUACGUGGAGUAUUGGAUGAAAAUUAGGAAACUACCACUUUUUAUUAGAUGUCUUAUUAGGGAACAAUUAGCAAUAGUUGGAGAAGUUUCCUUUUGCAAUUAGAAUUCUAUUUUUAGUUGGCCAAUGGACUGCUGAAGUAAUGGACUUCAAUUAGGAAACAAACAGAGAAAAAAGGCCGGAAUCCCGCAUGAUUACUACCUUGGAGGGAACAAGAAAAAGGAGACGUCCGCUGGUCUCUUCUUUAGUGAGUCUUUUGGGAAAAACCAAUGGUUAUCGAUGGAGUUUUGCAGAUCUCUCCUGAGGAUAUGUAGCUAAAUCUCCGUUUUCUAGUCGAAUGUCAAUUUGAGGACUCGAUUCCAAACAUAUUGAUAAGAGAAUAUUUAAUGUACAUUUUGUACAAGUUUGGCAUGAACUUUUGGUAUGUUUUGAGAAGAUUAAAGCCAUAUUUGAAUUCUUUUGGUGAUAAAUGCUUAAAUAUUGUUUAAGUGUCCAAAAUUUGAUAAAUGAGUGGAUUAAUGCGUUAAUUUUGUGAAAUUGUGAAGGAUAUUGAUAUAUGAAAUUCAUGCACGAGAUGAAGGAAAUGUAAGGAUCGUCCAAAGGAUAAAGUACAAAAGAAACUAGGAGCAAAAAUGAAGAAAAAGAAAGAAGUGAAAAACUGGAAAUUGAUCAGCACAGAUCUGAGCUCGGAUCCAUGUGAACAAAGGGCGAUCCGAGCCCUCCUCUGUACUUCUGAAGCAGUGCAUUCGAGUCCAGACAAUCCAAGCUCGGAUCAUUAAGAGAAAGACCUCAGAUCAGCCUUGAUCCGAGCUCGGAUCGUAGUGCACACCUCGGAUCCAGGGCGCGAAUCUGCCUCUCUCUUCUGCAAGUGGCAAUGCCGUUUUUUCUCAUUUUUCACACAACUUUCCAGCUAUCUUGGGUGAGAGAAUUCGAUGGCACAUGCUUCUGCAACAAAAGGAAAGACAAAAUGAGUUAUUGACAAGUCAAAACAACAUUUCUUUUGACUUUCUUUACAAAAUCUGAGUUGUUGGAAUCAUGAAGGAGAACAAAUUGCCUUUCUACCACCUUUUAUGCAGAGAACCAAGGAGAAGUCAGGCAUCACCAUAUGGAAGGAGUUUUUCAUCUUGUAACAUUUUUCUCUCUAACUAGAAGUUCUAAAAACAAGCACUUGGAGAUUUCACUUGUAAUCAUCUUGUACAAGACAUAGCAGAAAUUUGAGGGUUUCACCAUUAAUUGGCUAAGCUUUUCUUUAUCUUUCUUGUACUUGUACUUUAUGAUGUUUUGCAUUAAUAAACUUGUGAGUUUGAUUGUCAUAAUAUCAUUCAUGAGUAGCUAAAUUUCUUUAUCUAGAGAGUAGAUGAAACUUAUGGCUAAAUGAUAUGAAUUGAAUGUGAUUUACACUUGUUAUAUCUUGUAUUAACUUGUCUAUUUGUGCAGUUGUAAUUACUUGUUGUUGUUUGAUCACCAAUAGCAUGUUUAUAGUUGUUAUUAGUCAAUGAGAAUUGGUAGUAACAAUGAAAAAAAUAUGAGUAGAGCUUGAGUUGUAUGUUCAUGAAAAUAGAUGUACACUUAAGUGGAUUAGCUAGCAUUUCAUGAAGGAAAACAGAGUAGAACUAGUAGUUCACCAUGAAUAUAGGGAAAACUGGAUUGCUCUAGGGCAUUUUAUCAUGAGAAUGAGAUUUGAUAAUAUUAGAAAUGAAUCCCUAAUUAAACAACAAUAAUAACAAGAGGUAAAUCUAUUCAUUUAUGUUGUUUAUGCCAUAAGUAGAAUCAACAUCCCUAGAUUUUUUCUUGAGUGAAAUUUAUCCAUUUACAUUUAGCAUUUGUUAAACUAGAUUUAUAGACAAUAGCAUUAUAAUUUAUCUGCUCAAAUUCAUUUAUAAGUCUAAAUAAUAGAGAAAAUAAGGUCCUAGUACUUGUUUAAAUUGCUCCUCGUGGGAUCGACUCGAUACAUACCUUACAUUACGAUUUCGACCUGUAUAGUUGCAGUCAACGGGUAUAAAAUCGAAUUCAAACUUGUAUUGAUAUAAAAAUUCCAUCAAAUUUUUGGUGCCGUUGCCGGGAGCGGCAAUAUUAGGGUCUAAUCAUUUCUAUUAAUUUAGACAUUUCUAUUGUUUUUAAGUUGUUUAUAGUUGAUUUUGCAUUAAUUUAGUUUUUGACAAUUAAAGCUGCAUAAUUUCUCUUAUUUCUAUUUGUAGUAUAUGCAUCGAACAUAUCGAAAAGUUGCACCUUUCGAUCCAGAAAUUGAGAGGACACUUCUUAGACAAAUGAGGAAUAUACCGCAUCAAGAGAAACAAGAGCUUUGGCAGCUAAUAGAGGAAAUUUUGAUAGAGCUACCAUUUGAGGAAGAAAUGGCGGAAAACAAACCAAAUAGACGAGUUCUACGAGAUUUUGCUUUACCGGAGACACAAAGAUCUCAAACUAGCAUUGCAAGACCAACGGUAAAUGCUAAUAAUUUUAAAAUUAAACCAUCACUGAUUCAAAUGGUUCAACAAUCUCAAUAUGGAGGUAAUGCUACCAAAGAUCCAAAUUCUCACUUGUCAACAUUUCUUGAAAUCUGUGAUACAAUUAAGUUUAAUGGUGUUAGUGAUGAUACAAUUAAACUUCGAUUGUUUUCAUUUUCGCUAAGGGACAAGGCCAAGGUUUGAUUACAAUCUCAUCCUCCAAACACUUUUACUACUUAUGCUGAAUUAGUUAAGGCUUUUCUUAAUAAAUUCUUUCCACUUGGAAAAACUGCUAAACUUAGAAUGAAUAUAACUAGUUUCUCUCAAUAGAAAGAAGAGACAUUGUACGAAGGUUGGGAGCGCUAUCGGGAAUUACAACGAAGAUGUCCUCAUCAUGGUUUACUAGAUUGGCUUAUAGUGCAAACAUUUUACAAUGGUCUCACUUAUCCAACAAAGACGCAUGUAGAUGCAGCAGCGGGAGAAGCAUUGAUGGGAAAGUCAGCCAAGGAAGCUCAACAAUUGAUUGAAGAAAUGGCUGCUAAUAACUACCAAUGGGUCCAACGAACGAGAUAAUACAAGGAGAACCGCAGGUAUACUCGAAGUAGAUACCUUGAAUAUGUUAAGUGCAAAGAUGGAUAAUGUGGUUAAGAUGCUUAAUAGGCAUGUUAGUUCUAACUCUAAUCAAGGAGUAGUUGUUACAUGUUCUACUACUUGCAGCGGAGAUCAUGAUGAUUCUAUGUGUUCUAGCAGCGAACAAGUUCAAUAUAUCAACAAUUACAACCGUCCACCCCAAAAUAAUCUAUACUCUAAUACCUACAAUCCAGGAUGGCGUAAUCAUCCGAAUUUUGGAUGGAAGGAUCAAGGGAACCAACAAAGACUAGUUAAUCCACCGAAUUUUCAACUGAAGCAACCACUUUCGGAGUCCAAACCAGCUUGGGAAUUGAUAAUUAAGAAGCUGGCAAAUGUAUCAAAUGAUAAAAUUGAAAAGUUAGCUAGUGCCACUACUCAACGGUUUAAAAGAAUUGAGGGAAGGAUGGACCAACUCACCAAUAUGUACAGGAAUGUUGAGAUCCAAUUAUGGCAAAUAGCAAAUGCAGUUAACAAUUGCAACCAAAGGGAUUUACCUAACAAGACUGAGCUGAACCCAAGGGAGCAUGUGAAGGCCAUAACCCUCCGUAGUGGUAAGGAAGUAGGUGAGUCACCUGUAGUUGAAAGUGAGAGAAAAUAUGAAAGAAGAAAAAACAAGCAGUUGAGUGAGUUAGGAGAUGAUAACAAAACAAUUGAUGGGAAAGAAAAGGUAGAAGAGUGUGAGCCACAAAUUGAAGCGGCAACACCAAUUCCUCCACCGGUGCCAUUUCCUCAAAGAUUGAAACCUUCAAGAAAUGACAAAGAAUUUGAGAAGUUUGUCAACAUUUUCAAACAAUUACAUAUUAACAUUCCUUUUGUUGAUGCUAUUUUGCAGAUUCCUUCAUAUGCAAAGUUUCUCAAAGAAAUAAUGACUAAGAAAAGGAGGUUAGUAGAUAGUGAAAUAAUUGCAUUAACGAAAGAAUGUAGUGCCAUCAUACAAAAUAAAUUGCCACCAAAGUUGAAAGAUCCGUGGAGUUUCACAGUUCCUUGCACUAUCGGUAAUGUAGAAUUCUCUAAAGUACUAUGUGACCUUGGUGCGGGUGUUUCAUUGAUUCCUUUAACAGUGGCUAGGCAAUUGGGGUUGAAAGAGUUAAACCGUACUAACAUUUCCUUGCAAUUGGCUGACAGGUCUAUUAGAUAUCCAAUGGGCAUUUUGGAGAAUGUGCUUAUUAAAGUGCAGAAAUUCAUUAUCCUGUUGAUUUUAUUGUUUUAGAUAUAGAGGAAGAUGUCAAUGUACCUAUUAUACUUGGUAGAUCAUUUCUGACCACUGCAGACACAAUAAUAGAUGUUAAACGUGGUAAGUUUAAGUUCCAAAUUGGUGAAGAGGAAGUGGAGUUUGAUUUGAGUAAAGUGGAGAAGUAUCCCUCUUUUACUGACCAUAUUUAUUCUAUUGACAUAUGUGAUGAAUUAGCAUUAAAGAUAAGUCAAGUUAAUCUUGAUGAUGAUUCUCUUGAACUCUGUCUUAAUGAUGUAGGCUUACAAGAGAAACAAGUUGAAGAAAUGACUGAAUUUUCGCGGGCACAAGUUCCUUAUAAAAGGAGAAAUGCGUAUGAGGAGUUAGGGCUGAACAAAGGGCUACCUCUACCAUCGUGUGAGCAAGCUCCAUGGCUUGAGUUUAAGCCACUCUCUAAACACUUCAAAUAUGCAUUUUUUGGAGAAAAUGAGACAUUACCGGUUAUUGUCAAUACUGCACUACAUGAGGAACAACUAGGAAAGUUUUUACGUGUUUUGAGGAAGCAUUUAAAGGCUAUAGGAUGGACAAUUUCUGAUAUCAAAGAAAUUAGUCCAACUAUUUGUAUGCACAGAUUUUGUUAGAAGAAAAUUCUAAACCGAUGGUUAAAAUUCAAAGAAGGUUAAAUCCAAACAUGAAAGAAGUGAUAAGAGUACAAAUCUUUAAAUGGUUGGAUGCAGGUAUAAUUUUUCCAAUCUCUGAUAGUGUUUGUAUUUCUCCUAUUUAUGUAGUGCUAAAGAAAAGGGGAAUAACCAUAGUGUGGUAAAAAUGAUGAAAUGAUUUCCUCUAGAGUUGUAGUUGGGUGACGAGUCUGUACUAAUUAUAGAAACUGAAUGCAGCUACUAGAAAGGAUCAUUUCCCUUUUCCUUUUCUUGAUCAAAUGGUAGAAAGAUUGGCUGGAUAUGAAUUUUUUGUUUCUUGGAUGGUUUUUCAGGAUACAAUCAAAUAGUCAUUGCACCGAAAGAUCAAGAUAAAACCACAUUCACUUGUCCUUACGGCACUUUUGCAUUUCGAAGAAUGCCUUUUUUGACUAUAUAAUCCACCGGCCACUUUCCAAUAUUGCAUGAUGGCAAUUUUCUCUGAUUUUAAUGAGAAAAUCAUGAAAAUCUUCAUGAAUGAUUUUUCUGUAUUUGGAUCUACUUAUGAUCAUUGCCUUAACCAUUUAGAUCUAAUUUUGCAGAGAUUUGAAGAAACAAACCUUGUACUCAAUUGGAAAAAAUGUCACUUUAUGGUUUGUGAGGGUAUUGUUCUAGGCACAAAAUUUCUUCAUAAGGUAUUGAGAUAGAUCAAGCCAAGAUAGAGUGUUGGCCUAAUCAGCAACAUCCCUCAGAUCCCGGCUCGAAGGACUAACCGCCCAGCCCGUGGCACCUAGGGGUGCAGCCCUCAUGCUGGCCGAGCGUGGUACGGUGCUUUGCGCUGCCAUUGUGGUUAAGGAAAUAAAGUUGCACCUUCGCUAACUGCUAUAGCUUUUGGUGCAAUGGUAAGCGCUUGAUCCUUACAUAGAGGUUAUUGAGAGAAUGCCUCCACCUACCAAUGUGAAAGGCAUUCGAAAUUUUCUUGAACACGUGAAAUUUUAUCGGCAGUUUAUUAAGGAUUUCUCCAAGACUGCUAAACCUUUAUGUAAAUUACUUGCAAAAGAUAUUACUUUUCAUUUUAAUGAUGAGUGUUUAUUUGCUUUUAAUAGGUUGAAGAAGAAACUUGUCUCCACACCCAUAAUAGCAUCACCGGAUUGGAGCUUGCAAUUCAAAUUGAUGUGUGAUGCGAGUGAUUUUGCAGUUGGAGUUGUUCUUGGAUAAAAACAUUAUAAGCAAUUUCAUGUCAUUUAUUAUGCAAGUAAAAUGUUAAAUGAAACCUAAGUCAACUAUGCAACAACAGAGAAGGAGUUGCUAGCAGUGAUAUUUGCAUUGGAUAAGUUUAGAUCGUAUUUAGUAAGAUCUAAAGUCAUCAUUUAUAUCGACCAUGCAGCAUUCAAAUAUCUCUUAAAUAAGAAAGAUGCAAAACCUGGACUAAUUCGAUGGAUUUUAUUAUUGCAGGAAUUUGAUUUGGAGAUCAAAGAUAAAAAAGAUCAGAGAACUUAGUCGCUGAUCAUCUUUCUAAACUGAAAAACAUGCUUCAAGAAGACCAUUCAUCCAUUAAAGAAGAAUUUCCAUAUGAGUUUUUUGAUGGCAAUUUAAAAGUCACCAUUGUAUGCUAAUUUAGUUAAUUUUGUAGUUAGUGGAGUGAUAUCAAGUGAUUUGAAUUCCCACCAAAGGAAAAAAUUCUUAAAUGAUGCUAAACAUUAUUUUUGGAAGAACCAUUCUUUUAUAAAUAUUGUGCAAAUGGAAUAAUUAGAAGAUGUGUUCCAGAAAAAGAGGUACACAGUAUUUUAAUGCAUUGUCAUACCCUUGAAACGGGAGGUCAUUUUAGUACAACUAAAACGUAGCAAAGGUAUGACAAUCUGGAUUUUACUGGCCUACUAUAUACCGAGAUGCUAGAAAUUGGGUUAAAAGUUGUGAUUAAUGCCAAAGAACUGGUAACAUCUCUAGAAAGAUGAAAUGCCUUUAACUACAUAUUUGGAAGUUGAGCUAUUUGAUGUUUGGGGUAUUGAUUUUAUGGGACCAUUUCUGGUUCGUUUAAUAAUAAGUACAUCUUAGUAGCAGUGGAUUAUGUUUCUAAAUGGGUAGAGGCAAUUGUUUCACCUACUAAUGACUCUAAGGUUGUACUCCGGUUUCUUAAAAAGAAUAUUAUUUGCAGAUUUGGUAUCUCAAAGGCCAUAGUUAGUGAUAAAGGAAAAUAUUUUUGUAAUAAACAACUUCACUCCUUAUUGUUUAAAUAUGGCUGCAGGCACAAGACAUCACUUCUGUACCAUCCUCAAGCCAAUGGACAAGCGAAACUAGCUAAUUGAGAGAUAAAGCUCAUUUUGGAGAAAACUGUAACUAAAUCAUGCAAAAAUUGGGCUACAAAGCUAGAUGAUGUACUAUGGACUUACCGAACGGCAUUUAAGACACUUUAGGGAUGUCGCCGUAUCGUUUAGUCUAUGGAAAACUUGUCACUUACCUGUAGAGAUUGAACAUAAAGUUUAUUGGGCUAUUAAAGCAAUUAACAUGGACUUUAAUCUUUCAGGUGGAAGGAGGCUACUUGAGUUAAGUGAAUUGGAGGAACACCGGUUACAUGCGUAUGAAAAUGCUAAAAUUUAUAAAGGGAAGAUCAAAUAUUGGCAUGAUAAAUAUAUUCUUCCUAAGCAUUUUGAAGAAGGGCAAAAGGUGUUAUUGUUUAACUCAAGACUUAAAUUGUUCCCUGGAAAGCUUAAGUCUCGAUGGUCCGGACCAUUUGAAAUAGUUCGCACAUUUCUUAUGGAGCGGUGGAAAUAAAAGGAGAAAAUGGUGUCCCAUUCAAGUGAAUGAUCAAAGAUUGAAGCUCUAUUUGGCUGGAGAAAGGGUUCCUAAAGGAGUGAUUUACUCCUUAGGAAAUACAAUGGAGAGUUAAGGAAGCUGUAGGAGAGUCGAGUUUAGCGACUUUAAAUAAAACACUUGUUGGGAGGCAACCCAAUAAUAAUAUUGUAGUUGUGUGUUUUUAUAUGUUUCUUAAAUUUUGGUGUUAUUUGAUUGACUAAUUAUAUGUAUUUCACUUGUUGUAGGGGGUGCCGGCAUUUCAACUUCCAUCUUGGAGGUGCACUUGAAGAACAAUAGUUAAAAGGGAAGUUUUCUUACCAAUUUCUAUUUUAAGUGUUUAAAAUUCCCUUUCAUGUAUAAUAUGUUGCAUUUCCAUUAUAUUCAAGUAAGUUUCAGUGAUAACAUGUUUAUACAUGCUCAUUGAUUCAUUUGAUUUGUAUCUCAUACCUAAGGGAGCCCUCUUAGUGUAAAAGCGCCAAAAUGAUCAAAGAAACUCACCCCUCGAUUUGCAAUGUAUAUGUGUUUGAUGUAUUUUGAGAGGUUGAUAUUGUGUUUAUGGUAUAUUACACUUGCGUGAAAGGGUAUAAUUGAUAGAAAUUUCGUCCAAGGUGUAAUUUGGAAAUUGUCGAAAAAGGGGGAAAAAGUUUGAAAAAUUGCAAUUUCUGAAAUUGUUGCAGAAAAAGCCUGAUCCGAGCUCGGAUCCGUUAAAGAUUCAAAGACGAAAUUGGCGAUCCGACCUCGGAUCCGAAGUUGUUCACUAUGAUCCGAGGGCUCAUCUGUGUUUCUAGAAGGCCGGAUCCGAGCCUAUAGGAUCCGAGCCUUGGUAUACACGAUCCGACCUCGGAUUGUGUAUUCUUGAAAAAUUCAGCAUAGGGGAUCUGAGCUUGGAUCCAACAAAAUCUAAUAGGAUCCGAGGGCUCAGCUGAACUUCUGAAGUAGCGGAUCUGAGGGAUGCCAGAACCGAUCUGACCUCGGAUCUGUGCGCGAUAAGAAACAAAUCCGAGGCUUUGAUUCUGCAUUUGUCCAAUUCUCCUUUUCCUAUUUCACCGAAAACCCUAGCCCUUCUUCACCAAUCUUCCAUUUCAUCCAAUAAUUAUUCAAUCUUUCACCACAAAAACAUCUCCCAACCUCUUGUGAUCAUAAACCCUCAACAAAUUCAUUUUAAAAACAUCAAUUUGGGGGUUUUGAUCUUCAAAACGGGAAUUCAGGCCGCACUGAAAUCUCACAAUUUGUGGUCGAAUUUGGGCUUGUUUCUUCAUCACUUUGUAUCAUUAUCAUCCUCCACCAUCAAUCUACACAUUUGAGGUAACAAUUUACAAUUUUUUUGAGAUUUUAUAAUUCCCAAUUUUACAUUUUUCUAGUUUUGGACAUAUUUUGGUAAUUGCUCAUAAGUUGAAAUUUCUUGAUACAAUUGUGCUACAUUGUGCUUAAAUAGAUUGUCACAACUAUUUUCAUGCUUAGUUUUGAGAGAAUUGUGGAUUUGGUAUUAUUUUGUAGAUUUUUCUUCUAAAAUUUUAGGUUAAUGCACAUGAACUCUUUAAUGAAUGAAAUUACUCCUCUAUGUGAACUACUUGCAUGCUUAAAAUUGAGAAAAUUGUUAUUAUAGUGAUAUUUUUGUAUAUUUUUCUCAAUUUUAAGUUUAAGUAUGUUAAAUCUUUUACUUGAAUAUUCCUUGUUCUUAGAGAUAAUUGGCAUUCAUUAAGAAGAAUUGGAGCUCAUUAGUUGGCAUUUUAGUGAUAAUGUGUAUAGCCAAUUAGUGUGUAAUUCUUGGAUAAAAUCAUGAGAUAAUUGGCCCGUACGUUCUUGAAGUAAUGAAAUUGAUCUUUUAAGAGUCCUUUUUACUUUGAGAUUAUAUUCUAUUGUUGAAAUAUGCAUCAAUUCUCAAGAGAUUGGACUUUUUAAUGAGAUUCUAAUUAAAAUAUGCUGUUCAAUUGUUGAAAGUGGAAUAUUCAAACCAUGUGUUGAGAUUGUAGAUUGAAAUUGAUAUCAUACAUGUGCAAUGAGUUUGUGAAUUGGUUAAAUACGAUAUGGUCGUGAAUUUGUUGAUUGUUGGCAGGGAGUUUCUUCCUUUUAUUGGGGGAAACUCUGCCGAAAUUUUCCCAAAUCAUUUUUAAACAUUGUUGGUCGUGUAUUUUCAAGGAAUUUAGAAUUCUUUUAAUGUGUGUUUGAUCUUAUUUUUGAUAUAGGUACCAUGGCUCGCACAAGACGAUCUCGUGUUCGUUUUUGAUAUAGGUACCAUGGCUCACACAAGACGAUCUCAUGUUCGCACUCCUUCACCUUCUUCAAGUGAAGAGCGUACUCCUUCAAUGCCUAAGGAGUCACCAGGGGAAGAAUCUCCUUAACCACAGUCGUCGCCACACUUACGGCGUAAGAGAGCAUCUACGAGACAUGAGAAGCCAACUCCAGAUUAUGACACCACUCAUUUUACCUCACUCGAGAAUCAAUAGUGGUACGAGACCGGUUUAGACAAAGAGUUCAUAAUUGAAAAACACUUGGCCCCGGAGGUGGAUGACCACUACAAGAUCUCCAUGGCAUUCAAGCGACUUGGAUGGGAGACUAUACUAAAUUUGCCGAAACAUUACUAUCCCAAUCUGGUCUGGGAGUUUUACGCCAAUGUGGAAGACAAAUAGAACCACAGUGGCAACCUCAUCAUCUCCUGGGUUCGAGGCAAGAGAGUGGCUCUCACUCGACAUACAAUCACCCAAAUCGUCAAACUAAAGGACAAUGGAGAAGAUGUUAAAUUGACCAAGGAAUUUAAGGCACGUGAUCCAUGGCAAGUCUGAGAAGCUGUGGCAUGUCUUAAGGGUCAAUAUCGAGAGCGAGAAAGUUCGAAAAGCUCAUUGUAUACGCCAAUUCCUUUGAGUAUAGGUACCACCUGAUCUUCUAUCUCUUCACGCUUCAAUGUGGUACCGAAAAGGAGUGAAAAAAGGGAGCUCGAAACGGUGACUUGUAUUUCCUCGAUAAUAUGAUGCACGGUGUGGGUAGGCUGCUGACUAGUAUUCCUCUGGCCAGCAUCAUCAUCAGUUACAUGUGUACUACAGCUCGCAUGAGAGCCGACGAAACUUGCUUUGGGUUCCCUCGUUUGCUCUCCCUUAUUUUUAAGCAACUCAAGGUUCCUCUGGGAACCGAGCGAGCCAUUAUUACUAGGGCAGCCGAGGAAGUCAAUGGCUUAGUACUCAGGUCCUUAGGUAUUCCUACGAAUUUUGGAGCUUCUCUAGUACGGGAUGUUGGAGAAGCAUUGACUUCCACUCAGCCUCCACCUCACACUGAACCACACCAGGAAGCUCAAGAGACGGAGGCACAGCAGACUCUCCCUCCUCCCAUUCCACGACCACCCCCUCCACAACGAUCCAAGUGGCAAGAGGCCCUCAAUGCCAUCUGCUGUAUAGAGACACAAGUCAUGGAGCGCAUUGAUCAGACAGAGCGGCUGAUGACGGAGCGACUAGACAGGCAUGAUCACCGUCUUCGAGCGAUCGAGGAUCAUUUCCACAUUCGCCGCUCCCCUACACUGAUUCCUGAGCCAAGGCCCAAUGAGGGGCAUGCAGAUCGUGAGGAGGGUGGUGGCAAUGCAGAUCAUGAGUAGGGCGGCAGCACUGAAGUGACUGAGCUUGGCGUCUCCUAUGCAUAAUUUACUCUCUUUUCGGCUUUUAUUUAGUUUUUCAUCUUUUAUUUUCAAUUUGGUGUUAACUUUUUGUUAUUUUUCUGUUUUUCUUAAAACUUGUGGAAUGGUCUCACUUUCUAUGGAUAUAUAUUUUUCCCUGCAUGCAGAAUUUGGCUAGUAGAAUUUGGAUGAUCGUGAUGAUCGUGGUUUCAAAUUGCAUCACUACUUUUUUUGAGGGGAGUAUUAGUUUCUUUUACCUUCCUCUACAAUAAGGAUAUUGUGAAUUUUAAGUGUGAGGGAGGGAUUACUUUAUCUUAUGGGGUGAUUAUGUUUUGAAGUGCAUGAUUUUAGUUGUUUAUGGCCUAGAAAUAUUGGAAUCAUAUUUGAAAAUAUUGUCAUGAAGAUAAUUUUCUUAAAUUGAGGCUAUUGGCAGGGAAUUUUAUCCAUUUAUAUGGGAAACUCUGUCAAAAUUUUUCUAAAAUAUUUUCAAUAUUUCUAAAAUAUUUUUCAAUAUUUCAUUACAAUUCUUUCCAAUAAUGGCCGAAAUGUUCAAUUUUAAAUGCCUAAUUCUUCCAUUGGAUAAAAUGUUAUAUGUAUUUUGGAAAGUUUAGUCUUAUUUGACUUGGCAUUAGUCAUUAUACAAUUAGGAUUUUUACAUUUUAGAAAGUAUAUUCGGUUAAAUAAGAAAAAUUAUACUUAGAAUUUUGCAGGUUUAAUGAUAUUUCUCAUUUUUACUUAAUUUUAUAAGUAAGUGAUUGAUAUAAUCAAAACAAGGCCAGAUUCAUCCUUUAAUUAUGCUCAGAGGGAAGAGAUUGAUUGUUUAAAAAAAAAAUUUCUACUCCAAUGAUUCGCAUACUGAGUAACCGGGGGUUAGCAUUUACAAAUGUCGACAUUCGCGUAAAAAGGUAUUGGAAUUAAGAGUGUGCUUAGCAAUUUGAAUGAGUGAAAUGUUGAGUAACCGGGAAUGUUCACCUAAAAGUGUAGAUUUUCGCAUAAAAAGGCAUUGUCACUAUUUAAGUAAAUGAAGUAUAAAUAAAUCCCUCUCAGUUAUGAAAAUUUUGAUGGAUAUAUGAUGAGAAAGGCCAUAGAAUUGAUUAUGUGAUUUACUUAUUUGUGAAAUUAGGAUAGGAUGAGAGAUUGAGUUGAAAUUGUUAAAAUUAAGAUAUAAUUAUCUUUAUUUAACUUGAUAUUAUGAGUAUUUAGUGUAAUCUGAGAAUUGGCAUAAUGAUUGGUUUCUAGGUUUUGAGGAACUAAAAUUGACAAAAGUACGUAUAUUGUUUUAUCUCUUGAAUCAUUGUAGUAAGUUAUGUGUGAAAUUGCUUGAGGACAAGCAAUGAUUCAAGUCUGGGGGAAUUUGAAAGAGAAUAUUUAACAUACAUUUUGUACAAGUUUGGCAUGAACUUUUGGUAUGUUUUGAGAAGAUUAAAGCCAUAUUUGCACUCUUUUGGUGAUAAAUGUUUAAAUAUUGUGAGUGGAUUAAUACGUUAAUUUUGUGAAAUUGUGAAGGAUAUUGAUAUAUGAAAUUCAUGCACGAGAUGAAGGAAAUGUAAGGAUCGUCCAGAGGAUAAAGUACAAAAGAAACUAGGAGCAAAAUGAAGAAAAAGGAAAGAAGUGAAAAACUGAAAUUGAUCAGCACGGAUCCGAGUUUGGAUCCGUGUGAACAAAGGGUGAUUCCAAGCUCUCGUCUGUACUUUGGAGCAGUGCAUCCGAGGCCAGACGAUCCGAGCUCGAUCAUUAAGAGAAAGGCCUCGGAUCAGCCUUGAUCCGAGCUCGGAUCGUAGUGCACACCUCGGAUCCAAGGCUCGGAUCUACCUCUCUCUUCUGCAAGUGGCACAGCCAUUUUUUCUCAUUUUUCACACAACUUUUCAGCUAUCUUGGGUGAGAGAAUUCGUGGCACAUGCUUCUGCAACAAAAAGGAAGACAAAAUGAGUUAUUGACAAGUCAAAACAACAUUUCUUUUGACUUUCUUUACAAAAUCUGAGUUGUUGGAAUCAUGAAGGAGAAGAAAGUGCCUUUCUACCACCUUUUUAUGCAGAGAACCAAGAAGUCAGGCAUCACCAUAUGGAAGGAGUUUUUCAUCUUGUAACAUUUUUCUCUCUAACUAGAAGUUCUAAAAACAAGCACUUGGAGAUUUCACUUGUAAUCAUCUUGUACAAGACAUAGCAGAAAUUUGAGGGUUUCACCAUUAAUUGGCUAAGUUUUUCUUUAUCUUUCUUGUACUUGUACUUUAUGAUGUUUUGCAUUAAUAAACUUGUGAGUUUGAUUGUUAUAUCAUUCACGAGUAGCUAAAUUGCUUUAUCUAGAGAGUAGAUGAAACUUAUGGCUAAAUGAUAUGAAUUGAAUGUGAUUUACACUUGUUAUAUCUUGUAUUAACUUGUCUAUUUGUGCAAUUGUAAUUACUUGUUGUUGUUUGAUCACUAAUAGCAUGUUUAUAGUUGUUAUUAGUCAAUGAGAAUUGGUAGUAACAAUGGAAAAAACAUGAGUAGAGCUUGAGUUGUAUGUUCAUGAAAAUAGAUGUACACUUAAGUGGAUUAGCUAGCAUUUCAUGAAGGAAAACAGAGUAGAACUAGUAGUUCACCAUGAAAAUAGGGAAAAUUGGAUUGCUCUAGGCCAUUUUAUCAUGAGAAUGAGAUUUGGUAUUAUUGGAAAUGAAUCCCUGGUUAAACAACAAUAAUAACAAGAGGUAAAUCUAUUCAUUUGUGUUGUUUAUGCCAUAAGUGGAAUCUACAUCCCUAGAUUUAUUCUUGAGUGAAAUUUAUCCAUUUGCAUUUAGCAUUUGUUAAACUAGAUUUAUAAACAAUAGCAUUAUAAUUUCUCUGCUCAAAUUCAUUUAUAAGUCUAAAUAAUAGAGAAAAUAAGGGUCUAGUACUUGUUUAAAUUGCUCCUCGUGGGAUCGACUCGAUACAUACCUUACAUUACGGUUUCGGCCUGUAUACUUGCAGUCAACGGGUAUAAAAUCGGAUUUAAACUUGCAUUGAUAUAAAAAUCCCGUCACAUAUGUGAGAUCGAAUUAUUUUACUUAUUUCUUUUAUUCAUUGGUAUUUGUACAUUUUCUGAUUUAACUUCAUAUACUUGUUAUGUUAUUUGAAUGUCAAGGGCCCGAUAUUAGAAUUAACCUAAUAAUCUACUGUCAGAUUAAUUGAUUGAAUCUGUAAUUGUUCAAUUGAUUAAUACUAGUGGCAACUAGCGUGAUUGGUUUUAUGUUAGGGAAACGUAUAAUCUAAUUUAAACGAACCCUUGUAGCGUGUUUGUUAAUUAGGGUUGGGUUUUUCUAAUUCUUAUUGCAAUUGAGAAAUUAAAUCCUAUAGUCGUACCUAGGGUUAUUUUGGUUAGGAAAAAGUUAAUGGUCGUACCUUAACUAUCAAAAAAGUAAGGAAAGGUUGGUUGUUUAUCGCGUGUAUAACAACUAUAACCAAUCUAUUAAUUAGUAAUUGAAUUAUCUUUGCAUCGAUGAUCAGUUGAAUGGACCAUGUCUGAAAAGUUGCACCUUUGGCUAGAGUUGUAUUGGUUAUUGAUUAAUUCCUGUUUAUUUCUAUUAGUUGUUUUAUUAGUUGAUUAAUUAGUUAUUUUAUAUUUUCCAAAAACCCCCAUACUUCGGACUCUGGAAGAAAUGAAUUAUCCCCAGUCCCUGUGGAUUCGACCCUGCUCACCGCUAUAUACAAAUUUGUAUUUUUCUUGAGUAGAUAAUUAUUAUUGCACAUGUUCAACACCUGUCAUUCUAUAACUGUAUACAGAGUCAUCUUUUUCAAAGAUUUCCCAUGCUGCAAAAUGUACUCUACGAGCUUUAUUUCAUUUCCUCCCUAUAAAUUGUCUAAUUCCAAUCUGCCUAAGAUGUUCAACAAAGCGUAUUGGGAAAACUAUUUGGAAAUGUAGAUUCCAGGUCCUUGUAUAUGCAAAGUCCUUCUUACACAACUUUACAUAUUGAGAAGAUCAAAAAUUGCAAAACAUAAUAAUACUUGAAAUUAGUGAGAAUAUAUCCAAAAGAAACAAAAUAUUAAUACCUGAAAUCAGGUUUUACAAUCUGUGCACAAAAAGCACCUAAACCCAAAUGACCCAUGUUGGAAUAGACCAAGUUUAGUUCAACUGCAGAAAUUCCUAGUACAAUGGAACUGCAACUUCAAAUUCAGUAAAUUGCAAACUGAUAUUAUGAUUCUAUAAAUCCUAAAAUCUCACCCAAGUCCUCUUGCCUCCAACACAAAGUAUGUACACAGAUGCUGACCUAUUCUAUACACUUGUAGGUAAAUUCAAAUCAGACGGCAUUCAAUAGAACUGCCUUGAUUGGCUCCAUAUCAGCACUAUUGCUCUUUAAAUCUAAAUUGAUUAAGCUACACAAAAAGGGAUUACAUUAGAUGGAGAAAUUUUACUGAUUGCAUAUGAAAUAAGGGCUAAAAUCAACUAGGAAAAGCAGAGAAGUUAACCUCAACCGACCAGGAAACAAGAUGCAAAAGUCAGAAGUUGUUAGCUUAAACCUCAACCAAAAGAAAAAUGCAAUCUUUGAUAUUAAACACAUAACCCACAUAAGUUAGCUUCACAGAGUCCAGAAGGAUGGUGGAACUCAAUUUUCCUAAAAUUGUGAGGAAAAUAAUUCAAUCUUAGAAAUCUAACACAAAUAAUGGUAAUAAAAACGCACAAGAAGGGUAUAAAAACUUACAAAAUGGCGCCAAAAUAUAGAUCUAACAGUAUUUGAAGCAAAUGGAUGAAGCAUUGAAGUUGUUCUAAGAUUUUUGGACAGCAAUAAACCUAAGCUCCUUCACGUUUAGCAAUUCUUAGGAGAUAGACAGGAGGCGGGUCUUCUUUUUUAGCAAUUCCUUAGAGGUCUCCUUCCCGUUUAGCAAUUCCCGCAUAUGUUCUUCUAUUUUUGGACUAAAAACCACCGAUGUUGGCCUUUGAGAGAAGAACAGAUGCGUGCUUCUCAAUUGACAGAGACAAGAGAGGACUAACCUUUCUAUGUAUAUAUCCCUCAGCCUCUAACAAGCCUUUGAAUUUUGACGGAAGGAUGUUGCGGGAAAAAUAAAAUUCUUGGAGGGAAUAAAACGCGCGUCCUAAAUUCUGAUUUAAGUGUUGCAGUUAAAAGUUUCUAAUUGGAGUAUAUUAUAUAAUAUAUAGAAUGACUAUUGAGUAUUAGAAGUAUAUAAUUUGAAAGAAAUCAUGUAUGAAAAAUGAAACUAAUGAAAAUAUUCAUGUGCAAUCAAUAUAAUAAAUUGUCAUCUUUAUAAUUUUUAAGUUUGCAAUUCAUAAAUAUGGUAACAAAUAAUGUAAUUCAUGUGCAAUCAAUAUAAUUAUAUUGUUAAUUAAGGUUAUAAUUGUGCUAUAUAAAGUAUUUGGGACAAUUUGAAAAAUAUCUAGAAAUUUGGGACUACUUAUAAUAUAUUCAAAAUGUAUUUUGAUUAAACUAUACAACUUGUCCUUUCUUGUUGUAAAUCCAAAUUCAAUUAUGGAACAAUAUACAUGGAAAAUUUGACCUUAUAUGUGUAUAAAUCAUCUUAUUAAUAAAAUAGUUAAACACAAUACAUUUAGUUAACUAUGAUUUAGUGAUUGAUUAUUACAUCAUUUUUUAUAUAAUACGAUAAUUAAAUAUUACAUAUAUAAUAAAAUGUUUCAAAUAUAUUUUAAUUGAUCGAAAAAAUGGUAUACUUACAAUAAACAAAUAAUUAAAGAAAAUUUUGAGAGUAGAAUUUUGUGCUAAAAAUGUGUAUUUUGGGUUCAAAUUUAUAACCACCACUUAUCCACUUAGAAUUAGCAAAAGUAUUAAUUCAUUUCUAAAGACUCUAAACCAUACUAAUUUAUUAUAAUAAAGAUACAAAACACUAGCUCCAUGUGAUAACCUAUAGCAAAAAUCAUCUAUUCACUUUAGUAAAAUAUAUGAGUCAAAUUUAAAGAUUCAUCAAAUUUUAUAGGUUUUAAAAUUGGGGUGCGUUAUUUACAUGGAUUUAAAGCUGUCUGAAUAUAGUUUACUACGCAAUAAACGACACUCAAUUUCGAGUUUUCUACACAAAGAUAUGACCAAAAUACUAAAAUUGUUACUUAAUUUUUUGAAAAAUAGUAGGAUCGUAUGAUCCGGAUUACGAUCCUAUUAAUCUUGAAUUUAAUGCUAAUUUUUUAUCCUACUUACAAUUUGGAUCGUUAGCCAUGAUCCGUAUCGUAGGAUCGUAGAUCGCGAUUCUAGCAACUAUGGUUGUAGUUAAAAGUUUCUAAGAAUUGGAGUAUAUUAUAUAAUAUAUAGAAUGAAUAUUGAGUAUUAGAAGUAUAUAAUUUGAAAGAAAUCAUGUAUGUGAAAAAUGCAACUAAUGAAAAUAUUCUCAAUAUACAGCUGAAAAAAUAACUAAGUUUGAUAAAUUUGCAUUUAAUUUUUAGAUAGAAGUUUGUUGUAUGAUAUGUAAUUGCCAUUUCUUGAAAUUAUUCUUCACUCUUAUACCUUCACUAAACUUCAAAGAACUUAGCUACGCAUAAAAUAGAAUGAAAGGAAUGCUUUCAAGUGUGCUAGUAAGUUAAUAUUUAUAUUAUAUCUGUGCUAAUACGUGUCCAUAUGUAUAAUUCAAAAGUUUUAUGUAUUUCAUAUACGAAUGUCUUUUUUCAAGUAACCGCAUAGAACACUUAUAGGUUGUAUUUUUGCCAUUAAUUUUAUGAUUAUUUCCUCUUUAUUUUACCAAAUAUUGUAUUAAUUGAUAGAUUCUACUUAUAUUUGGUGCUUUAUGUUAAUUAUAGGACGUUGGGGUAAAAAGUGCUAAAAAAGGUGAUUUUCUUGGAAUUGAUUGUCACUCGCAAGUUUCCCAAUUCAAGAUGAAGUCUACGUGGAUUAUUUGUGGAAGAUUAGGAAAUUACCAUUUUUCUUAGAUAUUUUAUUUAGAAAACAAUUGGCAUUAUUCUUGGAGUUACCUUUUUCAAUUGACCCGCUUCCGAAGUUACUUCCUUCGUUAGAGCUCGUUUAUCUUGAUUUAAAUUUAAUCUGUUUUAGUUUAAUUAUUUUCAAUUUGCAUUGAUUAUUUAUUUUUAAUUGCAAUUUUCCAAACUCCCCCCCAAUUAAUUGUCACUUGGAAAGAAGCAAAUUUUCACUCAAAACCUUGAGUUUAUAUCUUUUUGAGUAGGAAUUUAUUAUUACACAAGUCUGACACCUGUCAAUUAACACAAGGUUUCAAGCAAUGCACAGUUUCUUUUGUACCUAGAAUAGCUAAUGUAGCAAGUCAUAUGCUAGCACAUUUUGCAACAUAACUAGUUUAUGAUAUAGAAUGGGUACAUGAUUUCCCGAUUGACUAAUAGAAGGGUGAAUGCCCCUUUUUGUAAUUAACUCUUGCACUUCAAGUGUUAACAUAUAUACUGAUAUUAUCAUUUGUUGAAAAAAAAGGAAAGUGUUUAUUUGUUUAAUCAAAUAGUUAUGGUAGUGUUUAUAUAAUUUCGUAAACAUUGAAAGGUAAAUGACCUCGUUGAAUUUGUAUAAUUUGAUUAUGUUGAAGAAACAUAAUCUUGGAAAAGCAGAGAAAUUUUCUAGUAAAUAUUAGAUAAACAAACAAGUCAUUAUUUUAUUUUGAUAGCUAAUCAUUGUUCAUAUCAAUAUACUAGCUAUAAAGUUAUACUCGCAAUACUACUGUUACGGUAUAAAAUUUCUUGUCAGAGCAAUUUAUAAUUUCAUCCCAUUUUUACCGUUGACUGUUAACCUCAAGUUCUUCGGAUAUCCAUGGGACAGUGUAACCCCUUUGAAGGUCAAUUCUUACUGUUGAUGUGGCGUGUCCCACAUCGGAGGCUGCAUAAGGAAGUUUUCUUCCUUUUGUCCCACAUCGGCAAUCAAGAAGGAAAGCCUCCCCUUGUUUACCUAUAAAUAAGGGGGCUUAGUGGUGAAGAAAAGUGACCACUCAAGAGAGUUAUAUGAGCUAUUAGCUUUUUGAGUCAUUUAGCCCAUUUGUAGUAAAUAUUUUAUGUUCUCUUGUUUUGAGUUUAGGAAUAUUUUCUAAACUUUUUAUGAGUGCCUUUUGGCCUAGGAACCACUUUUCUACGGCUUUUGUAUAUCUUCUUCAUAGUGAAAGAUUUGCUCCUCCUUGCCUGGAUUAGGUUAAUUGACCGAAUCACGUAAAUUUCUGUGUCUUUUAUUUUUUUUGUUAUUUGUAUUUAUUGGGUUGCCACAACCCUUUUAUAUGGUCAGUUUUACAGCCUAAAUAUUAUAUGGUCGAUUUUACCGCCUAAACAUUAUAUGGUCGGUUAUACCGCCUACUUUGUUAACUUCAGUUUGUUUAUUUCUGGACCAUCCUAACACUUACACCCUCAUCAAAGUUUCUGGAGUUGCGUAUUAUAGGGGUGCAAACACAAAAACGAGACAUUCUUAAUCAAUGGAGUUCCUUCUUUUUGCGAUUCAUUCCUCUGCAAACCUCCUCCUCCUCCGAUUUUAAUAUAUGCCACUGUUAAAAUAGGAUACUUUUGUGGGUUUAAGAUUAGAUCGAGACGAACUCUUUUGUGCAAAACAUUUGCCCCAGGCAUCGUUACUACAGAGUAUGUGAUCCAAUUACCAAUGUAAGGUCACAAUGUUAGAGAUGUGAAAUUAUAUUGCAAUGGUCCCUAAAAUCCAACUUGAUCAUAGGAAUACUAAUUAGGUGAAUACGAGGACUCUGAUUCGACUCUCGAUCUUUCCUCUCAAAUUACAGUAAUAUUUUUAAUCAUACACUCAUCCCCUUACUAACUUCCUAUGGGCCCAAUAUGUUGAGUAGAAUUCGAUUGGAACAACCGAAAAAAAAGAAAAGAAAACAAAUACAAAACAAUGAAAUAGACACUUAGUCAAGUUGGAAGCUAUGAGGAAGUGAGGAGCACAAGUGCGAACAGAUCACCAAGGAAAAAGAAACAAUUUUUUCGAGAAUGCAAUUUGAUUUCAAGCUCAAUCAUAUUCUAAGAGUCAAUGAUAAGAUAGAAAAAAUGUAGGUCCAUUGUUAAGAUAUAGACGGAGAUGGUUGCUUAUUGAGCGUUGGAAAUAUUUCAUAUGCAAGUUGUAAUUAUAUCUCAACUUGUAUAAUUUUAAUUUAAUGAAAGUUAAUGACCAUGUCAAUGAUUAUGCGUCAUGCAUGACAUUCUUUUUUCUUGUACUCUCCUGAAAAGUCUCCUCCUCCUCCACCAGUGGCUGCAUGUCUGUACAUGUUCCCCACAACAAGAAUAAUGAAUCAAUUGCCAUAAUUGCACGCAUUUAAAUUUUCUGAGCUGGUGAUAAAUUGCAUAGUUUUGAUUUUUUUCUAUUUCCGGUUCCCACUCUAGCUACUUCUAGAUUUAUUAAUUGGAAAAAAAAAGAAGAGGAAUAAAUUAAACCUUAUUUAAUUACUUUUUUAGUCAGGAUAUCUAUAGUAGAUGUAAUUAUCUCUAUAGAAAUGAAUGAAGCAUCCUAGCUUGUGAUCAUUAUCCUCUGUUGCAAUUCUCUUGUUCAAACUUCAAGUUAAGGUUUGUUUGCUAAUUUAAUGGAUUCAGAACUUAAAUUUAAUGGAUUCAGAUCUUAACAUGUUCAAAUGCUUUUGAUAACCAAAACUUGAAUAUCUGAAUUAAUUAAGUGACACUAAAUUUUCUAGACAAAACUUACUCCUAAAAAUAAGUGAUAAACUAUUUACUUAUCACUUAAUGUGAUAUAUUCAAAUGUAUCAGAUUAGUACAUAACAAUUUAAUAACUUAAUGAAUUCAGACUUCAGAUUUCAGAUUUCAGUUUUAUCAAACGCAUCUUAACUCAGUGCAAACUGAAUAUGAAAUCCAAAGUUGAAAAUCCAAGAGGUUAGAACUUUGAAACCAUAGAGCCUCUAGGCAAAUUCAGCAUUUUUACAUUCUACUGAUUUACGGCAUCUUCAAUUAUCAGUUUCAACUCCAUGGUAUAAUAUAGAUAUUACCUCUAAUAGUUUACACACUUACGCAACAAAUAUAGAUUGUGAAAUUAAUUGUAUAAGUUUGAUAUUUUGUAGGUUUUGGGAUAUAAUUUUCACGUUUAGGAAAAAGAAAAUAUGUUAGUAAGUAAUAAUGUGAUACCCCUUGUCCCACGUUGGAAGUGGGAGAGGAAAAGGAUUGAUAUAUAUACAAGAUUUGGUCGCAUAAGUUACUAGUUACUUGGGCUAACCAUGUCGGGAAAGUGUAUUUCGACAAAAAAUUACUUAGGCCAACCAUGGGCUUGGAUGGUGAUAAAUAACUUACUAGAAGCCAGGCAUAUUUAUGUUUAGAUGUCCUAAAAGCAGAGUAGUUCAUAAUCUAGAUAAUGGUAACGAUAUGAUGAGAAUGUGAAGUUAUUUGGUAAACUUUAUAGAUUAAUAAUUUCAUCAAAGCAUCAUAUACAAGCAUGAUGACACAAUCUCAACUUUCAUUCUUUUGUUAAAUCUUAGUUUUUUUCUCUUAAAUUUUUUCGAAUAAAGGAAGGAUGGAAUUUAAGCAGUAGAGGGUGGAAGGGGAUUUUGAAUUCAAAAUCUCUAAUUUCUAAGUUUUUCCCUAAGCAAUCGUCAAAAUAAAAAAAAAAUUUAAAAGAAAAAAAAUGAGCACCUCAUGGUCAAUGCUCCUGUUCGAAGAUUUAUUCCUUUGGUUUGUCAUCAUCUCCCUCUAUGAAAUCUAAGUACCCUUGGUUGACAAUUUGUUUCCCUGAGCAUCCAUCAACACUUUUAUAUAGUAUUUUUUUUAAUAUAGUAUUAGAUUAGAUUAGAUUAGAUUAUCAAUGCACCAUCAAUAUAGUAUUAGAUUAUCAAUGCACCAUCAAAACACUUUUAUAUAGUAUUAGAUUAGAUUAGAUUAUCAAUGCACCAUCAAUAUCCUUAAAUAUAAAAGCUUAAGUAUAGUAAUCAAAAUACUGUUAGUAAUCUGUACGAUUAUUUUUUAUCCUUUAAUGUUUUAGUUUUAGGAAGAUCACAAAUGCUGCGUAUAAAGCAUGCCAUAGGCUAAAUUAAGCUAAAUUAAGUACACUGCUAAAAUGGAGAGCAUUGCUAAAUUAAGUACCUUAAGAUAAAGACAUAAGCAGCCAGAUCCAUUUGAUGUCAGCUGCUUCAAUAUCCACCUCAAAAUAAAUUAGCCUUUGUUCUAGAUUUAGCUUAAUGCUAAGUCCCUUCACCAUUCUUAGUAAUAAUUCAAUUCUGCCUCAAUUUUCUUCUGAUCUUCAAGGUAAAUGUACGAUAAAUUUCAAAAUAUAUCCCAAAUAUAUGAAUUUCUUGAAACCAUCCUUGAAUCUCAUUACCUACUCAACAAAAUGUUCCAUAAACAUAAAGAAUUGACGAGAACAACAGGGCUCCUUAGAUUUAACAAUUUCAAAUAAGCCCAAGCUAGAAUUUUUCAUAUAUUCAAACAAGAAAUUGGAAAAAUCUGACUAAGCAAUACUGAAUUGUAUCGAAAACCUACUUGCAUCUAUGAAUAAGCAAUACUGAGUGAUGAUAUUUUUAAGGGCAGUCCAAUUCACUCAAUACAAAAAUAUUUUUAAAUGAUGAUAUUCACAGGAACGUCUAUCUUACUUAAACAAACAAUAAAAAGGAGAUUGAUUGAGAAAUGGCCACAUUAUCUUAUCAUUCUUAAUUAUCAUUAGUUCAAUUAUCAACUUUAGCAGUCGAGAAAGGCUGCAACUUGUACCCCUCUUACUUUAUCAUUCUUUAGGGCCCAAUUCUUUAUUCCUGCGUCCGGAGACUUGAGACGUGACGCUUCAUAGUGUUGGACGACUAUUCUUAGCUCGUUCAAGGAAACAGUGAGGAGACGCUCUUGCACAGCUACUUAAACUAUUGGAUAAUUUCAUAGACCUUUCCUGAAGUUUUGGACAAUUUCAGCUAGUACCCCUCUUAUUUUCAAUAUUACGCUGACCACUCUUACUUUAACCAGUGUUGUGACCAAUUCAGCCCAUAUAUGUAAAAGAAAUGGAAUAAAUUGACAAGAAAUGGUGUCAUCACAUUUUAUUCCAUAUUUUCCCUUGGACCCUAAAACUUCACUUUGUCCCUCCGAAGUUGAAUCACUUUUCUAUUCUAUACACUGAACUUCAAUUUUGGAUGCUUUGCAUGUGGUUGGAGGCAAAAGCAUGGCAGAGCCCUUUUUGAGUCUCUGAUCUUUAUUAUCACAUGAUCAUUGCUAAUUAUACUAUUGCUUUUGAAUGGAAAUAGCAUAAAAGUCUUAGUGAAUGAACAAAUUGAAUAGACCAUUUCGCAGAGCAGUGAAAUAUUCCAAAGCGUGAAGCACAGUGAUAAGCUACAAAUUAUAGUGGUUUUAUAUUAUUGUCAAUGAAUGGUUGUAUUUGAGCUAAUUUUGAAUGGAUGUUGCCUAAUUUAAGUAUAUGUUGGUUUUUGUGGGAAAAGCACGCGAUUGAGGAGGAAAUGAAUCGAAAACGCAACAAAAGGGGAAGAAUGCCAAGACACAAGGAUCCGUGGGUGGAUCCUAUGUCCAACGCCAAACAUUGAAAGGGACUUUGCGAGGACUUCUUCUAGUUCUAAUGAUUGGAAAACCCACUCAAACUCGAUUUUUGGUAAGUUUUCAAGACCCAUUCUUACCAUAUUUCGGAUACAACUUUGAGAGACUAUAAAUAGGAUAUUCUAGGAUGUUUUUAGAUUAGAAAGCAUUUGGCUAACGUUAGUUCAUCAUUUUUAUACCUUCUUUUCUUGAGAGAUCACAAUGGAAGUGUUGAAGAAUCAAAGGAAGUUCAAGAUGGAGAUUGAAGCGGGGAAAAAUUGAGAAGUUUUCUUACUUUUAACUUCUUAUUUUGUCUUUCAUUUGAAUUCUUGGAUUUAUCUAUGAAUAUGUUGAACUCAUUUAUAUCUAAAGUUAGGAUUUUGUGAAGGAGAUUUAAUUAGAUAAAUUAUUCGCUUUUGCUUAGAUUUAUUUAUCUUGCCUUUAUUACAUGUUUAUGUUUUGCCACUAUAGAUAUGCUUUUAGGAUUUGUAUUGAGUUAAGAAGUGAUGUACAACCGUACAUUAGAUAGAUAAACAUACUUAAUAUAAUCAUGAAAGUGGGUUAAACAUUGUAUGGCAUAAUUAUAUCACCUAAUAUUGUAAAGGAUUUAAUUAUAUACUUAUGAUCUCGAGAGCAACGUGAGAUUUCAUUAGACAAAUUUAGAAGUAUCGAGAGAUAAUCUAAAGUACUUUUCUGUGAUACAUCUUUGACUUGUUAAGAAAAUAAUUGGAUAUAUAAUUCCAAUUCUAAAUCAAAAUUUAAAACUCUAGUCUUUUGCUAAUUGUUUUCUCACCUAUAUCUUGUUUGAUUUGAUUAUUUAUUUAAUUUCUUAAUUAGUGAUUAAAAACCCUCUGAAUUUAAAUUUUGUUAUUUUUAUUAGAGGAAUUAAAGUAGGAAAAAUUAACUCACUCCUGCAGGUUCGACCCCUGGAGUACUCCAAGCAAAUUAUUAUUACGAUCGACCUUGUACAGUUAUAGAAAUUCAUCGAUCACACAGCAACAAAAAAAAUUAAUGCACAAUAAUGUCAUGAGCAGAAACAGUUCCCAUCUUAGUUGUUCAACAUUCACGGUGGAUUUCAAUUAGUGGUCAACAGAUAAAGGCAUCGAAAAAAGUAAUCUAACUAGAUAAGUGAAUUUAUAUUGUACAACAUAUUUCUUUUUUCUACCGCAAAAACUUAACUAAUUUAAGACAAUGUAGUCCAAGAUAAUUGAAGAUUAAUUUUCCCUAAAAAAUGUUCAUGAUAAAAACUCAACAAAGAGAUAAUACAACAGCUUACUUUUGGAGGUGAUCUUAUACGGUCUUUAUUAACAAACUAAUUAGCCACUUAAGCCUUUUUUUUCCUUUUGGGACUACGCAUGACAAAAUGAGGAGUGAAUCAGUCGCUUAGUAUCUAAAAUUUUCCCUCCAUAUAAUUAGUUCAACCUGAUUUAAGACUAAAUUUUUACUAUAGGAAUGUUCGUGAUUCAACAAUGAAACACCAUAGAAACUUAUUUUGGGAGAUUGUCCUAGAAGGUAAAAAAUGAGCAACCAAUCAGAAAGUCGUACUCACAUAUCAAAAUCCAUUCAGUCUAAUUAAUUCACCAGCUAUGUAUAUUCAUCCAUUUUCACAUUAUAGAAAGAACAAUAAUGCAUGGCAUUAUCCAUCAUAAAUUGCUCAUAUAACAUCAAGAUAUUCAUGGUGUGGACCUCAAAUGACUCGUCAUGUCUACUGGCUACAUUUAAACAUAUCUUAUGGCCAGAAUGUUCAUCUUAUCAACUUGACGAGUUUAUUCAUGGUACCAUACCAUUAAAUUAAAAAAUUUUCCACCUUUUACCUUUCAUAGAUAUCAGGAAUAUAGCUAAUAACGCACUUUUGGCAGCAAUAUUCCUUCAACCAAUUAAAGAUUUUCGGAGCUUAAAGUUCAGCUCCUAAAGCUCUUCUCCAAGUCUCACCAACAACAGAGAAAUUACUUUUAGCAAAGUUGUUAAAUUUUGGCACCAGGUUUUGAUGGUAUCUUGGUAAGAUUGGAAGAUUAUAUUGCGCUUCUAAGAUAAUUUUUAAAAAAAUAUUUUAGUGAGAGCAUUAUGGUCAAUUUGCCCCUAAUGAUAUUGACAUUAGGUCCCAUCAACAUCAAAGGGAGCUCAUUGUAUUAUUGGAUAUAACAAGGGUGCGAGUGAAAUUAUGAAAACCCUCAAGGGAGGUUUUUGAAAUUAACCCUAAAAUACUCAUUCCACGCAAGGCGUGGCGUUCCCCUCCUAGUUCCUAUAAAUAGGGCACCAACUCAAUGCACUUGUCACUCGAUAUCAAUAAUUUAGCACAUUAUUUACAUUUUGAGUGAGAUUGUGAUAAAAUGGCAUCUUCAAAAAAUUUGCUCUUUCUUAUUGGCGUUCUCUUUGCACUUGUGCUCCUCAUUUCCUCUGAUGCAACAGCUGCAGGUACCUAGUCUUUUUUUUUUUUUUUUCCUUUCAUCCUUUUUUUUUUUUUGGCUGCACCUAAAUUUUAAAUGAAUGGAGAUUUGGAGACUCAUUAUUGGGAUGUGAAUUUUUAUGGAAGGCUAUUUGUAUAUUAUCAAGCAAGUCAUAUUAAUGUGCUAAUAUCCUUUUCAUUGUUUAGCAAAAGUAAAAUUGGGUUGCUUCUAUCAAUGGUUAGUGGCACAUCUGAUUUUUCAUGCAUCCUUAUAGUAUUGCUGUAAGGAUACACGUUCCAUAGUGUCGCACCAAAGGUUAAACUAACGUCGAAACCAAAUUAAAUGCUUCUAAUUAUAAUUUAAAGCAAAAUAAUUCAUAUCCAAGUCGCACCAUCUUAUAUGCCUGGACUGUUUUGUUUAAUCCAUAGUAUUAUUUUCUUUGCAUAUAUCUUGCAAAUUUUCAGCCUAGCCGGUCACCUAACGUUCGCAGCUUAAGAUAAAGCUCCAAAUAUUUAUGUCUCCUUGUGUCUUGAAACAGAUCAGAAAAGCGUGAAAACCACUGGUGUCCACGAUUCCAGUUCAGGCGAAGAUCGUUGCACAUAUGGUUGCUGCCACUGGUACAAUGGAUAUUGCCAAAGAUGCUGUCCACCUGCUGAGGAGACUUGCAGACAUGGUUGCUGCUACUGGUACAAUGGACAUUGCCAAAGAUGCUGUUAACCUACUGAAGCUACAUCGGAGAUGAGGUCAAAAAUUAAUGCUAAAUAAAUAAGGGUGUGAGACAGGAUCCGUGACACCUAUAUUAUUACCUUAAUAUGUUAUGUUGUGUUUUGCGUUUGAUGGUUUUUCCUAUAUGUGUAAAAGACUUGUGCGGCUUCUCUUUGAAUUGGUGUAGAAUCAACAGGGGAAGCAUGUAAUGAGUACUCAGUUCGAGUGCUCUUCUUAUGUUGUUGUCAUGUUGAAUAAAUAAAUCUACGUGAUCAUCUACUACAAUUGAUGAUCUCUAUCUCAGUUACGUCAGAAACUUCUGUACCUUGGACCUGCUAGAAUUUAGCGUGAUUGAUAUAAGACGUGCAGAAUGUUCAAUAUAUGUAUAUAUGUGCUUCUUCAUCGUGCCAUGCCAUUACAAUGUGAAAGAAUUCAGCAUCGACGGAGUGAAACGUACCCAAUCCUGCUCCUGAGAAAGGAAACAAAGUCCCUCAAAAAUGGAUAUUUUGGAUGCCAUCAAGAUUUUGAAUUGAAUGCCAUUUGGAGAUCUGAAUGUUGUUUUUUUUCCCCUUUAUCUUCGUUCAAGAUUUUUUUUUGGUGGAAAUGCUUCAUUUAUACGAAAUUUCCUAGUUAGUAAAGGCUUCUAUUACACUUGUACAAUACACAUUUAAAAGUAUAACACAAUAAAAGCUUGUGUAGUUCAUAUAUUUAAAAAAUAUUCAUACUUUUCAACUAAACUAUAAAAAUACGUAAUAAAUUCUUGAUACGUUAUACUUUACGAACUAUACUUUAAAUUUUAAAAAUAUUUAAUACUAUCACUUAUUAAUAACUCCACAUGUUAAUUUGUCUCCCAAUUUAAUAAAUUAUAGUAGCUAAUUCUCAAAGCUAACCGACACCAAAAUUCCCUUACUUGUUCACCUCCUAAUGGAUUAUUAUUACUCCCUCCGUCCUACUUUGAUAGUCUUGUUUUCCUUUUUUGUCUGUCCCAAAUUAUAGUCCACUUUCCCAUUAAAAAAUGUAGUAAUCUUUCAAAUUGUCUAAAAUACCCUUAUUAAAUAUCUUGUGAUUAAUACAUUGUUAUUAAAUACUAACCCACUACAUUGAAUACAUUGAGCUUUUCCAAUACUAACCCAUUAGUUGUAAUUGAUAUUAAUUGGCACUCUUCGUGAUUAGCAUAAGGGUAUUUUAGGAAAUUAUUAAUCUAAAUUUAUGUUUCCAACCAAAUUAAUUACACUUUCUUAAUCUGUGUGAAAAAAAAAAUCAAGACUAACAAAACGGGACGGAGGGAGUAAUUACAUUGCAUUUAUUUCGUAAGCAUGAGUUUUGUAACCCCUCAUAUUAAAUCUCAAUGAUUGAUUUUAACGGUUACCAAGGUGUCUAGUAAUUGGUUUGCUAUUAAUUUGAACUAGACAUUUAUUAGGUCUAGUCGAAUUUAUUCCUUCUUAUCACUUAGUUCAUAAACCUUAUGAAUCGUUAAAACCAGCUCUAACAUUAGGUAACAAGACUUCUACAAUUUCGGGUUUUGCUUAGAAAUCAGUCUGAUAGUUUAACUUGCUUCGUCCAAGUUUAUGAGUUGCUUUUUUUUUUUUUCCAUAUUUGACAUUUCAUCUGACUUUAAUAUGGGGACCAAGUUAGUAUUGUUGACAUUUCAUAUCUAAGACUUCUUAAUUAAUUGAUUUGGUAUAAGAACUAUAACGUAUGCGUGUUUUGUAAGCUUUCAUGUUUUUUUUUUUUUUAAUUCUUGUGGACCAGCAACGGAUAGUUUCUUCUAGUACCAAGCUUCCUUUGAAGUUUUUUUUUUUUUUUUGCGUGUCCAAAUGUAAAUUAAAAGAACCCAUCAACUUUGAACAAGUCUAUAUCUAGUAAAGAUAGAUAUAAAGAGGGAUACUAUAUCACUACAACGAAAAAGGGAUUUCGCGAGGAGCAAAAGUCCACGCCAAAAGUUUUGACUUCCUUGCUAAUUAAUUUCAACGAGAAAAAUGCUUCCUCGCCAAAUUUCUUGCUAGAUGCUCGUCGCUAAAAGUUAUUAGCGAGGAUGCUGCUGCUUUUCUCGCUAAUGAAACAGAUCAAUAGCAAGGGUUGACCUCCUCGCUAAUAGCUCAAAUACUAUGGCAAGAAAAGCUUUCCUCACCAACUAAAGUUAAAAACUCCCCACAAAAACCAGUAGUUCCUUGCAAAUAGUCAAGGUGUUUUGCUAGGAAAAUAGCGCAUCCUCACCAAUAGUAUAGAAUUAGCAAGGACCCGUGUACCAGUAAAACAUUUUUGGCCAGGAAAGUAUCCUCUCUAAUAAGCGAUAAUUGAUUAUUGCCUAACUGUUUGGUGGGAAAAUGUUCCUCUCCAAUGCUGUUAUGAACAUUUCUUAAUCCCAUUUUAGCAUGCUAAUCUUAAUUCUCUAAGCAAAGUACUGGGUGGUUUUAUUAGAAAAUUUAGCUGCAAAUAGCUUCAAUUUGGCUUCUCAUGUGUCUGCUGUACAUUUUCCAGGUUCUUGUAAGUAUCAAAUUGUUUGGCAAAAAAAAUUUUUUUAAUGAAUCAUGACCAACGUAGCUGCUCGUUAAAUUUAAACUCAUAAUCCCUGGUAUUUGAUAGGUUUUUGGAAUAUCACUUGGUGCCAACAACCCCUUUUGCUACUUUGAUAAACAUUCAAUAGAAAACAUACAAAAGCUUUGGUUAGCUAAAAAUAAUUGCUACCACAGUAAUACAUCAACAUCCAGCUCUUUCAACAUCUUGAGCCAUACAAUAGGAAGUGCUUGAAAUCAAUUGGCAAUCCAAAUUCUUUUUAGCUCAUUAACUAUCCUAGAAAUCGCAACUUCAGUAAGUCAUUACAGAAGAAGAUUUCAUCGAGAGAACACCACAAAAAGGAGAAGCAGAAAAAAAAAUAUAACAGAGAGAGAGAGAGAGUUAAACUAGUCAUAUGGACACAUAUUUGUCACCUCAGUAUUUCCGAUUCCUUAAUUAAGUCCAGUUAUCUUGGAACUCUAUCGGCAAUCCAUGGAACAUUUUUUGAAUGACAAUAUGCUGUUGCAACCUUUUGAUGAAGACUUCAAAGGUUCUAUGAUAAGGUUGCAUUUUUGUCAUUAAUUCUAUGAUUAUUUUCCUCGUUUAUAUUACCAAAUAUUGUAUUAAUUGAUUGAUUCUACUUAUAUUUGAUACUUUGUGUCAAUUGUAGGAAGGUGGAGCAAAAAGUAAUAAAAGAGAUGAUUUUCAAGAGUUUUCCAAUUCAAGAUGGAGUUUACGUGGAGUAUUGGAUGAAAAUUAGGAAACUACAACUUUUUAUUAGAUGUCUUAUUAGGGAACAAUUAGCAUUAGUUGGAGAAGUUUCCUUUUGCAAUUAGAAUUCUAUUUUUAGUUGGCCAAUGGAUGGCCGAAGUAGUAGACUUCGAUUAGGAAACAAAGAGAAAAAAAAAAGAUGGCCGCUGGUCUCUUCUUUAGUGAGUCUUUAGGGAAAAACCAAUGGUUAUUGAUGGAGUCAUGCGGAUAUCCCCUGAGGAUGUGAAGCUAAAUCUCCGUUUUCUGGUCGAAUGUCAAUCUGAGAACUCGGUUCCAAACAUCUGUGAGAUCAAAUUAUUUUACUUAUUUCUUUUAUUCAUUGGUAUUUGUGCAUUUUCUGAUUUAACUUCUUAUGCUUGUUAUGUUAUUUGAAUGUCAAGGGACCGAUAUUCGAAUUAACCUAAUAAUCUACUGCCAGAUUAAUUGAGUGAAUCCGUAAUUGUUCAAUUGGUUUCAUGUUAGGGAAAUGUAUGAUUUAACUUAAACAAACCCUCGUAGUGUGUUUGUUAGUUUGAUUGAGUUUUUCUAAUUCUUAUUGCAAUCAAGAAAUUAAAUCCUACAGUCGUACCUAGGGUUAUUUCUUGGUUAGAAAAAUAGUUAAUGGUCGUACCUUGACUAUCGAAAAAGUAAGGAAAUGUUGGUUAUUUAUCGCGUAUAUAACAACUAUAACCAAUCUAUUAAUUAGUAAUUAAAUUAUCUUUGCAUCGAUGAUUAAUUGAAUUGACCGUGCCUGAAAAGUUACACCUUUAACUAGAGUUGUAUUGGUUAUUGAUUAAUUCCUAUUUAUUUCUAUUAGUUGUUUCAUUAGUUGGUUAAUUAGUUAUUUUAUAUUUUCCAAUAACCCCCCAUACUUCGGACUCUGGAAGAAAUGAAUUAUCCCCAAUCCCUAUGGAUGCGACCCUACUCACCGUAGGGGCGGGCAAAAAAACCCGCCGAUCCGAAAACCCGAUGAACCCGAUCCGAUCCGAUCCGAAAAAUAGGAUACCCGAUCCGAUUUUCUUAGCGGGGCAGAUGAGGGUCGGGUACUCGAAAAAUCGGGUACGGAUACGGAUCAGAAAAAUAAAAAUCCGCGGGUACCGACCGGCAGGGUAUAUUUUAUAAAUAUUAAAAAAGUAGGGAUCAUUUUAUAAUUUUGUAAUUUUUAAUUCUAAGUGCAAGUGAAGUGGCUCGCAGCCUCAUAUUUUAAUCCUAUAUGAUCUACUCUUCUCAUUUUUUUUUUAAGAAAGUGAAUAUUCUCGGUGAAACAUGAACAAAAUGAAAAAAAAAAUUUGUGAAACUCUGUUAUAAAAAUUGUCCAUCCCUUUCAUCUUUUUUAUUUUUAUUCUACCUCCAUCGAUCUUUCCUGCAAAUCUUGCAUCAAUUCAAUCAAAGAUUUUUGUUUCGAGUCUCAAUUUUCUGUUAGCUAGAUAAUUAAAAUAUUUGUGUCAUUCAUUUGCAAUUAUAUCUCUUAAAUUUGUCUCUUUUAUUUAGUGUAAGAAAUUUAUUUUUCUUUUUCAUCACCUUAAUACCAUAAGGUCUAUUCCAAAGAUGUAAAGAAGUUGGGAAGAUUUUUAACAUUAUUUUGGUUAUAUUUUUUUCAAAAAUAAUUAGUUCUAUUCAAUUAUUUUCCGAACUUGAUUUCACAAUUGACUUAUUUGAGAUGCGGUCUUGUACCAUAAUAUCCUUGGGGAAGUUACCAAAUACUUAUUAUCCUUGUGUUUGUUGUGUUGUAGAAGUAUGAAAUGUGUGAAAAUGGUGAUGUACUCAAAAUUAUUAUGAAACUUCGUUUUGUCCAUUAGAUAUUCUAAUAUGUACUAAAUUUAUGAGAUCGAUUUGAUUAUUGGAUGAAAUGUGUGAAAAUGGUGAUGUAUGGACUUUAAUUACAAUAUCUCUACCAAUAUUAAUUGGAAAAGCAUGUUUUUUUUAUUGAAAAACGUGUUGAUAUUAAGUAGAAAAUACAUUUUUUUAUUGAAAAAUAGUUUUUUUUAGGGGCGGGUACCCUAUGACCCGCCCCUUUUUUCGGGUACCCGCUAUUCGGGUACCCGAAAAUAUUAGGAGGCGGGUUAAGGUCGCAAAAUGGCUGAUCCGAUAUAUUAGGGUCGGGUCAGCCAAAUCAUGUUAGGGGCGGGUACCCGACCCGUGCCCACCCCUAACUCACCGCUAUAUACAAAUUUGUAUUUGUCUUGAAUAGGUAAUUAUUAUUGCACAGAUUCGACACCUGUCAUUCUAUAACUGAAUACAGAGUCAUCUUUUCAAAGAUUUCCCAUGCUGCAAAAUGUACUCUACGAGCUUUAUUUCAUCUUCUCCCCUAUAAAUUUGCUGAUUCCAAUCUGCCUAAGAUGUUCAACAAAGCGUAUUGGGAAAACUGUUUGAAAAGUAGAUUCCAAGUCCUUGUAUAUGCAAAGUCCUCCUUACACAACUUUACAUAUUGAGAAGAUCAAAAAUUGCAGAACAUAAUAAUACUUGAAAUUAGUGAGAAUAUAUCCAAAAGAAACAAAAUAUUAAUACCUGAAAUCAGGUUUUACAAUCAGUGCACAAAAAGCACCUAAACCCAAAUGGCCCAUGUUGGAAUAGACCAAGUUUAGUUCAACUGCAGAAAUUCCUAGUACAAUGGAACUGCAACUUCAACUUCAGUAAAUUGCAAGCUGGUAUUAUGAUUCUAUGAAUCCUGAAAUCUCCCCCAAGUCCUCUUGCCUCCAACACUAAGUAUGUACACAGACGCUGACCUGUUCUAUACACUAGGAAAAUUCAGAUCAGACGGCAUUCAAUAGAACUGCCUUGAUUUGGCUCCAUAUCAGCACUACUGCUCUUUAAAUCUAACUUGAUUAAGCUGCACAAAAAGGGAAGAUUACAUUAGAUGGAGAAAUUUUACUGAUUGCAUAUGAAAUAGGGGCUAAAACCAACUAGGAAAAGCAGAGAAGUUAACCUCAACCGACCAGGAAACAAGAUGCAAAAGUCAGAGGUUGUUAGCUUAAACCUCAACCAAACGAAAAAUGCAAUCUUUGAUAUUAAACACAUAACCCACAUAAGUUAGCUUCACAGUCCAGAAGGAUGGUUGGAACUCAAUUUUCCUAAAAUUGUGAGGAAAAUAAUGCAAUCUUAGAAUCUAACACAAAUAAUGGUAAUAAAAACACACAAGAAGGGUAUGAAGACUUACAAAAUGGCACCAAAAUAUAGAUCUAACAGUAUUUGAAGCAAAUGGAUGAAGCAUUGAAGUUGUUCUAAGAUUUUUUGACAGCAAUAAAACCUAAGCUCCUUCACGUUUAGCAAUUCAUAGGAGAUAGAUAGGAGGCGGGUCUUCUUUUUUAGCAAUUCCUCAGAGGUCUCCUUCCCGUUUAGCAAUUCCCGCAUCUGUUCUUCUAUUUUUGGACUAAAAACCACCAAUGUUGGCCUUUGAGAGAAGAACAGAUGCGUGCUUCUCAAUUGACAGAGACAAGAGAGGACCAGCCUUUCUAUGUAUAUAUCCCUCAGCCUCUAACAAUCCUUUGAAUUUUGAUGGACGUUGCGGGAAAAAUAAAAUUCUUGGAGGGAUAAAACGCGCGUCCUAAAUUCUGAUUUAAGUGUUGUAGUUAAAAGUUUCUAAGAAUUGGAGUAUAUUAUAUAAUAUAUAGAAUGAAUAUUGAGUAUUAGAAGUAUAUAAUUCGAAAGAAAUCAUGUAUGAGAAAAUGAAACUAAUGAAAAUAUUCAUGUGCAAUCAAUAUAAUAAAUUGUCAUAUUUAUAAUUUUUAAGUUUGCAAUCCAUAAAUAUAGUAACAAAUAAUGUAAUUCAUGUGCAAUCAAUAUAAUUAUAUUGUUAAUUAAGGUUAUAAUUGUGCUAUAUAAAGUAUUUGGGACAAUUUGAAAAAUAUCUAGAAAUUUGGGACUACUUAUAAUAUAUUCAAAAUGUAUUUUGAUUAAACUAGACAACUUGUUCUUUCUUGUUGGAAAUCGAAAUUCAAUUAUGGAACAAUAUACAUGGAAAAGUUGACCUUAUAUGUGUAUAAAUCAUCUUAUUAAUAAAAUAGUUAAACACAGUACAUUUAGUUAACUAUGAUUUAGUGAUUGAUUAUUACAUCAUUUUUUAUAUAAUACGAUAAUUAAAUAUUACAUAUAUAAUAAAAUGUUUCAAAUAUAUUUUAAUUGAUAGAAAAAAUGGUAUACAUACAAUAAAAAAAUAAUUAAAGAAAAUUUUGAGAGUAGAAUUUUGUGCUAAAAAACAUGUAUUUUGGGUUCAAAUUUAUAACCCACCACUUAUCCACUUAGAAUUAGCAAAAGUAUUAAUUCAUUUCUAAAGACUCUAAACCAAACUAAUUUAUUAUAAUAAAGACACAAAACACUAGCUCCAUGUGAUAACCUAUAGCAAAGAUCAUCUAUUCACUUUAGAUAAAUAUAUGAGUCAAAUUUAAAGAUUCAUCAAAUUUUCUAGGUUUUAAAAUUGGGGUGAUUUAUUUACAUGGAUUUAAAGCUGUCUAAAUAUAGUUUACUAUGCAAUAAACGACACUCAAUUUCGAGUUUUCUACACAAAGAUAUGGCCAAAAUACAAAAUUGUUACUUAAUUUUUUGAAAAAUAGUAGGGUCGUAGGAUCGUAUGAUCUGGAUCACGAUCCUAUUGAUCUUGUUAAUUUAAUGCUAAUUUUUUAUCCUACUUACAAUUUGGAUCGUUAGCCAUGAUCCAUAUCGUAGGAUUGUAGAUCGCGAUUCUAACAACUACGGUUGUAGUUAAAAGUUUCUAAGAAUUGAAGUAUAUUAUAUAAUAUAUAGAAUGAAUAUUGAGUAUUAGAAAUAUAUAAUUUGGAAGAAAUCAUGUAUGAGAAAAAUGCAACUAAUGAAAGUAUUCUCAAUAUACAGUUGAAAAAAUAACUAAGUUUGUUGAAGCUCUAGUCUUUUGCUAAUUGUUUUCUCACCUAUAUCUUAUUUGAUUUGAUUAUUUAUUUAAUUUCUUAAUUAGUGAUUAAAAACCCUCUAAAUUUAAAUUUUAUUAUUUUUAUUAGAGUAAUCAAAGUAGGAAAAAUUAACUCAUUCCUAUAUGUUUGACCGUGGAGUACUCCAAGUGAAUUAUUAUUUCGAUCAACCCUAUACAGUUAUAGAAAUUCAUCGAUCACACAGCAACUAAAAAAAAAAAUUAACGCACAAUAAUGUCAUGAGCACAGUUCCCAUCUUAGUUGUUCAACAUUCACGGUGGAUUUCAAUUAGUGGUAAACAGAUAAAGGCAUCGAAAAAAGUAAUCUAAUUACUAGAUAAUUGAAUUUAUACUACAGCAUAUUUCUUUUUUCUACUGCAAAAACUUAACUAAUUUAAGACAAUGUAGUCCAAGCUAAUUGAAGAUUAAUUUUCCCCAAAAAAUGUUCAUGAUAAAAACUCAGACAAAGAGAUAAUACAACAACUUAUUGGAGGUGAUCUUAUACGGUUUUUAUUAACAAACUAAUUAGCCACUUAAGCCUUUUUUUUUUUUGGGACAGUACAUGACAAAAUGAGGAGUAAAUCAUUCACUUAGCAUCUAAAAUUUUCCCUCCAUAUAAUUAGUUCAACCUGAUUUAAGACUAAAAUUUUUACUAUAGGAAUGUUCGUGAUUCAACAAUGAAACACCAUAUAAACUUAUUUUGGGAGAUUUUUCCUCGAAGACAAAAAAUGAGCAACCAAUCAGAAAGUCAUACUUACAUAUCAAAAUCGAUACAGUCUACUUAAUUCACCAGCUAUGUAUAUUUCAUCCAUUUUCACAUGAUAGAAAGAACAAUAAUGCAUGGCAUUAUCGAUCAUAAAUUGCUCAUAUAAUAUGCGAUCUAUUAUGCAUCUAAGGCUUUGAAUGGAACUUAACUCAAUUAUACGAUCAUAGAAAAUGAGCUUUUAGUAGUUAUUUUUGCCUUAGAAAAAUUUCAUUCUUAUUUAUUAGAAGAUAAGUGAUUGUGUAUUCUGACUAUGCAGCGCUACGGUACUUAAUGACUAAGAAGGAUGCUAAACCAAGAUUGAUAAGAUGGAUUUUGCUUCUAUAUGAGUUCAAUUUGAAAAUUCGUGAUAAAAAGGGAGAAGAGAAUUUAGUUGCCGAUCAUUUGAGUCGAUUGUCGAUUGUCAAGGAUGAUUUUAUAUUGAGGAAAACUUUUCCUAAUGAGCAACUAUUUUCUGUUAAUCCCUCUCUUCCUUGGUAUGCGGAUAUUAUUCAUUUCUUGACCACUAAUCAAUUGCUUGCACAUUGGUAAAAAACAAAAUGAGAUAAGCUCAGAUGUGAUGCUAAGUAUUACUUAUGGGAUGACCCCUAUUUAUAGUGGCAAUGUGCAGAUCAAGUACUGCGCAGAUGUGUAAGUAGAGUGAAUUUAAUUCUAUUUUACUAUUUUAUCACUCUUAUGCAUGUGGACGCCAUUUUAGACCACAAAGAACAGUUCGUAAAGUAUUGGAAAGCGAUUUUUAUUGGCCCACAAUUUUCAAAGAUACAUACUUGUUUCGUAAGUCAUGUAAUAGAUGUCAAAGGUAGGAAAUAUUUGUCAUAAAAAUUAGAUACUAAAAACCCUUAUGAUUUUUUUGUGAAAUUAUUGAUACAUGGGAUAUUAAUUUUAUGGGUCCAUCUCCUUCAUCUUUUGGUUUCCUUUACAUCUUGUUGGCCGUAGAUUAUGUGUCCAAGUAGAUAAAAACAAAAGCCACCCAAGCUUAUGAUUCUAUAGUGGUUACAGAUUUCAUUCAAUCACAUAUUUUUGUUCAUUUUGGGGUACCACGAAUUAUAGUAAGUGAUCGAGAAAAACACUUUUGCAAUAAAAUGAUGGCGGCUGUAUUUCGUAAAUAUGGAGUGACUCAUAAGGUAUUUACAUCCUAUCACCUCCAAACAAAUGGUCAAGCAGAGAUUUCGAAUAGGGAAAUUAAAUAUAUAUUGGAGAAGAUGGUUCGCUCUGAUAGGAAGGGUUGGAGUUCACGAUUGAACGAUGUACUCUGGAUUUAUAGGACAGUCGAUAAGAGUCCUAUAAGUAUAUCUCCCUAUAGGUUGGUAUUUGUGAAGCCGUGUCAUUUACCGGUUGAGCUCGAGCACAAAGCAUAUUGGGGGAUCAAGAAAUGCAACAUGGAUCUUGAUGAGGCUGGAAUACAUAGAAAACUUCAAUUACAAGAAUUGGAAGAGUUGAGGAAUAAUACUUACAAGAAUGCAACACUAUAUAAAGAGAAGAUUAAGGUUUUUCGUGACCAAUAAGUUGCAAGGAAAUCAUUUGUAGUUGGGCAAAGAGUUCUUCUCUAUCAAUCUCGUCUAAAGCUCUUUCUAGGUAAGUUACUUACGCUCUCGUUGGGCUGGUCCAUUUGUUGUGAUUAAUAUUUUUCACUAUGGCGCAGUGAAAAUUCAGAAUAUGCAAAUAGCUAAGAAAUUUGUGGUUAAUGGUCAUUGUUUUAAACCCUAUUAUGAAAGUGUUUCAAUGGAGAAGGUGGAGAUAAUAAAUCUUGAAGAUCCCACUUAUGCUGCUUGAACAAUAUUCGACCAUGUCUAAUCAAAAACAUUAAAGCAAGACGCUUAUUGGGAGGCAAUCAAAUUUUUUUUUAUUGUUUGUUCACUAAUAUUAUGUGUUUCACUAUGUUUAUCUUAGGUUUUUCAAAUUUGGUAUUUUAAUUUUAAUUUUUAAUGUUUUAUUGGUUAGGUGACUUUCUCCCAACAAGGCGUGCCCACGCCUUAAAGGCAUGUGGUAAUGCACAAAUAUCCAAUUCCAUCAUUAGAAAACUAUGGACCAACAUGACAUGCCCACGUCUUGAGGGUAUGUUGUAACUCGUAAUUAGCCGACUUUAUCAUCAAAAGAGUUUCAACCAAUAAGACGUGCCCGCGUCUUGUCCUAGCAAGGGAAAAAAAACCAAUUGAACCCAAAAGAAUUUUCUUUUCUCUUCUUUUUUUUGCUUUCCUUUUUUUUAUUCUUUCCUUUGCCUUUUCCCUUUUCUAUUUCUUUUCCUUUCCUUCUUUCUUUCUUUCUUCUUUCUUUUUUUCUUUCUUUAUUUCGCUCUUUCAUUUCCUCAACUGCAUGGCCAAAACUCUACAUGUUGCUUGCACGCCGUUCAUCGCCCCACCGUCCAUUGCUGUCGCAAUUCGCUAGUUUGUCUCUACUACCUUUGCUGUAUUCGCUAUUCGUCAAAGCCUGUCACUGGUUUUGCCAUUGCCCAUCUCUAGUUUCGUCGUUGCUCGCUAUUGUGCCAUUCACCGCUGCUUGAACCACCAUGAACGUCCAUCCUCUGCCAGCGACAGCCAUCGCUCCGCACUUUCUCUGUUGUCUUGUUUCUACUGACCCAGUUUUUGGUAUUCUUGUCCUUCUCUUUUAAAUAUUGUUGGGUUGCUACUUCGGAGUUUAUUAGAAUUUCUUUUUGCAGGGUUGAUUUAAUUUGUUGAUUGGGUAUUCCUCGAAUUGUUGGAUUGGCACUACCUGACAUUUGCUUGUUUUCUGAUGAUGACCACUAACUUGCACUACUAUUUUGCAUCCAUGGGGAUUCAAUGCUGAUUGGAGGUUAUAAACUGUGGUGAAAUUGCCGCUACUUACUUGCCAAUUGCUAAUUGUUGAUAUUGAUAGGAGGUAUUGUUCUUACAUUUCUAGUUUUGUUAUUAAAUAGUGUCACAUCUCUUGGCUCUUUACUGUACACUUUGAUUUGAGAUUGCUUGGCUAUCUUUAGUCGUUUGGCAAACAUUAGAGGCUCGUAUUUCGCCAUUGUCUGAAUUGUUGUUUAUAGCUAUUUUUGGAUUUAGUUAUCUAAAUGGCUAAGAAAAAAAAGACCACCAAGGCCAACACCCCUAUGACUAAAACCACUCCCCCAUCCCAACCAACUAUACCCAUGACAGACCCUUCUACCAUCCUUCUUUUUCGGGUAAAUGGGCAUGCUUAGGUAGGGACAAGGGGGUCUAUAUCUCCUCACUGUCCCACUUUGGAGGUAAUUUGGCUCUCACCAAAGCCGUCGAUAAGCAAAGAUACUCUAAUUAUUAUGAGUGGCAAAUUAUUCCUUGUAAAUAUCUUGACCCUCCCAUCAUGGUUUCUUUGAAUAUCUUUGAGAAUAUUGCACAAAUGUUUACUGCCAUAGGCUGGCCUUCUUAUGCCGAAAUACAAUGUCCUACUUUUGUUGAAUUGGUUAGAGAGUUUUACGCCACCUUUGAGUUUGAUCAAUCCAUGGGGUAUUCUGUCACAACCUCGAAUGUGAUUCAAUUUUGAUUGAUGGGUAGGGAGUUUAAGUUCUCCAUUACCAAGUUUAAUUUGGUAAUGUGAUCCCAUUACCUAUGUAAGGUCACAAUGUUAGAGAUGUGAAAUUAUAUUGCAAUGGUCCCUAAAAUCCAACUUGAUCGAUAGGAACACUAAUUAGGUGAAUACGAGGACUCUGAUUCAACUCUCAUUUUUCCUCUCAAAUUACACUAAUAUUUUUAAUCAUACACUCAUCCCCUUACUAACUUCCUAUGGGCCCAAUAUGUUGAGUAGAAUUCGAUUGGAACAACCGAAAGGAAAAGAAAACAAAUACAAAACAAUGAAAUAAACACUUAGUCGAGUUGGAACCUCAGAGGAAGUGAGGAGCACAAGUGCGAACAGAUCACCAAGGAAAAAGAAACAAGUUUUUCGAGAAUGAAAUUUGAUUUUCAAGCUCAAUCAAAUUCUAAGAGUCAAUUGAUAGAUCGAAAAAAAUGUGGAACCAUUGUUAAGAUGUAGAUGGAGAUGGUUGCUUAUUGAGCGUUGGAAGUAUUUCAUAUGCAAGUUGUAAUUAUAUCUCAACUUGUUUUUUUUUUUUGAAAAACAGGUCAUGGAUGCGUCAAACGUACAGUGGUUCAGGCAAACAAUAUCCAAUCAAUCUAUUCAAAGCAACAAAAACAUCCGCUGCUCAUGCGACAGUAUGCACAAAGUGCUAUAUAUCAACCAAAAGGGAAUUUAUUUAUUCAAGAAACAAUGCAUAUUCCUGUAUAUAGUCUUGGCUUUAACGAGUUCAGUCCCUUGUGCUAUUCUUUAUCCAUUCAAGAUAUUGGAGGUUGCCACCGGUUAUGGGCAAGGCGAUCACUUCUGGCACCUCGUAUUCGUGAUUCGCCUUGACAUGCUCUGUCUGAGCAUCCAAAAGUGAUUCCCUAGUCUUAAUUAUUAGCAACUCUUCAGGAUCUGUCUGCACCUCCCCUUUCCACUCAUAAACAGACUCUAUUCUGGAACUCGGUUUACACAGGCUGCAAGCUUUUCUUUAACUAUGCUUUCUGCCAGUUUUUUAUUUGGAACAGUGACAUAGACAACAAUGCUGGGAACAGUUCUGCUGCUUGCUUCCAUCCUUAUCCUAUUUGUACUAUGAACACUACUACCAACUUUUGAUCCAAGAUUGGGAGAAAGUGGAGGAUUGAGCACAACCCGUUUUAGAGGAGGAUUAAAAGAGGGGCAGAGAUUGGAAAGACCGAAGCUUAGGACACAGAAAGUACCUACUAGUGGUAAUCGGCGACGAACUACUGAAGGUGAUACUAAAGAUGAGAGCUUUAAUGCCAUCUAAGAUUGGAAUUUGGUGGGGCUUUAUAGUACACCAACUACUGUUUCCUUAGUGGAUGAUUUAUUCCCAACCGACGAGGUUGGGGGAUGGCUCUCAACUUGUAUAAUUUUAAUUUAAUAAGAUUAAAUUAAUGACCAUGCCAAUGAUUUCUGCGUCAUGCAUGACAUUCUUUUUUCUUGUACUCUCCAAAAGCUGAAAAUUCUCAUCUCAAUCUCCUCCUCAGCGAUGGCUGCAUGUCUGUACAUGUUCCCCCACAACAAGAAUAAUGAAUCAAUUGCCAUAAUUGCACGCAUUUAAAUUUUUUGAGCUGGUGAUAAAUUGCAUAGUUUUGAUUUUUUCUGUUUCCGGUUCCCACUCUAGCUACUUCUAGAUUUAUUAAUUGGGAAAAAAAGAAGAAGGAAUAAAUUAAACCUUAUUUAAUUACUUUUUUAGUUAGGAUAUCUAUAGCGGAUGUAAUUAUCUCUAUAGAAAUGAAUGAAGCAUCCUAGCUUGUGAUCAUUAUCCUCUGUUGCAAUUCUCUUGUUCAAACUUCAAAUUACGGUUUUGUUUGAUAACCUAAUUCAGCACUUAAAUUUAAUAGAUUCAGAUUUUAACAUGUUCAAACACGUUUGAUAACCAAAAUUUGAAUAUUUGAAUAAAUUAAGUGGUACUAAAUUUUCUAGAUAAAACUUGUCCUAAAGACAAGUGAUAAGUUAUUCACUUAUCACUUAAUAUGAUAUAUACUCAAAUGUAUCAGAUUUAAUACAUAACAAUUUAAUAAUUUAAUGAAUUCAAAUUUCAAAUUUUAGAUUUUAAUUUUAUCAAACGCAUCAAUGCGAACUGAAUAUGAAAUCCAAAGUUGAAAAUCCAAGGGGUUAGAACUUUGAAACAAUAGUGCCUCUAGGCAAAUUCAGCAUUUUUACAUUCUACUGAUUUAGGGCAUCUUCAAUUAUCAGUUUCAACUCCAUGGUAAAAUAUAGAUAUUACCUCUAAUAGUUAUACGCACUUACUGACGGGCUUUUGCUAUACGUACAAGUUAAAAAAUCCGAAAUACACCCGUUUCACUGCAAGUAUAGAGGUCAACUAGUAGUUAAUGGUAUAUAUCGGGUUGAUCCCACGAAAAAGAUUGAACAAUUACCGGCACUACUAAAGCUUCUCUAUUAUUUAGACUAUUAAUGAAUUAUAAGAAGUAAAACCUACUGAACUUAUACAAGAAAAUAACAAAUGAAAGCUCCUUAGGUUAUGGUAUUCCCUAAUUACUCAUGCAAAUGUUAUUUUUAGAUCAUUGAGAACUACUAUCUUGGCUAGCUAUGGUGUAAUUUCCUUAUGCAUAUGAAUCCUACUUUCGUAGUGAAUCAAUUAUACUCAUAAUUAAUCCAUACAUAUUCUCAUGGUUAUGAAAUUAGCUACAAGUUCAUUUCUUUUGUGAAAUUAUAUGAAAUGAAUCACUAAAACCACAUAGGUGCACCUCUAUUCUCAUGUGAGUGUACUCCCCAUGUUUAGCACUUCUUGAACCAGUGUUAAAUCUCAAUUUUCAUUGCAGAAACAACACCUUAGGUAAUCACAAUUAAUGACACUAGAUUAAUCAUGGUUUAAAGAGCUAAAAUGCUAAAUAACUUGCUCAAAAUAAUAGCAUCAAAUAGCCAAAUAAUAAACACUAGCAAUUAUAGAAAGUUCAACCAAAACCCAAGACAUAAACUUUAGAAACACAUAAUAAUAUAUAAAUCCAUAACUUGUAUAUUAACUAAACUUGGAAUGAAGUACAAAAGAUAAAGAGUUGGAAAGGAAUGUAACCCUUGUCACAUGAGUUCAUCUCCUCGCCUUCUUCAUCCUCCAACCUCUUCUUCAUCUAGCAAAUAAACAAGAUGGAUGAACUAACUAGCUAACUAUCUUAUACUAUACUAACCUAACACUCAUAAAAUGGAAGAACUACAUUUCUGCAGACUCCAAACUUUCUCCCGUAUGUCCCUCCUUGAAUCUUGUAAGUUUUGGCUAUAUAAACAUGAAAGUGGUCAAGAAAUGAGGCCUACACUUUUUCCCUUACAGUUGGUAAUGUUUGUCACAUGUCUAGCAUUACAUGUAACUUAUUGGAAGAGAAACCAAGUUGUCCGCGUACAGAGCAGCCUUUUUUAACAGAAAUCUGGCCAAGUUCCGACCAGAUUGCUACAAUGACCUUUUGUGCAGUUUCUGUUCAAUUUCCAGCUCUGGUCCGAUUUUCCUCAACUUCAACUGAACUUUUCUUGAUGAUAGAAGAUGAUUUAACUCUUGACCAAAACAUAAAACUUGUAUCACUUUAAGUUAGCUUUCCAAUGCAUCAAGAAUCACCUCAUUUGGAUUUGUGUAGGCUAAGAAAUGAUUGAAAUACCCUUAACUGCUCAAUGUCCUAUUUCAGUUUCGACUAAUAGAAAUUAGCUACUGUAAUUUGGAUUUUUGACCUGGAAAACCUUAGAAUUGGAUUUUGAUGUCUUCACCAAAGUUGUAGAUCUAUCUCUUAUCGGUUCAAGAAUCAUCUCAAUCCGAUCACUGUAGCUCAAGUUAUAGCCAAAAUACGAAAAUAUAUCAAAACUGUAAAAAAUGCACAAAAUGCAAGUUAAAAGUGAUAAAACCUCAUUUAAUCACUUAAAAACAUUUUUCACCAAUUAUAGCCAAAAUGAUUCAUUUUCUUCCAAUAAUAUAACCAAAGUGACUAAAAAUGAUAUAAAAUGUCAUUCAAUUAUUACGUAAAUUAGUCACUUAUCACUUACACAACAAAUACAGAUUGUGAAAUUAAUUGUAUAAUUUGAUAUUUUGUAGGUUUUUUGGAUAUAAUUUUCACGUUUAGGAAAAAGAAAAUAUGUUAGUAAGUAAUAAUGUGAUACCCCUUGUCCCACGUUGGAAGUGGGAGGCGAAAAGGAUUGAUAUAUAUAAGAUUUGGUCUCAUAAGUUACUAGUUAUUUGGAAUAACCAUUUCGGGACAGUGAAUUUCGACACAAAAAAUUACUUAGGCCAACCAUGGGCUUGGAUGGUGACAAAUAACUUACUAGAAGCUAGGUAUAUUUAUGUUUAUAUGUCCUGAAAGCAGAGUAGUUCAGAAUCUAGAUAAUGGUAACGAUAUGAUGAAAAUGAGAAGUUAUAUGGUAAACUUUAUAGAUUAAUAAUUUCAUCAAGGCAUCAUAUACAAGCAUGAUGACACAAUCCCAACUUUCAUUCUUUUGUUAAAUCUUAGUGUUUUUGUCUUAGAUUUUUUUCAAAUAAAGGAAGGAUGGAAUUUAAGCAAUAGAGGGGUGGAAGGGGAAUUUGAAUUCAAAAUCUCUAAUUUCUAAGUUUUUCACUAAGCAAUCGUCAAAACCAAAAAAUAAAUAAAUAAAAAGCAAAAAAAUGAGGACCUUGUGGUCAAUGCUCCUGUUCGAAGACAUCAUCUCCCUCUAUUGAAAUCUAAGUACCCUUGGUUGACAAUUUGUUUCCCUGAGCAUCCAUCAACACUUUUAUAUAGUAUUAGAUUAGAUUAGAUUGUCAAUGCACCAUCAAUAUCCUUAAAUAUAAAAGCUAAAGUAUAGUAAUCAAAAUACUGUUAGUAAUCUGUAUGAUUAUUUUUUAUCCUUUAAUGUUUUAGUUUUAGGAAGAUCACAAAUGCUGCGUAUCAAGCAUGCCCUAGGCUAAAUUAAGGUAAAUUAAGUACAUUGCUAAAAUGGAGAGCAUUGCUAAAUUAAGUACUUUAAGAUAAAGACUUAAGCAGCCAGAUCCAUUUGAUGUCAGCUGCUUCAAUAUCCACCUCAAAAUAAAUUAGCCUUUGUUCUAGAUUUAGCUUAAUGCUAAGUCCCUUCACCAUUCUUAGUAAUAAUUCAAUUCUGCCUCAAUUUUCUUCUGAUCUUCAAGGUAAAUGUACAAUAAAUUUCAAAAUAUAUCCCAAAUAUAUGAAUUUCUUGAAACCAUCCUUCAAUCUCAUUACCUACUCAACAAAAUGUUCCAUAAACACAAAUAUAUUAAUGAAUUUGGAGUUGAUUCGAAGAAUUGACGAGAACAACAGGGCUCCUUAGAUUUAACAAUUUCAAAUAACCCCAAGCUAGAAUUUUUCAUAUAUUCAAACAAGAAAUUGGAAAAAUCUGACUAGCUUGCAACGAGUACUACAUCUCAAGACAAGGGAUCUUUUCAGUCAACUCUUUUAUUGUAUCGAAAACCUACUUGCAUCUAUGAAUAAGCAAUGCUGAGUGAUGAUAUUUUUAAGGGCAGUCCAAUUCACUCAAUACAAAAAAUAUUUUUAAAUGAUGAUAUUCACAGGAACGUCUAUCUUACUUAAACAAACAAUAAAAAGGAGAUUGAUUGAGAAAUGGCCACAUUAUCUUAUCAUUCUUAAUUAUCAUUAGUUCAAUAAUCAACUUUAGCAGUCCGGAGACUUGUUCAAGGCUGCAACUUGUACAAGGACAAUAAAUUCUUUAUUCCUGCGUCCGGAGACUUGAGACGUGGACGCUUCAUUAGUCAAUAAUAAUAAAAGUGUGGAAUUCGACGACUAUUCUUAGCUCGUUCAAGGAAACAGAGAAAAGACGCUCUUGUACAAGCAACAGGCACAGCUACUUAAACUAUUGGAUAAUUUCAUAGACCUUUCCUGAAGUUUUGGACAAUUUCAGCUAGUACCCCUCUUAUUUUCAAUAUUACGCUGACCACUCUUACUUUAACUAGUGUUGUGACCAAUUCAGCCCAUAUAGAAAGAAAUGGAAUAAAUUGACAAGAAAUGGUAUCAUCACAUUUUAUUCCACAUUUACCCUUGUAGACCCUAAAAGAAAUAUUGUAACAUAGGACAAACUUCACUUUGUCCUCCGAAGUUGAAUCACUUUUCUAUUCUAUACACUGAACUUCAAUUUUGGAUGCUUUGCAUGUGGUUGGAGGCAAAAGCAUAGCAGAGCCCUUUUUGAGUCUCUGAUCGUUAUUAUCACAUGACCAUUGCUAAUUAUACUAUUGCUUUUGAAUGGAAAUAGCAUAAAAGUCUUAGUGAAUGAACAAAUUGAAUAGACCAUUUCGCAGAGCAGUGAAAUAGUCCAAAGCUGUGAAGCACAGUGAUAAGCUACAAAUUAUAGUGGUUUGUAUUUAUUAAUUGUCAAUGAAUGGUUGUAUUUGAGCUAUAAUUUGAAUGGAUGUUGCCUAAUUUAAGUAUAUGUUGGUUUUUGUGGGAAAAGCACGCGAUUGAGGAGGAAAUGAAUCGAAAACGCAACAAAAGGGGAAGAAUGCCAAGACACAAGGAUCCGUGGGUGGAUCCUAUGUCCAACGCCAAACAUUGAAAGGGACUUUGCGAGGACUUCUUCUAGUUCUAAUGAUUGGAAAACCCACUCAAACUCGAUUUUGGUAAGUUUUCAAGACCCAUUCUUACCAUAUUUCGGAUACAACUUUGAGAGACUAUAAAUAGGACAUUCUAGGAUGUUUUUAGAUUAGAAAGCAUUUGGCUAACGUUAGUUCAUCAUUUUUAUACCUUCUUUUCUUGAGAGAUCACAAUGGAAGUGUUGAAGAAUCAAAGGAAGUUCAAGAUGGAGAUUGAAGCGGGGAAAAAUUGAGAAGUUUUCUUACUUUUAACUUCUUAUUUUGUCUUUCAUUUGAAUUCUUGGAUUUAUCUAUGAAUAUGUUGAACUCAUUUAUAUCUAAAGUUAGGAUUUUGUGAAGGAGAUUUAAUUAGAUAAAUUAUUUGCUUUUGCUUAGAUUUAUUUAUCUUGCCUUUAUUACAUGUUUAUGUUUUGCCACUAUAGAUAUGCUUUUAGGAUUUGUAUUGAGUUAAGAAGUGAUGUACAACCGUACAUUAGAUAGAUAAACAUACUUAAUAUAAUCAUGAAAGUGGGUUAAACAUUGUAUGGCAUAAUUAUAUCACCUAAUAUUGUAAAGGAUUUAAUUAUAUACUUAUGAUCUCGAGAGCAACGUGAGAUUUCAUUAGACAAAUUUAGAAGUAUUGAGAGAUAAUCUAAAGUACUUUUCCGUGAUACAUCUUUGACUUGUUAAGAAAAUAAUUGGAUAUAUAAUUCCAAUUCGAAAUCAAAAUUUAAAACUCUAGUUUUGCUAAUGUUUUCUCACCUAUAUCUUGUUUGAUUUGAUUAUUUAUUUAAUUAGUGAUUAAAAACCCUCUGAAUUUAAAUUUUGUUAUUUUUAUUAGAGGAAUUAAAGUAGGAAAAAUUAACUCACUCCUGCAGGUUCGACCCCUGGAGUACUCCAAGCAAAUUAUUAUUACGAUCGACCUUGUACAGUUAUAGAAAUUCAUCGAUCACACAGCAACCAAAAAAAAUUAAUGCACAAUAAUGUCAUGAGCAGAAACAGUUCCCAUCUUAGUUGUUCAACAUUCACGGUGGAUUUCAAUUAGUGGUCAACAGAUAAAAGCAUCCAAAAAAGUAAUCUAACUAGAUAAGUGAAUUUAUAUUGUACAACAUAUUUCUUUUUUCUACCGCAAAAACUUAACUAAUUUAAGACAAUGUAGUCCAAGAUAAUUGAAGAUUAAUUUUCCCUAAAAAAUGUUCAUGAUAAAAACUCAUCAAAGAGAUAAUACAACAGCUUACUUUUGCAGGUGAUCUUAUACGGUCUUUAUUAACAAACUAAUUAGCCACUUAAGCCUUUUUUUUCCUUUUGGGACUACGCAUGACAAAAUGAGGAGUGAAUCAGUCGCUUAGUAUCUAAAAUUUUCCCUCCAUAUAAUUAGUUCAACCUGAUUUAAGACUAAAUUUUUACUAUAGGAAUGUUCGUGAUUCAACAAUGAAACACCAUAGAAACUUAUUUUGGGAGAUUGUCCUAGAAGGUAAAAAAUGAGCAACCAAUCAGAAAGUCGUACUCACAUAUCAAAAUCCAUUCAGUCUAAUUAAUUCACCAGCUAUGUAUAUUUCAUCCAUUUUCACAUUAUAGAAAGAACAAUAAUGCAUGGCAUUAUCCAUCAUAAAUUGCUCAUAUAACAUCAAGAUAUUCAUGGUGUGGACCUCAAAUGACUCGUCAUGUCUACUGGCUACAUUUAAACAUAUCUUAUGGCCAGAAUGUUCAUCUUAUCAACUUGACGAGUUUAUUCAUGGUACCAUACCAUUAAAUUAAAAAAUUUUCCACCUUUUACCUUUCAUAGAUAUCAGGGAAUAUAGCUAAUAACGCACUUUUGGCAGCAAUAUUCCUUCAACCAAUUAAAGAUUUUCGGAGCUUAAAGUUCAGCUCCUAAAGCUCUUCUCCACCAACCAACAGAGAAAUUACUUUUAGCAAAGUUGUUAAAUUUUGGCACCAGGUUUUGAUGGUAUCUUGGUAAGAUUGGAAGAUUAUAUUGCGCUUCUAAGAUAAUUUUUAAAAAAGAUAUUUUAGUGAGAGCAUUAUGGUCAAUUUGCCCCUAAUGAUAUUGACAUUAGGUCCCAUCAACAUCAGAAGGGAGCUCAUUGUAUUAUUGGAUAUAACAAGGGUGCGAGUGAAAUUAUGAAAACCCUCAAGGGAGGAUUUUGAAAUUAACCCUAAAAUACUCAUUCCACGCAAGGCGUGGCGUUCCCCUCCUAGUUCCUAUAAAUAGGGCACCAACUCAAUGCACUAGUCACUCGAUAUCAAUAAUUUAGCACAUUAUUUACAUUUUGAGUGAGAUUGUGAUAAAAUGGCAUCUUCAAAAAAUUUGCCCUUUCUUAUUGGCGUUCUCUUUGCACUUGUGCUCCUCAUUUCCUCUGAUGCAACAGCUGCAGGUACCUAGUCCCUUUUUUUUUCCUUUCAUCCUUUUUUUUUUUGCUGCACCUAAAUAUUUAAAUGAAUGGAGAUUUGGAGACUCAUUAUUGGGAUGUGAAUUUUUAUGGAAGGCUAUUUGUAUAUUAUCAAGCAAGUCAUAUUAAUGUGCUAAUAUCCUUUUCAUUGUUUAGCAAAAGUAAAAUUGGGUUGCUUCUAUCAAUGGUUAGUGGCACAUCUGAUUUUUCAUGCAUCCUUAUAGUAUUGCUGUAAGGAUACACGUUCCAUAGUGUCGCACCAAAGCUUAAACUAACGUCGAAACCAAAUUAAAUGCUUCUAAUUAUAAUUUAAAGCAAAAUAAUUCAUAUCCAAGUCGCACCAUCUUAUAUGCCUGGACUGUUUUGUUUAAUCCAUAGUAUUCUUUUCUUUGCAUAUAUCUUGCAAAUUUUCAGCCUAGCCGGUCACCUAACGUUCGCAGCUUAAGAUAAAGCUCCAAAUAUUUAUGUCUCCUUGUGUCUUGAAACAGAUCAGAAAAGCGUGAAAACCACUGGUGUCCACGAUUCCAGUUCAGGCGAAGAUCGUUGCACAUAUGGUUGCUGCCACUGGUACAAUGGACAUUGCCAAAGAUGCUGUCCACCUGCUGAGGAGACUUGCAGAUAUGGUUGCUGCUACUGGUACAAUGGACAUUGCCAAAGAUGCUGUCCACCUGCUGAGGAGACUUGCAGACAUGGUUGCUGCUACUGGUACAAUGGACAUUGCCAAAGAUGCUGUUAACCUACUGAAGCUACAUCCGGAGAUGAGGUCAAAAAUUAAUGCUAAAUAAAUAAGGGUGUGAGACAGGAUCCGUGACACCUAUAUUAUUACGUUAAUAUGUUAUGUUGUGUUUGCGUUUGAUGGUUGAUUUCCUAUAUGUGUAAAAGACUUGUGCGGCUUCUCUUUGAAUUGGUGUAGAAUCAACAGGGGAAGCAUGUAAUGAGUACUCAGUUCGAGUGCUCUUCUUAUGUUGUUGUCAUGUUGAAUAAAUAAAUCUACGUGAUCAUCUACUACAAUUGAUGAUCUCUAUCUCAGUUACGUCAGAAACUUCUGUACCUUGGACCUGCUAGAAUUUAGCGUGAUUGAUAUAAGACGUGCAGAAUGUUCAAUAUAUGUAUAUAUGUGCUUCUUCAUCGUGCCAUGCCAUUACAAUGUGAAAGAAUUCAGCAUCGACGGAGUGAAACGUACCCAAUCCUGCUCCUGAGAAAGGAAACAAAGUCCCUCAAAAAUGGAUAUUUUGGAUGCCAUCAAGAUUUUGAAUUGAAUGCCAUUUGGAGAUCUGAAUGUUGUUUUUUUCCCCUUUAUCUUCGUUCAAGAUUUUUUUUGGUGGAAAUGCUUCAUUUAUGGACAAUGCUACAGUGCCUAUAGUUAUGGUAACGAUAUUAGAGAAACCUACUAUUACAGGUUUCUAUUACCUUUAGUGACAGAUCCAAUUUUUAGCGACUUUUGAAAUAUUAUAUUAAAAUAAUUAAUAUUAAAUUUAGUAAGUUUUUAAUUAAAACUAGUAAGUUUAUGCCUGAAAGAUAAGUUUUAGUCAGAAAUAGAAAUUUACACUUUGAGUAAUUUAAUUUACUUAUUAUUUGACGAAAAUUACUUAUUUUUGAAUUAAACUUACUAAUACUGCAAGUAAAAAAUGUUCAUAUUUAAGUAAAAAAGUUACCAGUUUCUAAAAAUGGUUUUGGGUUCCUGAACCACUUUCGGAUAUUAUCUUGUUAAAGUCAUCUCCCUUCUUAUUACUUAGUUCUCAGUUUCAACAUACGAUUGAAUUCCCAGGCAAAGGUUUCCACUUUGGUCCACACUUUCUCUUGGUGACAAGUGAAUAAAUUUUCCCACUUCAAAUUUUCAUCUUCAGUUCCCACUUUCCCUCUAUCCUUUCUCAUCGAUCGGUUGUUUUUGGGUGCUGCCAUAUGCAGACACAAUAAAAGGGUUAGCGACGGUGGUAGCCAACCAAAGAGCAUAUGAAAAAUAGCAGUGACGAGGUUAGCCUAUCAUGUCCUCUUGAAAUCGUUUGAUUAUAUUGCUGUAAUUUAUUUAUAUUUCAUUUGUUUUGUUUGUCAAGAUUUUCUUGCGAAAUCAAGGCUGAGAAUUUGAAGAUUUUAUUGCAAUUUUGGGGCUGAAAAUGUCCACUGAAACAUCUAGCCUUGAUUUGGUUGUAGUUUUGAUUGUCUGCUGGUAAAAUAUACUUAAUAGCCAUAUGAAGCAUCUAGGAAAGGACUUGAGACUAGGUGUUUAAGUUAAAUGUGAUUAAUUUAUGAAUGCAUAUAAGAUGUUUGGUGAAAUGUCAAAGAGAAAUCUGUGUGUUAUGAUUGCUGCUCUGUGCUCUUCAGCAGCCAGAGAUGAGACCAGCUCUUAAAGAAAUCACCCUCGUCAGUCGACAACAGCGCUCAAGAUCACCCUUGGGAUUGUAAAUUGUAUAAUCUUUUAUACAAUAGAUUAUAAGAUGUAUAAUCUAUUGUAUAAUUUAAAUUAAAUUUAGUUCACCUAUAAAAUGGUCCUAAAAUAAUUAGUACACUAUGAUAAAUGUUAUUUUAACAACAAAAUAUUUUUUUUUACUAAAAGUCGGAAAUAUCCAUGACAUAUGUAUGAGAGAUAUUUUACCAUAUUUAUAUCUCACAUCUAAUCAUGAAAGUUAAUUUGAGAAAAACUAUUUUUAACAAUAGAAUUAUUUUGAAUUUAACCAACAAGUUGAGAUUUUUUAAACAAUAAAGUGAAAUAUUUUGGGAACUUUUUUUUUUUUUUUUUUUUUUUACAUAAAUAUGGUCUUUAUUGGCAAAGAAAAGAGAAAUUACAUAGAUCGUGUGACUAACCUACCCUGAGACCGUACAGACUCUCACAUACGGAGUUGACAACCUAUCUAACUGCAAAAGAGCCCGAACUUAGAAGGGAGAGCUCUUUCACUGAAAAAUCGGGCAUCCGUUCGUAGGUCCGAGGAGGCCAAAGCGUCGGCGACCGCAUUAGCCUCUCUGAACGUGUGAACCAGAGACACCCCAAUUUUGCCACCAAGCACCGAAUAUGCCUAAUUGUGUUGCAUAACGGCCAGCCAGCCGUCAUCUUAACGGACACGAGAUGCACUAAAGUACUAGAAUCCACUUCUGCUAUGACUCCCGUGAGAUUGUUGUCCUGGCAAUACCGAAGACCCUCCAGCAAAGCCAACGCCUCUGAGGAGAGAACGUCUUGCUCUCCAAACUCCUUAUAAAAGGCAAACACUAAAUUACCCUCACCCGAGCGCACCACCCCUCCACCACUUGACCGCCGCUUACCACACUAGCAUCAGUGUUGAGUUUCACCGCUUGCCCUGUAGGUUUUACCCAAGAAAAGGCUCGAAGCUGUAUCAAUUUGUUCUUGGCCUUACCGAAUUUCACCCAGUCGCAAUCUGUGUCCCCUUUGAAGAACUCCAACUUGAACAGGCCCCCCCUACCCAACUGCUCAACCAAUGCGCACACCUGGUUGGUUACCUGAUCUGACGACAUACUCAUCCCUCAAAGCGGGCCUUGUUACGGCCCUUCCAAAUAAACCACAAGAUCAAGAGCGGGAGGAUGACACGAAUAUGAUUCUGUGAGACAAACCGGUGAGAAAAGAGCCAACAUGAAAGCCUCGAUGCCACCCCACUCCUGGAGUACCAGCCCAAAGCGCAGGAGAAGUGCCGCCAAACCCUGCUCGCUAAAGGGCCCGAGAAAAAAGAUGGUCUCCUGUUUCUGGCGCUAGGCCACAACAGUAGCACUUUGACGCUAACCUCACCCUCUACCUUGAAGGAGAUCAUCCAAGGGGAGCCAACCACGCAACAACCUCCACACAAAGAAGGAUACCUUCAGAGGACCACCGAGCUCCAGACCAGCGAAUCAAUAACAGAUCGAUUACGCUUUGACCGAAGAACGUCCCAAGCUGAAGACACAGUAAAGCUCCCCGAAGGUGACGCCGCCCAAAUCAUUUGGUCUUGCAUAUUGGGAAAAAUACGCAGCUCCAAGAUCUUCGACACUAAGUGCCCCGGAAGCAGCCUUCUGAGCCACUGCUCAUCCCAACCAUCAGAAAGAAAAAAUUCCCCUACCAACCUGUGAGACUUAGGGCCUGGCACCAACCUGGCGAGCGGAACAUCAGUACACCACCUAUCCUGCCAAAAGUCAACUAAGCCCUCCCAGACACCACCGGAUAUUCCCCUCCGUGAGGUCCCUCACCUCUAUCAAACGGCGCCAAAUUGGGGACGGGCGGUCAACUGAAACUAGAAGAGGAUGCCCCCUCUGACAUACUUAACGUGCAUGAACUCUGCCCAAAUGGAUGCCCGUUCCCUCAACUUCCACCAAAGCUUACAUGAGAAAGCCUUAGCGACAUCCUCAAAUGGGCGAAACCCCAGGCCCCUUCCUCGACCGGACGGCACACCUUAUCCCAAGCCGCCCAGUGGAUCCGUUUGCUUUCAAUAGAGGUAUCCACAAGAAAGCAUUGCACAGACGCCUAACUGCAGCAGCACAGCCUUCGGCGGUUGAGUACCUGGAGUAAGUAGACCGGAAGGGAACACAGGACACUUCGUAAAAGGACAAUCUUCCCCCCAUAGAUAGCAUCUUUGAGCUCCAAUGGAAUAACUUUUGGCGAACCUUGCCAGCAACGCAUCAAACACUGCACAUGUGACCCUACGCGAAUCAUCGGCACCCCUAGAUACCUGAACGGAAAAACCUGGCACUGGUACCCCAGGGUCGUGCUUACCAGGGCCCGCUGGGUGUCUGUAGCCCUAGCCGAAGCGUAAAAAGCACUCUUUAGCAAUAUUCACCUUCUGACCAGAACAACUUUGGUAGAGCUGCAAAAAAUCCUUAAUGGACACCAACGCAUCCUGCGAGCACCGAGUAAAGAUGACCAUAUCAUCCGCAAAGGCUAAAUACGGCACUUUCGACCCAGCAGAAACGAAGUAUCUACUGUCCUUGGAAUCAAAAAUCCUUUGCAGCCCUCUCCCAAGAAAAUCCGCCACGAAUAAGAAAAGCGCAGGAGAAGAGGGUCACCCUGUCGCACCCCUUGAAAUGACUUCACAAAACCCGUUGGUUCCCCAUUAACUAGGAUCGAGAACCAAGUGUUAGAAAACGUUCGAAAGAGCAAAUCCACUACUACCUCUUCAAACCCAUACUGCCUAAGCAGAAAAAGUAGAAAGGACCAAUCAACCCGAUCAUAUGCCUUCUCCAUGUCCAGCUUCAAGAUCAAAUUCGGGUCAAUCAACCUCCUAUCCAAGUCUAAAAUCAGCUCCUGUGCCAAAAGAACAUUGUCCACUAUCCACGCCCGGAACAAAACCUGUUUGCCAUGGUGAAAUGAGCUUCGGGAGGAGCUUGCUGAUCCUGAUGGCCAAUAUCUUAGACACAACCUUAGAGGUUACAUUACAAAGACUAAUAGGCCGAAAAUCCGCCAGUGGGAUGCCCUCCACUUUUGGAUGAGCACCACCAUAGAGUGGGACCAGCUCCUGGGUUGCUCCAUACCCUGGAAGAAGUCCUGGAUAGCCAUAAGCAAGUCAUCCUUGACAAUGUCCCAGCAGCUUUGGAAAAAACCUGCUCCAAACCCAUCCGGACCCGGAGCACUCUGUAUCUCCAUUCCAAACACUACCUCAUGGAUUUCCUCCAUCGUAGGAAGACGUUUCAUAAUCUCAUUAUCCUCCUGGUGGCUCUAGGAACCUCAAAAGGAAGCUCAGUGAGGGCCUGUACCUGACGGUUGGAUGCGAACAAGUCCGAAAAAAAGGAUAUCGCUGAGUCCUUAAUCUCCUGCAGGUCUUCAUGCAUCCCCCCUCCUCUUUCCUAAUACGGGAAAUGAAAUUCGAGUUCCGACGCUAGCGGACCCAAGAAUGAAAAAAUGCAGUAUUAGCAUCCCCGCCUGUAACCAUUUAAUACCUGCCUUCUGAUGCCAAAACUCACACUCCAUGGAAAGGGCCCGAUUGUAUCUCGCUCUGGCCUCAUGAAGAUGAAUCUUCGACUCCUCACUUCUAACCAAAUCGUACUCCACCUCCCUCUGUUUUACCUCCUGAUCCGCCUCUGCCACCUGAGAAGAGACAUUGCAAAGACCACACGGUUCCAUUGCUUCAAUGCAUCUCGCACCGUUUUGAGCUUGUUGUAGAAUCUAACCAUCCCCAUGCCAUAGACCUCCUUACUCCAUGCGGCGAACACUAUCUCCCGGAACUGGGGUGCCCGCCGCCAAACAUUAAGAAACCGAAAGCAAGACGAUGUAGCCCUAUAGCCUGCACAUCGAAUCAACAACGGACUGUAAUCCGAUCUCCCUCUGGCCAUAUGGGAAACCCUAGAAAGCGGAUAGACCUCGGACCACCGCCUAUUCCCCAACGCCCGAUCCAAGCGCUGCCAGACUGACCCAUUAGUCAUGUGAAUCGAGACCAUCAAAAUCAAUUGUAGAUAGCCCGCAUUUGAACAUGGAAGCAUUAAAUUCUUCUAUGUUCCGAACAUUAGCUGGAGCCCCCCUUCACGCUCCGCUGCCGAAGCUAUGACAUUAAAGUCGCCUGCUGCUACCCAGGGUUGAUUGUGUGAGACGAGGAAGCCACACUUUCCAUUGCCUCCAGAGUGGCCUCCGCCCAACCUCGUGCACUUGGCAUAUAUCGCAGACACCCAAAAGGAUGCCCCAGAGCCAAAGGAAACGUGAGCAUGAAGCAUUUGCUCAGCGUACUCGACACAGCUAAAUCGUAAGAGGCACGACCAAAACACCCAUAUUUUACCACCAAUAUAAAGAGCUGAGAAAUCAAAAUUUAAAACCUCCGAACCACCUCCAACUGACACUCGCAGACAUUGGUUCUAAUAGAAAUAAUAACCUAACCUUGUUAUCGUAGCACAGCUUCUUCAGAUAGCGCAAAGAGUCCCUUCGGGAAGCCCAUCUGAUAUUCCAAACUAGCAUAUUAAUCGGAUCUAACAUGAGACCCAAUGAGUAUGAAGCUUGCGCCAAGGGUACACACAUGCCCCCUUCUUGGUCUCCCCCGUUUCCGUCUUAGAACCGUGGCGGCAUCAUCCUCCUCCAAGUCAUUACUAAAUCCCCUUCAAGAAGAGUUAAAGAGUCCAAAACAGUGUCAACACCCUGGACUGGUUGCGCCUUAGCAUUGAAAUCCCGUUGAAACGCCUUCAAUUCUUCAAGCGAGACUGAGACAGCUCUCACGCUAUCCACUGAACGCCCUCGGUGAUGGCAGUCCCGUUUCCAACCUCUCGACGCUGACCGUACAGGGCUCCUGUCUCGCUGCUCCUCAUCUGCGGAUUCACCUUCCAACUCUCCUAGAGCAGCGAAAGAAUUUGUCACGCGUAUGCUUCCCUCCUCUUCGGCGCCUAUACGAGACCCGCCCUGCAGCUCAAUCCCAGGUGACCAGCACUCCUGUGGCCGCACUUGUCAUUCCCCAUUCCUUCCGACUGAAUAACUAGCCUGCUCCUUCCCCUUAUCCCCAUUACUCCCAGACCCAAAGUCUGUACCAUCUUAUUGUCAUCUGCAACAGGCUCCAGAGACGCUGCACUCACUGCCGCAUCAGUCUGUUCCAAUGCUCCUUCCGACUGGAGCAGCGCACAACCAGUACCAGCACCAGUCCUUGUUCACCGACAGCAGCCGCCUGCACACUCUCCGCGACACCUGGUCCUGGCCAGGUGCCACCGAACUCCUUCCCAUUCACCACUUUCGGAACGUACACUUGCCGAUGUUUCAGUGUUUUUGCCUGGGCAGCGCGAGGCUGCGGAUCCGGGCGCAAGGAAGGAUUUCUAUGAAAACACUGCUCCUCUGUAUGGCCGAAUCUGCUGCAGAACCACAGUAGUCUGGCCACCCUCCAUCUCAACAGGCUGCCAGAAACCGAAGUGAUCAUCACCUAUCCAAAUACGACGCACAGGGGUCGACACUACGUUUACCUCCACCAAUACUCUGGCAACGGACGGACGGCGCAAAUCACACGUUGAUGCGUCAAUCUUGAGGGGCUGCCCAACGUAGAAGCGAGCUUGAUUAACUGGGAUCUCUGGAAAAAAGGAAUCGGCAAUUCUGGGAAGCAAACCCAGAUUGGAGCUAUGGCUAACUCCUGAUCUGCCUUAAAUUCCAACGACCACUUGGAAAUCGACAUUGGCGAGCUGCUAACAUACCAAAUCCUCCGCGCAAAGAGACGGGUGUAGUCUUCCUCCAGAACGGGACGAAUGAGAACGUGUUUCUGGUCGAGGAGGCCAACCUUACAGUCCCCUCUGAGACCAGCGACAGAAAGAACUUUCUGAUGACUUCCAUGGGUGGUCUGUUGAAGGAGAAACGCCCACCAACGAAUUCUGAAACGGUUCCGAAAGCUGCUCAAUUUCCCUACGAGAGAUACGCAAAGCAGGUUCUCCUCUGAAGGUAGAGACCUCCCCUAAAGCUAUGGCAUCAGGUUUAUCCGAAGCGCCUGCCAGAACGAAGCAAAGGACCUCUGAACCGGAGACUGACUGGCCUGUGUGUGUGACGGCCCACAGGCCGCCAUGUCCGGUAAGAAGAUCUAGCCGCACCCUCAACCCUAGCCGACCCUCAAACCGUCAAAAGUCGGUAUAUUCUAUAUUUUGGGAACUUAGUUGUUUAUUUUCCCGUAAUAAAAAAUUUAAAAUAUGAAAAUUAUUCUUACAUAUUUUAUAAGGUCAUAUGCAAAAAAAAAAACAGUUUAUAUAUAUUUAAAAUGCUUCAAACAUAUAACAUUUAUAAAUGAUACGUACAAUUGUAAGUUUCUUUAAGUAAAAUAGUAAAUUUAUGCCACAAACUAUUAAGUUUGAUGAUUAACCAAAUUUACUAAAUCUAUCAACAAUAUUUACUAUUAAUCUAUAAAAACUUACUAUUACUUGAACUAAACUUACCCUCCAAAAACUAAGUUUCAGAUAUAGAGUAAUAUUUUAUUUCAUAAAAACAAAGUUAGUUCCAUAUUUAUUCAAAUUUACUUUUUGAGACAUAAAAGUUACUAAUAUAUUGAGUUAACUUACUAUUCUUUAUGCAAAACUUACUAACCACCAUUUUAGGUACUAUUUCAUUUAGAAUGACCAGUAUAACAGGUCAUCAAAUGGUCGCUAAAAGUAUUUUUACCUGUUAUAUCAGGUAAAAAAAUUUCGUUACCAUAACUAUCGUUACUUCAGUUUUCCUUCAUUUAUACGAAUUUUCCUAGUUAGUAAAGGCUUCUAUUACACUUGUACAAUACACAUUUAAAAGUAUAACACAAUAAAAGUUGUGUAGUUCAUAUAUUUCAAAAUAUUCAUACUUUCAACUAAACUAUAAAAAUACGUAAUAUAUUCUUGAUACAUUAUACUUUACGAACUAUACUUUAAAUUUUAAAAAUAUUUAAUACUAUCACUUAUUAAUAACUCCACAUGUUAGUUUGUCUCCCAAUUCAAUAAAUUAUAGUAGCUAAUUCUCAAAGCUAUUACACCAAAAUUCCCUUACUCGUUCACUCCUAGUGGAUUAUUAUUAAUUACAUUGCAUUUAUUUCCUAAGCAUGAGUUUUGUAACCCCUCAUAUUAAAUCUCAAUGAUUAAUUUUAACGGUUACCAAGGCGUCUAGUAAUUGGUUUGCUAUUUUAAUUUGAACUAGACAUUUAUUAGGUCUAGUAGAAUUUAUUCCUUCUUAUCACUUAGUUCGUAAACCUUAUGAAUCGUUAAAAACCAGCUCUAACAUUAGGUAACAAGACUUCUACAAUUUCGGGUUUUGCUUAGAAAUCAGUCUGAUAGUUUAACUUGCUUUCGUCCAACUUUAUGAGUUGCUUUUUUUUUUUUCAUUUGGCAUUUCAUCUGACUUUAAUACGGGGACCAAGUUAGUAUUGUUGGCAUUUCAUAUCUAAGACUUCUUAAUUAAUUGAUUUGUUAUAAGAACUAUAACGUAUGCGUGUUUUGUGAGCUUUCAUGUUUUUUUUUUUUUUUAUUCUUGUGGACCAGCAAUGGAUAGUUUCUUCUAGUGCCAAGUUCCUUUGAAUUCUUUAUUUUUUUUUUGCGUGUCCAAAUGUAAAUUAAAAGAACCAACAACUUUGAACAAGUCUAUAUCUAGUAAAGAUAGAUAUAAAGAGGGAUACGUAUACACAGAUUAUAUAAUUUUUUUCAAAUGUAUGAUUAAAAGUUUAGUAGUAAAAAUACGAGUUUAUCAUUAUUAUGGAUAUCAUAUAAAUUCAUAUAUGAAUAGUAUGAAUAAAUAUAAAUGUUAUAGAAUUAGGUAUACAAGUGAAAUUACUAUAAUUUUGAAUGAUUAUGCUAUUUAUAUCAAAUUUAAUGCUGAUCUGUAUAUAUGACAUCAGAUUUAUUAAAGUUUUAUCACUUUUUUACAUUUAUAUUAUAAUCCAUCUAAAGUUUGUUAUUUGACAAUACAUUUGAUAUAUACCUCAAAAGGUACGUCAUUAUCUUGUCUCACUUUUUAAAAUUUAAAGUAUAAAUCAUAAAGUAUAAUGCAUCCAAAAACAAGUUAAAUGCAUCAAGAAUUUAUUAUAUAUUUUUAUAGGUUAGGCGAAAAGUAUAAAUAUUCUUGAAAUACACGAACUAUAGAACCUCUUUUGUGCUAUACAUAUAAACGCGUAUUGUAGAAGUAUAAUAGAACUAUUUACUAGCUAGGCAAAUUCGUAUAAAUGAAGCAUUUCCACCAAAAAAAUCUUGAACAAAGAUAAAGGUUCAGAUCACUGAAUGCCAUUCCAUUCAAACUCUUGAUAGCAUCCAAAAUAUCCAUUUGAAGGACUUCGGUUUCUUUCUCAGGAGGGAACGGAGUUGAGUUUGACUCCGUCGAUGCUGAAUUAUUUUACAUUGUAAUGACAUGUAUAUAAAUAUUAUUGAACAUUAUGAACGUCUUAUAUCAAUCACACUAAAUUCUAGUGUUCCCAAGUAGGGAUGAGCAAAUUCGGUUCUUACCGAAUUCAUAACCGAUUUCAAAUUCAAUUCGGUAAUUUGAAAUCGGGUAUUUGGUAAUUUGGUACAAAUUCUGUGAGAACUCGAAAAUUUUCUUAUUUUUAUAGAAUAUUACUGGAAUAUUUAAAUGAUUAUUCACUAAUUUUCUUCGAAUUAUUUAUUUCGACCAUUUUAAUUCAUUUAUAUGGAAUGACGCCUCUUUAUAUUUUUAAAGCGUUUUGUUGAAAAAUUCGCUUUUCGAAAAUUUGUUUAGUCCGGAACGACGGGUGCACGUUUUUCUAGGCCAUACUUGAAUCGGGAGUGUAUUAUUUAUUGGAGAAUUAAGAACGAUCAAUAAUAGAUUAAGAAAGGUUAAUGGAGGAAUUAAUACUCAAUUCACGUGAGGACUCGUAAAAUUAUUAUUUUAAAAUCCCUAAUUUUGGCUAAAUUAAUUACUUAUUUAGAUUUUUGCCACGAAUAAUAUUUUCUAGCCUUUUAGACCUAAGUACAUGGUUUUAUAGUUUCGUUAUAUUUUUAAAGUGUCUCAUUUCAAAAAUUAUUUUCUUAUAAGCUUGUUUAGUGAAAAGGUGAAAACGUGUCCAAACACUUUAGCCAAUUGGGAAUAAAAUAAGUUCAAAAAUUUGAGACAUAUACAAUGGUUCUAAAAUAGACAAUUUUAGAUUUAAGCACACAAGUGAUAGCUAGUGGUACGAUCGUUAUAAGAAUUUCUCGAAAGUUUCAUUUUAUUGCGCCUAAAUUGGAAAUACGUGUUUUCACGUGCGCGCUUAAUUGAGGGACUUUGGACAAUUAUUUUGGGACAAUUAAGAAUGAAUAAUAUUUAUAUGAAUGUAAGUGCCCUAGAGGUUUAGUGCACUAGUGUAACAAACUUAAGGAAAAUUGAACACAAAACGCGCGAGUAGGGCACUAGUUGCAAUUAAAUUUUUCAUACUUAAAAUAUUAGACGGUCGGCGUUCUUUGUAUGCAAAAAGGAAAUCAGACUAACAUUCAUAUCUGCAAGCUUUAUGGACGGCUAGCAACUGCAGCAAAGAGCAACCGAAAACUUCCACAUUUCCUCUACAAACUCACAAAUUCAACCAAAACUUCACACACACUUAGCUCUUCACUUGGACAAUCACUUGGACAAAGAACGAGCUGCACAUUCACGGUUUUUCUUGGGCUUUUGGACACCAAAAAUCUGAUCUUUUAGCACACAAGUAAGGUAACCAUGAUCCACUCUUCAAAUCUUGUUCGUUGAAGGCCAACUCACACUUAAGAGCUUGAUUAUGCUUAUGGGUAGCUUAUUAUUGUUAGAGAAUUGUUAAAUGUGGCUCUAUGAACUCCACCACUUUGAGUUGAUGUGUGAUGAUUUUGAUUGAUGUUUUAUUGUUGAAUUAGUGCUUAAGGGAGUAGAUUAAAGGUGCAUUAUCGCCAGAAACUUCAUUGAGCUCUUGAAGCAAAAAGUUCCCCUGCUCCGUUCGGUGGCAGAAAUUUGAGAAUUUAAUGGCUUGAUUGUGUUGUUUAUAUGUUGUAAAUUUUCAUUGAAAACUGAGUUUUGGUUGGUCAAACGAAUUUAUUCCCAAGCUAGUAAUCUGGAAAACGGUUUUCAUCGUAAUCCAGACCAGUGUUCGUAUUUCGUCCAUAACUCCGUACUCCGACGUCAAAAUCAAGUUCCGUUAGCGGCAUUUGAAACUAGACGUUCCCAUACUUUCCAACGGUAUAUAAUGCACAUUCUGGUUCCAUGUGUGUGAACCGCACCACUCAUCUGAAUUCAGCUGCCCUGUUUCGCCGUUCUGCCGAAAUGAUUUGAUGAUGCUGCAACUUUAGGCUUAAUUUCGAGCUAGUUGCAUGCUGAAACAUAAAAUGAUUUCUUCUGUGAAAUUAUAGUCCUAUGCAUGUAUUUUCUAACACUAUCAACCAUGCUCAAAUCCGAGUUAAAUUGAGUGAGUUAUGAUCAAAAUACGGUGACUGUUUUGUUCUUGAAAGCCUUGGAUUUGGACAGAUUUGACGUGACAUUUGUGGUGGUCUUACUAAAUGAAUUUCUUGAUACUAAACACCUACCACAUGUACCAUGAAUGUUUCUUAAACUUUCCUUUCGCAUAUGAACCAUGAUUGGAGGAUUUUCUUAGCCAAACGAUUGGAUUUGGGAAGAAAAGGAUUAAGGACAGAUUGUCUUGAGAAUUUUUUCAAACUUUGGUUGAUUGGUUAACCACCUUCCCGAAGGUAUUUUUCCACGAAAUUUUGUAGAGAGAUACCCUUCAUAUAGUAGUACCAUACUACAAAAUUUGGGGUCAAUUCAAGUCCGUUUCGACACUUAACAAAAGUUCCAUAGUCGGAACCAAUCUGGAAAUUUUGUAACAGUCUUGAAUUUUUCCCAACUUUGAGCUACCAUAUCUUGGUGUUCGAAACUCCGAUUCUCGAUCCGUUUAUUCUACCCUAAACCUUAGUUGCACCUCUAAUUGAGCUAUAAAUUUUAAGGGCUGGUUUGCAACGAGUGAAUUCUGCCGAAUUUCCAAAGUUAGCGAAAAGCCAACCCCGGGUCAAUCCUGGGUGAUCUGGGAUAGCAACUUUAAACUCAUUUUUGAAUACCUUUCAUUUCGAUUCGUGGAACAGUGUCUUCUAAGAACUUUUAGUAAUUUCCAAGAGGUUUCCAACGGUAUAAAGUUUUCCAAUUUUAGACUUGUAUCGAGUGAGAUACGAUUUUUCAAAGAUCCAUAUCAAAACUGAAAAUUUUCCAACUUUCAAGGAAAUAGAGAUUUCCAAGAACUUUUUAUUCUUUCGACAUUAUGCAAACAUUUUAACCUCAUUUCCAAGAUAAAAACCCAAAUGCUCCUGUACUUUAAGAAACUCUAAUUGAACCUCGAUUUACGAGUAAUUGAGGUUCGAUUUCGUGAAUUUCCUUAGAUUGUACUAGUGUACAAUCUUCCUUGAUAAUUGGGAUAUAUGAAUGAUAAUACGUUAUUUUUGCCCAGGCGCACACGAGGACCUUCAAGAGGAUCCUACCGUGCACACUUGAACUUCCAGAAAAUAUUUCUUCUUGAUUUGCUCGGUGAGUGUCAAGUGUAUGACUACUUGAACACUAUGGACUUGAUUCAUGCUUGGCUUACCUGAUUACAUGCUUAGCCUACUUGGUUUUGAAAAAUGGAGUCGAGUGUGUACUUUAUCGCACUCGUUCUCAUUUGAAACAAAUGACUCAUGCUUAACAUGGUUUGCCUGAUUUACAUGACCUGAAAUACAUGCUUAGACCUGUCAAAUGCUUGAAUACAUGAUAUGGUAUGCUAUGGCUGCAUACGUCGUUGGAGUGAAUCUCUCGACACUUACAUGACACAUGGGGGACGCCAAACUCAUAGGCCGACCUUGGAACUCGAGCCGGCAUGGGCUUGGUCGGGAACCUCGUGAGCCAUGAGAUUCACAUGAUAAGCUUGAUCUAUUGGAGAGAUCUUGCUUGGCAUACUCGUGGAGUAUCGCCUCAUAAAUGUCGUGCGGCCCGAAGCGGUGUAUGGUGGACGGAUGAGAAGUAAGUGGUGAUCUACGGUUUGGAAAUAUCAACCCGGUUGACGGAGAGUCAUCACGGGAAGAUAUACGAAUGAACUGGCAAAGCAAGUGGAACUUAGCUCUUGAGAGCUACCAUAUCCUUGAAUCGUUUCUGUUUACAUUUUGUUGGCAUUGUUAAUUACUUGCAAGUUAUCACUUGAACUGUUACUUGGGUUUGUUACCUGAACUAUGUGCCUGCAUGUGUGUUCUUGGCCUCACGAGCGUUUUGCUCACCCUAUAGAUUUGUUUUCCUUAACAGAUUUGAACUCGGAGGCGUACUGGAAAAAAACCUCCUGAUGAGCUUUUGUUUAGGAUUUCUAUUAAUUUUGGCUAUGUCUUGGUUUUGGGUUGUACUUUUGGAAUUGAAAUGUAACUUUUGGGCGUGAUGUAUAUUUGGGAUUAUAUGAUGUUUUGAAACCCGACGUGCGGGUGGAUAAUGGAUGACUUUUUAUUAACUUGAACGCUUCGCAUUUUUGUAUUAAGUUAUUUACGUGUAUUGUGGUCGAGAUAAGCUUGAAUGGAAUUGCUUGAGUCCUGGCGAGAGUUAGGCAGGCGUCCGCGGAUACCCUUUGGUUCGCCUUAGGGAGAAGUGGGGCGUCACAGUUGGUAUCAGAGCAUAGGCUUUAGAUCUUGUAGUGUAUCCUAGGUUUAAAGUUUAGGAUGCCUGACUGUGGGAUUAAUUUGAAUAUUAUGUGAACUAGAGGGUCUAUUGUAUCCUACGGGUUAAAAAAUUGGUUACUUGAGAGUUUCUUACUUGGGACUUGUAGAAAUAAAAAUUGAGGAAUUAGCUGAUGUUAUAUUGAAGGAAAAUAUGGGAUGAGAGAUUAGUAGUGAAAGAUUGGACGAAUUUGAAUUAUUAUUAUUCUUGUAAGUGUGGAAAGAAGUGAGACAAUUAUUAGUGCUGGCUAAAGCGAUAAGAGACCGAGAUUUGAUGGUCAAACUCCAUGUAUCGUGAUUGUGAACCAGAUGAAAGAGUUUCAAAUAUAAAAUGCAUUUUCCUGCUCAUUUACCUCCUAGAGAAAUUAUGCUUUGAAAUUCUAAAGGAAAAAUGGAUGUACUAGUUUUAUUUUCAAACGAUAAUUGGAAAUAAUAUAUAUAUGCUUUAAGUAUGUGUAAUUCUUCGAUUUUGGUAAAUAUGUGAAUUUUACUUGAAUUUCAAUUUAAAAAUUUGUGAAUAACUGAUGAGUUUGUUGAAAUUUUGUAUGUGAUGGGCUGAUACAAGGUUAAAAUUUUCUAAACUAGAUUUUCCCCCUUGAUUGUAUACUGGUGUAUUCUCACACUUGAAUUCAUCUAUGCUUUACAAAAAAAUAAAAAAAAUAAUAAUAAUAAAAUAUCUUGAAUUUUCGGAAGAACGGCGAACUUAUGUUUUUAUAAUGAAAAUCUUGAACUUGAUAAGAUUUUUGUUACUUUAAAUACUCUUCUUAUCUUUUAAAAUUCUUGGUUUUCAAGAAGGGUGAGCCUAUCUUUAGGUGUACGGAUUGAGGAACUUUGAGAUAUAGAGUAACCGCAUUCAAGAACACGCAGUUAGUGUGAAUUGACUUGGUUUCCAUUUGACACGUAAGUUAGCAAGUUGUACUUAUUUCUUGGGUUUGAACUUGGAGCUUGAACUUUAACUAUAAAACCCUAAGACUAGUUAUUCUUGGAGAUGAUGGUGCUCUGGUUGGUGGCUUGCUUAUUAAAGAUUUUGAAUUUCGAAUGGAUAACCUUUGGUUUCCGCUUGUGUUAUGGUUUGAUUGGAUCUAAUUUCGUAAAGGCAUGUGAUCUGAUUGGAAUUAGUGAUAUUCGGACCCAUUGGUUUAAUUAAGGACUUAGGAAGGGUGGUGCACGCCGUGAGACCUUUUGUAUCCCGCUUGCAUAUACUUCUACAUUUUGUGACCCUUAAUUGCCUAUAUACAGUAUUUGACAUAUUGGGCUUGUUUUGUGACUUCUUAACUCGUACUAUAACCUUCGAUACAUGUAAAGAAUCAUGUCUUGAUUCUAAAUAUUUUUGCAACUUGUAUAUGCAUUAAGUUCUUUUAUGAUUAAUUAUUCCUUUUCUUGCGCUUAUAGACUCCUAUUAAGUAUGGUAGCAGGAAUAGGAAAAAGGGGUCGUGGCCGAGGACUUAGACAACCCUGUACUCGUGAGAAAAAUUGAUGGAUAGUCUUAUAUAAUUUAAUGAGAUUCUAGUACUGAAUAUGAAUCGAGAAAAAAAACAGAAGAUUAGAUCUACCAGUGUAUAAUGGAUUAACCUAGUUGGGAACUUAGUGAGAUUUUCCUGUGUGAAAUUUUAAUAACUGCUUUAUACGUAUAUUAUGAUUGGUCCUGUGGCCAUAUUUCAACUUUUGUGAAAGUUUGAACUCCAAAAGUAUUUCGUGGGUUUGGUGAGAUGACCUGAACUCAUUACCAAUUUGUUCUACUUGAACAAAAGCGCUUUCAAUUUUACUUGACUAAUACUAUAUCCAGAUUCACUUGUUUUACUUUUCACAAAAUUUAUAUAUAUAUAUAUAUAUGUAUGUAUACACAUUUUGAACUCGUUUGAGACUCGAAAUCAGAUAGAGUUCAAGUUCGAAUCUUUCUUAGGAACAUGAAUGCCUAUUUGUUAUGAAUCAGAUAUUAGAAAUGAUCGGGUUUUAUGUACCAGUAGAGUUAACUCUUGGUUGGAUAAAAGGGUGGUAAAGGUAUUGGAUCACAGGUUAUGCGAAUAUGAACCUACAUGUUUACCUAUCUUUCUUAAAGGUAUUUUCUAAAAUAUACGCCUUACUCGAACAUAGAUUUAACUCGAAACUUUGAGGAAAAGUGUUGGAACACCCUCCAUGUAUAUGUUAUGAUUAUUAUGUAUAUGUUUUAAAAAUCAUGCAUUAAGUUGCAUGAUUAAUAUUCUUAAAUCUAUUUGAGAGAUUUUAAAUAUGUAUUGAUGAUUGUGGUUAAACAUUAUUUGAAAUCUCUUACUAAGAAAAUUUAGUUUUGGGUCGUGAAGAAAAAUUUGUAUCUUUAACUCUAAUUUUGAAAAUUUUGAAUCGCAUUUUGCCACAGAUACAUUCAAAAUACAUCAAAAGUCUUGACCUUAUCUUGUAAGUCAUGAUUGGUUUGAUUUAGACAAAAUUUUGAGGAAAGGGAUUUUGGUCCUGCUAGUGCGUAACAGUUUUUUUUUUUUAGGAUUUGGAACUUGUUUCAUAUGGCGUGUAAUUUAUGGUUUCACUACACACGGGAGUAAGACCUUAGAAUGGAAGUACAUAUCAUUAUAUCAAGAGGUAUUACUUUAGUCGUGUGUGUGGAUUUUCUUAAGUAUCAUUCGAGGAGAGGGAAGAGUAAAUAUACCUGGAUGACUUAGAUGCGUGAGAAUUUACAGGUUGUGGAUAGUUGAGUUUCAAUUCUGAUUUGCUACUUAUUUAGAUGCUUGAGCUGUUGAUAGGCUAACAGUCAGGAUUAAGAAAAUGGAUGAAUGAAAAGUUUGGAAGAGAUGCGUAUAGAAAUAGAAAUUCUUCACAAGGAGUUGGAAUUCCAAACUAAAUUGGCUGAAUUUGGGAAGAAAAAAAAAAGUCGAGAACUUAGGGUUGAAGAUGGGAUCCAAUGUUUAAUCGCCAAUUUGAGAUAUUAAAAGUUGUGAGAUUUGGGUGAGUGAAAGGAAAUAUUUGAUGGCUUGAAUGAGCUAACGAUUAGGGACCGGAUGUUAUAUUUGGAAUGGACGCUUGAGGCUAUAUAUACAUAGAUUAUUGAGAGUUGAACGAUGAGACUAUUAAGAACAAAUGCUCCAUAGCCUCACAUAAACGAGAAUUAUAAUCAAGGGUCAGGAGCAGCGAAUAAGGGAUUUAAAGUAGAGUUACUACAACCGGAAUCCUAGAAACUGAUGUGCUUAAAACCACUUCCAAUUCAAGAUGGGGAUGCUUGAAUUUUCAGUUAUGCCAAUUGGGUUGACUAAUGUAUUAGCAGCAAUUAUUGCAUUAAUGCAUCAAGGUUUUAAAUCGUAAUAGGAUUAAUCUGUGAUGGCAUUUAUUGAUGAUGUAUUGAUAUACCCUAAAGUUUGAGAAGAUCAUGAAAAAAAAAUACCUGAUGGUAGUUUUACAAACCCCAGAGAACGCUAACUUUUGUUAAGUUCAAUAAAUGUGAGUUCGAUGGGAAGAAAUAGCCUUUCUAAGUUAUAUAAUAUCUAAGGAAGAAAUUGUUGUUAACUCAGCUUAAGUGGAAGCUGUUUAAGAGGAAAUGACUAGAAAAUCCUACCGAAAUUUGGAGUUCUUAGAGGUAGUCGAAUAUUACCUUGGUUUGAUCAGGGACUUCUAAGGAUACGAGACUUGGCAAGUUAUUUGAGAUUUUAAAUGUGAGGAAGAAUUUGAAGGUGAAAAUCGUUUAACCAGUGCACUUGUGUUGGCUUUACCGAGCGGAUAAGGUGAUUUUGUGAUUUAUACAGAUGGUUCAAAGGAUGGUUUAGAAUGUAUAUUAAUAAUAUAUGAUGAGGUGAUUGUAUAUGCCUUCUGAAAGUUAAAAUCUUCCGUAAGAAAGUAAUCAACUCAUGAUUUGGAGUGAGUUGGAAAACGUAAGUCAAUGAUUGAUCUGAUAGGUUUAACCAUGAAGGGAAUGAUAUUGUUCUAAGUAUGAAUUUCGAGGACGAAAUUCCUUUCAAGGAGGGGAGGAUGUGAGAACCCGAAAAUUUUCUUAUUUUUAUAAAUAUUACUGGAAUAUUUAAAUGAUUAUUCACUCAUUUUUUCGAAUUAUUUAUUUCGACCAUUUUAAAUCCAUUUAUAUGGAAUGACGCCUCUUAUAUUUUUAAAGCGUUUUGUUGAAAAUUCGCUUUUCGAAAAUUUGUUUAGUCCGGAACGACUGCACGUUUUUCUAGGCCAUACUUGAAUCGGGAGUGUAUUAUUUAUUGGAGAAUUAAGAACGAUCAAUAAUAGAUUAAGAAAGGUUAAUGGAGGAAUUAAUACUCAAUUCACGUGAGGACUCGUAAAAUUAUUAUUUUAAAAUCCCUAAUUUUGGCUAAAUUAAUUAUUUAUUUAUUUUUGCCACGAAUAAUAUUUUCUAGCCUUAUUAGACCUAAGUACAUGGUUUUAUAGUUUCGUUAUAUUUUUAAAGUGUCUCGUUUCAAAAAUUAUUUUCUUAUAAACUUGUUUAGUGAAAAGGUGAAAACGUGUCCAAACACUUUAGCCAAUUGGGAAUAAAAUAAGUUCAAAAAUUUGAGACAUAUACAAUGGUCCUAAAAUAGACAAUUUUAGGUUUAAGCACACAAGUGAUAGCUAGUGGUACGAUCGUUAUAAGAAUUUCUCGAAGGUUUCAUUUUAUUGCGCCUAAAUUGGAAAUACGUGUUUUCACGUGCGCGCUUAAUUGAGAGACUUUGGACAAUUAUUUUGGAACAAUUAAGAAUGAAUAAUAUUUAUAUGAAUGUAAGUGCCCUAGAGGUUUAGUGCACUAGUGCAACAAACUAAGGGAAAUUGAACACAAAACGCGCGAGUAGGGCACUAGUUGCAAUUAAAUUUUUCGUACUUAAAAUAUUAGACGGUCGGCGUUCUUUGUACGCAAAAAGAAUCAGACUAACAUUCAUAUCUGCAAGCUUCAUGGACGGCUAGCAACUGCAGCAAAGAGCAACCGAAAACUUCCACCAUUUCCUCUACAAACUCCACCAAAUUCAACCAAAACUUCACACACACUUAGCUCUUCACUUGGACAAUCACUUGGACAAAGAAGGAGCUGCACAUUCACGGUUUUUCUUGGGGCUUUUGGACACCAAAAUCUGACCUUUUAGCACACAAGUAAGGUAACCAUGAUCCACUCUUCAAAUCUUGUUCAUUGAAGGCCAACUCACACUUAAGAGCUUGAUUAAUGCUUAUGGGUAGCUUAUUAUUGUUAGAAAUUGUUAAAUGUGGGCUCUAUGAACUCCCACUUUGAGUUGAUGGCUGUGAUGAUGUUUGAUGAUGGUUUUAUUGUUGAAUUAGUGCUUAAGGGAGUAGAUUAAAGGUGCAUUAUCGCCAGAAACUUCAUUGAGCUCUUGAAGCAAAAAGUUUCCAUUUUACCCCUGCUCUGUUCGUCACUUUAAUGCAGAAAUUUGAGGAUUUAAUGGCUUGAUUGUGUUGUUUAUAUGUUGUAGUAGUUGUGUAAAAGUUUUCAUUGAAAAAUACUGAGUUUUGGUUGGUCAAACGAAUUUAUUCCCAAAGCUAGUAAUCUGGAAAACGGUUUCGUCGUAAUCCAGACCAGUGUUCGUAUUUCGUCCAUAACUCCGUACUCCGACGUCGAAAUCAAGUGCCGUUAGCGGCAUUUGAAACUAGACGUUCCCAUCUUUCCAACGAUAUAUAAUGCACGUUCUGGUUCAUGUGUGUGAACCGUACCACUUAUUGAAUUCAGCUGCCCUGUUUCGCCAUUCUGCCGAAAUGAUUUGAUGAUGCUGCAACUUUAGGCUUAAUUUCGAGCUAGUUGCAUGCUGAAACAUAAAAUGAUUUCUUCUGUGAAAUUAUAGUCCUAUGCAUGUAUUUUCUAACACUAUCAACCAUGCUCAAAUCCGAGUUAAAUUGAGUGAGUUAUGAUCAAAAUACGGUGACUGUUUUGUUCUUGAAAGCCUUGGAUUUGGACAGAUUUGACGUACAUUUGUGGUGUCUUACUAAAUGAAUUUCUUGAUACUAAACACCUACCAAAUGUACCAUGAAUGUUUCUUAAACUUUCCUUUCACAAUGAACCAUGAUUGGAGGAUUUCUUAGCCAAACGAUUGGAUUUGGGAAGAAAAGGAUUAAGGGCAGAUUGCCUUGAGAAUUUUUCAAACUUUGGUUGAUUGGUUAACCACCUUCCCGAAGGUAUUUUUCCACGAAAUUUGAGAGAGAGAUACCCUUCAUAUAGGAGUACCAUACUACAAAAUUUGGUGUCAAUUCAAGUCCGUUUCGACACUUAACAAAAGGUCCAAAGUCGGAACCAAAUCUGAAAUUUUGUAAUAGUCUUGAAUUUUUCCCAACUUUGAGCUACCAUAUCUUGGUGCUCGAAACUCCGAUUCUCGAUUCGUUUGUUCUGUCCUAAACCUUACUUGAACCUCUAAUUGAUCUAUAAAUUUCUACGGGCUGAUUUGCAACGAGUGAAUUCUGCCGAAUUUCAAAGUUAGCGAAAAACCAACCCCGGCUCAAUCCUGGGUGAUCUGGGACAUCAACUUUAAACUCAUUUUUGAAUACCUUCCAUUUAGAUUCGUGGAACAGUAUCUUCUAAGAACUUUUAGUAAUUUCCAAGAGGUUUCCAACGGUAUAAAUUUUUCCAAUUGUAGACUUGUAUCGAGUGAGAUACGAUUUUUCAAAGAUCCAUAUCAAAACUAAAUUUUCCAACUUUCAAGGAAAUAGAGAUUUCCAAGAAUUUUUAUUCUUUCGACAUUAUGCAAACAUUUUAACCUCGAUUUCCAAGAUAAAAAUCCAAAUGCUCCUGUACUUUAAGAAACUCUAAUUGAACCUCGAUUUACGAGUAAUUGAGGUUCGAUUUCGUGGAAUUUCCUUAGAUUGUACUAGUGUACAAUCUUCCUUGACAAUUGGGAUAUAUGAAUGAUAAUACGUUAUUAUUUGCCCAGGCGCACACGAGGACCUUCAAGAGGAUCCUACCGUGCACACUUGAACUUCCAGAAAAUAUUUUUUCUUGAUUUGCUCGGUGAGUGUCAAGUGUAUGACUACUUGAACUCUAUGGAUUUGAUUCAUGCUUGGCUUACCUGAUUACAUGCUUAGCCUACUUGGUUUUGAAAAAUGGAGUCGAGUGUGUACUUUAUCGCACUCGUUCUCAUUUGAAACAAAUGACUCAUGCAACAUGGUUUGCCUGAUUUACAUGACCUGAAAUACAUGCUUAGACCUGUCAAAUGCUUGAAUACAUGAUAUGGUAUGCUAUGGCUGCAUACGUCGUUGGAGUGAAUCUCCUCGACACUUACAUGACACAUGGGGGACGUCCAAACUCAUAGGCCGACCUUGGAACUCGAGCCGGCAUGGGCUUGGUCGGGAACCUCGGUGAGCCAUGAGAUUCACAUGGUAAGCUUGAUCUAUUGGAGAGAUCUUGCUUGGCAUACUCGUGGAGUAUCGCCUCAUAAAUGUCGUGCGGGCCCGAAGCGGUGUAUGGUGGAUGGAUGAGAAGUAAGUGGUGAUCUACGGUUUGGAAAUAUCAAUCCGGUUGACGGAGAGUCAUCACGGGAAGAUAUACGAAUGAACUGGCAAAGCAAGUGGAACUUAGCUCUUGAGAGCUACCAUAUCCUUGAAUCGUUUCUGUUUACAUUUUUUUGGCAUUGUUAAUUACUUGCAAGUUAUCACUUGAACUGUUACUUGGGCUUGUUACCUGAACUAUGUGCCUGCAUGUGUGUUCUUGGCCUCACAAGCAUUUUGCUCACCCUAUAGAUUUGUUUUCCUUAACAGAUUUGAACUCGGAGGCGUACUGGAAAAAAACCUCCUGAUGAGCUUUUGUUUAGGGUUUCUAUUACUUUUGGCUAUGUCUUGGCUUUUGGGUUGUAUUUUGGAAUCCGAAUGUAACUUUUGGAGCAUAUGUAUAUUUGGGAUAUAUGAUGGUUGUUGAAUACCCGAUGUGCGGAUUGGAUAACGGAUGACUUUUAUUAAAUUUGAACGCUUCCGCAUUUAUUAUAUCUAAGUUAUUGACUCGUAUUGUGUGGUCCGGUAAUAAGCUUGAAUGGAAUUGUUUGAGUCCUGGCGAGAGUUAGGCAGGCAUUCUGCGGAUACCCUUUGGUUCGCCUUAGGGAGAAGUGGGGGUGUCACAAAUUCGGUACAUGCCGAAUUCACCGAAUUCUAAUAUGGUAUGAAAUAGGUAAUAAGAUUGUGAAUUUGGUAAUAACCGAUUUCGCAUUCAAAUUCGGUAAUUGAAAUCGGGUGCCGCAUUACCACAUUCGAAUUACCAAAUUGAUAUAUAAAAUUAUAUAAUAUAUAGAUAAAUGCUAUUUAGUAUUAGUAUAUACUACUAAUACUUUAUUAUAUUAUAUAGGUAAAUGCUAUUAAUAAUAAUUAGUAUAUGGUAUUAUCAUCAUAUCAUGUACUUAUAAUAAUAAUAAUAUAUAAUAAUGUACAAUAUAUUCUUUUAGUAUUUAUUAAUUGUUAUAUGACUAUAAUAAUAUAAAUAUAUAGUAAUACAUAACAAUAUAAGAUAACUAUAAUACUUAUUAUUUUAUACAUGAGUAACAUGACUAGAAUUAGAUAAUAAUUAAUACAUAUAUGUAUAAUACUAAAUAUUAAACAAUAAACAUAAUUCAUAAUUAGAAUUUAGAUAUUGGUAAUUUGAUAUAUCAUUCAUGUUUGAAUUAUUGAAUAUUUGAAUGCGUAAUCUGUAACUUGCAAGUAUUAGUGUACUCUACAUAUUUAACAUAAAAAUUCAUAUUAUCUAUUCACUAAUCUUAAUUCUUAAGGCUUUAGCCUUUAAGUAUAUAAGACAACUAAGCAGUUAGCAGUGUAAGUGAAUGCAUAUGAAUUGCAAAUCAAUGUAUUAGUGUAUUGACUUUCACGAAUAACAUAUGUAAGUAAAUAAGUUUUAUUUUGAUUUGAAAUAAAUUAUAAGUUUGUAACUAAUAUAACUUACCACUAAUCAUUGUAAUUUGUAAGUUUGUAACUAAUAUUACUUAUUAUUAAUCAUUGUAAAUUAUGAAUUCAUAAAUUAUCACUAAUCAUUGUGUUCCUUAAAUCAUAGACUAAGGAUUCUAGGUAAAAGUUAUCAAAUAAGUUAUAAUUCAUAUUAUCUAUUUACUAAUUUAAGGUUUUAAGUAUAGACAAGACAACUGAGCAGUGUAAGUGAAUGCAUGUAAAUUGCAAAUCAAUGUAUUAGUGUAUUGACUUUCACAAUAACAUGUGUAAGUAAAUAAGUUUUUAUUUUGAUUUGAAAUAAAUUAUAAGUUUGUAACUAAUAUAACUUAUCACUAAUCAUUGUAAUUUGUAAGUUUGUAACUAAUAUUAUUUAUUAUUAAUCACUGUAAAUUAUAAAUUCAUUGUAACUACUAACUAAUAUUACUUAUUAUUAAUCAUUGUAAAUUAUAAAUUCAUAAAUUAUCACCAAUCAUUGUAUAGUCUAAGGUUUAUUCUAGUUUAAAUUAAUAGAUAAAUUAUUACUUUUUUUUAAUAGAUGAAUUUGGUUAAACCGAAUUCAUUACCGUUUUCGAAUUUGAAAUCGGUUGCGGUAUGAAUUUGGUUAUGGCUAAUUCAGAAUUGAAAACGGUUUAGAUUUCUAUAUGUAGAAUAACCGAAUUCACCGAAUUCAGUGCACCGAAUUACCGAUUUUGCACCGAAUGCACACCCCUAUUCCCAAGUUACAGAAGUUUAUGAUGUGUAUUAGGGGUUUCCUCAGCAAUUCGACAGCAUCUGGUGCAUCGUCCAUGGAACCAACGACAGCAACCAAAUCUGCAACAAUCCACGGUUACGGUGUCCUCAUCUCCAAAUUUAUUCUCACGGAUCUCCUCAGCUGUUUGACAGCAUCUCGUGCAAUAGAUGAGGUACCAGCGGCAGCACGAAAUCUGCAACCAGUUAAGUGAUCAAUCUCACCUGAACUGGCAUCCAGCGGUCUUCAUGUUGUCGUGAUCUGUUUCAAGACAUAAAUAUUAGGAGCAUCGUCUUAAACUCCAAAACGUUAGGUGACUGGCUAGGUUGAAAAUUUGCAAGAUAUAUGCAAAGAAAUGAAUACUAUGGAUUAAACAAAACUGUCUAUAUAUGAGAUGGUGCAACUUGGAUAUGAAUUAUUUCGUCUUAUAAGCUACUAAUUAAAAUUUAAUUUGGGUUUUGACGUUAGUUUAAUCUUUGUCCUGUUAAACAAUAGUGUGACAUUUUGGAACGUUUAUCCUUACAGUAAUACUAUAAGGAUGUGAAAAAGAUAUUAGCACUUUAAUAUAACUUCCUUGAUACUAUACAAAUAGCCUAUCAUAAAAAUUCACGUCCCAAUAAUGUGUCUCCUAAGCUCCAUUCAUUUAAGUAUUCAGGUUCAUCCAAAUAAAUAAAUAAAGGAAGGAGGAAAAAGAUUAGGUGCAUUCAGUUGUUGCAUCAGAGGAAAUGAGGAGUACAAGUGCAAAGAGAGCACCACUAAAUUUGUUGAUAUCUAGUGACAAUUGCAUUGAGCUAAACAAUAUUUGUUGAUAUCUAAAUGACCUCAUUUUUUAUGUUGAUGGGACCUAAUGUCAAUAUCGUCAAGGAAAAAUUGACUGUAAUACCCUCAUUUAGAAGCAAAAUAUCAUAUUCCAAUUUUACCAACAUGCCAUCAAAACUCGUCACCAAAAUUUAACAACUUUACUAAAACUAAUUUUCAAAGGCUGGUGAGCUUUGGAGAAGAUCUGAACAUUAAGCUCCAAAAUAUUUCAUUGGGUGAAGGAAAAUUGUUGAAAAAAGUGGCUUAUUAGCUUUAUUCUUUGAUAUUUAUAUAUAAUAAUUAAAAGAUGAAAACUUUUUUAAUUGAAUGUGGAUAUUCACAACAAAAUGAGGUACCGAAUGGAAGUUUAUGGUCUUCAUGAUUGAUGUGGUUCCAUGAAUAAACUCGUAGAGCUGAUAAGAUGAACAUUCUGGCCUUAAGAUGAGUUUAAAAUGUAGCCAUGGUAGACAUGAUGAGUCAUUUAAGGACCACAUCAUGCAUAUCUUGAUAUUAUAUGAGCAAUUUGCGAUGGAUAAAGCCAUGCAUAUGCAUGCAUGUGCUUUAUAUAAUGUGAAAAUGGAUGAGUUAGAUAAAGCUUGGUGAAGUAAAGUUAGUAUACCGAAUCGAUUUUGACGUGUGAGUAGGAUUUUCUGCUUGGUUGCUCUAUUUUAAGUGAUUAUCACUUUGUUGACAAAGAUCUUGUCGGACAAUCUCCCAAAAUAAGUUUCUAUCGUUUUUCUUUACUGAAUCACGAACAUUUCUUUAGUGAAAUUUUAAUCUUAAAUUAGGUUGGACUAAUUAUUUGGAGGGAACAUUUUAGAUGGCAAGUGACUCAUUCACUCCUCAUUUUUGCAUAUAUAGUUGAAAGAAAAACAUAAGUUUAAGCAACUAAUGACUUUGUAAAUAAAGAUUGUAUAAGAUCACUUCCAAAAGUAAGUUUCUAUACCAUAUCUUUGUUGAGUCUUAUCAAGAAAAUUUUGGAGGGAAAAUUAAUCUUCAAUUAGCUUGGACUACAUUAAGCUACUACUUGGUUGAUUGUCAAUUUUAUCAUUUUUAUUGUUAUUAAAAAAUCCAUAAUGUGAACACAAAAGUAAACGAGGAUAUCACAAAAAUUGAUUAUCUAUAAUCAAAAUCUCUAAAUAGUUAAAAUAGUCAAUAAAAACAAGCAUGUUGUAGUAUAAAAUUUUUUAGGUAGACUACUUUGUCUGUACCUUUAUAUGUUGACUACUAAUUGAAAGCUACCAUGAAUUUUGGAUAAAUAGGACGGACCUGAUUCUACUCAUGGCAUUAUUGUGUAUUAAAAACUUAUUUUUUUCCUUUUAGCUGCUGUGCUUCAUGCCAUUUGGAAUAGUUCACUCCUCAUUUUAUAUGUUUUUUCUUUUUUUCUUUUUUGGAAAUAGCCCUUUUUACAACAUAAAUAUGUUACAAUAUUUCUUUUAGGGCCUAUAAAGGUAAAUAUGGAACAAAGUGUGCUGACAUCAUUUCUUGUCAAUCUAUUGCAUUUCUUUUGUGGACACGGGCUAACUUGGUUACAAAACUAGUUAUAAGUAAGAGUGAUCAGCGUAAUAUCGAAAACAAGAGGGGCACUAGGUGAAAUUGUCCAAACAUUCAGGGGAAGUUUGUGAAAUUAUCCCAAUAGUUUGAGUACCUGCCCUGUUACUUGCAUUAGAGUGGCCCUUUAUUAUUGACUAAUGCAGACGUCCAUGUCUGCACUCUCAGGACGGAGGAAUAAAGUAUUUGUUGUCCUUGUGCGAGUUAUACAUAGUCUUUCUUGACUGCAAAAGUUGAUAAUUGAGCUAAAGAAUCGAAAGAUAAUGUGGCCAUUUUUCAAUCUCUGAUAGGAAGGAUAUCAAUCUCCUACUUUUCCGUCUUCAUGUCUGGAUUGUAUAUCAAUUUCUUUUUCUUUUUCGUUUGUUGGUUAGGUAAACUUUCAUUUUCAUCAGUCUAAAGGCCUAAAGGUCCCUGCCCAUUUCAGAAAUUUACUGAUUUUAAGUGGGCGUAAUAGAGCUUUAAUUAACUCUAUCAAGAUCUUUAUACAUUACGAGCAACUUUCCUGUUAAAAUACUAAUUCAAACAAGCUGUGCAAAUUCAAGGAUGGAACUAGAUGUUGAAAAGGAAUAGUUUAUACUUCAUAAGAAGUACUGAAUUCGUGGAUUAAUUUUCUUGUGCUAUUGCUUUAGAGUUUUAUUUACAUGAGUAGAUUUGAAUGCGCGAUAAGUAAUUGUGAUUCAAACUUGAAGUCAUAUUUUUGCACAUGAAAGAAAUAGUCCAAAAUAUUUUUUUUCUUUUUAGAACUCUACAUGUAGCUUUAACUUGACCAGUCCUAUUACUAGUCGUUGACGAGCACGAGGUAUACAUACAAUAAUUAAGUUCAUUUUACAUUUAUAAAUUGCUAAAUGCUUCAUACACGAUUUUUUGCAAGCAUAUAGAUCGAGAUUGAGUAUAGGGUUUUAAAUGUCGGACUCAUAGGAAAGAUUGUCAAUUACCGAUGAUUUUCGAAUUAUUUUAUUAUUUAGACUAUCACAAGUACAAGAAAUUAAAUCUACGUACACUAUAAACAUGAGAUAAAAGUAAUAAAAAUAACAAUAGAAAGCUCCUAAAAGUAUGAAAUUUCUAACUACUCUUGCAAGUGAAGUUACUGGUUAAGUAAAUAUUAUUAUUUUAGCUAAUUAUGGCGUAAUUCCUAAUGUAUGUGAAACAUAUUCUCGUAGUAAAUCAACUAUACUUGUAAUUAAGCCAUACCUACACAUUCAAACAACCUGUGCAAAUUCGAGAAUGGAACUAGAUUUUGAAAAGUAAUAGUUUAUACUUCAUAAGAAGUACUGAAUUCUGGGAUUAAUUUUCUUGUGCUAUUGCUUUAAAGAUUUAUUUACAUGAGUAGAUUUGGAUGCGUGAUAAGUAAUUGUGAUUCAACCUUGAAGCCAAAAUUUUGCACAUGAAAGAAAUAGUCCAAAUUUUGUUUUCCUUUUAGAAUACUACAUGUAGCUUUAACUUGACUAGUCCUAUAUCUAGUCAUGGUUAAGAAGUUUCAGAAUAUUAGUAAGGUUAUGCAUGAUAAAUUCUGUAUUUAUCCAUUACUUUGUUAAGCCAAUCUCUAGAAAGGUUUGUACUUAUUAAUUCCUUUCGCCAUCUAAACUUAUUGAUAGAACGUAGUAAUUUGUGUCAACACCAGAAACCAGAAAACUCGACCACUAGCUUAUCGAACUGAAUUUAGGUCAUUAAUUUUUUAUGCCCGUCAACUUAAGAAAAACAACAUAUCAUGCAGAUUAAUAAGUGCAGUUCAGUCCAUAGGGUAAAAUAUAAUGCGAAUAGAAUUAAAUCUCUAAAUGUAUAUCCAAGAUAAAACGCGUAUGAUUGAAAUGAUUUGUACUAAAUUUGUUUGAAAUUGCAGUGCUAUAAGUCGAAAAUGUUAAGAGUGCAUGAAAAGCAUGGAAGACUAUGUACUAACUUGACAAAGUGACUUAUUUGAAUAAUAAUGAUAACAUUUUAUAAUUUUUGUGGGUCAAUUUUGUUUUAAUCUCUUACAGUAACAAGCAUGCUUUGAUUUUUUUUUUUUUUUUUUUUGGGCUUGUUUGGAUCAUGGCCAGUCCGUAAAUACAAUAAAACCCACCAACCUUUACUCAAAAAAAAAAAAAAAAAGCACUUCCACCUCAAAAUUUACAAAAAAAAUGGAAGAAAGAAGAAACCCUACUCGUUCUCUUCCAGUGCUAUACGUUUAUCAGAAUAAAGGUCGAAACUUGCAAAAUAUCAUUCUUGAAAGCAUUCAUUAUUCAUACUUUUGUCUUACGUCAAAGUUAGACAUCUUGCAAUUCAUAAUUUUCAUGCUUGACAACUCUUUUGAUAAGAUUGAUGUUCCUCUGAAUAUCAACAUUAAAAUUUUUUUUUUCGAGUAAGUUGUACCGUCGAUACUGAAGAACUUUGAUUCCUUUCUCAGGAAGGAAUAGGAUUGGGUUUAACUCUUGUCGAUACUGAAUUUUUUUACAUUGUAAUGACAAGGAACGAUGAAGAGCACAACACACAUAUUGAAUAUUCUGCACAUCUUAUAUCAAACACAGUAAAUUCUAGCAGGUCCAAGGUACAGAAGUUUACGAUGUAACUGAGAUAGAGAUCAUCAAUUGUGUUGAUGAUCAAGUGGAUUUAUUUAUUCAACAUGACAACAACAUAAGAAGAGCACUCGAACUGAGUACUCAUUACAUGCUUCCCCUGUUUAUUCUACACCAGUUCAAAGAGAAGCCACAUAAGUCUUUUACACAUAGAGGAAAUCAACCAUCAAAAGCAAACACAACAUUACAUAUUAAGGUAAUAAUAUAGGUGUCACGGAUCCUGUGUCACACCCUUAUUUAUUUAGCAUUAAUUUUUGACCUCAUCUCCAGAUGUAGCUUCAGGGGUCUCCUCAGCGGUUGCGCAGCAUCUUUGGCAUUGUCCAUGGUACCAGCUGCAGCAACGAUAUCUGCAACGAUCUGCAGAUAUAGCUUCAGGGGUCUCCUCAGCGGAUGCACAGCAUCUUUGGCAUUGUCCAUGGUACCAGCUGCAGCAACGAUAUCUGCAACGAUCUGCAGAUAUAGCUUCAGGGGUCUCCUCAGCGGAUGCACAGCAUCUUUGGCAUUGUCCAUGGUACCAGCUGCAGCAACGAUAUCUGCAACGAUCUGCAGAUAUAGCGUCAGGGGUCUCCUCCGCGGAUGCACAGCAUCUUUGGCAUUGUCCAUGGUACCAGCUGCAGCAACGAUAUCUGCAACGAUCUGCAUUUACGGCAGCCUUAUCUCCAGAUGUAGCUUCAGGGGUCUCCUCAGGAGAUGCACAGCAUCUUUGGCAUUGUCCAUGGUACCAGCUGCAGCAACGAUAUCUGCAACGAUCUUCACUUAUCUUAUCCUGAUGAGCCUCACCAGUGGUCUUCACGCUCGCUGAUCUGUUUCAAUACACAAGGAGACAAAAAUUUUAGGAGCUUCAUCUUAAGCUGCAAAAGUUGAGUGACCUGCUGGGCUGAAGAUUUGCAAGAUACAUGCAAAGAAAAGAAUAUUAUGGAUUAAACAAAAUAGUCUACUUAUAUAAGAUGGUGCGACUUGGAUAUGAAUUAUUUUGCCUUAUAGUCCACUCAAUAAAUUAGAAUUAGUAUUAAUUAAUUUGGUUUUCGACUUUACUUUAAUCUUUAUCGUGAUAAACAAUAGUGUGAUAUAAUGUAACGUGUGUGCUUGGAGUUAUACUGUAAGGAUGAAAAAUCAGCUGUUCCACUUACCGUUGAUACAAACAACCAAAAUUUACUUUUAUUAAAAAUGAAAUAGAUAUUAGGAAACUAAUAUAACUUCCUUGAUACGAUACAAAUAGCCUACCAUAAAAAUUCACGUCCCAAUAAUGAAUCUCCUAAUCACCAUUCACUUGAGUAUUUAGGUGUAGCAAAAGAAAAAAUGGUAAGUAAAAAAAAGAAAAACUAGGUACCUGCAGCUGUAACAUCAGAGGGGAUUUGGAGUGCAAGUGCAAAGAGAACAACAAAAAGAAAGAGAAAUUUUUUGAAGAUGCCAUUUGAUCACAAUCUCACUCAGAAUGCAAAUGACGUGUUAUAUUUGUUGAUAUCUAGCGAUAUGUGCAUUGAGUUGCAUCCCUAUUUAUAAGAACUAGGAGGGGAAUACUGUACCUUGUGUGGUGGAAAUAUUUUAGGGAUAAUUUCAGAAAUCCCUUUCAGGUUUUAAUAAUUUUAAUUAGCAGCCUCUUAUUUCCAAUAAUAUAUGGGGUAAUUUUAGAGACCUCCCUUGAGGUUUGUAAUGAUUGCACCUACCUCCCUUGAGGCUUGAAAAAUUAUAAAAUCUCCCCUAUAAAGUAUGUUUUGGUAACAAAUGGUGAUGCAAGUAUAAGAAGUCUAACGAACAUCCUAUAUUGCCCCUAUUUAAUUUACAAAACAAGUUAAUGCCAAAAAAUCAAAUAUUAGUGUUUCUUACAAAGUAAAAAAUUUUAAGAUAGUUCUUUGCAAAAAAAAAAAAAACAUUUAGGCUAUAUUUCAAAGAUUCCUUUUUAAUAUUUGGACAUCUAUUUUCUUUGCUAAGUAAGUUGUGAGAAACUAUUUUUAACAAAUGCAUUCCUACUAGUCAGCUUUUUAUAAAACUAAGUAAGAAUUCCAUUUAAAUGACCUAAAAGUUGAAUAUAAUGUAUUAGGAGAGAUGAGAUUAAAACUUUUGGAUAAAGAAAUAUUUGCAAAAUGCGAUUUCCUUUUUUCUUUAUACUCACUUUUCACUUAGGAUUUGUAGAGUUAUCAAAGAUAUUAUAAUCUUGUUAUAACACCAAGGAAAGUAAGUGUAAUUUUUUAAAUUUCAAGGGAGAGCAGCAAUUGUUAGAAACCUCAGGGAGGUUUAUGAAAUUAUCCCAUAAUAUUGACCUCCCUUCUGAUGUUGAUGGGACCUACGGUCAAUAUCAUCAAGGAAAAAUUGACCAUAAUGGUCUCACUAAAAUGGCUUUUUAAACAUUAUCUUAAAGCAAAAUAUCAUCUACCAACAAGCCGACAUGCCAUCAAAACUUGGUGCCAAAUUUUAACAACUUUACUAAAAUUAAUUUCUCUGCUGGUUGGUGAGCCUUGGAGAAGAGCUUUAGGACCGGAACCUUAAGCUCCAAAAGUAUUUCAUUGGGUGAAGGAAGGUUGCUGCAAAAAGUGUGUUAUUAGCUAUAUUCCUUGACAUCAAUAAAAGGUAAAAGAUCGAUGGAAACUUUUUAACUGGAUGUCGAUAUUCACAACAAAAAUGAUGUACCGAUGGAAGUUUAUGGUCUUCAUGAUUGAUAUGCUACCCUGAAUAAACUAGUUGAGUUGAUAAGAUUGAUACGGUACGAUGAAUAAACUAGUUGCGUUUAUAAGAUGGACAUUCUGGUCUUAAGAUAAUGUUUGAGAUAUAGCCAAUGGACAUGAUGAGUCAUUUAAGGUCACAUCAUGAAUAUCUCGAUGUUAUAUGAGAAAUUUAUGAUGGAUAAUGCCGUGCACGCUGGUUCUUUAUAUAGUGUGAAAAUGGAUGAAGUAUACAUAGUUUGGUGAACUAAGUAGGCCGAAUCGAUUUUGAUACAUGAGUAGGACUUUCUGAUUGGUUGCUCAUUUUUUCAUAUGUAGUUCCAAAAAAUUAUUUUGACUGAUUACUUCGUCGAUAAAGAUAUAGUAGGACAAUCUCCCAAAAUAAGUUUCUAUGGCGUUUCUUUGUUGAAUCACAAGAAUUUCUAUGGUGAAAAUUUUAAUCUUAAAGUAGGUUGAACUAAUUAUUUGAGGGGAAAAUUUUAGAUAGUAAGUGACUGACUCACUCCUCAUAGUCGAAAAAAGAUAAGUUUACGUGGCUAAUUACUUUGCUAAUAAAGACCAUUUAUACUACUUUUAUCUGGUCUUGGGAGUUCUGUUCAAUAAAUUGGAAUUAUUAUAAAUAAGAAUAAGCUAGCUCUAGCAAGAACUAAAUCAUUAAAGUACUUUCCCUAGGGGCUUUGGGCGGAAGGGGGAACGUAGCGAUUUGAGCCUAGAUUGAGGAUGGAACUCCUAUAGUAUACCAAUUGAUGUGAAACAAAGGCUACAGCUGGAUACGAUCAACUCCAAAAGUAAGUUUCUGUACCAUCUCUUUGUUGAGUUCUUAUGAUGACAUUUUUAGGGAAAAUUAAUCUUCAAUUAGCUUGGGUAACAUUAUCGUGAGUGAGUUAGUUUCUACAGUAGAAAAAGAAACAUGUUGAUAGUAUAAACUUAUUUAGUUAGAUUACUUUGUCUAUGCCUUUAUAUGUUGACCACCAAUUCAAAUCUACUAUGAAUGUGGAUGAGAACUAUUUCAGCUCAUGGCAUUAUUGUGCAUUUUUUUUUUUUAGCUGAAGUGCAUAUUUCACUGCUCUACAAAAUUGCUUCCAGUUACGAAGAUUUUAGUGAAAAUGGUCUCUUCAUUUUGUUCAUUCACCAAGACUUUUACGCUAUUUUCGUUCCAAAGCAACAGCACAGUUAGCAAUGGUUAUGUGAUUCUAAGUGUCAAAGACUUAAAAAGGCUCUGUUGUGCUUUUGCCUCCAACCACAUAAAAAUUAAACCACUUUUCUUCUUCUUUUCACUGCCCUUUUUCAACUUAAAUAUGUUACAUAUUUCUUUUAGGGCCUAUACCAAUAAAUGUAUAUGUGGAAGAAAAUGUGAUGAUAUACGUUUCUUUUACUGACAUGGGCUGAAUUUGUUACAAAACUAGUUAAAGGUGGUCAGCCUAACACUGAAAAUAAGAGGGGUACUAGGUGAACUUGUCCAAAACUUCAGGGAGGUUUAUGAAAUUAUUCCAAUUGUUUAGGUGGCUGAGGCUGUUACUUGUACAAGAGUGACACUCCUUCUCAUAUUCGUCGUCAGAAUUCCCCACUUCAUUCGUCAUGUAGUCCUCCAUAUGUCUCGAAGUCUCCGGAUUUAUUGUCCUUAUACAAAAGUUACAGUCUUUCUUGACUAUGAAAGUUGACGAUUGAGCUAAUCACAAUUAAGAAAUGUGGCAAUUUUUCUAACUCUGGAUACUGGAUAGGAUAUCAAUCUCCUUUUUGCUGGAUGGCUUGCAUUUUCAUCUGUUAGUAUAGGUCACUCUCCACUUCCCACGUUCAAUGAUUUUGAUUAAGUUGCUGUCAUAGAGCUUUCUCAUCUCUAUCAAGAUUAAUGUAUAUCAUAAGCAGUCCAUUCAAAUCUGUUGUGCGAGUUAGGGGAUGGAACGAAAAGCAAAAAGCAGUCCAUUCAAACUCGAAAUCAUAUUUUUGAACAUGAAAGAAGUAGUUGCGACAAGUCUUUUUUUAAAUUUGUUUUUAAAUUCUGUUCAAGAAUUAUCACAAUCAGAGGCAUUGUCAAGUUAAACUUCAAUGGUCUAACUAGGCUACCUACAAAUUAUUGUUAAGUUUAGAAAUGGGGCCCUUGGUUGAUUUUUUCAGAUCUUAUCUAGUUCAGUGUCCUGUAGGGAAAUUUUGAAUGGGUGAGAAGAUCAUGUAAUCUUGGAAUUAUUUAGCUCGGCACAUUGUUUAGCUCCCGCGGCACAUUGUUUGGCUCGGCAAUAUGGGAAUUAUUCAUCUCCUCAGUUUUGGAGGCAUUUGCCUCAAUGUUUUGUCCAGCCUUUAUGGUUGAUUUAAAUCAUGAAUCAAUGAAAUUUUAUGUCUUAUCAGAUAUAUAUAUAUAUAUAUAUAUAUAUAUAUAUAUAUAUUCAUGAAUCUUGUGGCAAAGUUUAUAUUUUACAUUGUUUGUAUUCGUAAUGAUUUGUACCACAUUAUCAGAAACAAAGCCUCGCGUGUUGAAUUCUAUUCAAUUCAAACUGACUUGAUUUGGUGUAAAAUUAUAUAAUUUGAGGGUCUGUUUGUUUGGACUGAAAAUCUUUUCCAGAAAAUAUUUUCUUCAAUUUCUGGUGUUUGGCUGCAAAAGAGGUCAGGAAAAUUUUUUCUGGUAGAAAAUCUUUUACAUAACUUGGUGUAAAAUGACUUCUGGAAUUAAGAUACGGAAGUUAAUUUCUGACAACUAUCGCGACUUAUCAGUUUCCUCGGCACUUGGCUAUUGUACAAAGCCAUCAAGGACUAUACCACAGAGAUCAAAUCAAGAGCUAUUUUCCUGCACUUGCUUCUGCAAAUCCCACAACUUUGCACCUCUUCGAGCUCUCCUCUUUCUCAUGUUCCUCUCUACUGUUCCGUAAUCUUGCGCCACACAAACACAUUUAUGGAUUAUACAACUCUAGAUCUAGAUUGGGCUUGCAUUGAGAAGUUUUGAAGAAAGGAAAAAAUGUGAAGCCAAUGGAGGCAGGAGGAACAUUUUUAGAAGAAGAGUUAGUACAAUAAACAUCAAAUUUCAAUUGCUAAUUUCUUAUAAUGGUUCAAUCAGCUGUAGGCAUAUAAUUUAAACUUUUUAUUACAAAUGGCACUCAACUGGCUUGGGGAGAUUGUGAAUUCUUGGUUCUGGUCUUUGAUUUAUUUUUUGAGACUUGAAAGGAUUUGGAUUGGGGAUUGUUUGUGGUGGCUGAUGAGGUGGGUAGAGAAAAUGAUAAUCAGUAGUAGCAAUUAGCAAAAGAGAAAUUCGGGAACGAUAUUAUCGUUGGAGGAUUUUAAUUUUUUUUAGAACAUUUUCUUAGAAUUGCACCAAACACCAGAAAAUGAAGGGAAAAUUAGAUAUUUUCCAGGAAAGAAUUUUCAUUGAAAAUGUUUCUUAGGGAAAAUAUUCUACAUUGAAACAAACAGACCCUGAGUGUAAAAUUAAAUUUGUCAACUCAUAUAACUAAAUUGGUGUAAAAUUCGCGAUCACACUAAAACUAUACGAGUUUACACUAACUUUAGUAAAAAUUCUAUAAACUAAUUUAAAUUAGACAGUACCGGAUCCCACAUCAUCCAUUAGCUCAUGUUCCUUGAGUGCAUGUCAUGGAUUGUGGGAACGCAACAAUGGCAGAGGCGAAUGUCUUGUUGGGAUUGUAAUGUGGAAGGAAUCCUAUAAACAGUCAAGGGGUAUUUGAUUAUAAAAAGGAACAAAUUUACAAAUCAAUACAGUGAUAAUAAUAUGUAUGAUUAAUUUAACUUCUUUAAACUUUAAGUUGAAAAGACUAUAAAGAUUUUGUGCAUCAUGCGUGCUACAGGCUCUCAAAAAAAAAAAGAAAAAGAAAAGAGAACUCACUAAAUUGAGUCUUUUAAGACACAGAAAAAAUCAUAGCAAUGAACAGCUUGUCAUUUUUGUAAAGAAUUACCAUUUUGAAAUCAUAAUUUACGCUCACAUAUAGAUAUAUAUAUAUAUAUAUAUAUAUAUAUAUAUAUAUAUAUAUAUAUAUAUAAUAUAUAUAUAUAUAUAUAUAUAUAUAUAUAUACUUAAUUUGUCACAGGCUAUAAGAAUUUGUAAAUGCACCAUACUUAUCUAUGAGUGCAUUUAAUAGACUAAUGUAAAAGUAUGUUCUCUCAUCCAAUGAAACAUUUUCAAUCUUCACCAGCCUCUGCAGCUUUUCAUGUAUAAGGUCCUGCAAUCCUCUGCUGAAGUUUUACUUUCAGAACCCUGGAAGGAUCUACCUUCCUUACCUUCUUGAAGGUUUUCAACAACUACUGGAGAUAAGUUGGAAGCUUUCAUUGUGAAGGUUGAAGAAUAAGUCAGAAGAGAUACAACUAAAGAUAAUCCUGAAAAGUAAAUUUUUAAAGAAGAUUAAUAAUAUUAAAGCAAAUGGGAGCAAUGGAAGUAGUUAAAGACGCACUAGAUAAAGCAAAAGCUGUGAUAAUGAGAUUUGUACAUAGCCAGGUGGCUGUUCUGAAACUUCUUGGAGAUCAUAUAUUUUCUGUCCACUAACUAGUUAGACCAUCCAAGUUCAAGUUGUUUGAGCAUUUCCUAAAGGGCAGAGGCUAAAGUUCCGUUGGGUUUGUACCUUAGAAAUAGUUAUCUAAUUAGUUCGGAGGCUUUUGGUUUGUAAAUGAAUAAAUUUUACAAAUCAAUCUAUAAGUGAUAGUCUAUAUGAUAACUUUAAAUUCUUUAACCAUUUGGUUUCAAAAAUUCUAUAAAGGGUUCUUAUAAUAUACGUGAAAUUAUGAACAAUUAUAGCCUAUGAACAAUUAUAGGCUAUAAUACUGAUGGUGAUCCUUGUCAUUCUUAUAAUACGUGAAAUUAUGAUCCUUGCUAAUUGUUCAUAGGCUAUAAGUUUUUACAGAUGCACCAUCAGUAUAUUUUUCUAUAAGUGAGUUUAAUAUACGGGCAAAAAAGCAGAAUGGCCCUCAAACUCUAUAGGUGGUUGACUUUUAACCCUCCAAAUAUUAAGGACAUAUGUUUGCCCCUCGAACUUAUAAAAGGGUAUACUCUUCAUCCUUUUGACUAGAGAUAUUUUCAUAAACCUCUCCUGAGAUUUAUGUUGAUAUCGCUUGACACAUUUGAAGUUUUAGAUAUGUCACUCAAUUCCCACAUUAGUGAGAUGGGACCAUUAGUCAUUAUGAUAACACAAAUUGUUAAAAUUAUCUUCACUACUGUAACAAUUUUGAGGUAAAACAUUAUGAAAAAUAAAAGUUUUAGGCAAAACAUGUAAAUAUUAUAUUAUCAUCAACUUGGUAGAGAAUUCAAUAUUAAACAACACAAAAGAGUAGAAUUGGAAGAAAAAUAUAUCUGUCUCAUUAAAUGAUUAUUUUAAUGAUACAAGGGUGAAAUUAUUAUAAAAAAGUAUGGUUUUAAGGGAGGUUAAUGAUGUUUUUGAAACUCUAGGAGUGCCAAGUAAUAUUUACAUGAAUCUUGGGGAGGUUUCUAAAAUUAUCUCUAGUCAAAAAGGUGGAAAAUAUACUUAUUUACAAGUUGAAGGGGCAAAAAUAUACACUUAAUAGUUUGAGGGCCAAAAGCCAACUAACUUAAUAGUUUGAGGGCCAUCCAGAUUUUUUGCCCUUAAUAUAUUAAUCAACACACUUACGUUGAAGAAAAUGGAAAAAAUGGAAGUAAUUAAAGAGACACUGGAAAAAGCAAAAAUUGUCACUAGAUUUGUGCACAACCAAGCGACUGUUCUUAAAACUUGUUAGAGAUCAAAGUUCCAUCCAUUACCCGAUCAGACCGUCCAAGUUCUAGUUGACAGAGCCUUUUUUCUAACUCUUCAGAAUUUAGUCUUAGUAAAAGAGAACUUUUAGAAGUGUUUCUUUCUACUGUAUGGAAGAGCUCAAGAUGUGCUUUCUCAACAGACGGGGAAAAUAUGGCUGACUGGUGGCUGAUCGCACGUUUUGGACUGGAGCGGAAAUGGUUGGCGCCUGUUACGGAAUUGAUAAGAACGCUGAGCCACAAAUCCAUAUCUAUAUAUGUAUUACAGAAUAGGUUUUUAAGGAGGAGCUACCACGAGCGUAAGAAAUCUGAAUCCCUUUUUACUAUAAUUUUAGAUAUAUUUUAAUUCAAUAACUCUUAUCUUCUCCUUAUCCCUUUCUGCUCCUCAAUUUAAGUGACCACUAACCUACAAAAUUGAAACUCCUAAAUUUUAACUAACAAAUAAUAACCACCCCUACAAAUGGAUAUCUGCAAAUUUCAAUUCACAUCUCACGUCUACUGCUGACAACUACUAUAUCACUGAUAACAAUACUCACACUUACCACAUCACACUUAAAUUAACAAUUAGCAAUAACUAAUUGUUAAUUUAAGAAACUUUCAAUUACGAAAGUCACAUAUCCAAAAUUUAGGAGCAUGUUUGAAUUAUAAUUUUCACAAUUCUACAUAUCUUAUUGUCAUAAUGUAUUUUACUCUCAUAAUCAUUCAUAAAACUGAUAAUCACUAACCCAUUUUACCCAUUUUUCAUUUGUCAUCACACAAAUUAAAUACAGUGAAAAGAAAGACUAUGUAUCAUACUCUCACCAUAGAUGAAUCCCACUUACAAGCAUUUCAACUAGUGACGAAGCCAAGAUUUUUUUUCUAGAGGGGCUAAAAUUUUCCUAACAUAAUUAUUUUUAUGUGUUGUGUUCAAAAUAAUUUUCAUCUAAUUAAAUAUAUGACAUCUAAAAAUAUCAAAUUUUAAUUUUAAUUAUAAAUGGAUUAAAAAUAAAUAAAAUUUUUAAUAAAAAAUUAAUUCAAUUGUAAUUAAGCAUAUGUAAUUAAGUAGAUUUUAAGUUUUGCAUGGUUUAAGGAAGAGUAUAUUUGUUUAAUAAAAUUGUCAAAGUAGUGUUUGUGUACUUCUGUUUACAUCAUUCAACACAAAUAUGUUGAAAUUGUAAAUUACAUUGCCUAAUUUGUAUAAUUUAAUCAUGUUGAAGAAACAUCGUCUUGAAAAGGUAGAGAAAUUUUCCAGUAAAAAUUAGCUAAACAAACAACUCAUUAUCUUAACCUCGUAACUAAUCAUUAUACCCUCAAUACAUCCGCUAUAAAGUUAGGUUAGUGAUACUGGCAAAGUACAAAAUUUUUCACCAGAAUAAUUUGCAGCUUGACCGUCAAUAUCAAGUUCUCCAACUAUGCAUGGGACAGUGUCACCACUCUGAAGGUCAAUUCUUAUACGUACGUCAAAAUUUCUGGAGUUGCCGAUUAUAGGGGUGCAAACACAAAAUGAGGUAUCCUUUGUGGCUCAAUGGGAUUAUUCCUUCUUUUUGCGAGUCAGUCCUCUGCAGAGCUCCUCUCCCGCUCUUAGUAUACACACCGUCCCGUACGUGUCGCAUCCGAGCAACCGGAAGGAAUGGCUGAAUUAGUAAUGCAUUAGCACGAACAGUUUUAUGCAUAAGAUUUGUCCUAGGAAUCAUAAUGACAGAAAGUGUCAUCCAGUUUUAUGCACGAACAGUUUGGACAAUUGGAACGGAUCGGUUAACCAUAAACUCGAUCUGAUUUAGUGAUCAAUUGAAAAAUUGAAUUGAAUUGGUGAAAACUAGAAUAAGAAUCGAUUGGACCAAUAAAAAUGGGACGGUUCAACUGGAUUUCACUAAUUUUUUAUUCUUUAAAAUAAAUAGUUCAAUUUUGUUCAAAAUUUUUAAUACUAAAAUAAAUUAAAAAAAAUGAUUAAAUCUUUGAACUGGUCGAACUAGUCAACUUGUGAACUAGUAAAAUUCUUUUGAUUCACUCUUUGAUCUGAGUUUUAAAAACAUUACUAGUAAGGAUAUUAAUUAGGUGAGUGUGAGGACUCUUUUUCGACUCUCAAUUUUUACCUUUUUCUUUUUUGUCUUUUGUAAUACAUGGUAUCUCCUUUUGACCUUAAAAAAGGAAAUGACGUAGUAACGUUUAUCAAUAGUAAGUUGCUAUGAUAUGGAACAGCUCACAGUGCAAGCUUUUGAAUCAUAUACACUCAUGCACUUACUAAACUCCUAUGGGCCUGACAUGUUGAGUAGAAUUAAAACGGAACAGCCAAAAUGAAAAGGAAAAGUAUAAGACAAUAAAAUGGACACUAUAUCAAGCUGCAACCUCGGAGGAAAUGACAGGUACAAGUACAAGUACAACUGCAAGUGCAAGUGCAAACAGAAAAAGAGUUUUUCAAAGGGAUACCUUUAUGGUGGGAACCUGCCUAUGGUAGGAAUGCUGGCAGGGAGCGACACGUGUUGGGGGCAAAACGGUCCAAACGGAGACGUUAAAGUGAUGGUGAGCGCGUGGAGAGGAAAUGAAGCAGACACAGCGUGCGGAAUGAAGCAAACANNNNNNNNNNNNNNNNNNNNNNNNNNNNNNNNNNNNNNNNNNNNNNNNNNNNNNNNNNNNNNNNNNNNNNNNNNNNNNNNNNNNNNNNNNNNNNNNNNNNNNNNNNNNNNNNNNNNNNNNNNNNNNNNNNNNNNNNNNNNNNNNNNNNNNNNNNNNNNNNNNNNNNNNNNNNNNNNNNNNNNNNNNNNNNNNNNNNNNNNNNNNNNNNNNNNNNNNNNNNNNNNNNNNNNNNNNNNNNNNNNNNNNNNNNNNNNNNNNNNNNNNNNNNNNNNNNNNNNNNNNNNNNNNNNNNNNNNNNNNNNNNNNNNNNNNNNNNNNNNNNNNNNNNNNNNNNNNNNNNNNNNNNNNNNNNNNNNNNNNNNNNNNNNNNNNNNNNNNNNNNNNNNNNNNNNNNNNNNNNNNNNNNNNNNNNNNNNNNNNNNNNNNNNNNNNNNNNNNNNNNNNNNNNNNNNNNNNNNNNNNNNNNNNNNNNNNNNNNNNNNNNNNNNNNNNNNNNNNNNNNNNNNNNNNNNNNNNNNNNNNNNNNNNNNNNNNNNNNNNNNNNNNNNNNNNNNNNNNNNNNNNNNNNNNNNNNNNNNNNNNNNNNNNNNNNNNNNNNNNNNNNNNNNNNNNNNNNNNNNNNNNNNNNNNNNNNNNNNNNNNNNNNNNNNNNNNNNNNNNNNNNNNNNNNNNNNNNNNNNNNNNNNNNNNNNNNNNNNNNNNNNNNNNNNNNNNNNNNNNNNNNNNNNNNNNNNNNNNNNNNNNNNNNNNNNNNNNNNNNNNNNNNNNNNNNNNNNNNNNNNNNNNNNNNNNNNNNNNNNNNNNNNNNNNNNNNNNNNNNNNNNNNNNNNNNNNNNNNNNNNNNNNNNNNNNNNNNNNNNNNNNNNNNNNNNNNNNNNNNNNNNNNNNNNNNNNNNNNNNNNNNNNNNNNNNNNNNNNNNNNNNNNNNNNNNNNNNNNNNNNNNNNNNNNNNNNNNNNNNNNNNNNNNNNNNNNNNNNNNNNNNNNNNNNNNNNNNNNNNNNNNNNNNNNNNNNNNNNNNNNNNNNNNNNNNNNNNNNNNNNNNNNNNNNNNNNNNNNNNNNNNNNNNNNNNNNNNNNNNNNNNNNNNNNNNNNNNNNNNNNNNNNNNNNNNNNNNNNNNNNNNNNNNNNNNNNNNNNNNNNNNNNNNNNNNNNNNNNNNNNNNNNNNNNNNNNNNNNNNNNNNNNNNNNNNNNNNNNNNNNNNNNNNNNNNNNNNNNNNNNNNNNNNNNNNNNNNNNNNNNNNNNNNNNNNNNNNNNNNNNNNNNNNNNNNNNNNNNNNNNNNNNNNNNNNNNNNNNNNNNNNNNNNNNNNNNNNNNNNNNNNNNNNNNNNNNNNNNNNNNNNNNNNNNNNNNNNNNNNNNNNNNNNNNNNNNNNNNNNNNNNNNNNNNNNNNNNNNNNNNNNNNNNNNNNNNNNNNNNNNNNNNNNNNNNNNNNNNNNNNNNNNNNNNNNNNNNNNNNNNNNNNNNNNNNNNNNNNNNNNNNNNNNNNNNNNNNNNNNNNNNNNNNNNNNNNNNNNNNNNNNNNNNNNNNNNNNNNNNNNNNNNNNNNNNNNNNNNNNNNNNNNNNNNNNNNNNNNNNNNNNNNNNNNNNNNNNNNNNNNNNNNNNNNNNNNNNNNNNNNNNNNNNNNNNNNNNNNNNNNNNNNNNNNNNNNNNNNNNNNNNNNNNNNNNNNNNNNNNNNNNNNNNNNNNNNNNNNNNNNNNNNNNNNNNNNNNNNNNNNNNNNNNNNNNNNNNNNNNNNNNNNNNNNNNNNNNNNNNNNNNNNNNNNNNNNNNNNNNNNNNNNNNNNNNNNNNNNNNNNNNNNNNNNNNNNNNNNNNNNNNNNNNNNNNNNNNNNNNNNNNNNNNNNNNNNNNNNNNNNNNNNNNNNNNNNNNNNNNNNNNNNNNNNNNNNNNNNNNNNNNNNNNNNNNNNNNNNNNNNNNNNNNNNNNNNNNNNNNNNNNNNNNNNNNNNNNNNNNNNNNNNNNNNNNNNNNNNNNNNNNNNNNNNNNNNNNNNNNNNNNNNNNNNNNNNNNNNNNNNNNNNNNNNNNNNNNNNNNNNNNNNNNNNNNNNNNNNNNNNNNNNNNNNNNNNNNNNNNNNNNNNNNNNNNNNNNNNNNNNNNNNNNNNNNNNNNNNNNNNNNNNNNNNNNNNNNNNNNNNNNNNNNNNNNNNNNNNNNNNNNNNNNNNNNNNNNNNNNNNNNNNNNNNNNNNNNNNNNNNNNNNNNNNNNNNNNNNNNNNNNNNNNNNNNNNNNNNNNNNNNNNNNNNNNNNNNNNNNNNNNNNNNNNNNNNNNNNNNNNNNNNNNNNNNNNNNNNNNNNNNNNNNNNNNNNNNNNNNNNNNNNNNNNNNNNNNNNNNNNNNNNNNNNNNNNNNNNNNNNNNNNNNNNNNNNNNNNNNNNNNNNNNNNNNNNNNNNNNNNNNNNNNNNNNNNNNNNNNNNNNNNNNNNNNNNNNNNNNNNNNNNNNNNNNNNNNNNNNNNNNNNNNNNNNNNNNNNNNNNNNNNNNNNNNNNNNNNNNNNNNNNNNNNNNNNNNNNNNNNNNNNNNNNNNNNNNNNNNNNNNNNNNNNNNNNNNNNNNNNNNNNNNNNNNNNNNNNNNNNNNNNNNNNNNNNNNNNNNNNNNNNNNNNNNNNNNNNNNNNNNNNNNNNNNNNNNNNNNNNNNNNNNNNNNNNNNNNNNNNNNNNNNNNNNNNNNNNNNNNNNNNNNNNNNNNNNNNNNNNNNNNNNNNNNNNNNNNNNNNNNNNNNNNNNNNNNNNNNNNNNNNNNNNNNNNNNNNNNNNNNNNNNNNNNNNNNNNNNNNNNNNNNNNNNNNNNNNNNNNNNNNNNNNNNNNNNNNNNNNNNNNNNNNNNNNNNNNNNNNNNNNNNNNNNNNNNNNNNNNNNNNNNNNNNNNNNNNNNNNNNNNNNNNNNNNNNNNNNNNNNNNNNNNNNNNNNNNNNNNNNNNNNNNNNNNNNNNNNNNNNNNNNNNNNNNNNNNNNNNNNNNNNNNNNNNNNNNNNNNNNNNNNNNNNNNNNNNNNNNNNNNNNNNNNNNNNNNNNNNNNNNNNNNNNNNNNNNNNNNNNNNNNNNNNNNNNNNNNNNNNNNNNNNNNNNNNNNNNNNNNNNNNNNNNNNNNNNNNNNNNNNNNNNNNNNNNNNNNNNNNNNNNNNNNNNNNNNNNNNNNNNNNNNNNNNNNNNNNNNNNNNNNNNNNNNNNNNNNNNNNNNNNNNNNNNNNNNNNNNNNNNNNNNNNNNNNNNNNNNNNNNNNNNNNNNNNNNNNNNNNNNNNNNNNNNNNNNNNNNNNNNNNNNNNNNNNNNNNNNNNNNNNNNNNNNNNNNNNNNNNNNNNNNNNNNNNNNNNNNNNNNNNNNNNNNNNNNNNNNNNNNNNNNNNNNNNNNNNNNNNNNNNNNNNNNNNNNNNNNNNNNNNNNNNNNNNNNNNNNNNNNNNNNNNNNNNNNNNNNNNNNNNNNNNNNNNNNNNNNNNNNNNNNNNNNNNNNNNNNNNNNNNNNNNNNNNNNNNNNNNNNNNNNNNNNNNNNNNNNNNNNNNNNNNNNNNNNNNNNNNNNNNNNNNNNNNNNNNNNNNNNNNNNNNNNNNNNNNNNNNNNNNNNNNNNNNNNNNNNNNNNNNNNNNNNNNNNNNNNNNNNNNNNNNNNNNNNNNNNNNNNNNNNNNNNNNNNNNNNNNNNNNNNNNNNNNNNNNNNNNNNNNNNNNNNNNNNNNNNNNNNNNNNNNNNNNNNNNNNNNNNNNNNNNNNNNNNNNNNNNNNNNNNNNNNNNNNNNNNNNNNNNNNNNNNNNNNNNNNNNNNNNNNNNNNNNNNNNNNNNNNNNNNNNNNNNNNNNNNNNNNNNNNNNNNNNNNNNNNNNNNNNNNNNNNNNNNNNNNNNNNNNNNNNNNNNNNNNNNNNNNNNNNNNNNNNNNNNNNNNNNNNNNNNNNNNNNNNNNNNNNNNNNNNNNNNNNNNNNNNNNNNNNNNNNNNNNNNNNNNNNNNNNNNNNNNNNNNNNNNNNNNNNNNNNNNNNNNNNNNNNNNNNNNNNNNNNNNNNNNNNNNNNNNNNNNNNNNNNNNNNNNNNNNNNNNNNNNNNNNNNNNNNNNNNNNNNNNNNNNNNNNNNNNNNNNNNNNNNNNNNNNNNNNNNNNNNNNNNNNNNNNNNNNNNNNNNNNNNNNNNNNNNNNNNNNNNNNNNNNNNNNNNNNNNNNNNNNNNNNNNNNNNNNNNNNNNNNNNNNNNNNNNNNNNNNNNNNNNNNNNNNNNNNNNNNNNNNNNNNNNNNNNNNNNNNNNNNNNNNNNNNNNNNNNNNNNNNNNNNNNNNNNNNNNNNNNNNNNNNNNNNNNNNNNNNNNNNNNNNNNNNNNNNNNNNNNNNNNNNNNNNNNNNNNNNNNNNNNNNNNNNNNNNNNNNNNNNNNNNNNNNNNNNNNNNNNNNNNNNNNNNNNNNNNNNNNNNNNNNNNNNNNNNNNNNNNNNNNNNNNNNNNNNNNNNNNNNNNNNNNNNNNNNNNNNNNNNNNNNNNNNNNNNNNNNNNNNNNNNNNNNNNNNNNNNNNNNNNNNNNNNNNNNNNNNNNNNNNNNNNNNNNNNNNNNNNNNNNNNNNNNNNNNNNNNNNNNNNNNNNNNNNNNNNNNNNNNNNNNNNNNNNNNNNNNNNNNNNNNNNNNNNNNNNNNNNNNNNNNNNNNNNNNNNNNNNNNNNNNNNNNNNNNNNNNNNNNNNNNNNNNNNNNNNNNNNNNNNNNNNNNNNNNNNNNNNNNNNNNNNNNNNNNNNNNNNNNNNNNNNNNNNNNNNNNNNNNNNNNNNNNNNNNNNNNNNNNNNNNNNNNNNNNNNNNNNNNNNNNNNNNNNNNNNNNNNNNNNNNNNNNNNNNNNNNNNNNNNNNNNNNNNNNNNNNNNNNNNNNNNNNNNNNNNNNNNNNNNNNNNNNNNNNNNNNNNNNNNNNNNNNNNNNNNNNNNNNNNNNNNNNNNNNNNNNNNNNNNNNNNNNNNNNNNNNNNNNNNNNNNNNNNNNNNNNNNNNNNNNNNNNNNNNNNNNNNNNNNNNNNNNNNNNNNNNNNNNNNNNNNNNNNNNNNNNNNNNNNNNNNNNNNNNNNNNNNNNNNNNNNNNNNNNNNNNNNNNNNNNNNNNNNNNNNNNNNNNNNNNNNNNNNNNNNNNNNNNNNNNNNNNNNNNNNNNNNNNNNNNNNNNNNNNNNNNNNNNNNNNNNNNNNNNNNNNNNNNNNNNNNNNNNNNNNNNNNNNNNNNNNNNNNNNNNNNNNNNNNNNNNNNNNNNNNNNNNNNNNNNNNNNNNNNNNNNNNNNNNNNNNNNNNNNNNNNNNNNNNNNNNNNNNNNNNNNNNNNNNNNNNNNNNNNNNNNNNNNNNNNNNNNNNNNNNNNNNNNNNNNNNNNNNNNNNNNNNNNNNNNNNNNNNNNNNNNNNNNNNNNNNNNNNNNNNNNNNNNNNNNNNNNNNNNNNNNNNNNNNNNNNNNNNNNNNNNNNNNNNNNNNNNNNNNNNNNNNNNNNNNNNNNNNNNNNNNNNNNNNNNNNNNNNNNNNNNNNNNNNNNNNNNNNNNNNNNNNNNNNNNNNNNNNNNNNNNNNNNNNNNNNNNNNNNNNNNNNNNNNNNNNNNNNNNNNNNNNNNNNNNNNNNNNNNNNNNNNNNNNNNNNNNNNNNNNNNNNNNNNNNNNNNNNNNNNNNNNNNNNNNNNNNNNNNNNNNNNNNNNNNNNNNNNNNNNNNNNNNNNNNNNNNNNNNNNNNNNNNNNNNNNNNNNNNNNNNNNNNNNNNNNNNNNNNNNNNNNNNNNNNNNNNNNNNNNNNNNNNNNNNNNNNNNNNNNNNNNNNNNNNNNNNNNNNNNNNNNNNNNNNNNNNNNNNNNNNNNNNNNNNNNNNNNNNNNNNNNNNNNNNNNNNNNNNNNNNNNNNNNNNNNNNNNNNNNNNNNNNNNNNNNNNNNNNNNNNNNNNNNNNNNNNNNNNNNNNNNNNNNNNNNNNNNNNNNNNNNNNNNNNNNNNNNNNNNNNNNNNNNNNNNNNNNNNNNNNNNNNNNNNNNNNNNNNNNNNNNNNNNNNNNNNNNNNNNNNNNNNNNNNNNNNNNNNNNNNNNNNNNNNNNNNNNNNNNNNNNNNNNNNNNNNNNNNNNNNNNNNNNNNNNNNNNNNNNNNNNNNNNNNNNNNNNNNNNNNNNNNNNNNNNNNNNNNNNNNNNNNNNNNNNNNNNNNNNNNNNNNNNNNNNNNNNNNNNNNNNNNNNNNNNNNNNNNNNNNNNNNNNNNNNNNNNNNNNNNNNNNNNNNNNNNNNNNNNNNNNNNNNNNNNNNNNNNNNNNNNNNNNNNNNNNNNNNNNNNNNNNNNNNNNNNNNNNNNNNNNNNNNNNNNNNNNNNNNNNNNNNNNNNNNNNNNNNNNNNNNNNNNNNNNNNNNNNNNNNNNNNNNNNNNNNNNNNNNNNNNNNNNNNNNNNNNNNNNNNNNNNNNNNNNNNNNNNNNNNNNNNNNNNNNNNNNNNNNNNNNNNNNNNNNNNNNNNNNNNNNNNNNNNNNNNNNNNNNNNNNNNNNNNNNNNNNNNNNNNNNNNNNNNNNNNNNNNNNNNNNNNNNNNNNNNNNNNNNNNNNNNNNNNNNNNNNNNNNNNNNNNNNNNNNNNNNNNNNNNNNNNNNNNNNNNNNNNNNNNNNNNNNNNNNNNNNNNNNNNNNNNNNNNNNNNNNNNNNNNNNNNNNNNNNNNNNNNNNNNNNNNNNNNNNNNNNNNNNNNNNNNNNNNNNNNNNNNNNNNNNNNNNNNNNNNNNNNNNNNNNNNNNNNNNNNNNNNNNNNNNNNNNNNNNNNNNNNNNNNNNNNNNNNNNNNNNNNNNNNNNNNNNNNNNNNNNNNNNNNNNNNNNNNNNNNNNNNNNNNNNNNNNNNNNNNNNNNNNNNNNNNNNNNNNNNNNNNNNNNNNNNNNNNNNNNNNNNNNNNNNNNNNNNNNNNNNNNNNNNNNNNNNNNNNNNNNNNNNNNNNNNNNNNNNNNNNNNNNNNNNNNNNNNNNNNNNNNNNNNNNNNNNNNNNNNNNNNNNNNNNNNNNNNNNNNNNNNNNNNNNNNNNNNNNNNNNNNNNNNNNNNNNNNNNNNNNNNNNNNNNNNNNNNNNNNNNNNNNNNNNNNNNNNNNNNNNNNNNNNNNNNNNNNNNNNNNNNNNNNNNNNNNNNNNNNNNNNNNNNNNNNNNNNNNNNNNNNNNNNNNNNNNNNNNNNNNNNNNNNNNNNNNNNNNNNNNNNNNNNNNNNNNNNNNNNNNNNNNNNNNNNNNNNNNNNNNNNNNNNNNNNNNNNNNNNNNNNNNNNNNNNNNNNNNNNNNNNNNNNNNNNNNNNNNNNNNNNNNNNNNNNNNNNNNNNNNNNNNNNNNNNNNNNNNNNNNNNNNNNNNNNNNNNNNNNNNNNNNNNNNNNNNNNNNNNNNNNNNNNNNNNNNNNNNNNNNNNNNNNNNNNNNNNNNNNNNNNNNNNNNNNNNNNNNNNNNNNNNNNNNNNNNNNNNNNNNNNNNNNNNNNNNNNNNNNNNNNNNNNNNNNNNNNNNNNNNNNNNNNNNNNNNNNNNNNNNNNNNNNNNNNNNNNNNNNNNNNNNNNNNNNNNNNNNNNNNNNNNNNNNNNNNNNNNNNNNNNNNNNNNNNNNNNNNNNNNNNNNNNNNNNNNNNNNNNNNNNNNNNNNNNNNNNNNNNNNNNNNNNNNNNNNNNNNNNNNNNNNNNNNNNNNNNNNNNNNNNNNNNNNNNNNNNNNNNNNNNNNNNNNNNNNNNNNNNNNNNNNNNNNNNNNNNNNNNNNNNNNNNNNNNNNNNNNNNNNNNNNNNNNNNNNNNNNNNNNNNNNNNNNNNNNNNNNNNNNNNNNNNNNNNNNNNNNNNNNNNNNNNNNNNNNNNNNNNNNNNNNNNNNNNNNNNNNNNNNNNNNNNNNNNNNNNNNNNNNNNNNNNNNNNNNNNNNNNNNNNNNNNNNNNNNNNNNNNNNNNNNNNNNNNNNNNNNNNNNNNNNNNNNNNNNNNNNNNNNNNNNNNNNNNNNNNNNNNNNNNNNNNNNNNNNNNNNNNNNNNNNNNNNNNNNNNNNNNNNAAUCAAAAAUUGACCAAAAUUCACCCUUAUUUUCAAGCUUCUUGGCCGGCCCUUUCUCAAGGAAAAAGAAGAAAAACUACUCAAUUUUCUUACCUUCAAUCUUGCUCAAUCUUUCAUUCCAACCGGUUAAUCUUCAAAUUACUCCAUACAACCUAUUAGUUUAGGGGUAUUUAGGUGAUUGGUGAAGUUGUUUGGAAGCUUAAGGUGCUAAGUGGUCUCUUUUCUUUGGUUACUAAGGUGAGUAGUGAAGGUGUGACGACCCCACUUCUCCCAAGGGCGAACCCAAGGGUAUCGGCGGGCCGCCUGCCUAGCUCGCGCCAGGACUCAAAACUUAAAACAACGAAAGCUAGCAAAAUCCAAAAGAGUACUAUACAUAUAUAUGCAAUCCCAAAAGAGUUAUAAGUACAUUCCCCAAAAGUACCUGCUCAAACUAUUACAUGCUUAUAAUUACAACCAAAACCAAAAGGUAGACCCUAAGAAGGGUCCUUAUACAAACCACCACAAUAAAAACAAACAUCCUAAUUGUUCGCUAUUACAAGCAAGUCUAACUAUACUAUACUAGUGUAAGUGCCCAAACGUACCCGCGUCGGCCCCUGCUAAGGAAAACAAACGGAAUGGGGUAAGCUAAAAGCUUAGUAAGUAAACAGGGGCAAAAGCGUAAAUUUCACGUAGCAACAUUUACACAGUAAGAGUAAAGCAAAAGCAGAAAAGUAACAUCACAUAAUAAGGAUACGGUGGCUCCAAAGCCAAUUCAUUUGCCAUGCUUGAUCUCCUGUCGACACUCCGUCGACCAUAAAUAAGGUCCGUAGAACUUCACUUGUACACCCACCGACACCUUAUCACCCUCACUGGCCAGUCACCUCACAAACUUGCCCAGGCGAACGAAAUCACAAACUUGAGCUUUGAUCAUAAGCUCGGGUCACAAACUUGGUGACCUCAAACCAAGUUGGACUGACUUCGACCAAGCCCUAACCGGCUCGAAUAGUCCAUCUAGGUAUUGAGUUCAACCGCAAACUCACAAAAUUCACAAAAGUAUUCAAAAGUCACCCCGAGCCACAAGCUCAAGGGUUUUUGUUCCAAAAUUUCUCACAUACAUAUGUCAUGUACAAAUUGGUGCGUAAAUUAGGGUCUAGAUCGAGUGCGAUAAAGUACACCCUCGCCUAGGUACCCUUUUUACACAUAACGAAACACAUAAACAACUAACACAUAAGAGCGGCCUGAAUACUUACUCAAAAUACCAAAAGUAGUAUAAAGGCGGAAUUCACUUUGUGUGUUGGCUAGUAGUGGGCCCCACCGGCACCGCCUAGCUCACCACUGUCUGAAAUCGAAUAUUAUGUCACAAUAUAUCACAAACGGCAACUAACGUACUUGAAAUAAGCCAAACGGCAAAAUUGGCACGCGCAAGUGCGGAAACGGCAAAACGGCCGCACACGUCCGCGCAGAACGGCAAACGGAAAUGGCCAAAUCGGCCAUCUCAAACCGUUUUGGUCAAAAUUUAGGCUAGGAAUAUCGGAUCAAGGUACAUGAGGUACCGUUACGAAGCUAAGAGGAAGGGAUACAAUGUUCAUGAAGACAUCGCAACCCAGAUCUCAAAGGGUAUAGGUGAAAAUUGCGUGAAACAGUUCCAGCUGUUUCAUUGCGAGUUACCAAACAGGCCCUGUUUGCAAGGCCGUAACUCACGGCUCAGAAAUCGAAAUUAAGAAAUUCCAAAGGAAUUAGAAAGCUGAGACAUAAGGAUAAAACUUUCAUGUUUUGGCCAAGACCUGAAUCUAUUCAGAACAAAACAAAAUUCGAGUGCCAAAGUACCCGUCAGAACUGUCCAAAUACAAGGCAGUUCUGACGAGCGAUAUUGUUUUGAUCAUAACCGGAGCUACGGAACUCGGUUUUCGACGUACUUUAUACCGUUUCGAAGCUCAGAUCAAGAUCUAAACUUCUUAUGAAGGAGUCGGCACCCAGAUCGAACUCUAUAAAAAUCGAAAAGUCAUGGGCAGAAACAAAAUCAGAAAACGCGUAGAACCAGAGGGUCAAAACAGGCUUGAGCAUUUCGUCGAUAACUCAGGCUACGCUAAUCCGAUUGACCUGAAAUUUUGCAGUCAUACUCAGGACUCAAGGGGAUACGACUUUCAUGUUUUAUGAAACUUCUGAAUCAGCACGGAACAUUAAGAAAAAUGGAGCUCAAGUUCAGGUUCUGGGUUGCCCUGUUUACCCAUUUUGCCGGUUUCAAAUGUCGCAAACAUAUGGUUCGUUUUCAUGGUUCUUAUGCAGGUUUUUCAACCACUUUUGUACCAAAUAAACACACAUACACUAACAUCUAAAUGGCCUACAAAUGGUCCGAAAUUCCCCUCCCAAGUCAAUACCAAAUUUAACAAUCAUCAACCACAAUCCCUAACCAAAUUUCAUUUGCACCAAUGAACUUAAUCCAACCUCUCACUAACCAAACUCUAUCUCACUAACCAUAAGCUAAGCUAAAUUAGCCUAAUGGAGUUUAGGGUUUCUUAACCCAAAUCAGCUUUUUGCAAGUAACCAACCAAAUCAAGUGAGGCAAUUCAUCAAACAUAACCACUACAAGUCCAUUUCUCAACUAAACAAGUAAGGAAAGCAUUACAUUAAAAAGCCCUAAUUCUCUUUCUCUUGACCGAAAUUUCCAGCAGCAUAAAUCACCAAAAAUUAACCAAAGUACUCCAUAAAAACAAGUGAUAGGCAUAAGAGGUACCACAAUCAAGCACAACUAAGGUCCUAUGCCAAAAUAACCACUAGUUCAUCAAACAAUAAUCAACUUAAGUCUUCAAAUAGACUUUCUUACCUUUGAUUCAAGCUUUGUAGAUGAUCACCCACAACAAUCAAGUGCUCAAGUUGUUUCUCCAAGAUCCAAACUCAAGAUUGAAGAGCAAAAUUGAUGCACCAAAGCAAGCUUUCCUUUUCUUUUUUCUUUCUCUUCUCACGGCUCUCACUCUCUCUUAUUCUCUUAGUUUUUGUUUUGUUUUGUUUUCUCUUGUUUCUUAUAAGUUGUAAGACAACAUAUAGUCAAAGCUUUGGGAGAUAUUUCUUAUAGCUAACCAAUCACAAAAAUGCUUUAUUUGUUGUUUAAACCCUUGCACUUUAAUUUUCUCUUUCUUAUACAUUUUCCCUCAAACAUUUGAUAACCUUUCAAUUUACUCCAUAAGUCAUAACUUAAUCUAAUCUAAAACAUAUAAUCACGCUUAAUUAUUUCACUAAUCACUUUCUCAUCUUAAUCACUUACACUUAAGCAUGCUUUAUCCCACAUAAAAGUUAAUUAAACAAUAACCUUUUUGUCAAGGGCAAAAUUAGGUUUAAACCCACUUAAAACUUCUAAUAAAUCAUAACAUUAGGGAUUUUGCUCACUUAAGGUUUCUAACCUUCUUCUUAAAAUUAAUUAACCUAUACCAAAUGGAUUAAAUCCUAUACCUUCCCACACUAGUGGGUCCCACAUCCGAUAUACGUUCUUAAUUUCUCAAAAACUAACUACUACUAGAAAAAUCAUCUAAGAACUAUAUUUACUCAUAAAACUUAUCUGGGAAACUUUUCUAAUAAAGAAAAUGUAGAAAAUGCGGGUUUUCAAUCUUAGGGUUUUCUUCUUAGCCCUAACCCUAAUAUCAACUUACGAACGGUCUGGGUCCUCACAGAAGGAACCCCUCUCCUCUAUCUAAUGAUGGUUAAUUCAUGACUUGUGGUAGCCUAAGGGAUGUGAUUAGGUGUUAUUUCUUGAUUUUGGUUGAGAUUGAUGGCAUUUUCUAUUUAAUCAUUUUUCUGAUUUAAUAUGGUUCAUAUGGUGUGGCUUUGUAUGAUGAUGGGAAUUGAUCUAGAAUGAAGCUAGAAGGUGUAUAUUGUGGUUAAUUGCAGGAAAUUUCUGUUUUUGAAGGAAAUUGUGGAAAUUAGGGUUUCAUUCCCCCUCAUUCUGCCCGGCACUGUUCCUCAUAGUUAGAGACCGAAUUGGCCUUGGGUUAAGACAUGAAAGUUGUAGGGAAUGAUAUUUUAGAGAUGCCUACAAAAUUUCAGGUCAAUCGGAGUAGCGUAGCUUAUGAAAAGACUGAAAUACCCCUGCUGCCCUGUUUCUACCCGAACUUGGUAUUCAGCUUUGGUAAUUGGUUAAUUUGGUUGGGAAUGCUUCUGAUUUGGUUGUUGAUGUCUUCUGAAGAAUUGUACCCUUGUAUCUUAGCUUUCAGAUGGCUUUAGAAUCACUUGAUUUGGACUUAGGUAGCCUGACUUAUGAUGUUUGAACCAGAAUGCGGUUUGUUAACCUGUUUUUGCGGUUCUGGUUUAGUAUAUUGAAUUUUUGACCUGGUUGCACUAGAAACUAGACUGAGUAGCCUUCUUCAACAUUGUAUCCCUACCUCUUAGCUUCGAAACGGUGUAUAUUGCACCUCCAUCCGAUAAUCGUAGUGCCAAUGGUGCCAAAACCGCAAAAUGAUGUCAAAAACUGUUUUUAUGGUUUAGAGCUUAAUUCCAUUUCCGGAUUUCCCUGGUUUACUCUAGUGCUUAUACAUUCUUAUGGAGCCCUAUUUGGGUAGUAUGUGGAAUUGGUUUAUGACUUGUAAUCGAGUCUUAUUUUGCUUAUUUGAAUUUUUUAGGGCGUGACGGUGAGUAAAGACGCUCUUUGGGUGGAAGUUUACGAAAUUCCACUUGCUUGCUUGGUGAGUAUACUACUCACUUGUUUGUUUACAAUGUGGCUUUAUUAUAUUGAACUUGAUGCCUUGAAGGCUUAUUUGCACUGUUGAAACUGAUUAAAGUGAGGGUGUACUUGAUCGCCCUCACUCCCUUUUGUAUUAUACACGACUGUCUACUGUUUCACUGUGGUACUUGAAAUGUACAUGGAAAAUUGGAUUUGGUGUCGUUUGGACGAGGAUCCAACGGCUUUUACAGUUACUACUGAGCUCAACCCCAUUGGUAGUCGAUUGAAUCGAGCCAGCGAGGGCUUGGUCGUGAAAGUUGACUACAGCCAUGGGGACUGUUAUAUGGAAUCUUGUAGUAGUGAGACUCUUGAUUCCGGUAUACUCGAGUAUUACCAAAUUUCUACUGUUUGGAGUUCGGGCCCGGAAGGGGUAUGUUGGUGGAAGGAAUGGACGUAAAGUGGAGCCUACGGUUGGUUACUCUUAAACAUUGACGGAGGUCAAUGAGGUCUGAUCAAGAAUGCAAGCGAGGAAAGGGGCUCUUGAGAGCCGCCCGUAUCCUUUUAUCAACACUAUUGAUGUGUGUCUUUGCUUACUUUUGAUGUAUUGGAAUGAGAAACUUGAUGCUUAUAUGAACUUUGCUGCUUGAGUGAUAGUAUAUCACUGGGCGUAAGCUCACUCUGUUCCUUUUGUUUUCCUUACAGGAAAUUGAUUACUUUUGGAAAGGUUGUACAUGUUGGUUGCCGAGUUAAGCUUAUGUAAAUGUAUUUUUGAAUAGCUCCUUUUGGGCAAAACCCUAACUGUAUUUGGAUCUAAUUAUCUCGCUUUUGUUUUGUAAAUUACAAACGUAUGUAUAUAACACUGCUUAACCCUAUUUAUGGGUCUUAUUUGGUUUGGAAAUAUUUUUCCGAGUUAUAUGACAUGGCACCCACUAUUCACCGACGGUUUAGUUUGCGUUUGGCUAUUUUACGAUUUCGGCUUGUGUGAGCGCGUAUUAUUUUCCUGAAACAUUUUAGAUCGUGUUUGUCUGCACAGUUAGUCCUGGCGAGAGUUGGGCAGGCAGUCCGCUAACCUCUUUGGUUCACCUUAGGGGAAAGUGGGGCUGUCACAGUUUUCUUGAUGUAUAAACCUGUUUUAGAUUCUUUUAGUUAGAGUUAACACUUGGCAUGUUGGUUAAGAGGAAAACAAUGAAAGGAUGAAACAAGAAAAGUAGUGGUAUGCACUAAUAGCCCAAAUUCCAUAUUUCUGGAAAUUCAAGCUUCAGUUCUGCCCGGUUCCAGUUCGUGAUGUUAGAGACCGAAUUAGCCUUAGCUCAAAAUAUGAAAGUUGUAGAGAAUGAUGUUUUAUAGUUGCCUGUAAAAUUUCAGCCCAAUCCGACCUCUGUAGCCUGUGAAAAGACAAAAUUACCCUACUGCCCUGUUUCUGUCAAAAAUGAUAAUCAGCCUCUGUAAGUGGUUAGUUUGACCAGGAAUAUUACUGAAUUGAUUGUCGAUGUCUUCUUAAGAAUUAUGCCUUGUAUCUUACUUUCAAAUGGCUUUGGAAUUACCUGAAUCGGAGUUGUGUGUGCUAGAUAUGCUUGAAUGAAUCAGGACUGCUAGGUAAAUUUCACAGUGAGUUUCGAACUAGAAAAUCUGGGGUUGUUUUGGUGAAUUUGACCUAGUUAGGGUGAGAACUGGACAAAGUAGUCUUCAUCAAAGUUAUAGCCCUUGAAACGGUAUAACUUGCACUUCAAUCCAAUAAGCGUAGUUUCGGUUAUGUCCGAUAUGCUAAGUAGCGGUGAAUCUGCCUUUUUGGUUUCCAAGCUUAAAACUCAUUUCCGGACAUUUUCCUAGUUUGAUUUCGUACUUGUAUGACUUUGAGCCUAUUGAACGGCUAUUGAAAUGAGAUGAUUUUGUGUAUGACUUUGGGGCUUUAUUGUGAUUGAGUUGAGAUGUGAUUUGUAAUGUCUUGUAGGAUGGAAAAUAAGGAAUUUAAGGGGAAGUGCUGUCCAAUCUUUGAGAACGUUUAACCGCUGCGAGUUUGGGUUAAUUCUUGGUAGAAUGAAGAGCUUGGACUUGAUCGAGGAAAACUGUCUAUGAUGGAUGAGGAUUAAGAGCCGUGGUUGGUGAGUGACCCAAACUAUUUCCAAAGCUAAUUAUGAAUUGUUUCUUGCAUUAUUUACUCGAUUGCAUAUCAUGUGUGCUUGCAUAUGAAUUCAUGACAUGAUUUGGCUCCAAUGAGUUCUUGGGAAGUCUUGUGCUGAACACCAACGUCUCCACCACUAUUUACUUGGAGCAAAUGGCUCCCUAUCACUGUUUCACUGUUACUGGAUCAAUUUGAGCGUUGGAUGUUUAGGUACAAUGAUUUCACAGGCUCACAAGAGCAAUAAACGUAUAUUUGAUUACUGAUUCAUGAUAUCAUUGAAAUGAACUAUUGAGAAACUGAUUUGAUGACUGCUUUUACUGGUUACUCGCUGAGCUUCUAGCUCACCCAAAACGUUUUAAUUCCCCUCCACAGGGCUCGAGGCGAAGGAAGCGCUUGUAUCACGUUAUUCGUGUGACUGGAUGGCUUAUAUCUUGUAUAGUUUAGAUUUGGACUCAUUUGUGUAAUAGUUGGGCCAGUGUGACUGUUUGGAAUUGAAGUGGAUGUAUGUGUACGUUCCACGCUUAGAAUUAGUUUCCGCUUCGCUUAUGAUAUGUUAAUUUGAGAACAUUUGAUGUAUAGAGAUGUAUAUUGUAUUUGAAUUGAGGAUUGUUGUGAGUGAGUGAGUCCCGGCGAUAGCUGGGCAGGCGGUCCGCCGAACUCUUUGGUUCGCCUUAGGGUGAGGUGGGGCCGUCACAGUUGGUAUCAGAGCUUAGGUUUCCGAUCUCUGAAGUGUAUCCUAGGCUUCAAGUUUAGGAUGCCGGACUGUGGGUCUGAUGAAAUAUCAGUGAUUUCUUGUAGGAAUGAAAAUCAGACAAGUGGGAUUAGGCUUGCUUGAAAUGCUUGUUUGACUUUUGCGGAUCUCUUGACUUGAUUCGUACAAGUUGGAAUGUCAAGAACGAUAUUCUUUUAAGGAGGGGAGAUUGUGAUACCCCGAAUUUUAGGACAAUGUUUUUCCCUCGUUCUUUUAAAAUUUCGAUUUCUUUCUUUUGUCUUGUUUUAACACAUUGUUUUUUUUAAUUGGACACUUUAAAUUUAAAUCAAAACCCUAGUUUUUACUUGUGAUUAACCGUUUUCUCAAAUUUCUCAUAUUUCAACCGAAACCCUAAAUUCAAUUUAUGGAAUUUUAAAAUCCCUCACGUUUUUCUUAAAAAUCCCCUUUUAAUUGGAAAUUAUGAUUUUAUAAUAACCCUACCACCCAAUCACCCCAACAAUAAUGCAAAUGAACAUGAAAGUAAAGGUUUUCCUUUUCGUUUUUAAGUUAGCGCGAAUUAGGAUUUUCCGUUUUUCCGUAGUGUGACUAUUCGGUACGGAGUGAGGAUCAAAAUUGGUGAGAACACCGCGUGGGCAUGCCAAGAUUAUAAAACAUCCACUGACCUCAGGAGAGACAAACAUCGCGUGGGCACGCCAAGAUUACGAAACGUCCUCUGAUCUCAGGAGACACCAACACCGCGUGGGCACGCCAAGAUCUCACUUCCUGAUUUCAGUGAAGGAAAUAUUAAUACAGAUACUACCCAACGAGUAAAUGACCCACUGCAAAAGAAGAACAACUACAAAUAACAAAACUAAUAUUCGGGUUGCCUCCCAAACUAGCGCCUUUCUUUAGUGUCUUUGGCUAGACACAGCCCAUAAUUUGCUUAAACCAAGCAAAUUGGGUCCUCCAAAUGCAUUAUCUCUACCCGCUCAACUGGAACCUCAUCAUAAUACGGCUUGAGACGAUGACCAUUCACCACAAAUUUCUUCUCCGUCUUCAGACUCUGGAUCUCCACUGCACCAUAAUCAAAGACAUUAGUUACAACAAAGGGACCAAUCCAACAAGAACGUAACUUACCCGGAAAUAACUUCAACUUCGAGUGAUACAGUAGAACUUUUUGUCCACAUUCAAACGUCUUCCUAGAGACCUGCUGGUCAUGAAAAAUCUUAUUUUUCUCCUUAUAAAUCACAGCAUUUUCGUAGGCUUCAUUGCGAAUCUCCUCCAAUUCUUGUAACUGUAGCUUCCUUUGAAUUCCGCCCUCUUCGAUAUCCAUGUUGCAUUGCUUGACAGCCCAAAAUGCUCUAUGCUCGAAUUCGACAGGGAGGUGGCAUGGCUUCCCAAAUACCAAACGGUAAGGGGACAUGCCGAUCGGUGUCUUGUACGCCGUUCUAUAUGCCCACAAGGCAUCUUCAAGUCUCACACUCCAGUCCUUCCUGUCAGGUCGAACCAUUUUUUCCAAAAUCGACUUGAUCUCCCGGUUCGAUGCUUCCGCCUGACCGUUUGUCUGCGGAUGGUAAGACGUGGAGACUUUGUGCAAGACACCGUACCUCCUAAAAAGUGCAGCAAUCGUCUUGUUGCAGAAAUGGGUACCCCGAUCACUUACAAUUGCUCGUGGCAUCCCAAAACGGACAAAGAUAUUAGAUUUAAUGAAUUCUGCAACCACCUUAGAAUCAUUAGUGCGGGUGGCUUUUGCUUCCACCCACUUUGAGACAUAAUCUACGGCAAGCAAUAUAUACAAAAAACCGAAAGAUGAAGGAAAAGGGCCCAUAAAAUCAAUACCCCAAACAUCAAAAAUCUCAACAAAAAUCAUUGGGGUCUGGGUCAUUUGAUCCCUUCGAGAAAUACUACCUACUCGUUGACACUUAUCACAUGACUUACAAAAUAAAUAGGUAUCCUUAAAGAGGGUUGGCCAAUAAAAUCCACUCUCUAGAACCUUACGAGCAGUUCUCUUUGGUCCAAAGUGACCUCCACAUGCAAAAGAGUGACAAUAAGCUAAAAUAGACUGGAAUUCAUUUUCACUCACACAUCUGCGAAUGAUUUGGUCGGCACCACGUUUCCAGAGGUAAGGAUCAUCCCAGAUGUAAGAUUUUGCGUCACUCCUUAACUUAUCCCUUUUUGCCUUAGGCCAUCCUGCAGGAAACUUGUCAGUAACUAGAAAAUUAACAAUAUCUGCAUACCAGGGCAAAGUUAAAUUAGCAGAAAAUAAGUGCUCGUCAGGGAAGGUUUCUCUCAACGGGAUAUCGUCCUUGGUGACUUGUACCCGACUCAAGUGAUCUGCUACCAAAUUCUCUGCCCCUUUCUUAUCUCUGAUCUCCAAGUCAAACUCCUGUAGCAACAAUAUCCACCUUAUCAGUCGCGGUUUUGCCUCUUUCUUGGUCAACAGAUACCGCAGGGCUGCAUGAUCAGAGAAAAUAAUAACUUUAGUACCAAGUAAAUAGGAACGAAAUUUUUCUAAAGCAAAAACUACAGCUAGGAGCUCUUUCUCGGUGGUCGAAUAGUUCAAUUGGGCUCCGUUCAAGGCUCGAGAUGCGUAGUAUAUAGCGUGGGCUGCCUUUCCCACUCUUUGACCUAGUACCGCACCCACUGCGUAAUCGCUGGCGUCACACAUGAUUUCAAAUGGGAGAUUCCAGUCAGGGGGUUGGAUGACAGGUGGAGAAGUGAGUAAUUUUUUCAACUUCUCGAACGCUUCUUCGCAUUUCUCGUCGAAUUCAAAACUGACAUCCUUUUGUAAAAGCCUGAAAAGUGGUGCCCCGAUCUUUGAGAAAUCCUUGAUAAAUCUGCGAUAGAAACCUGCAUGUCCUAGAAAAGAACGAACUUCCCGUACAGUUACGGGGUAAGGUAAAGCAGAUAUCACAUCUAUUUUAGCUUUAUCAACUUCAAUUCCUCUAGAUGACACUACAUGUCCUAGAACUAUCCCGUGCUCAACCAUGAAGUGACAUUUUUCCCAAUUCAGCACCAGGUUAGUCUCAAUGCAUCUUUUUAAAAUCAAUGUCAGGUUAUCUAAGCAAUCGUCAAAGCUAUCACCAUAGACACUGAAGUCAUCCAUGAAUACCUCAAUUAUCCUCUCUACAUAUUCAGAAAAAAUGCUAAUCAUGCACCUCUGGAAUGUUGCAGGGGCAUUACACAAUCCAAAAGGCAUUCUUCGAUAGGCAAAAGUGCCAAAGGGGCAAGUGAAAGUUGUUUUCUCUUGAUCCUCUGGCGCAAUUGCUAUCUGAAAAUAACCAGAAAAACCAUCUAAAAAACAAUAAUAGGCACGACAGGCUAACCUUUCAACCAUUUGAUCAAUGAAUGGAAGGGGAAAAUGAUCCUUCUUGGUCACUGCGUUCAAUUUACGGUAAUCGAUGCACUGGCGCCAACCCGUAGGCUUUCGAAUUGGAACAAGGUCCCCUUCAUGAUUUUCUUCCGCAGUUACCCCUGCUUUCUUUGGCACCACUUGGACCGGACUUACCCAUGGGCUGUCUGAGAUAGAGAAAAUAAUUCCUACGUCCAGAAGCUUGAUUACCUCUUUUUUGACCACUUCCAUCAUGAUGGGGUUCAAUCUCCUUUGUGGUUGCCUUAUCGGCCUAGCAUCCUCUUCCAGGCGAAUUCGAUGCAUGCACACAGACGGGCUUAUACCCUUGAUGUCUGCAAUUGUCCACCCUAUAGCUUCCUUAUGCUCCCUUAAAACCCGCAGCAGUUUGUCCUCCUCCGUGGGUGAUAAUUUGGAUGAGAUUAUCACUGGUAACGUCUCUUUUUCACCUAGAAAGGCAUACUUUAAAUGCUCGGGAAGGGGUUUCAACUCCACUUCAGGUGCCUGCACGAUAGAAGGUAACAGCUUUAGGUGUGGUUCAGGCACAAAUAUAGGAGCAACAUCAUACCUUAGAGGACUUUGGCCUAGUGAAUGCAAGGCUCCAACCAUUCUUUGCAAAUUGAUGUCUAACUCCAUUUCGCAGGCCACUUCCAGAUCCAAAUGUUUGGUGAUUGCUACCUCCAAUUCAUCCCUGCCAUUAAUCUCAAAUACUUCUUGCACCAAAGGGUCAAUUAUACUCACAGCAAAAACAACAUUAGAAUGACACGGAUAUUUCAUGGCCUCAAAUAUACUAAAAUGAACUAUUUCUCCAUCAAAUUCCAUCGUUAGGGUGCCCUUACUAACAUCAAUUUUUGUACGAGCCGUGCUCAAGAAGGGUCUCCCCAACAAAAUUGGUGAUGGAUUUGGAGAACGUUCAUCACCCAUAUCAAGAAUAUAAAAAUCAGCAGGGAACACUAAAUUGUUCACUUGUACUAACACAUCUUCUAUCACCCCAUCAGGAUAAGCAUUAGUCCUAUCAGCCAAUUGAAUUAUAAUGCCAGUUUCCUUUAAAGGGCCCAAAUUCAGAGAAGUAUAUAUAGCCCUGGGCAUCACAUUUAUAGAGGCUCCUAAAUCUAACAUGGCAUUCCUAAUGCUAGUGUUCCCUAUUUUGCACGGAAUAGUGAACAUACCUGGGUCUCCGCACUUGGGUGGAAGUUUUCUUUGAAGCACUGCAGAUACGUUCUCUCCCACAAUUAUCCUUUCAUCUCCCCUCAGUUUCUUCCUAUUGAUGCAUAGGUCCUUCAAAAAUUUGGCAUACCGGGGUACUUGCUUAAUUGCGUCAAGUAAGGGGAUAUUUAUCUCCACUUUCCUAAACAUCUCCAAUAUUUCCUUUUCCUUGUCUUGCUUUUUCGGCCUUUCCAACCUGCUAGGAAAAGGUGGUGGGUUAGGCUUAAUCGGAACCACAGGGUUACGUAUUACCUCUUCAUUUGUGCCAGGAGUUCCUUCUUCCUCAAGCUCCUUCUCAAUACGGUCCUCAUUCUUGUCCUUCGGAGCCACUGGGGCUGGACCUUCAACCUCUUUCCCACUCCUGAGGGUCAUUGCACUUACAUUCUUGGGAUUCACCUCAGGUUGGGAUGGGAGUUUUCCCUUCCCCUGGGAGUCUAGUCGGUUGACAAUGGAGGCUAAUUGACUCAUCUGAUUUUCCAAGUUUUGCAUACGUGCUUUCAUCUCUUGAUUGUUGGCCUCAGUGUCCUGUUGAAAUUUCAUAGUAUUAGAGGCUAUGGUUUUAACCAUGUCUUCUAGGGACAUACCUGAGAUAGAGGAGGGUUGAUUCCUUGUUUGAUAUUGUUGCUGGAAGCCCUGCUGUCUAUUGGGGAUGAAAUUUUGUUGCUUAUUUCCCCCAUAGCUUAGAUUUGGAUGAUCCCUCCAACCCGGAUUGUAUGAGUUGGAAUAGGGGUCAUACUGUCUACGUGGCAUGGGCAUGUUACCAGCCAUAUUUGCUUGCUCAAUUCCCUCUUCAUGUAACUGUGGGCACGAGUCAGUGGUAUGACCAAUAUUCGUGCAAAUCCCACACACUUUGGCCUGCUGUGCAUUUCCUACAGCUAUCUGUCGAACAAAUGAGGUUAAUUCAGAUAACUGCUGUUCGAUGGAAGAUGAACUUACCUCGUUGACCUUUCUCGUAGGAACAUCUGCUCUCGUACCAAACUGCUGGCAAUUCUCUGCCAUUCGCUCAAUUAAGUCCCAUGCCUCCUGGGUAGUCUUAUUUACCAGUGCACCACCACUUGCUGCAUCAAUGAUAUUCCUAUCGUUCAUCAGUAGCCCCUCGUAGAAAUACUGAAUCAGCAGUUGAUCACUUAUUUGGUGAUGUGGGCAUCGGGUACGCAGCCUGGUGAACCUCUCCCAAUAUUCAUACAAGGAUUCCCCGUGAAAUUGCUUGAUUCCACAUAUUUCCUUUCGCAAGCUAGCAGCUCUGGAUGCAGGGAAAUAUUUUUCAAAAAAUUUUUUCUGCAUCUCUGGCCACGUGGUGAUAAUGCCUGCAGGUAGACAGUAUAACCAGUCCUUUGCCGAAUCCUUGAGAGAGAAAGGGAAGGCCCUUAAUUUAAUUUGUUCAUCAGUUACUCCCGAAGGUUUCAUACUCGAACACACCACAUCAAAUUCCUGCAUGUGUUUGUGGGGUUCCUCUCCUGGCAGACCAUGAAAAACAGGCAACAAAUGUAUUAAACCAGGUUUUAAUUCAAAAGCUGCAUUCUCACUAAGGCGAGGAAAAGUUAUGCAAAGAGGUUGUUGGGUCAAGUUUGGAGCAGCCAACUCCCUUAAUGUUUGUGUGUUUGCCAUGUCGACGCUCUCUUGGCAAAAAUCACUUGAAGUGUCACCAAACGAAUCUGCUGGUUCAACUUCGGGCUCAGGUCUCUGAGAUGUAGCCCUGGAGUGCUCCUCUCUGAGCUGUCUGGUUUCUUUCCUUGUUCUACGCGCGGUUUUCUCUACUUCAGGGUCAAAAAUCAAUUCACCUGCACGAGAAGACCUAGGCAUACACUAGAAAAAUACCAGAAAAUUAGAGCAAAAAUGAAAUUUAAAAAGAAACAAAUAAUAACGCCAGUCCCCGGCAGCGGCGCCAAAAAUUGACAGGUCGUCAACCUGUGCAAUAAUAAUAAUAAUAUAGAACCUAGAUACCACUAAGAGCUGUCAAUAAUUAAUCCUAGGUACUGGAGCAGGGACUCUAGGUGUGCAAUGGGUUACUUGAUUCACCCUGUUCCCGAAAAGUUUGCUGAACCCGAUAUACCAGAAUUAAUUAGUUGGCAAAAAUAGUAGGCAGUGGCAAGUAAAGUCGUCUCCUCAGGGACUGGGGAUAUCUGUCUCUUUUUAAAGUCCAAUUGAUAAGGGGGGAUUUCACCGGAAUGGAACUAAAAAUAAUUAAACAAUUUAAUUAAAAAUAAAUAAAUCACUAGCACAAGUAAAGCAGGAAUUAAAUCAAGAAUAAAUAAGUUCUAGCCAAGGAUACAACUACUCAGGCACAGUCCAUUUAUCCGAUCAUUGAUGCAGGAGAGGUUCACUUAAUUUAUUAAUAGGUUAGUUAUAGUCUGACGACCAAUUUUUCCUUAAAUUAUUGAUAACCAAGGUACGACCAUUGAUCACCCCUAACCAGAAAAUACUCCUAGGUACGACCGUAGGAAUUAAUUUCCCAAUUGCAUUAAUAUUAGAAAAACCUAGCCCUAACCAAUAACACGCUACGAGGGUUAUUUAAAUUAGAUUGCACGUUCCCCUAAUGUGUAAACACACCAGUUGCCACUAAUAUUAAUCAAUCAAACAAUUACGGAUUUAAUUGACUAAAUUGGCACGAGACUAAUAAAUCACAUUGAACAUCGGGCCCUUGACAUCCAAUUAAUAAAAUAAUCCCAUGAAAAUACAAGCAGGCAACGUGCAAUUAUUAAUAAAUUAAGGAACGCGUGAAAACUAAUUAGAUCUCACAGGUUUUCGGGACUGCGCCGUCGAGUUGAUCCUUGACUAGAUGGAAGAUUUAGCCACGCCGCAUAAUUAAAUCACCACACGAAUUAAUGGAUUGCAAAGGCAUAGCGUUUUCUAUUAAGAAGCAAGGAAUAAAAGGUGUUUUUCCCGUUGGGGAAUUUUGUCGAACACCUGGCGUGCCAGAGGCCAGUCAAAAGAAGGAAAAAGUAAAGCUACACUAAAAGACUAAAACCAGAGAUAUUCCUCUGCUACUCUCCGUUCCCUAUUUAAGCCACAAAAGAAAGAUAACUCAAGGCUCUCUACGUGGUCCCCACACAUGUGGGCAAAGCCUUCAAAGUACUUCUUGCCCCAAGUCUCCUUCCGUAGCUUUCUUUUUAGAGUCCAAAUGACUAGAUGCCUUCCACUAGCUUGUGGUCCCCACAAAUUCAAGGACCCAAGCAUUGAAGCCCUUAGAAGUCUCCAUAUUUUCCAUAAAGUCCCUCCUUUUGGUAGUUUUCUGCUUUAUUCCUGAAAUUACGUCCACAUACCAAAUAUGAGUAAAUAUCAGCAAUUAACACAAUAUUUGUCAGGGAUAAAAGGGAAAAUUAAUAAUAAAAUUACUAACAAAUUGUACCCUAUCAACAAAUUAUAGUAAUUUAUAUUUAUUAAUUGUCAAUGAAUGGUUUUAUUUGAGCUAUAAUUAGAAUGGAAGUUGCCUAAUUUAAGUAUAUUUUGGUUUUUGCGGGAAAAGCACGCAAUUGAGGAGGGGAUGAAUAAAAAACGCAACAAAAGAAGAAGAAACGUUGAAAGGGACUUUGUGAGGACUUCUUCCAGUUCCAAUGAUUUCUAAAGAAAUUUCUAAAAUUAUGAUGAAUUUUAAAAAAAUUCUACAAAGGGGCCAUUUUGAGUAUGGGAUUCCGUCCAAGGGGUCUUCGCAUUCAGCAAAUGCGAGCUUCCUCAGCUCGCAUUUGCUGAAUGCGAAGUCUCUUGAAUUUGCAACCAACGAAAUCCAAAAAAAAAAACAGACCUCGCAUUUGUAAACAGUACGUAGGCCUGACCUCUUAUCCUGUUUCUGAGCAACAAAGCAUAGCCACGAAUUUGAAAGCCAUUUGCCAAGUGAAAAGAAAAUGUGCAGUGCAAAUGGGACACAAAAUUGAUUGGGGAGUCCUGUUGAGGUAGUACAAGUGGCAAAUUGGGAGGGGAGAGAGAGGCGCAGCUGGCUAGCUUCACAGAAAUAGGUUCCGAAUAGGGGUCCAAGCUCUACAAUGGCGCAGAGCUUCCAACGAGAAAGAUGUGAGGGAUUUCGUCUGCCGAUCCUGGAAGCUUGGACUGGUGUCUAGCUCAGCAAAAGAGAAGAGAAAGUGAGCUGGAUGGAGAGAGUGAGCUCCAAUUUCUGCAGGUUAGGAGACAGAUUAGAAUGCCGUAAUUAUGAGCUCUGCCUUUUUUUCAGAUUGAGUACCUCGCAUUCGAGAAAUGCGAGGUACCUCAGCUCGCAUUUGGCAUAUACGACCUUUGUUGUUUUUUACUUUUUCUCAAAACCUUUCUCUUUUUUCUUGAAACACUGACCUCGCAUUUGUGAAAUGUGAAGUCUUUGAACUAGCGUUUCACAAAUGUGAAGACCAUAAUCCUAGAAUUAGCUUCAAAAAUUACCCCCCUUGUAAAACAACUUUUUUUUCUAUCACAAUUUAAGAAUUUACUCUGAUUUUUGAGCAUAACAAGUUUGCGGCCAGAGUUAGAGCCGGUCUUCGGGCCGAACUUUAUUGGAAAACCCAUUCAAACUCGAUUUUUGGUAAGUUUUCAAGACCUAUUCCUACCACAUUUCGGAUGCAACUUUGAGAGACUAUAAAUAGGACAUUCUAGGAUAUUUUUAGGUUAGAAAGCAUUUAGCUUACAUUAGUUCAUCCUUUUUAUAUCUUCUUUUCUUGAGAGAUCACAAAGGAAGUGUUGAAGAAUCAAAGAGAAAGUUCAAGAUGGAGAUUGGAGUAGGGAAAAAUUGAGAAGUUUUCUUUAUUUUUAACUUCUUAUUUUGUCUUUCAUUUGAAUUCUUGGAUUUAUCUAUGAAUAUGUUGAACUAAUUUAUAGCUAGACUUAAGAUUUUGUGAAGGAGAUUUGAUUAUUUGUUCUAGAUAAAUUAUUCAAUUUUUCUUUGAUUUAUCUAUCUUGCCUUUAUUACAUAUUUAUGUUUGGCCACUAUAGAUAUGCUUUUAGGGUUUGUAUUGAAUUGAGAAGCGAUAUACAACCAUAUAUUAGAUAAAUAAACUUACUUAACCUAAUUAUGAAUGUGGGUUAGGAUUUGUAUGGCAUAAUCAUAUCACCUAAAAUCUUAAAGGGUUUAAUUAAAUACCUAUGAUCUUGAGAGCAAUGUGAGAUUUCAUUAGACACAAUUUAGAUGUAUCGAGAGAUAAUUAAAAUACUUUUACGUGAUACGUCUUUGACAUGUUAAGAAAAUAAUUGGAUAAUGAUUCCAAUUAUGAAUCAAAAUUUGAAACUCUAGUCUUUUGCUAAUUGUUUUCUCACCUAUAUCUUAUUUGAUUUGAUUACUUAUUUAAUUUCUUAAUUAGUGACUAAAAACCCUCUAAAUUUAAAUUUUAUUAUUUUUAUUAGAAUAAUUAAAGUAGAAAAAAUUAACUCAUUCCUAUAUGUUUGACCCUGAAGUACUCCAAGUGAAUUAUUAUUUCGAUCAACCCUAUACAGUUAUAGAAAUUCAUCGAUCACACAGCAACUAAAAAAAAAUUAACGCACAAUAAUGUCAUGAACACAGUUCCCAUCUUAGUUGUUCAACAUUCACGGUGGAUUUCAAUUAGUGGUAAAUAGAUAAAGGCAUCGAAAAAAGUAAUCUAAUUACUAGAUAAUUGAAUUUAUACUACAGCAUAUUUCUUUUUUCUACUGCAAAAACUUAACUAAUUUAAGACAAUGUAGUCCAAGCUAAUUGAAGAUUAAUUUCCCUAAAAAAUGUUCAUGAUAAAAACUCAACAAAGAGAUAAUACAACAGCUUACUUUUGGAGGUGAUCUUAUACGGUCUUUAUUAACAAACUAAUUAGCCACUUAAGCCUUUUUUUUUCCUUUUGGGACUACACAUGACAAAAUGAGGAGUGAAUCAGUCGCUUAAUAUCUAAAAUUUUCCCUCCAUAAUUAGUUCAACCUGAUUUAAGACUAAAUUUUUACUAUAGGAAUGUUCGUGAUUCAGCAAUGAAAGACCAUAUAAACUUAUUUUGGGAGAUUUGUCCUAGAAGACAAAAAAUGAGCAACCAAUCAGAAAGUCGUACUUACAUAUCAAAAUCGAUACAGUCUACUUAAUUCACCAGCUAUGUAUAUUUCAUCCAUUUUCACAUAAUAGAAAGAACAAUAAUGCAUGGCAUUAUCCAUCAUAAAUUGCUCAUAUAACAUCAAGAUAUCAUGGUGUGGACCUCAAAUGACUCGUCAUAUCUACUGGCUACAUUUUAAACAUAUCUUAUGGCCAGAAUGUUCAUCUUAUCAACUUAACGAGUUUAUUCAUGGUACCAUACCAUUAAAUUAAAAAAAUUUCCACGGUUUACCUUUUAUAGACGUCAAGGAAUAUAGCUGAUAACGCACUUUUGGCAGCAAGCUUCCUUCACCCAAUUAAAGAUUUUCGGAGCUUAAAGUUCAGCUCCUAAAGCUCUUCUCCAAGGCUCACCAACCAACAGAGAAAUUACUUUUAGCAAAGUUGUUAAAUUUUGGCACCAGGUUUUGAUGGCAUCUCGGCAAGAUUGGAAGAUUAUAUUGCGCUUCUAAGAUAAUGUUUAAAAAAGCUAUUUUAGUGAGGGCAUUAUGGUCAAUUUGCCCCUGAUGAUAUUGACAUUAGGUCCCAUCAACAUCAGAAGGGAGCUCAUUGCAUUAUUGGAUAUAACAAGGGUGCUAGUGAAAUUAUGAAAACCCUCAAGGAAGGUAUUUGAAAUUAACCCUAAAAUACUCAUUCCACGCAAGGCGUGGCGUUCCCCUCCUAGUUCCUAUAAAUAGGGCUGCAACUCAAUGCACUUAUCACUCGAUAUCAAUAAUUUAGCACAUUAUUUACAUUUUGAGUGAGAUUGUGAUCAAAUGGCAUCUUCAAAAAAUUUGCUCUUUCUUAUUCGUGUUCUUUUUGCACUUGUGCUCCUCAUUUCCUCUGAUGCAACAGCUGCAGGUGCCUAGUCCCUUUUUUUCUUUUCCUUUCUUCCUUUUUUUUUGGCUGCACCUAAAUACUUAAAUGAAUGGAGAUUUGGAGACUCAUUAUUGGAAUGUGAAUUUUUAUGGAAGGCUAUUUGUAUAUUAUCAAGCAAGUCAUAUUAAUGUGCUAAUAUCUUUUUCAUUGUUUAGCAAAAGUAAAUUUGGGUUGCUUCUAUCAAUGGUUAGUGGCACAUCUGAUUUUUCAUGCAUCCUUAUCGUAUUGCUGUAAGGAUACACGGUCCAUAGUGUCGCACCAAAGAUUAAACUAACGUCGAAAACCAAAUUAAAUGCUUCUAAUUAUAAUUUAAAGCAAAACAAUUUCCCUUAUAAAUGGACGAAAUUCCCUGCCAACAAAUCCAAAUUCAAGAAAAAAAUUUUCUUAAGGAGAAACUCUGCCAAAAUUUUCUUAAAAUAAAUAAAAUAUUUAAUUAAAAAAAUAAAGCAAAAUAAUUCAUAUCCAAGUCGCACCAUCUUAUAUGCCUAGACUGUUUUGUUUAAUCCAUAGUAUUCUUUUCUUUGCAUAUAUCUUGCAAAUUUUCAGCCUAGCCGGUCACCUAACGUUCGCAGCUUAAGAUAAAGCUCCAAAUAUUUAUGUCUCCUUGUGUCUUGAAACAGAUCAGAAGAGCGUGAAAACCACUGGUGUCCACGAUGCCAGUUCAGGCGAGGUUCAUCAGGAUAGCAAAAGCGAAGAUCGUUGCAGACAUGGUUGCUGCCACUGGUACCAUGGACACUGCCAAAGAUGCUGUCGAACUGCCGAGGAGACCCCUGAAGUCACAUCUGGAGAUGAGGAUACCGUAACCGCAGAUCGUUGCAGACAUGGUUGCUGCCGCUGGUACCAUGGACAUUGCCAAAGAUGCUGUCCACCUGAAGAUCGUUGCAGACAUGGUUGCUGCCACUGGGACCAUGGACAUUGCCAAAGAUGCUGUGCAGACAUGGUUGCUGCCACUGGGACCAUGGACAUUGCCAAAGAUGCUGUCCACCUGCUGAGGAGACCCCUGAACAUCGUUGCAGACAUGGUUGCUGCCGCUGGUACCAUGGACAUUGCCAAAGAUGCUGUCCACCUGCUGAGGAGACUUGCAGACAUGGUUGCUGCCACUGGUACCAUGGACAUUGCCAAAGAUGCUGUCGAACUGCUGAGGAGACCCCUGAAGCUACAUCCGGAGAUGAGGUCAAAAAUUAAUGCUAAAUAAAUAAGGCCGUGACACAGGAUCCGUGACACCUAUAUUAUUACCUUAAUAUGUUAUGUUGUGUUUGCUUUUAAUGGUUGAUUUCCUAUAUGUGUAAAAGACUUGUGCGGCUUCUCUUUGAAUUGAUGUAGAAUCAACGGGGGAAGCAUGUAAUGAGUACUCAGUUCGAGUGCUCUUCUUAUGUUGUUGUCAUGUUGAAUAAAUAAAUCUACUUGAUCAUCCACUACAAUUGAUGAUCUUCUUAUGUUUUUUUUCACUUUAUCUUCCUUCACGAUUUUUGGUGGAAAUGCUUCAUUUAUACGAAUUUUCCUAGUUAGUAAAUGCUUCUAUUACACUUGUACAAUACACAUUUAAAAGUAUAACACAACAAAAGCUUGUGUAGUUCAUAUAUUUAAAAAAUAUUCAUACUUUUCAACUAAACUAUAAAAAUACGUAAUAAAUUCUUGAUACAUUAUACUUUACGAACUAUACUUUAAAUUUUAAAAAUAUUUAAUAGUAUCACUUAUCAAUAACUCCACAUGUUAAUUUGUCUUCCAAUUCAGUAAAUUAUAGUAGCUAAUUCUCAAAGCUAACCGACACCAAAAUUCCCUUGUUGGAUUUAUAUUAAUUACAUUGCAUUUAUUUCCUAAGCAUGAGUUUUGUAACCCCUCAUAUUAAAUCUCAAUGAUUGAUUUUAACGGUUACCAAGGCGUCUAGUAAUUGGUUUGCUAUUAAUUUGAACUAGACAUUUAUUAGGUCAAGUAGAAUUUAUUCCGUCUUAUCACUUAGUUCAUAAACCUUACGAAUCGUUAAAACCAGCUCUAACAUUACCUAACAAGACUUCUACAAUUUCGGGUUUUGCUUAGAAAUCAGUCUGAUAGGUUAACUUGCUUCGUCCAACUUUAUGAGUUGCUUCUUCUUUUUUUCCCAUAUUUGACAUUUCAUCUUACUUUAAUAUGGGGACCAAGUUAGUAUUGUUGACAUUUCAUAUCUAAGACCUCUUAGUUAAUUGAUUUGUUAUAAGAACUAUAACGUAUGCGUGUUUUGUAAGCUUUCAUUUUUUUUUUUUCAAUUCUUGUGAACCAGCAACGGAUAGUUUCUUCUAGUACCAAGCUUCCUUUGAAGUUCUUUAUUUUUUUUUUGCGUGUCCAAAUGUAAAUUAAAAGAACCAACAACUUUGAACAAGUCUAUAUCUAGUAAAGAUAGAUAUAAAGAGGGAUACUAUAUCACUGCAACAAAAAAGGGAUUUGGCGAGGAGCAAAAGUCCACGCCAAAAGUUUUGACUUCCUGGCCAAUUAAUUUCAGCAAGAAAAAUGCUUCCUCGUCAAGUUUCUUGCUAGAUGCUUGUCGCUAAUAAGUUAUUAGCGAGGAUGCUGCUGCUUUUCUCGCUAAUGAAACAGAUCAAUAGCAAGGGUUGACCUCCUCGCCAAUCUGAUUCAAAUACUAUGGCGAGAAAAACUUUCCUCACCACUAAAGUUAAAAACUCCCCACAAAAACCAGUAGUUCCUGAUAAGUGACUAAUUUACAUAAUAAUUAUAUGAUAUUUUAUAUUAUUUUUAGUUACUUUAGUUAUAUUAUUGGAAGAAAAUGAAUCAUUUUGGCUAUAAUUGGUAAAAAAUGCUUUUAAGUGAUUAAAUGAGGUUUUUAUCACUUUUUAGUGGGAUUUCGUGCAUUUUGACAGUUUUGACACAUUUUUGUAUUUUGGCUAUAACUUGGGCUACAAUGAUCGGAUUGAGAUGAUUUUUAAACCAAUUUGAAGAUAAGAGAUAGAUCUACAACUUUGGUGAAGACAUUUGAAUCCAGUUUGAAGGUUUUCAAAGUCAAAAAGCUGAAUUACAAUAGCAAAUUUCUACUGGUCGAAGCUGAAACAGGGCAAUGAGCAGUCAAGGGUAUUUCGGUCAUUUCUCAGCCUAAACAGAUCCAAAUGAGGUGAUUCUUGAUCCAUUGGAAAGAUAAGUCAAAGGGCUACAAGUUUCAUGUUUUGGUCAAGAGCUAAAUCAGCUUUUAUCAUCAAGAAAAGUUCAGUGGAAGUUGAUGCAAAAUCGGAGCAGAGCUGGAAAUUGAACCAGAAGUGACCAAAUGGUCACUGUAGCAAUCCGGCCGGAAUUUGGCCGGAUUUGUGGCUAGAUUCCUGGCCGGAUUGUGGUCAGAAAAGGCUGUUAUGUACGCGUAAAACUCAAUUUCACCUCCACCAACUCACAUGUGAUGCUAGACUUGUGAGAAACAUUCCCAACUGUAAAAGAGAGGUGUAAACCUCAAGUCUUGACCAAUCUUUCAUCUAUAUAUAGCCAAAUUCAUUGCAAGAUUGAAGGAUAUAGAGAGACAUAUGGGAGAACUUGGAGAGUGCAGAAAUGUAGCUCUUUCAUCUUCCUAGUGUUAGUUUAGCUUAGUGCAGAGUAGUAUCGAUCAUCCAUUCUUGUAUCUUGGCUAGAUUAGGAUGAAGAUGGAGGAGUUGAAACUCAAGUGACAUGGGUUAUUUCUUCUCCAACUCUUUAUCUUUUGUAUCAGAUUCUUAAGUUUGGUUAAUAUACAAGUUCUGGAUUUUGUGUUUAUGACAGGUGCCGAACCUGUGCAAUAAUAAAUACCUGCUCAAACUAAAAAUAAUUUCUGUAGAUAGUGGUGAGCAGGGUCGAAUCCACAGGGACUGGGAGUAAUUGUUUCUUUCCAAAUUCACAGUGACAAGGGGGUGUUUUUGUGCAGAAAGUGACAAUCAAACAAAUUCAAAUAAAAUCUAAGAAACUACUAAAAAUUAAAUAACAAAUUACUAAAAUCAAAUGAAUGAUAAUUAAGAAUCUAGCCAAGGAAUAACUUCAGCAAUGGUUCACCUAAUUGAUCAUCGAUAAGCAAAGGCAAUUCUAAUUAUUUACUAAUAAAUAGGUUAUAACUACCAAACAAGCAAUGGCAGUCAAACCCUCCUUACUGUGUCGGUGAUCAAGGUACGCCCGUUAAUCACUGCUCUAAUUGAGAAAUAAUUCUAGGUACGCUCGUAGAAUUUAAUUCCCCAAUUGCCUUACGUAUUAAAGGAGCCCUAUUCUAACCAAAUAACGCACUACCAGGGUUAUUUUAGAUUAGCCCGCGUAUUCCCCUGACACAAACCUAAUCAUGCCAGUUGUCACUAUUUUAGAGCAAUUAAACAAUUACGGAUUUCACCCUAAUUGACAAUAGAUUAUCAAAUCAAUUAAUUAUCCGGAUCCAAGACAAUCAAUUAAUCAAAUAAUCAUAAGCACUGCAACCAAGGAAUAUGCGAAUAUCAAUAAAUAAAAGAAAAAGAUUAAAUUAAAUCGAUCUCACAAUUUUAGGCGACCCAAAACAUCCGUUGCUCCUUGACUAGAAAAAGGAAUUUAGUUCAUAGUUAAUGAACAAAAUCCACAGGAAAUAAAAACAAGAGUCGCGGCCAUGGUCUGCGUCUUGGAAAAGUCCAAUUCGCUUCAGGAAAGGAAAACGAGGCUACAAAAGGUGAUUGCUUGUUACUAAUUCUUCCUGACAUACGCAGGGGAAAGGAACUACUACCAACCAAAAGAAAAGUCAAAGCUCAAGACUAUACUACAAGACGAAAAAACUAAAGAAGACCAGAGGAUAGUGCUCUCCUCCUGCAAUCUUAAUUCCUAUUCUAUUUGCUACUCCUCCUGUGCGGCGUCCGCCGCACCAGAGAAAAAGAAGACUCUGAGGUUUGCUUUCCUUUCCCUUUUUCUAGUUGCUGUUUUCGGUCAAAAUUACCAAAAAGGUCAUGCAUCUCCUUGUUCCAAGAAUGCCCUUGAUUGCCUGCUAUUUGAACUCUUUCCCGAUGACCGUCAAAUUGGCCUUGAUUGUGCCAUUUUUAUUCUACUCCCUGAAAUAAAUGAAAAUUACGAAAAGUGAGUAGAAUCUAAUAAUUAAUUCACAUUGGGUUAAGUAAUAGGGGAAAUUAAUUAUAAAAUAAAUGAUAAAAUUACAACCUAUCAAUUCCCCCCACACCUAAACCAUGUUUGUCCUCAAGCAUGAGAACAAGAAACAAACACCAAUAUUUGAUAGUGGCUAUUGCUCUAUCCAACAAAUUGCCAAGAUACCAAGAAAAAUAAUAUUCAAGCAUCAAUGGUCAAGUCCAAGAAACAUCACUCCGGUUAGCUUCUAAAUCAUAAACUCUUCCAAUUUCAGGUUAACUAAUCUAAGAAAAAGGAAUGUCGCAUAACAUUUAUCAGCAAAUGGUCCAACUAUUAACCAAAAUCUCAACAUUAAAUCCAUAAUUCGGCAAGCUGACUUUUAUUACACACUAACACAACCUUGACUUUUUUUUCACGUUUUUCUACUUUUCUUCUUUUCUUUUUUUUUCCUUUUCUCAAUAGUAACAAAAGACUUAGUCGCUAGCCAUUAGAGCCUUUUGACGCGAACUCCAACAUUGGCCAGAUGAAGGAGCCCGGUUACUCAGCUUCUAUCGCCACGUGACCACGUACUCAUAGGAACUACUACCUUUUGACGCGAGAAUCAACACUUGUAGGUGCAGAUCCCCGGUUACUCAGUAGUAACUAAUAGCGGAGUACAGUCAAGUUUAUUCAUAGCUAAAAAUCACAAAAACUCAAUAUAACACAAGAACCAAAAGAAAACUUGCAUCAGCUAACCUCAUUUUCAAACAUGGAGAACUAAAGUUAAUAACCGGACCAAUUCACAUGAAAAUGCCAAUAAUCAUUCCCUAUGCCUAGGAAAGUUAACCAAAAAUUAUAAGAGUAAAACAAUCAUUGAUAUUCACCCAAGAGAUGUUUUUGGAUUACCACAUUAACUUGGUACCCCUUUAUUAUUAAAACUUGGCAAAAGUAGAAAUAGAAGCAAUAAUCCAACAUCAAACCCUGGCAUGCACUUACGAGCCAAUCACUAAAAAGAAGAAAAAAUGAACGAGAGGUGGACAAAUAACAAACUAAAAAUAAAGAACUAGUAUAGCCGUCCCCCCCACACCUAGAUUCUACAUUGUCCUCAAUGGAGGAAUUAAAGCAAUUAAAGUGAAGAGGACAACGAAACUUCCCUCUUUGAGUGGCCACGAGGUAGGCGGGGACGGUGGAGGAAACCAAUGUGGUGGAAGUACGCGCCCAAGUUCUGAGACAUCAUACUCAAUUCAACCAGCAAAUGCAAAACUCUGUCCACCCAAAAUCUCAACAAAUAGCUCCAGUUGGCCAGUUAAUGCCUUAACUCAGAAUCAGCAAUUUCAACAUUGAGAGUUUAGGUAUUUGACAAUAACAAUUCAGUCACAAGUUCUUGGCUGUCAAUUAGACAGCCAAUCAGAUAGAAUUACCAAAUCUAGUCAAAAUACCCCAACCAGUACCAUUGGUGCACCCCACAGAUAAUGAAGCAACUUAAAUGGCAAACCCAAUCAACAAAAUGUACAUGUGAGGCACCCAAGGUCUAUACAAAUGUCCCAACAAAGCAGCGAUUGCAAUCAAUAAUCAGUAGUGGUCCUAAUUUACUCAAAUGCAGAAUUAAUGCAGCCCAACAAUUCAAUUGGAUGUACCCAACCUUGACAAGCAAAGCAAGUGGCACAGGUUUCCCAAGUCAACAGGCAAUUCAGAGAUAACUCAACCGAAAUCACAGUAGAAACUUCAAUUAAAUACACUCAACAUGAAUAAGCCAAGCAAGUGUCAUAGAAACUCCCCAAUUCAACAAGCAAUCACAGUAUUUCAGCUCACCCAAAAACUCAACAAUUCCACCCAAAAGUUGAACAAAGGCCCCCAGCACUGACCCGUAGCAGGAGCCCCAAGAAGUGAACAAAUCAAGCAAUAGUAUUGGAAAACUCUGACAUUAACAACUGAAUCUCAAACUUCCAGCUUCCAAUCAGUUAGCCAAUAGAGUAGAAUUAAUCUAGUGGAGUCAAAACACCCAUAGAGUUGAUGAAACAAUUCUAACGGCUGACCCAAAGUAAUGAAAACUCCAACUUACAGUCAAAAGUAAACUCGGUCCAACUAAAAUUUCAACAAAUAUCCCCAGAAAUUUCAACAAAUGCUAUAGCAGAUCAAAGCAGUAGUAAAGCAAUAGUCCCAAGUAUGUACUAAUCCACCAGUUGGGAACCCCGGCCACUGAGGUCACAAACAAUGGUCCCAAAAAUAGCAAUAUUAACCAAUCAUCAGGAUGUGCCCAACAAUUAAACGAAAUUCUACCACCCUCACCAAGCAAAUCAAGCAGCACAGGCUCCCGAUUCAACAAACAAAAAAACAGGAUUAAUCAACUCAAAGUCCCAACAGAGAGUUCAAUUGAUUCCAAUCAUCAAUCCCAGCAACAUACGUUCCAAAUAAGCAAGCGGGUGUUAAGGAGAGGAGGUACCAAAUUUCAAUUUCAGUUACUCCACCAGUACCACUGGUGUAGCAAAUAAUGGAAGAGGAAUCGCACACGACCAAUACCAAAUCACCGGUAAACCAAAAUAACAACUAACACUGCCAACACUUGAGAAUCGUAACAAUCAAAACACAAGCAAAGCUGCCUCCCAAUGAGCAAAUGACAAUUCACAAAUCCAGCCCACCCAAAAACUCGACAAAUGUACCCAAAAGUUCAACAAAUAUUCUCAAGAGUAUGGCAAACUAGGAAUGAACGAGAUCUGGGUCAAAUAUCACAACCAGUACCACUGGUUUACCACACAAUUGAAGAAAUAACCCCCAACGGCCAACAAUACCAAUUAUUGAGAAACCAGACAGCACCAAUGAAUAUUAAGAAAUUGGGGAAUAAAUUCCAAAUACCUCCACCGAAGAGAGUAGCGUGCGAGGUUGGCUGGGGCUGUUGGCAGCGUCCAAGUGCUUCGGUGGCGGCGUUGGCUCGCGAUGGAGUUGCGACGGAGCUGGCUAUACGAGCAGAGAGGGACCAGCGAACUAGAGUGGCGCGCGCAGACAGCGGAGGGAACUUCAGCAGCGGCUGCGGUGGAGAGGCGGGUGAGCUGUGAUGGCGGCGCGAGGGAGAUGGGCGGCGCUGCUGCGGUGAGAUCGAGCUGGUGGUGGCGCAAUCUGGCGUGCGGUGGUGGAGCUUCGUGCGCAGAGCAGCUGGGUUGCGCGCGAGGUAGAGCUCGGGUGGAGGUGGCGGCGGUAGCUCACGGUGGAGCUGUGGGCAGAGUGAGGGCCGCAAGGAGAGAGAGAGAGAUGGGAGGGGUUGCGGUUGAAACGAGGGUCGGCGGCGUCGCGCGUCGAGGUGGAGUGGCUUGCGGCGCGACGCUGGUCGCGCGAGGGGGUGUCGAUAGAGCUAUGGUGGAGAGAGGGAGGCGCGCGAGGGAGUCUCGGUCGACCCAGAGGAGAACUGGGGAGAGGAAAGAAAGAAGGAAGAAGAAGAAAGAAAGAAAGAAAAAGAAGGAAAAAGAAAAGUUUUUAUUUUUUUUUUUCAGGGAAAGACUCCCCUUUUUUUUUUCUCCUUGUUACUUACUUGAAAAAAAUUUUUUUUUUUUAAAAAUUUUUUUUCAUAUAUCAUCUUUUUUUUUUAUUGACAAAAUUUAUUUUUGGAAUUCAAAAGUAGAGAUUAACAGGAAAUCAAUAAUCGUUCUUGAGUUUCUUUGAAUACUUACCUUUCCCAUGAACGUGACGCGGGCGCGUCAUGAGGGCAAGAGAGCUCCCAGAAGUUUCUGGUCGGGAGCUUCAUGCACGUCACCACGCGGGCGCGUCAUGACUGAAGGGCACCUAUAAAUCAGCAAAAACGAAAACUGAAACCCAAAAUCAGUCGAAUUCAAGGAGAGCACAUCUAAACUACCACACGAAAAUGAACAAACAAUUAAAAGGAACAAUUGGGUUGCCUCCCAAGGAGCGCCUUUCUUUAAUGUCUUUGGCUAGACAUUAUCGUGUUUUGCUCAUGGAGGAUAAAAUCUUGUGGCUCGUCUUACUGCUUCAUCCUCUAUAUAGUCCCGAUAACCCUCGUAAAUAGAAUAAUCCUUGAGCACACGAGCUACGGGCUUCCAUGGACUAGUGAAUGACGCCAAACGAGUCGAUGAUAAUUUACAUUCUCCAUUCGCUCCUCCCCCACUUGCAUUUAUUGGUUCAAGAUAUCUCACCAUCGCCACUCUUAAUUUAUUCCUGUCAUGAAAUUCAAAAUUGUCUGGUAUAAUAAAGUCAAUUUCGUUAACAGGAAUUGAAGAGUAAGAGUCAGGAGAAUAUUGAUGAAGGAGUGGAGGAGAUGUCACCGCAUUUGGAGAUUGUUCACUGGAUUCUUUCACUUGAAUGGGUUGCGGUUGGGGUUCCAUUUCUUCUUUUUCAGCUUCUUUUUCAACUGCAUCUGUAGAUUUCUCAUUUUGACACUCUUGCAUCUCCUCAUCACUAGUCAAGCAAAUUGCACUCUCACUUUCUUCUAGAUCAACAAUGGUUUUCGAGGGCAAUUCUUCCAUUUAAGAAGCCAAUUGAUUCAUUCUGGAUGUCAAUAGGCAUAGUUGAUCUGCCAGAUAACUCAUUGCAUCUUUCGUCAUCUCAUUCCUCAUUUGUGUCUCCUGUUGGAAUUUGUAUGUAUUAAUAAAUAAUUCACCCAAUUCCUGAAAAGACAUACCUGACAUGGACGAUGGUUGUUGAGACUCUUGCUGUUGAAAAUCCAUUGGCCCUGUUGUAUAAUCAUAACUGGAGUUAUCCCACCAUCCUUGAUCAUACCCGUUUGGAUUAGAGUUAUACCACGUUUGAGACCAGGGUGAAAAAUCUCCAUAAUUUUUGAGUGGGACACUCAGAUUAUCCUGAUAUUCGGGGCACAUACCUGUUGAAUGAUCCCUGGCAUAACAAAUUUUACAGGUUGCAGCAGCCAUUCUUUUUCUAAUAGAUUUUAGUGCCUCUGUAUAUGCAAACUCAGGAAAAAAACAAAUCUCAUCGCCUUGCCCGGAAAUAAAAUCCAAUACAUCACCAAAAUACGGAGUGUUAGAAGCCAUGAACUAUAUCAAAAAAAAAAUAAGAGAAAAAAUAAAUAAAAAAUGAAAACAAAAUGAACUCAAAAGGAAACAAAUUAAUCUGACACCAGUCCCCGGCAACGGCGCCAAAAAUUGACAGGUGCCGAACCUGUGCAAUAAUAAAUACCUGCUCAAACUAAAAAUAAUUUCUGUAGAUAGUGGUGAGUAGGGUCGAAUCCACAAGGACUGGGAGUAAUUGUUUCUUUCCAAGUUCACAAUGACAAGGGGGUGUUUUUGUGCAGAAAGUGACAAUCAAACAAAUUCAAAUAAAAUCUAAGAAACUACUAAAAAUUAAAUAACAAAUUACUAAAAUCAAAUGAAUGAUAAUUAAGAAUCUAGCCAAGGAAUAACUUCAGCAAGGAAGCGCUUGUAUCACGUUAUUCAUGUGACUGGAUGGCUUAUAUCUUGUAUAGUUUAGAUUUGGACUCAUUUGUGUAAUAGUUGGGCCAGUGUGACUGUUUGGAAUUGAAGUGGAUGUAUGUGUACGUUCCACGCUUAGAAUUAGUUUCCGCUUCGCUUAUGAUAUGUUAAUUUGAGGAACAUUUGAUGUAUAUUUGGGAUGUAUAUUGUAUUUGAAUUGAGGAUUGUAGUGAGUGAGUGAGUCCGGCGAGAGCUGGGCAGGCGGUCCGCCGAACUCUUUGGUUCGCCUUAGGGUGAGGUGGGGCCGUCACAGUUGGUAUCAGAGCUUAGGUUUCCGAUCUCUGUAGUGUAUCCUAGGCUUCAAGUUUAGGAUGCCGGACGGGUCUGAUGAAAUAUCAGUGAUUUCUUGUAGGAAUGAAAAUCAGACAAGUGGGAUUAGGCUUGCUUGGAAAUGGUUGUUUGACUUUUGCGGGAUCUCUUGACUUGAUUCGUACAAGUUGGAAUGUCGAGGACGACAUUCUUUUAAGGAGGGGAGAUUGUGAUACCCGAAUUUUAGGACAAUGUUUUUCCCUCUUCUUUUAAAAUUUCGAUUUCUUUCUUUUGUCUUGUUUUAACACAUUGUUUUUUUAAUUGGACACUUUAAAUUUAAAUCAAAACCUAGUUUUUACUUGUGAUUAACCGUUUUCUCAAAUUUCUCAUAUUUCAACCGAAACCCUAAAUUCAAUUUAUGGAAUUGUAAAAUCCCUCACGUUUUUCUUAAAAAUCCCCUUUUAAUUGGAAAUUAUGAUUUUAUAAUAGCCCUACCACCCAAUCACCCCAUAAUAAGUGCAAAUGAACAUGAAAGUAAAGGUUUUCCCUUUUCGUUUUUAAAUUAGCGCGAAUUAGGGUUUUCACGUUUUUCCGUAGUGUGACUAUUAGGUACGGAGUGAGGAUCAAAAUUGGUGAGUAAAAGCGACUUUUGAAUGCGAAAAAUAUUAUAUGAUUAGAAGUGAUAAUAAUAAGUUAGUGAUUUUAAGUUAAAACUCUAGUAUACGCGAUUAAAGUAUUUCCUUGACUUAGUAUUAUUUUAUUUCGCCACAUACUUUAUCUCCAAAUAUUAUUUUUCAUGUGGUUAGGACUUUACAUGAGAGUUAAGGGUGAUAGUAAGAUAAGGGAAAGAAUUGGAGGAUAGGAGCAUGAUUUGGCAAAGAUUAGUGAGAGAAUGGCCAAGAUGGUGCCAAGUGGCAAGACACCAACCAUGCAACUUAUUUGACCAAAGAAUUUGAUGAAUUAAAACCAUUUUUUUGCUCCAUUUCCUUCAUAAGCUGGCCGGCCAUCUUGGAGCAGCAAAGGAGAAGAAGAAACUCCAUUUUCUUGCUUUUUACUCUUAGUUUAAUCUUAGGAAAAAAAAUCAAAAGUGAAGGAGUGAGUUAGUGAGUGAAAUCCAUCCAACUCUAGUGUGUGAUCUUCAAGCCUUGAAUUUUUGGUUGGUGGUAGUUUUGGGUGACUUAAUCAACUUGUAAGAGAGGUAUGUGAUCUUUAAUCCUUGCUUUUAUGGUGUUAUAUUAAGUAUUUAAAGGUUUGAGGCUAAACUAGAAGUUGUAUGGAUGCUUCCUAUGGCUAAAUCUCUUGAAUUAGUGAAGUGGUAGUUGGGUUGGUUAAGUGGCCUACCAUGUGUUUGAUUAAUUGUUAAAGCUUUGGUUAAGUGGCUCCCAAACCAACUCAUUUGUCGAGCUUGAUCACUGGUUGACCCUUGAGAUCCUGAGCCACGCAGCUCGCUUCUCUUAAAGGAUCCCACAUAGAGAGGCCAUGAGUCUCAGCUCAAGUCACGAGCAAUAAGUGCUCUAAAAUAUUUUUUUCAAGCAAUAAAUGCUUUAAAAUCGUAGUUCAAGCAAUAAAUGCUCUAGUUUAAGCAAUAAAUACUCCCAAAUUGCGUCACAAGCAAUAAAUGCUCCGCAAAUGUUUCACAAGCAAUAAAUGCUCCAUAACAAAUCACAAAAUCAUAUUUCACAGGUAUCAAUAGUAACUAAGGGGUUUUGAUCGAGUGCGAUAAAGUACACCCUCGCCUAAGUGCUCAUUUUUCAUAGUAAACUCAUAUUAGUAUUGAGUUACACAGAAACCCUGAUUACUCACCUAAAGAGCAAGUAUAACGAGAGAAAGUACGGAAAUGAAUUCAAGUCGUCAGUUAGUGGGCCCCACCGGCUCCGUCUAGCCCGUCACCGCCUGUAGCAGAAGGUUGAGCCAUAUCAUCACACAAACAACUACUAAAGUGCAUAAAUUAAGCAAAACGGCAAAAUUGGCACAUGCAUGUGCGGAAUCGGCAAACAGAAAUGGAAACGGCCGGCAAACGAAAAUGGGCAUAGUUACUGUCCCAAACUGUUUUGACCAUAAGUUGGGUUAGGAAUGUCAGAUUAAAGUGUAUGAGAUACCGUUGCGAGGCUAAGAGGAAGGGCUACAAUUUUCAUGAAGACACCUUAAUCUCGAUCUGAAUGGUAGCAGGUCGAAAUUAUGGAGAACAGUACCAGAAGUUUGCACUUUAGGGUGACGGACAAGGUAUGUUUGCCGAACCAUAACUCACAGCUCACAAACCCAAAUCAAGAAAUUCCCAAGGAAUUGGAAAGCUAAGACAUAAGGCUAAAACUUUUAUGUUUUGGCCAAGACCUGGAUCAACUCAGAACAGAAUGAAAAAUGAGUGCCAAAUUACCUGUCAGAACUGUCCAGUGUUCAAGGCAGUUCUGACUCACGAUCUUGUUUUGGCUAUAACGGGAGCUACGAAGCUCGGAUUUGGACGCACUUUAUACCGUUUUGAAUCUGAAACAAAGCCCUACAUUUCUUAUGAAGACACCAACACCCAGUUCCAUCGUUAUCCAUGCGAACUAAGCAUGGUCAGAAGCUAAUUUACAAAAUGUGACCAAACUAGAAUUUGAAAGCUGAGUGAGGGUUUUGGCUAUAACUCAGCCUACACACUUCCGUUUGAAAUUUUCCGUAUUUAGCUACAAUUUACGCACUAAAGCUUCAUUCUAGACUAUCCCAAGCCAUCAUCCAUGGCCACACAAUUUAAAACAUAUAAAAACAGAAAAAUCAAGAAUAAAUAUAAAAUUCAUCAAAGCUUCACUUCCAACCAUAACACACCAUAAAUCAUCUUAUUUAUCCACCAAUGCCACUAAUUUACCACUAUUAAGAACAAAGAGAGGAUUUCCUCACAACUCACCUUACAACUUAAGAAAGAUAGCAACUUAGCACUCCCUCUUGCCAAAUCACUCCACCAACCACUUCAAUACCACUUAGCAAAGGGAUUUUAUGGAGAGUUUUGGAGUAUAAACGGUUAAGUUGUGAGAUUGGGCAAGAUUAAGAAGAAGGAAGUUGGAGAUUUUUUUUCUCUUUCUUUGCUCAAGAAGUUCGGCCAAGGGGAGGAAAAAAAUGAAGAUGUUUUUAGUCAAUUUUUUGGUUAAAUGGUAAAGUAAGAAAGUUGGUCAAACCAUCCUCAAGUCACAAGGUGACACUUGUCACCCCUUUUUGUUUGAACUUAUCCUUUUGUCUUCCAAGGUUAAUCCCUCUAUGCAUCCUCUAAUUGGCUCAUAAUACCAUGUAAUAUAAGCUCUGUCUAUAUAACUUAACCUAAUUGGCCGCAUUUUAUCAAACUUACCGCACUAGUGGGUCCCACAACCGGUAUACGCUCUUAAUUUCUCAAAAACUAAUUAAUACUAGAAAAAUAAUUUUAAACUACAUUUACUCAUAAAAAUUAUCUAGAAAAUUUUCCUAAUAAAGAAAAUAUAGAAAAGGCAUGCAAUUAAAUAAAAUAAAGUCUAGAAAAUAAGAAAAUCCGCGGGUUCUCACACUCUCUCCCCCUUAAAAGAAUUUCGUCCUCGAAAUUCCUUAUCAUCGCCUUCUCCGGGAUACAAAAAUUUUACUACUUCCUUCUCACGAUUAAAUUGAGCAUCAUACUUAGCUAUCACUGGCCAGGCUCAUUAAAUUCUUUGGUAUAGUUUCUUCUUUCUUCCUAAAUUGUAAUUCUGAUAUACCAUUCUAAUGGGCAAACGGUGGAAUACCAGAAUCUUACCUUCCACGUCCUCUAAUGGGUCAGAGACUUGAUGUUGUUCUAAGGAGUACACCCGAGCUGACACUUUCGAUCCAUUCUUGUCCCCCUUCGACUGGUCAGGGUUGGUCGUGGUUGGCUGUUGGCUCCUACUCCCUUCUCGAGAUUGGCCUGGGCAACUUGCGAUUUGAUGAUCUGCGUUCCCACAACGCAGACACUUUCUUCCUUUCUUCCAGCAGACAUCCUCCGUGUGAUUCGACUUCCCACAGUACCCGCAGGGACCACGAGAAGCGGAGACUAAGCCUCUCUGUGAGGCACCACUUGAUAUCCUCGGUAAUUGUACUCCCCCGUUUCCCCUUCCAAUCUUAGGAGGCGUACCCUUAUCCCCUUGCUCUGAGCUACUUCCAGGAAAUCCCCUUUUCUUAGCUUGAAAGUUUCUAACUUGAAAUCUCGCGCUUUCAACUCGUUGAGCUUUCUCCACCGCAUCACUAAAGGUAUUGAGUUGGGCUACAGCCAGGUCCUUCUGAAUCUCAACGUUUAAUCCUUGGACAAAACGCCUUAUCCUCAUUUGCUCAGUCACAAUUAUCUCGGGAGCGAACUUGGACAACCUGGUGAACUGGCUCUCAUAUUCGGCGACGGUUUGAGUUCCCUGGCGGAGCCUAAUGAACUCAUCUUCUUUCUUUUCCUGGAUCAGAGGUGGAAAAUACUUCGUGUUGAACUCUCUCAUGAAAUUCACCCACGUCCUUGGGGUUUGUUCUCUUUCCCAUUUCAGUCUUAUGAUAUUCCACCAAGAACGGGCUGCUCCCUCCAGUUGGAAGACAGCAAAUAUGACCUAUCGCUCCUCAGUAUAAUGUAACGUGGUAAAUAUAUCAAUCAUCUUCUCUAGCCAUCUCUCGGCCACGUCAGGGUCUGGUCCUCCCAGGAAUUUCGGUGGCGAGAACUUCUGAAAUCUUUCGAGAGCUUUAUCCUCACCCUCUAUGUGAUUACCAGGGUUUCCCGACUGAUGAUUAGGAUUUUGGCCCUGAUGUUCUACUACGUGAGCCAAAAGGUCAGUCAUACGUUGGAUAGCAGCAGCCACUUAAAUGCUAGGAUCCAUUCCAGGUGUUGGUUCCCAGUUUUCUCCUUCAUUUGAGAUUCCACGCCUCCGGCCCCGUCCACUACGAGUACCCUCCAUUUGACUUAACCAGUCUAGGGUUGAAGCGCGAAUACCAUAUUAAAACAAAGUAUGCAGGUACAAGUAAUUAAAGCAGACAUUAUACAUAUAGCAUAUCUUUAGCAGAUAAAUCACACAGUAACAGUCAGUCAGAUACAAGCAGAAGGAAUCGCAUGAAAGUCAUUAAAAGAACUAUAUACUAACUAGGCCAAUGGUACACAAGCGACCAACCAACAGCUUUCUCUCUCUAGGCUCCGUCCACAAUCAUCCCUAGGCAGGGUCAAUCAUCCUUAAUGAUACCCUAACAUAUCAUAUCAAGUUCCGUAGAAUCAGAUUUCUAAUUCGCCCAAGUCAUUUCUAACUACGCUUUCAUCCCUUUUCGUAUUCAGGCACAAGAAUCCAAAAUAAGAUAAUUCACCACUCGAACUGGCCAGUCCCAAAGUAAAUCAUCUACAUUUGUAAUUCCUACCUGACAUACGUAUCUAUAGUCUCCAAGUACCAGAAUAAUGUUUUGAACCCUAUAAUACACCGUGAUUCAUAGCUUAUGCUCAAAAGAGUACUUAGUCCCUUAAACUCAUUCACAUGAGCGAGACCACAACACCACUUGGCUCCAAGCUCACUCUACGCAGAGACCACACGAAGCGGCUCUGAUACCACCUGUGACAGCCCCACCUCACCCUAAGGCGAACCAAAGGGUUUGGCGGACCGCCUGACCAGCUCUCGCCGGGACUAUGGAUCCGAAACAGACAUAAACCCUUCCAAACGCUCAAAGAACUUCAAAAGGUAACAUCCAGAACCAAAUGAGCCAAAGUAAAAGAUACAAUCAAUCUUUGGUACAGCAUUCCCACGAAAAUCAAAACGAAAUGGAAGAGCCGCCGCUACAUCACAAUCCAUCCCAGUACCAGUACACUUUGUUAGAAUGUACGUGCCCAAAUAUAUGUCACAUAAACAUGAGGAAACACUUCAAAAUAUACAUAGUAGUAAGUUUACAAACCAAAAGGAAACAUUGUAUUAAGAUACAUUUAGGGUUUCCAACUUCCACGGAGCUAUACAAAAGGGUGUUUAUACAAGCUUAAUUCAUUCUUCAAAAUGAUCAUUGGUCCAAAAGAUGGUUCCCUGUAAGGAAAACAAGGAUAACGGGACGGGGUGAGCUAAAAGCUCAAUGAGGUACCAAAAGUAUAAACGGUAGGAACAGUAGAACUCAUGAAAAAUCACUUUUAAGGCACAUAUUCACAUCAAAUACAAGAGAUGAAAGAACACCACAAUGUAAAGGAUACAGGUGGCUCUCAGGAGCCAAAUCCCCGUUGCAAUACUUGAUCCAGCCUCAUUGACCCUCCGUCAACGUUCAAAUGAAGGAACCAGUCCCGUAGAACACCACUUUAACGCCAAAAUCCCGUUCACCAAACAUACCCCUUACCGGGCUCGAACGCCAAACAGGAACAGGAAUGGUAAUACUCGAGUAUACCGGAAUCAAGAGUCUUAAUACCCAAAGAUUUCCCAGGAACAGGCACCCAUGGAUUGUCAAUUAUCUCGACCAAACCCUUGCUAGCUCGAUUUAAUUAACUCCCCAUGAGGUUGAGCUCAAGUUAAUAGGAAAAUCGUUGGACACACUUCCAAAUGAUCUCAUAACAAGCGCAAGUAACAAGUUCAAGUUCAUAACAAGUACAGGUAAGAGAUUCCAGGUCAUUCAGUUCAGGCAAGAGAAUGAGUGUGAUAAAGUACACCCUCGUCUCAUUCAGAAUAACAGAAUUCAUAGUUAUCCAUGUCACACAUUUCAAGUAUAGAUGAACCAAUCAAACAACAAUUCAGGGGAGUGGUACACUCACCUAUUAAGGCGAAAUAACGUCCAGAAUAUCUUUCCGGGUAACACUUUCAAUCACCGAUGAACCCUAAGGUUAAUCAAGAGAAAAUAUUACAGUUCCUCCAGCAAAAGUUAGGUGAAUCGAAGACAAUUCAAAUACUACAAGUAUUUUGGACAUAUGAUUUUGGAAGUGAAAAGAGUACAUUUAAACCAAAGGACAUGAGUAAAAUAUUUGGAAAACUCAUGCUCACUCGUAAAACUUUGAAAUAUCCAUUUGAGUCGAAGAAAUGAAGAAAACGUAUUUCUCUUAGUCAUAAAUUUCAUUUUUUCCAAGUGUACAAGUUUCGGCCAGAUUCGACCAUAUAUACAUCGAUAAAAGAGGACGCAAAUAUCCUAGAUGGUUCAUAUGGUAUUUGCUCUCAAAUCGUUACCUAAUCCUCGAGUGUAAAUUUGGGCAGCACGCCCUUUGUAUUUACCUAUUUUCCAGCCACUUAUGGCUUCAUUAUUUUCCUCAAUCAAUCCAAAGUCAUACACAACAUAAAUUCAUCACAACAGCCGUUCAAUAGGCUCAAAGUCAUCCAAGUACAAGAUUUAGUUAGGAAAAUGACCGGAAAUAAGCUUUAAGCUAAGGAACCAAAAAGGCAGAUUCGCCGCUACUUAGCGUAUCCGACAUAACCGAAACUACGCUUAUUGGAUUGAAGUAAAAAUUAUACCGUUUCGAAGCUAAGACAGAGGUCUAUAAUUUUGAUGAAGACUACUUAGUCCAGUUCUCAUUCUAACUAGGUCAAAGUUACCAAAACAACCCCAGAUUUUCCAGUUCGAAGCUCACUGUGAAAUUCAACUAGCAGUCCUGAUUCAUUCAAUCAUAUCUCAUCACAAACAACUCCGAUUCAGGUAAUUCCAAAUCCAUUUGAAAGCUAAGAUACAAGGCUAUAAUUCUUAAGAAGACAUCGACAACCAAAUCAGUAGUAUUCCUGGUCAAACUAACCAAUUACAGAAGCUGAUUAUCAGUUUCGGAUAGAAACAGGGAAGCAGGGGUAUUUCGGUCUUUUCAUAGGCUACAGAGGUCGGAUUGGGCUGAAUUUUGCAGGAAACUAUAAAACAUCAUUCUCUAAAACUUUCAUGUUUUAAUCUAAGCCUGAUUCGGCCUCUAACUAGGGUAACAGUACCGGCAAAAUAGGGGAAAUUGAAACCCUAAUCUGGAAUUUUCCGCACAACAUGGAAAUUUUCCGCAUUUAGCUACAAUUUACGCACUAAAGCUUCAUUCUAAACUAUCCCAAGCCAUCAUCCAUGGCCACACAAUAUAAAACAUAUAAAAAUAGAAAAAUCAAGAAUAAAUAUAAAAUUCAUCAAAGCUUCACUUCCAACCAUAAACACACCAUAAAUCAUCUUAUUUAGCCACCAAUGCCACUAAUUUACCACUAUUAAGAACAAAGAGAGGAUUUCUUCACAACUCACCUUACAACUUAAGAAAGAUAGCAACUUAGCACUUCCUCUUGCCAAAUCACUCCACCAACACACUUCAAUACCACUUAGCAAAGGGAUUUUAUGGAGAGCUUUUUAUGUGUGCACGAGCCUCGCCCACGCAAUGACCCAGUCCGAGUCCCAUUCGACCCAGUCACACGUGCACGGGCCAAGCUCUUCAAAGAAUCACUCCAAGCUCUGGUUGGAGUUGUCCAAGACCAACAUGGAGUUCACAAAGAUAUUGAGGGUUUGGAGAGAGACAAUCGAGUCAUUUACACCAUGAUCCAAGCCCAUGAGGAGUCAAAGCGGGCCACCAAGAGAAUAAGGCCUUAGGCCCCAUCAAUUAGUUAGCAAUUAGUUAAUGAUUAAGUAAGAGCAUGGGCCGGCCCAUCUUGUUCCAAGAGCAUGGGCCAAUUUUUUCCUUUUCCUAGCCCUCUAGGGUUUUAGUCACUUUAGCCUAUAAAUAAGCUUGCUUUGUAAGGUUUAAGGGGUCAGAACUUUCAUCAAUAAAAUUGUUUUAUUUUCGUUCCUUCUUCUAAGAAGAGUGUUCGAGCCUUUUACUUGCUUUGGCAAGGGUUUUGAGCAAUCUUGCGUCUCGUCCUAGAUUGUUCUACCGACCUAUCCCGUGGAGUAGCCACCUUCAUUGGAGUCGUCGUUCUAACCGUCUUGAAUCAAAUCGUGUCGUCCGUUUGGUUCUAGAUCCCGCAAUUCAAGCGUUGACAACCUCGCUAGAUCCUUGGGCAAACGUGCUACGUGUCUCGAAACAAGUUGAUCGAGAAACGUAUCAGUUGGCUUCAGAGCUUAGGUUGAGGUAUCUUUCGUUAUACCCAUUGUUUUUUUGGUUAGUUUUCGUGUUUUCCGCUGCCUUGUCUUACAUCAAAAAAAAAAAAUUCUGUUCGUUUAAGUUGUUAUUCUUGUUGCACCGUUUUCGUUAAAAAAAAGGAGAACAAAAUUCUGUUUGUGUCGUUUGUGUUCUUGUCGUUGAGUCUUGCUUUAAUCUGUCCGCAAUUUUGUUCUUGGAGUCGUUGUUGCGUAACAUUCUGGCCGUAAGUGUUGCUCCUUGUUUGUGUCCAAUCUGUCCGUAUCUGUGUUGUGUCCCUUCAAAAAAAAAAAAAACAGCAAAACAGAAAUUUCUGUCCGUUAGUUGUUUCUUCCAUUGUAGCGUCGCGUAUUGUUCCAAUGCUGUCCGCAACUUGCUUGUUGUGUUGCAUCGUAGUUGUUUGCAAAUCUGCCCAAAGUUCAAGUCGCGCGUAGUGGAUACCCCAAUCUGCCGUGGUCAUCAAGGAACAAAAGUUCUAGGGGGCGGCUAGGGUUUCUAUCCUUGCGGCUAGGGUUUUGUUGUUUGUCUCAAAUCUGUCCAAGUGUUAUGUGUUUCGCCCAAGUUGUUUUUAGUUAGUUUUCUAAACUGAUUUAUGGUUUAAAACUGGUUGGUGUUGUGAAUCUUGAAGGAAAAUUACAAGAAUUCUAGGUUUCUUGAGUUUCUUGAAAUUAAUCUUGAAGCUCUUGAAAGUUCUUGAUAAGAUCUUGGAGUUUGGGGCUGACCAGAUUUGAUUUUGUUAUUUCGGCCAAGUUGUUGGAUUGUUCUUGGGUUAAAAAAAAAAGAAAAAGAAAGGAGAAACGGAAGAGAAAAGAGAAAGGCAGUCGGGUAGCAAGAAAACCAAGAAGGAAAACCGCACUUUCUAUUGCCCAAAUCUGUCUUAUUGCAUCUUAUACCACCCAAACCAGAAAUUACAUCAAGAAGGAGAAAAACAAAACAAAACAAAAAAGAAAAGAAAUUCAAAAGUUUUGACCUACUCUUCUUGAAAUUCUUGAUCACUUGAACAACCCUUUCUUGAGGUUCUUGAUCAUCUUGAGCCUUAAAGACUUGCACCUCCCUUCGAAUAAAAAGUUUUUUGUACGCUCUCGCAUCCAUACGUGGUUUUCUUGGCUUAGGAAUAAACUUCUGGGAGGAGCCUUGAGCAACUUGUGGGAGUGUAGUUUGCGUAAGGUCGCUUGAACUUUCUUGCCGCGAAGCCAUAGCCAAAUCUGUCUUGGUUAUCUAGUGAAGAAAGAGGGCCGAAUUACCUUGUCUUGAGGGAGGAAAGGGGGGCGGAUUUGUUGAGAAGAGAGUGCGGCUGGAGAGAGGAGUUUUAAUAAGAGAAUAGCCGACCUUGUGAGAGAAUUUUGGAGAGAGAAAGCUGGAAAUUUUCGGUUGGCAUAAGGGGACUCCAAAUCUGAUUUGCUAGCCUACUUGGGAGGGGAUUUGGAAGUUUCCAAAGGUUGUGCAAGAAAGGUUUUCCAAAGAGUUUUCAAAACCAACUUGUUUUCCAAAUCAAUUUAGGAAACUAAGUAAAAUACUUGGAUAGCUCCUUGUUCCGCUUGGACACUUCCCUAUUUUAUCUCUUUGCUUUAAGGAACCAUCCCUACUUUCCCUCCUAUGUUUUAGGAACCACUCCUACAUCUUAGGAAAUCUAGGGUUUCCUUCCUUAGCAAUAUUUCCAAAUCUUCCCGCCGCCCAUAACCUCUCAAUUUUCGUCCACUCCAUCUACAAAUCUCACCCGAAUUAAGUCUUGCAUUCUUGAAAACUCGUGUGGAUACAUUGGUGACGAUUAUUGGACUUGAGUAAGAUUUCUCAACUACCUAAUCCAACAGGUAAAGGUACUUGGUAAGUCUACUAAGAGUGUUUUGAGUGCUAUAAACGAGCGUGAGUGAUACACUAACGGAGUGAAGUGAGGACACAUUUGUACUAUUCUUUGUACUACUAACCUUUUGCAGGGCGUAAGGAGAGACAUGGAGCAAGAUCAACAACCACCUUCCAAAGACUAUUCUCUGUUGUUCACCGCCAUGAGGCAUGAGCUCAAACGCAUUAGUGAGCAACAAAUGGAGGAGUUGCACACCGCGGUUUGACGAACUCGCCAAGAGUCUCACCCCAGGCUCUCGUUCUGGAUCACGCAACCGGAGUAGCCGUGGCCUCAAAGGAGCACCCAGUGAGAACUACUCCACCAGUGAAUACGACGAGCAACCCGAGAAGCCUCGACGGGACAUGCCUAAGAACGAACUCAAGGGGCUUAAGAUUCAAGUCCCCGCAUUCAAAGGCAAAAGUGACCCUGAAGCUUACUUGGAGUGGGAAGGCCGUAUCGAGAUGGUCUUCGACUGCUACGAUUACAGCGAGGAACAAAAGGUUAAAGUUGCCACCGUGGAGUUCACCGACUAUGCACUAGUCUAGUGGGACCAAGUAAGAACCCAUAGGAGGAGGAUGGGCGAACCACGUUUCCGGACUUGGCGAGAACUCAAGGCACUGAUGCGCAAGCGAUUUGUUCCUAGCUACUACAAUCGCAAUCUCCACUCUAAGCUUCAAACCCUCACUCGAGGCAACAUGAGUGUGGAAGACUACUACAAAGAGAUCGAGAUGGCCAUGAUGAGGGCCAACAUUCAAGAGGACAAUGAAGCCACGAUGGCUAGGUUUCUUAGAGGUCUCAAUCCUGACCUUCAAGAAGCCUUGGAGCUCCAACAUUACUUGGACAUGCACGACCUUCUAGAACUCGCUAUUAAGGACGAGCGGGGGAAGAAAUCAAGACGAGGAGCACGAACUUUCCAAUCUUCUAACACCACUUCAUGGAGGGGCAACCAACCACGAAGAGUGACCCACGAAGUUGGAAGUGCAGCGACACAAACCUCUUCUAACCGAAUCCAAGGUAACGCCUCUAACCGCAAUUCCUAUUCUACCCCUAACAAGGUUUCCGAUCCAUCCAGGUCCACUUCGAAGGCACCGCAUGAGACUCCUAAGACUAGGAGUAGGGACAUCAAGUGCUUCAAAUGCCAAGGGUUUGGACAUAUUCAGUCUUAGUUUCCAAACCAACGGGUCAUGCUCAUCACUCACAAUGGCGAGAUCGUGUCUGAUGAUGACGAUUGUGAGGAGAUGCCCGAAUUGGUCAAAGACGACUGCCUGGAAGAAGAGUCAGCUGAGGAGGAUUGCUCGCCUACCUAAGGAGAAGUAGGGUGCUUGGUGGCACGACGAGUGCUAACAGCCCGAGUUAAGGAGGACGAGCAACUGCAACGCGAGAACCUGUUUUACACCCGCUGUAAGGUAGGAGACAAGGUGUGCAGCCUCAUCAUCGACGGUGGGAGUUGCACGAAUGUGGCAAGCCUACUCAUGGUUGAGAGCUUAGGGCUCCCCACUACUAAACAUCCACACCCUUAUCGCCUCCAAUGGCUGAGUGAGGAUGGAGAGGUACCGGUCUUCAAGCAGGUACGCGUUCUGUGACAGCCCCACCUCCCCCUAAGGCGAACCAAAGGGUUCGGCGCGCCUGCCCAGCUCUCACCGGGACUACGGAUCCGGAACGAGCGUAAACCCUACCAACCGCUCAAAGAACUUCGAGAAGAUAACAUUCAUUGUCCGAAACCCAACUAAGCACAACAACUUUAGAUAACCCUAGAAAAAACAUUUCCAAACCCAAUCAACUUAGGAACAUGGUUAAACACUUUUAUAUACACAUGGUUGCAAAUUUACAAUUCAAAAGGGAAUUGUUUGGUUAAAAUACAUUUAAGGUUUUCCAACCAUCGAGGAGCUAUACAAAAGAAUACUAAACUAGCUCAACUCAUGCUUCAAAACAUCAUAGUCUUCAAAAGGUGAUUUCCUGUAAGGAAAACAAGGAUAACGGAACGGGGUGAGCUAGAAGCUCAAUGAGGUACCAACAGUAUAAACAGUAGAUCAGUAGAAUUCAUGUGAAAGCACUUUGGAGGCACAUAUUCACAUAAAAUACGAGAAAUGAAAGAAUAUCACAAUGUAAAGGAUACAGGUGGCUCUCAGGAGCUAAAUCCCCGUUGCUAUACUUGAUCCAGUCUUGUUGACCCUCCGUCAACGUUCAAAUAAAGGAACCAGUCCAGUAGAUCACCACUUUUACGCCAAAACCCCGUACACCAAACAUACCCCUUACCGGGCCCGAACGCCAAACAGGAACAGGAAUGGUAAUACUCGAGUAUACCGGAAUCAAGAGUCUCAAUACCCAAAGAUUCCCCCAGGAACAGGCACCCAUGGUUUGGCAAUUAUCUCGACCAAGCCCUCGCUGGCUCGAUUUAAUUAACUCUCCAUGAGGUUGAGCUCAGGUUUAACAGGAAGGUCGUUGGAUACUCUUCCAAACGACAUCAUAACAAGUGCAAAUAAAAAGUUCAAGUACAUGACAAGUACAAGUAAUAGAUUCCAGUUUGUUCAGUACAGGCAAGAGAACGAGUGUGAUAAAGUACACCCUCGUCUCAUACAAGAUAAACAGUCAGGAAAGACAUUCAACUAGCAAUUGGCAAGUACAGGAAACCAAUUUAGCAAUAAUUCAGGGGAGUGGUACACUCACCAGUUCAAAUAAGGAUAACUUCAAAAGUUUCCUUCCCAAGUGUGGCUUUAAUCGUCGGCACCUCCAAGAACAAUCAAGGCAAACACUUAAGACUCUACUCCAAGACCUAGUAUGAAAUUCGCAAGUGAGACUCGGUUACGAGCCAUAUGCCUAGUCAAAAGAACCAUUAACGCAAAGCAAAGAGGUGACCUCGGAGUGAAAAGGUAACAAUUAGUCUUAAAAGCAUGAACAACCUCAAAGCCCUACCUACAAUGACUGACCAAUUCCAAAUUUGAAGUAGAUAAUGAAAGCAAGAUCAAUACUAGGAAAACAGGAUUUUUCAGUUUCGCGCAACCCUAUAUGAAAAAUCAUAUCUCAAGUUUUGUAAGUCCAAAAUUAGUAAAAGUUAUACCGUUGGAAAAUACAUUCAAAGGGCUCUAACUUUCCAGAAAACAUCCUUAUAAGAUUCAGAACGCAAAUCAGUCAAAUUCAAGCUUCAAAUUGCUGCUUUAUCCAGUGAAAGACAGAACAGGUACAAUAUUUCAGUCAACUUUAGUUUUUGAGAAAUUAAGAGCGUAUACCGGACGUGGGACCCGCUAGUCGAAAAGUUGAAAAAAUUCGGCCCGUUAGGUUAGGUUUUGGAUACUGGGUUUAAUUUACCGGGUGUUAUGAGAUAAUUAGAGGUUGUUGUAUGGAUAAGAGUGGAGAGACAAAAGGAUAACCUAGCAUUAAAGAGAGGGACAAAUGUCACUUUGCUAUUGGACUUGGAAUUUGACCAUAAGACCAUCUUACCACCUUUACCAAAUAAUAAAACCAAAAACUUGGCCAAAAAUCCUCUUAUUUUUCCCUCUCUUGGCCGAAUUUCUUGGAGAACAAAAGAAAGAAAAGCUAUCAAAUUUUUUCUACUCAAUCUUGCUCAAUCUCACAACUUAACCGAUAAAACUUCAAAUCACUCCAUAAAAACCCUUAGCUAGGUGGUAGUGAAGUAAUAGGUGAAGUGGUUUGAAAGAUAGUGGUGUAAGUUGCUUCCUUUCUUGAGAUUUCAAGGUGAGUAGUCAAGAAAUUCCAUCUUUGGCUUUGAUAAUGAUAAAUUCAUGACUUGUGAAGGUUAGUGGAAAAUUUCUGGGUUUGAAGCAAAAAAUUCCAGAUUAGGGUUUCUAUGAAGCCUGUUCUGCCCGGUACUAUUUGACUAGGUUAGAGGCCGAAUUAGCCUUGGGUUAAAACAUGAAAGUUGUAGAGGAUGGUAUUUUAUAGUUUUUUGCAAAAUUUCAACUCAAUCGGAGCAACGUAGCCUGUGAAAAGACAGAAAUACCCCUGCUGCCCUGUUUAUGUCCAAACCUGCUAAUCCGCUUCUGUAAUUGGUUAGUUUGACCAGGAAUAUACUGAUUUGGUUGUGGGUGUCUUCUUAAGACUUAUAGCCUUGUAUCUUAUAACCAAAUCAGCGAGGGCUUGGUCGAGAUAUGUCAUAAACAAAUCCGGACUGAAUGAUUUGGUUGUCUGUAAAGCUUGUAUCUUAGCUUUCACAUGGCUUUGGAAUCACUUGAAUUGGAGUUGUAUAUGCUGAGAUAUGACUGAAUGAAUCCGGACUGCCACAGUAAACUUCGAAUUGGAAAAUCUGGGGUUAUUUUGGUAAAUUUGACUUAGAUACAUUGCAAACUGGACUGAGUGGCCUUCUUCAACAUUGUAGCCCUUUCUCUUAGCUUCGAAACGGUGUAAAUUACACCUCAAUCCGAUGAGGAUAGCUUCAGUUGUGUUAAUUCCGCUAAGCAACAGCAAAUCUGCCUUUUGUUUUCCAACCCAAACUUUGUUUCUGCAUAUGUCCUAGUUUGAUUUUUCACUUAUACACAUGGUUGCAAAUUUACAAUUCAAAAGGGAAUUGUUUGGUUAAAAUACAUUUAAGGUUUUCCAACCAUCGAGGAGCUAUACAAAAGAAUACUAAACUAGCUCAACUCAUGCUUCAAAACAUCAUAGUCUUUAAAAGGUGAUUUCCUGUAAGGAAAACAAGGAUAACGGAACGGGGUGAGCUAGAAGCUCAAUGAGGUACCAACAGUAUAAACAGUAGAAUCAGUAGAAUUCAUGUGAAAACACUUUGGAGGCACAUAUUCACAUCAAAUACGAGAAAUGAAUGAAUGUCACAAUGUAAAGGAUACAGGUGGCUCUCAGGAGCCAAAUCCCCGUUGCUAUACUUGAUCCAGUCUUGUUGACCCUCCGUCAACGUUCAAAUAAAGGAACCAAUCCAGUAGAUCACCACUUUAACGCCAAAACCCCGUACACCAAACAUACCCCUUACCGGGCCCGAACGCCAAACAGGAACAGGAAUGGUAAUACUCGAGUAUACCGGAAUCAAGAGUCUCAAUACCCAAAGAUUCCCCCAGGAACAGGCACCCAUGGUUCUUCCUUCCCAAAUUGCAAACAGUGGCAAAUGGUGGAAUCCCAGAAUCUUACCUUCCACGUCCUCAAAUGGGUCAGAGACUUGAUGUUGUUCUACUACGUGAGCCAAAAGGUCGGUCAUUCGUUGAAUGGCUGCGGCCACUUUUACGUUCGGAUCAACCCUAGGUUCAGGGUUUGGUUCAGACGUAGUUCCUCUUGUAUCCCCUUCAGUCGUGGGUUGUCUAAUUCCGCGACCACGACCACGUCCACUAUGGGUGCCUUCCAUAUCGCUUAACCAGUCUAGGGUUGGACCACGAAUAUGGUAUUAAAACCAAAGUAUGCAGGUGCAAAUGAUAAAAGUAGGCAAUAUACAUAUAACACAUCUAACACAAACAGAUCACACAGUAGCAGUCAAUUAGAUACAAGCAAAAGGAAACAUCCUUCAUGAUACUAACUAAGCUAAUGGUACAAGAGCAACCAACUAAAAACUGCCCUCUCUAGGGUUUCGGGCACAAUCUACAAGAAUAAUACAAUUUAUAUCUUAGGCAUGGUUAAUCAUCCGUAAUGAAACCCUAACACAUCACAUGACGUUCCAUAGAAUCGAAUUUCGAGUCCGCCCAAGUCAUUUCUAACCUCGGCUCUCAUCUAUUUAGUAGUCGGGUACCAGAAUCCCAAAAUAAGAUAAUUCACAACUCGGGCUGGCCAAUCCCAAGAGUAAUUCAUAUACAAUCGAGAUUCUUAUCUGACCUACAGAUCUACUAUCCCAAAGCACCAUGAUAAAGGUUUAAAACCUAUAACAUUUCAUGAUCCAAAGCUUAUGCUCAAAAGAGCACUUAAACAUUCGUACACAUUCACGAAAUUGGGACCAUAACACCACUUGGCACAAGCUCACUCCGCGCAGAGACCACGCGAAGCAGCUCUGAUACCACCUGUGACAGCCCCACCUCCCCCUAAGGCGAACCAAAGGGUUCGGCGGACCGCCUGCCCAGCUCUCGCCGGGACUACGGAUCCGGAACGAGCGUAAACCCUACCAACCGCUCAAAAGAACUUCGAGAAGAUAACAUUCACUGUCCGAAACCCAACCAAGCACAACAACUUUAGAUAACCCUAGAGGGUGUACUCUCCAUGAGGUUGAGCUCAGGUUUAACAGGAAGGUCGUUGGAUAUUCUUCCAAACGACAUCAUAACAAGUGCAAGUAACAAGUUCAAGUACAUGACAAGUACAAGUAAUAGAUUUCAGUUUGUUCAGUACAGGCAAGAGAAUGAGUGUGAUAAAGUACACCAUCGUCUCAUACAAGAUAAACAGUCAGGAAAGACAUUCAACUAGCAAUUGGCAAGUACAGGAAACCAGUUUAGCAAUAAUUCAGGAGAGUGGUACACUCACCAGUUCAAAUAAGGAUAACUUCAAAAGUUUCCUUCCCAAGUGUGGCUUUAAUCGUCGGCACCUCCUAGAACAAUCAAGGCAAACACUUAAGAGUCUACUCCAAGACCUAGUAUGGAAUUCGCAAGUGAGACUCGGUUACGAGCCAUAUGCCUAGUCAAAAGAACCAUUAAUGCAAAGCAAAGAGGUGACCUCGGAGUGAAAAGGUAACAAUUAGUCUUAAAAGCAUGAACAACCUCAAAGCCCUACCUACAAUGACUGACCAAUUCCAAAUUUGAAGUAGAUAAUGAAAGCAAGAUCAAUACUAGGAAAACAGGAUUUUCCAGUUUCGCGCAACCCUAUAUGAAAAAUCAUAUCUCAAGUUUUGUAAGUCCAAAAUUAGUAAAAGUUAUACCGUUGGAAAAUACAUUCAAAGGGUUCUAACUUUCCAGAAAACAUCCUUAUAAGAUUCAGAACGCAAGUCAGUCAAAUUCAAGCUUCAAAUUGCUGCUUUAUCCAGUGAAAGACAGAACAGGUACAAUAUUUCAGUCAACUUUGAAAAAUCACCAUAAAUGGUACAGACAUAAACAGGGUCCAAAAUUUAUACAGUUUAUAGCCCUAUGAAUCUAGUUUAAAACGCAAUAAAUGGAAUUCAAUUCCGACAUUCCUACAUCAAGAUAUAGCAAAUUUCCCGAGACUGUGCAGAAACUCCGCGAAAAUUUUGACAGCAUUUCCCUUGUCUUUCUUUACUUUCCAACCAAACCUCAACACCCACAAAUCACAAGCUAUCAAACACCUUUAAUUAGAGCCACCAUAAGGCUCGAAUACGAGUCAUAAACCAAAUCCACAUAUCACUAGAGUAAAAUCAUAUGGAACGCAUAAGUGAAAAAUCAAACUAGGACAUAUGCGGAAACGAAGUUUGGGUUGGAAAACAAAAGGCAGAUUUGCUGUUGCUUAGCGGAAUUAACACAACUGAAGCUAUCCUUGUCAAAUUGAGGUGUAACUUACACCGUUUCGAAGCUAAGAGAAAGGGUUACAACGUUGAAGAAGGCCACUCAGUCCAGUUUGCAAUGUAUCUAAGUCAAAUUUACCAAAACAACCCUAGAUUUUCCAAUUCGAAGUUUACUGUGGCAGUCCGGGUUCAUUCAGUCAUAUCUCAGCAUAUACAACUCCAAUUCAAGUGAUUCCAAAGCCAUUUGAAAGCUAAGAUACAAGGUUAUAAGUCUUAAGAAGAAACGGACAACCAAAUCAGUAGUAUUCCUGGUCAAACUAACCAAUUACAGAAGCGGAUUAGUAGGUUCGGACAUAAACAGGGCAGCAGGGGUAUUUCGGUCUUUUCACAGGUUACGUUGCUCCGAUUAAGUUGAAAUUUUGUAGGAAACUAUAAAAUACCAUCCUCUACAACUUUCAUGUUUUAACCCAAGGCUAAUUCAGCCUCUAACCUAGUCGAAUAGUACCGGGCAGAACAGGCUUCAUAGAAACCCUAAUCUGGAAUUUUUUGCUUCAAACCAGAAAUUUUUCACUAAUCAUUACAAUUAUCAUACCAAAGCUUCAUUCUAACCCAUACUAGACCAUCAUACAUGGCCAAACAACAUUAAACAUAUAAAAAUAGAAAAAUUUUGCAUAAAAUCAAAAAUUCAUCAAACACCACCAAAAGUCAUGAAAACCUCCACAAAAUCACCUAACUAACCUUCACAAGUCAUGAAUUUAUCAUUAUCAAAGCCAAAGAUGGAAUUUCUUGACUACUCACCUUGAAAUCUCAAGAAAGGAAGCAACUUACACCACUAUCUUUCAAACCACUUCACCUAUUACUUCACUACCACCUAGCUAAGGUUUUUAUGGAGUGAUUUGAAGUUUUAUCGGUUAAGUUGUGAGAUUGAGCAAGAUUGAGUAGAAGAAAUUUGAUAGCUUUUCUUUCUUUUGUUCUCCAAGAAAUUCGGCCAAGAGAGGGAAAAUUAAGAGGAUUUUUGGAAAAUUUUUUGGUAUUUAUUUGGUAAAUGUGGCAAGAUGGUCUUAUGGUCAAAUUCCAAGUCCAAUAGCAAAGUGACACUUGUCCCUCUCUGUAAUGCUAGGUUAUCCUUUUGUCUCUCCACUCUUAUCCAUACAACAACCUCUAAUUAUCUCAUAACACUCGUUAAAUUAAACCCAGUAUCCAAAACCUAACCUAACGGGCCGAAUUUUUCCGAACUUUUCGCACUAGCGGGUCCCACGUCCGGUAUACGCUCUUAAUUUCUCAAAAAUUAAUCGAUACUAGAAAAAUCAUUUAAAAACUAUAUUUACUCAUAAAAAUUAUUUUUAAAAUUUUUUUGAAUAAAGAAAAUGUGGAAAAACGUGCAAUUAAAAGAAAAUAAAACCUAGAAAUUCAGAAAAUUACGGGUCCUCACACGUUCCCUUUUCCAUUGGCACUUACACUGAUGAAGUUGUUUGUGACGUCGUGCCUAUGCACGCAACCCAUGUCAUCCUAGGGAGACCCUGGCAAUUUGACAAACACGUCACAUUCGACGGAAGGGCAAACAAGUACACACUCUUGCAUGAUGGCAAGCGCAAGGUCCUCACCCCACUUACACCUGCACAAGUGUAUGAGGACCAACUUAAGUUGCAAAGAGAGUGUGAGCAAGACCGUCAAAGGAGGAAACCAAAGGCAGUCGACCCUGGCAACGGCUCCACUUCUGCAAGUGAGCCAUCGACCAAGGGUCAAGGAAGCACACCUAGGGUUACACGUGACAAAUCACCCACGACACAUACCACUAGGAAGCAAAACAUGAUUAUUAAGGCUAAGGACCUUAGAAAAGUUGUUAAUUCUGACCAGCCUGUACUUCUCAUGAUUUGCAAAUACGUGCUCUUGGAUGUUGCUGAGCUCGAUAAGGCAUUGCCUGCGAGUAUGGUAGCUCUCUUGCAGGAAUUUGAGGAUGUUUUCCCUGACGAGGUCCCUGAUGGCUUACCACCCAUUCGAGGGAUUGAACACCAAAUCGACCUCAUUCCUGGAGCACCACUACCCAACAAACCUGCUUACCGCAUAGGCCCUGAGGAGACCAAGGAGCUUCAAAGGCAAGUUGAUGGCCUCUUAGGUAAGGGUUGGGUGAAAGAGAGUCUAAGUCCUUGCGCUGUGCCUGUGAUACUUGUCUCCAAAAAGGAUGGUACUUGGCGUAUGUGCACUAACUGUCGGGCUGUAAAUGCUAUCACUGUCAAAUAUCGUCAUCCCAUUCCUCGACUUGAUGAUAUGCUUGAUGAACUCGAUGGUGCUAUUAUUUUCACCAAAAUUGACUUAAGGAGUGUGAUACGUUCCUCGAUCAACACGUUUCGAGACACGUAGCACGUUUGCCCAAGGAUCUAGCGAAGUUGUCCAACGCUUGGAUUGCGGGACCUAGAAUCAAACGGACGACACGAUUUGAUUUAGGUGGUAGACGACACUCCGAUGAAGGUGAAUACUCCAGGGGAAUAGGCGGAUGAACAAUCGAGGACAGGACGCAAGAUUGCUCAAUAACCCUUGCCAAAGCAAGUUAAAGUGCUCGAACUCUCUUCUUAGAAGAAGGAACGAAUUAAACCAAUUUUAUUGAUAAAACGACUACCUAAAACCUUACAAAGCAAGCCUAUUUAUAGGCUAAGAGUUACUAAAACCCUAACGAAAAAAAGGAAGGUAAAUUCGGCCAUCUUGGGGUCAAGAUGGGUCGGCCCAUGCUCUACUAAAUAACUAAUCCAACUCUAAAUAACUGCACUCUAACACCAAGGCCUAAGGCCCUAUUCGGCCAACUCACUUGGAGGCCCACUUAACUCUUCAUGGGCUUGGAUCAUGGUGUAGAUAACUUGAUUGUCUCCUUCCAAGCCUUCAAUAUCUCUAUGGACUCCAUGUUGGUUUUGGACAAUUCGAACAAGGGUUUGGAGGGAUUCUUUGAAGAGCUUGGCUCGUGCACGUGUGACUGGGCCCAAUGGAACUCGGACUGGGUCAUUACUUGGGCUAAGGUCUGUGCACACAUCAGUCCCCUCCACUUGAGCAGGAUUGGUCCUCAAAUCGGGAUGGAAAUGAAUGACACGAACAAGGGUUGGUAUCAUGGCUCCAGUGGCUCCUCUUGUUCGUAUCAUUCCCCCCUCUUGAAAGCAAUUUGCCCACAAAUUGAAGCACGAAUGGUGACAAGACGAGUUACAUGCCUUCGACUCAAUCUUGUUAUGAUGGCUACAGAUGGCAUCCAAUGCAAAGCCCAUGUGCUAAGUUGGAAAAUAACCCUUGUCGAACCUUGAAUCUCACAAACCAUCUUCAAUGUAUGCUCAACUUGAUCGCUUGUGGUCAUGAGGUAAGGGUCCUCAAAGUGGUAUGAAGUGUAUCCAUGAAAUCGAACUCCGGCUCGAACACACUUGCAAGGCACCAAGGCGGAUUUGGUGAUGUUGGAGCUUCAUGUGGACUAAGAGCAAGACGAAAAUCAUAAUGGUCAUUGAGGUACUUGUUCUUUAAACGAACCCUUGGUACACAACGAUCUCCAAAAUGUGGAGUGUUCCUAUCAAGACGAGCUCGAAUCAACUCCCCUUUGGUGUGGACUGAUUUGAGUUGACAUUGUUCCAUGAAUGGAUACCAACGGGGUUUAACUCUUGGAGUGCCAACUCCAUGGAGGCUUGCAAAGUCUACAAUUGAUUUUGGAAUGGAACACACCAAGAUCAACUCAACUUGCCUUUCCUUGAUCUGUAUAAAAGUAGAAACCCUUAACAAAGCGAAGGUAAGUUCGUUAGGAAAAUAAUAGGCCUUCACCGGGUUGCUCAAGAUCAGCCCACUUUCUCUCUUUUCUUCCUUUUUACCACCCAUCUCAUUAGAUUUUUCCAUCUCUUUUUCUAGUUCAGCAGCUGACCCUUUCAUCUCAUUACUUUCAACUCCCUCGGGUUUUACCUCUUCAGGCACAAUUCCCUCAUCUAGCUUUUUCUCCAUUCUAUAACGCUCAAGCUCACUUUUCAUGCAUGCUAGAUCAAUACAAAGUUGGUCAUAAGUAAGUGAUACAAGUGCAAGACGACGACUAUUAAAUAAGAAGGAAUACUUAUUAGUAUGUCCGUCAUAUUUAAUUUCUCGCCUCGACAUCCAUGCUUUGCCCAACAACACAUGUGUCACUUGAAUUGGGACUACAUCACACAGCACCUCAUCCACAUAUUUACCGAUGUGAAUAGGUACAAGUGUGUGCUUAGUAACCCAAACAUCACCAUGAGUGCUCGUCAACUUGUACGGUUGAAGAUGAUCAAUGGUUGGAAGAUUUAAUUUCUCAACCAUGAUAGCGCUUGCAAGGUUGACUUCACAACUCCCAUCAAUGGCCAAGCUACAAAUUUUAUCUUUGACACCGCAACGGGUAUAAAACCAACCAAGCAACUGAGAUUUGACGAGGUCCAAUUGCUCAUCUACACCACGUAAUGCCACUUCUUUGACUCCCUUAGGAUCAGGAAGACAAUGUUGUGGGCUAGCUUUUAUGCGUCUUGUAUUCACCAUGACGUAUGAGGGAACCUGCAAAAAGUUAGCAAUGACACCGAAGAUAUUGCCUUUCACGCUCCCUUACGUGUAUCCACUCGCACUCGUGUAUAUGGAUGUCACUCUAAUGGACUUACCAAAACCUUUACCUGUUGGGUUAGGUAGUUGAGAAAGGCGCGCUCAAGUCCAAUAAUUGUCACCAACUUUUUCCACAAGAGUAACCAAGAAGGUAAGACACAAAUAUGGGUGCAAAAUGAAGUGGAAAUGGACGACUUUGAAAGGCCAAUAAUGGCGGACAGAAAUGGAAGUGCGCCAAUGAGGACACAAAAGAAAGAAACCCUAGCUUCCUAAAAUGUAGGAGUGGGUUCCUAGAAUGUAGGAGAGUAUUCCUAAAAUGUAGGAGAGUGUUCCUAAAAUGUAGGAGAGAAUGUAGGAGAGUAUACCUAAAAUGUAGGAGAGAAUAUAGGAGAAAAUGUAGGAGAGUGUUCCUAAAAUUUAGGAAAAAUGUAUGAAAGUAUUCCUAAAAUAUAGGAGAGGAUGUAGGAGAGUAUUCCUAAAAUGUAGGAGAGAAUGUAGGAGAGUAUCCAAGUGAGACAAGAGUAAUCCAAGUGCUUUACUUAGUUUCCUAAUUGACUUUGGAAAGCAAGUUAGUUUUGGAAAAUUUAUUAAACAACUUGGAUGAAGCAAGCAACACUUGGACAGAUUUGAAACAAAGGAACCCUAGCGCAAAUGAAACCCUAGCCGCAAGUAGAAAACUCUAGCCGCCAAGGAUAACCCUAGCAAGAGAAGGAAACCCUAGUAGCCGUCAUGUUAUUGUUCUUGCUGCCGAAGCGACAACCAACUAACGAGACAGAUUUGGGAGCAACGUUGAAACACCAACAACCAGAAUUUUGAUGCAACAAACGACUCAAACGCAAGAAACAAGUUGUGGACAGAAAUUAUCAACAAACUAGACACAACACAAAGGAGAUAACACACCAACAGAUUUUGCGUUCGGAUGAACAGUAACGUGAACAGUGUCGUAUGAAUAGUAACGGUGAACAGUGACUUUUUUUUUUUUUUUGUAAGACAAGGCAGCGGAAACAAGGAAAACUAAGACAAAACUACGGAUAUAACGGAAGAUACCUCCACCAAAGCUCUGAAGCCAACUGAUACGUUCCUCGAUCAACACGUUUCGAGACACGUAGCACGUUUGCCCAAGGAUCUAGCGAGGUUGUCCAACGCUUGGAUUGCGGGACCUAGAAUCAAACGGACGACACGAUUUGAUUUAGGUGGUAGACGACACUCCGAUGAAGGUGAAUACUCCAGGGGAAUAGGUCGGAUGAACAAUCGAGGACAGGACGCAAGAUUGCUCAAUAACCCUUGCCAAAGCAAGUUAAAGUGCUCGAACUCUCUUCUUAGAAGAAGGAACGAAUUAAACCAAUUUUAUUGAUAAAACGACUACCUAAAACCUUACAAAGCAAGCCUAUUUAAAGGCUAAGAGUUACUAAAACCCUAACGAAAACAAGGAAGGGAAAUUCGGCCAUCUUGGGGUCAAGAUGGGCCGGCCCAUGCUCUACUAAAUAACUAAUCCAACUCUAAAUAACUGCACUCUAACACCAAGGCCUAAGGCCCUAUUCGGCCAACUCACUUGGAGGCCCACUUAACUCUUCAUGGGCUUGGAUCAUGGUGUAGAUAACUUGAUUGUCUCCUUCCAAGCCUUCAAUAUCUCUAUGGACUCCAUGUUGGUUUUGGACAAUUCGAACAAGGGUUUGGAGGGAUUCUUUGAAGAGCUUGGCUCGUGCACGUGUGACUGGGCCCAAUGGAACUCGGACUGGGUCAUUACUUGGGUUAAGGUCUGUGCACACAUCAGUCCCCUCCACUUGAGCAGGAUUUGUCCUCAAAUCGGGAUGGAAAUGAAUGACACGAACAAGGGUUGGUAUCAUGGCUCCAGUGGCUCCUCUUGUUCGUAUCAGAGUGGCUAUCAUCAAAUUAGGAUGAAAGAGGGCGAUGAGUGGAAAACGGCCUUCAAAACCAAACAUGGUCUCUAUGAGUGGCUAGUCAUGCCUUUUGGCUUGACUAAUGCCCCUAGCACCUUCAUGCGACUAAUGAACCAUGUUUUGAGACAUUUUAUUGGCAAGUUUGUCAUUGUUUACUUUGAUGACAUCCUGAUCUAUAGUCGUAGUGAGCAUGAGCACUUAGAGCAUGUGAGAUUAGUUCUUGAGACACUUCGACAGGCGCGUCUAUACGCUAACCUCAAGAAGUGCACCUUUUGUACUAACGAGCUUGUGUUUUUAGGCUAUGUGGUAAGUUUGCAGGCCAUCAAGGUGGACAAAUCCAAGAUUGAGGCCAUCGAGCAAUGGCCAACUCCCACAUCCGUCCCUGACGUGCGCAACUUUCUUGGAUUGGCGGGCUUUUACCGGCGAUUUGUCAAAGAUUUUAGCACCAUUGCCGCCCGUUGACUGCCGUGAUAAAGAAGAAUGACAAGUUCCAUUGGGGAGAAUCACAAGAACAAGCAUUUCUCGCCCUCAAGGAUACACUCACACAUGCACCUGUGUUAGCAUUACCAAACUUUAACAAGACUUUUGAAAUUGAAUGUGAUGCUUCUGGUGUAGGUAUUGGAGCAGUCCUCAUGCAAGACAAGAGGCCUUGUGCCUUCUUUAGCGAGAAGUUGGGAGGAGCUGCAUUAAACUACCCCACGUACGACAAGAAGUUGUACGCAUUAGUGAGGGCCUUGGAGACUUGGCAACACUAUCUUCGCCCUCGGGAGUUCGUGAUACACACUGAUCACGAGUCAUUGAAGUACCUCAAAGGGCAACCCAAGUUGAGUAAGAGACAUGCCAAAUGGGUAAGCUUCAUUGACACCUUUUCUUUUGCCAUUAAGUAUAAGACUGGCAAAACGAAUGUGGUAGCUGAUGCCUUAUCACGUAGACAUUCCUUGCUUGCCUUUCUUGAUGCCAAGUUACUAGGGUUCGAAAUGGUUAAGGAACUCUAUACAAAUGAUCAUGACUUUGGUAAUAUCUAUGCUGCUUGUGUUAAGAACCCGCAUGGGAAGUACUUUUUGCAUGAUGGAUUUCUAUUCCAUGUCGAUAAACUGUGUGUGCCUAAUUCUUCCAUUCGUGAUCUUUUGAUUCGAGAGGCACAUAGUGGUGGUCUCAUGGGCCACUUUGGCAUUGCCAAGACUCUGGCCAUGUUGCAAGAGCAUUUUUACUGGCCACAUAUGCGUAGAGAUGUUGAACGCAUGGUUGGUAGGUGUGCUACUUGUCACAAGGCAAAGUCUACGACUAAUCCAUAUGGCUUGUAUACCCCGUUACCUAUCCCUCACCAUCCUUGGGUUGACUUGUCUAUGGACUUUGUACUAGGUUUGCCUAGAUCACCAAGGGGUAAUGAUUCCAUAUUUGUGGUGGUUGAUAAAUUUUCUAAAAUGGCUCAUUUUAUUCCUUGUCACAAAACUGACGAUGCAUCUCAUAUUGCUAAUUUAUUCUUCAAAGAGAUUGUCCGUCUGCAUGGCAUGCCUAGGACUAUUGUUAGUGACAGAGAUGUGAAGUUCCUGAGUUACUUUUGGAAGACUUUGUGGUCCAAACUGGGCACUAGGUUAUUAUUCUCCACCACUAGUCAUCCACAAAGUGAUGGACAAACUGAAGUUGUCAAUCGCACACUUGGCACUUUACUUCGGGCCUUGAUUAAAAAGAAUCUUAAGUCUUGGGAGGAGUGCUUACCUCAUGUUGAAUUUAUUUGCAAUCGAACUGUGCACAGUGCAACACAAUAUUCUCCCUUUGAGAUUGUUUAUGGUUUCAACCCCCUGACCCCCCUUGAUUUGGUGCCCUUACCUUCCUCUGAGCACACAAGCUUAGAUGGGAAAAAGAAAGUUGAUUUUGUGCGCAGGUUACAUGAAGCCGUGCGAGCAAACAUUGAGAAGCGUACGCAGCAAUACAUCCAGCAAGCCAACAAGUACCGUCGCCAGAUGAUUUUCGAGCCUGGAGAUUGGGUUUGGCUACACUUGAGGAAAGAGCGAUUCCCCAAGCAGCGUCAAAGCAAAUUAUCCCAAGAGGUGAUGGACCAUUUCGAGUGCUCUAACGAGUCAAUGACAACGCAUACAAAUUGGAGCUACCUGGGGAGUACAAUGUUAGUGCAACCUUCAACGUCGCGGACCUAAGCCCAUUUCUUGACGAGGAGGAUCCAGAUUUGAGGGCAAAUCCUUCUCAAGAGAAGGGGACUGAUGUGUGCACGAGUCUCGGCCCACGCAAUGACCCAGUCCGAGUCCCAUUGGGCCCAGUCACACGUGCACGGGCCAAACUCUUCAAAAAAUCACUCCAAGCUCUGGUUGGAGUUGUCCAAGACCAAUAUGGAGUUCACAAAGAUAUUGAGGGCUUGGAGAGAGACAAUCGAGUCAUUUACACCAUGAUCCAAGCCCACGAGGAGUCAAGCGGGCCACCAAGAGAAUAAGGCCUUAGGCCCCAUCAAUUAGUUAGCAAUUAGUUAAUGAUUAAGUAAGAGCAUGGGCCGGCCCAUCUUGUUCCAAGAGCAUGGGCCGACUUUUUCCUUUUCCUAGCCCCCUAGGGUUUUAGACACUUUAGCCUAUAAAUAGGCUUGCUUUGUAAGGUUUAAGGGGUCAGAACUUUCAUCAAUAAAAUUGUUUUAUUUUCGUUCCUUCUUCUAAGAAGAGUGUUCAAGCCUUUUACUUGCUUUGGCAAGGGUUUUGAGCAAUCUUGCGUCUCGUCCUAGAUUGUUCUACCGACCUAUCCCGUGGAGUAGCCACCUUCAUUGGAGUCGUCGUUCUACCGUCUUGAAUCAAAUCGUGUCGUCCGUUUGGUUCUAGAUCCCGCAAUUCCAAGCGUUGGACAACCUCGCUAGAUCCUUGGGCAAACGUGCUACGUGUCUCGAAACAAGUUGAUCGAGGAACGUAUCAGUUUUGGAGUAUAAACGGUUAAGUUGUGAGAUUGGGCAAGAUUAAGAAGAAGGAAGUUGGAGAUUUUUUUUCCCUUUCUUUGCUCAAGAAGUUCGGCCAAGGGGAGGAAAAAAUGAAGAUGUUUUUAGUCAAUUUUUUGGUUAAAUGGUAAAGUAAGAAAGUUGGUCAAACCAUCCUCAAGUCACAAGGUGACACUUGUCACCCCUUUUUGUUUGAGCUUAUCCUUUUGUCUUCCAAGGUUAAUCCCUCCAUGCAUCCUCUAAUUGGCUCAUAAUUGCAUGUAAUAUAAUCUCUGUCUAUAUAACUUAACCUAAUUGGCCGCAUUUUAUCAAACUUACCGCACUAGUGGGUCCCACAACCGGUAUACGCUCCUAAGAAUUUUAGUCAUUGCAUUAAACACGAUUUCUUUCUAGAUAUAUAGUGGCAUGGUAAGAAAAAUUUCGAGGACGAAAUUUCUUUAAGGGGGAGAGAGUGUGAGGACCUGUAAAUUUUUCGUAUUUUAUAUUAUUUUAUUUUAUUCUUUCACAUGCAUUUUCUUCAUUAUACCUAUUAUAUUAAUUUUUCAGAGAUUUUAUAAGUAAGUAUAGUUUUAAAAUAAUUUUUCUAGUGUAAGUUAGUUUAUGUGACAUUAGUAGUGUAUCUUGGACGUGGGACCCGCUAGUGCGGUUAGUGCGAUAAAAUUUUGACCCCUAGUUGAAGUUUUCUGUUAAGGGAUAUUAUUUUACAAGGUGCUAGGAGAUUAUUAGAGGUUAGUUAGAUAUAUUAACCAUUGGGAGAAAGAAAAUAAGCUUGAGACAUCUAAGGUGCCACGUGUCGCGAAUCCAUUGGAAGUUGGACUUGACCAACUCUUAUUUAACUUUACCAAAAUCAAAAUUGACCCAAAUCUUCUUCAUUCUUGCCCUCUCUUGGUCAAAAAUUUGGAGCGCAAAAGAGAGAAAGAUAGCUUCAUCUUCCACUUCAAUUUCUUGCCUAAACUUUGAGAUUUCACCGAUGGACUUGCAAAAUACUCCAUAGAAAUUGUUCUCUAAGGAAGCUUGAGGGUUCCAAUGGAAUGAUUUGGGAAGAGAAAGGUAUGGAUAGCCUCUUUGCCUAAGGUUUAAGGUAUUUAUGCUAAGAAUCUUUCUCUAUUUCAGAUAAUUUCAAAUUAGUGUCUUAUGGAGGCAACUUUGGUAGUUUUAUGCAAAAUUUCAUGGUUGGAAGUGAUAUUAUGGAAAUUUUCAGUUUUAUCAUGAAUUUUCUGUCCAAAUAUGAAGCUUGAAGGUUAGUUAGGAUUUCCUAGCUUUGACAUGUGUAAAAUCUAGUGUUUAUGUGUUAUUUCACUUUGCUUAAAGAAAUUUCAGCUUUGAUGCAUAAAUUUCAGGUUUAGGGUUUCUAAUUUGGACAUGAUUAGAGUUACUUUUGGAUCUACAAAUUGGUUGUAUAUUAAGGGUGUUUGAUAGCUUGUGAUUUGUGGGUAUACUUGUGGUUGAAAUUGAGAAGUGAUUGGUGUUAAUGUUUGGAUGGAAAAGUAAAGAAAAACAAAGGGAGGUGCUGUCAAAAUUUCCGCAAGAACUCCUGAGCAGUCUCGGAAAAUCUGUUAUAACUUGAUGUAGAAAUGUCAGAAUUGAGUUCCGUUUGUUGCGUUUGAAACUAGAUUCAUAGAACUACAAACCAUAAAAUUUUCAGAUCCUGGUUCUGUCUGUAUGAUUUAUGGUGAUUUUUCAAAUUUGACUGAAAUAUUGUACCCGUUCUGUCUUGUAUUGGAUAAAACAGCAAUUUGAGGUUCGAAUUUGACUAACUUGUGUUCUGAAUCUUAUAAUGGUGUAUUCUGGGAAGUUGUAGCCCUUUGAAUGUAUUUUCCAACGGUAUAAAUUUUAUCAAUUUUGGACUUAAGAAGCUUGAGAUAUGAUUUUUCUUAUAAUGUUGCGCAAAACUGGAAAAUUCUGUUUUCUUAACCUUGAUCUUACUUUCAUUUUCUACUUUAAAUUUGGAGUUAGUAAAGCAUUGUAGGUAGGGCUUUGAGGUUGUUCCUGCCUUUAGAACCAACUGUUACCUUUUCACUUCAAAUCCACCUCUUUAAUGGUUCAUUUGCAUGGGCAUACGACUAGUAGUCGAGUCUCACUUGUACAUUCUGUUUACUCUGUUUUGGAUGUAGAAACUUCAAUUGUUUUACUUUGGUUAUUUUUAGGGUUUCUUGGCGAUUAAGCCACUUUGGGUGAAAACUUUUGAAGUAUCUGUACUUGAACUGGUGAGUGUACCACUCCCCUUAUUUGUUGCUUAACUUGGUUUCUGCACCUGCAAUCUGUGAUUUGAACGACUGUACUAUCUGUUUAUUCUGUUUGAGACGAGGGUGUACUUUAUCACACUCGUUCUCUUGUCUGUUUGUAUGCCUAUUUACCGUUUGUAAUCUGUUAUCUGUAUCUGAGUCUGUUCGGACGUCGUUUGGAGGCUGAUAUCCAACGACCCUUUUAUGACCUCUGAGCUCAACACCUGUGGCAAGUUACUCAAGUCGAGCCGGCAAGGGCCUGGUCGAUUAGAUAACGAACCACAGUAGUCUGUUCUAGGAAUCUUUGGGUAUUGAGACCCUUGAUUCCGGUAUACUCGAGUAUUACCAUUUCUGUUUCCUAUUUGGCGUUCGGGCCCGGUAAGGGGUAUGCUUGGUGAACAGGAUUUGGCGUAAAUGGGGUCUACGGUCAUGUUUGUUUUUUCGAGCGUUGACGGAGAGUCAACGAGUUGGGAUCAAGUACUGCAAAUGGGGAAAUUUGGCUCCUGAGAGCCACCCGUAUCCUUUCUAUUUAAGAUGUUUGUUCAUUUCCUUGGUACUUUUACUUGGCCUGAUGAACACGAGGUGUAUUGCUUGUUAAACUUUCAAAUUCUGGUUUGGUCACAUUUUGUAAAUUAGCUUCUGACCAUGCUUAGUUCACAUGGAUAAUGAUGGAACUGGGUGUUGGUGUCUUCAUAAGAAAUGUAGGGCUUUGUUUCAGAUUCAAAACGGUAUAAAGUACAUCCAAAUCCGAGAUUCGUAGCUCCCGUUAUAGUCAAAACAAGAUCGUGAGUCAGAACUGCCUUGAACACUGGACAGUUCUGACAGGUAAUUUGGCACUCAUUUUCGUUCUGUUCUGAGUUGAUCCAGGUCUUGGCCAAAACAUAAAAGUUUUAGCCUUAUGUCUUAGCUUUCCAAUGCCUUUGGAAUUUCUUCAUUUGGGUUUGUGAGCUGUGAGUUAUGGUCCGGAAAACAUACCCUGUCUGUCACCCUAAAGUGCGAACUUCUGGCACUGUUUUCCAUACUUUCGACCUAUUUCUGUUCAGAUCCGGAUUUAGGUGUCUUCACGAAAGUUAUAACCUUUUCUUUUAGCUUCGAAACGAUAUCUCAUACACUUUAAUCCGACAUUCCUAGCCCAACUUAUGGUCAAAACAGUUUGGGACAGUAACUAUGCCCAUUUCCGUUUGCCGGCCGUUUCCAUUUCCGUUUGCCGAUUCUGCACAUGGAUGUGCCAAUUUUGCCGUUUUGCUUAAUUUACGCACUUUUGUAGUUGUUUGUGUGAUAAUAGGGCUCAAUAAUAUGGCUCAACCUUCUGCUAUAGGCGGUGACGGGCUAGACGGAGCCGGUGGGGCCCACUAGCUGACGACUUGAAUUCAUUUCCGUACUUUCUCUCGUUAUACUUGCUCUUUAGGUGAGUAAUCAGGGUUUCUGUGUAACUCAAUACUAAUAUGAGUUUACUAUGAAAAAUGGGCACUUAGGCGAGGGUGUACUUUAUCGCACUCAAUCUAAACCCCAUUAGUUGUUAUUGAUACCUGUGAAAUAUGAUUUUGUGAUUUUUGAUGGAGCAUUUAUUGCUUGUGAAACAUUUGCGGAGCAUUUAUUGCUUGUGACGCAAUUUGGGAGCAUUUAUUGCUUGAACUACGAUUUUAAAGCAUUUAUUGCUUGAAGAAUAUUUUAGAGCAUUUAUUGCUCGUGACUUGAGCUGAGACUCAUGGUCUCUCUAUGUGAGAUCCUUUAAGAGAAGCGAGCUGCGUGGCUCAGGAUCUCAAGGGUCAACCAGUGAUCAAACUCGACAAAUGAGUUGGCUUGGGAGCCACCCGUAUCCUUACCAUGUGGUGUUACUUUUCUGCUUUUGCUUUGCUCUCACUAUGCAAAUGUUGACAUGUAAAAAUUAUAUUUUUACCCCUGGUUAGUCACUAAGCUUAUAGCUUACCCCCCUUUCUUUUGUUUUCCUUAGCAGGGGCCGACGCGGGGAAAUUUUGGCACCAUCACUAGUAUAGUUGGGUUUUGUUUGUAAUAACCGAAUAGUUAAUAUGUUUUUCCCUAUUAUAGUGAUCCGUGUAAGGACCCUUCUUAGGGUCUACUCUUUGGUUUUGGUUAUAAUCAUAAGGAUGUAAUGGUAUGGGUAGUUACUUUUGGGGAUGUAAAUAGAACUCUUUUGCCGAUGUAUAUAAUAUGAAUAGUACUCUUUUGGUACUUUUAGCUUUUAUUUGCUUUUGACUUCGAGUCCUGGCGCGAGCUGGGCAAGCGACCCGCUAAGCCCUCUGGUUCGCCUUAGGGGAAGGUGGGGUCGUCACAAACCAGUUGGUCAAUCAUGCACCUUUGGGUUGUCAUUUCCAUGCUCAAUUCAUUGAAUUUGUUUAACAUCUCGCUCAACUGAACUCCCAAUUUUGUAGUGUCUGCUGGAGGUGCCGUGGUGGACUUGUCAGAUGAUUCCAGAUGUGUACUCAUGUUUACACUAUUUCUCGAAACUCGGCUAUGUGAUCGUGUAAUGAUGGGGUUUCUUUGUGAAGUUAUAUUUACAAUUACCUGAAAAUUUAGGAAAAACCUUAUUGAAAUUCCUCUAUUGACCAGCUGUUGACAAAGCAAGAAAAGAAAGAAAAAGAAAAAGACACGAGUUAGUAUAUAUUGAGGUAAUUCAGAUGCAUGUCCUAUUGUGGGACUCUUUUAUCCCAAGGGUUGGCCUAGCAUGAAAAUGAAAUCCUUCAGAGCAGGCACUAUACAUUACCUGAUGGACCCGAUCAAUUUAUUGAUAUUCGAGUGAAAAGUAAUUUGAAAAAAAAGGUCGAUUGGUGUGGCAAGAGACAUCUAUCCUCACAAAUUGAGAACGAAGUCCGAAUGGAUUGAUCACUUUGAUUAACACAAAAAAUGAUGUGUGAAAGAGCCUACUCUUGAAAGGAUUGUAAUGUCUCAACUAGUUUAUUCAGUGACCCUUAGAUCGAAACCCUAAAAGAAAAUAAAUGGAUUAAAUGGAUCGGAUAAAAUUGAUGAUUUAUUCAAAAAUUGACUGGAUCGCCCUAAAAAUGGGUAAAUUGGUCAAAUAGUUUGAAUGAAAUUGAUGAUUUAUUCAAAAUCGAAUAGAUCACCCUAAAAAUGGGUAAAUUGGUCAAAUAGUUUGAAUGAAAUUGAUAAUUUGUUCAAAAUCGAAUAGAUCACCCUAAAAAUGGGUAAAUUUGUCAAAUGAAAUUGAUGAUUUAUUCAAAAUUAACUGAAUCGCCCUAAAAUGGGUAAAUUGAUCAAAUAGUUUGAAUGAGAUUGAUAAUUUGUUCAAAAUCGAAUAGAUCACCCUAAAAAUGGGUAAACUGGUCAAAUGAAAUUGAUGAUUUAUUCAAAAUUGACUGAAUCGCCCUAAAAUAGAUAAACUAGUCAAAUGAAUUGAAUGAAAUUGAUGAUUUAUUCAAAAUUGACUGGAUCACCCUAAAAAUGGGUAAACUGGUCAAAUGAAUUGAAGGAAAUUGAUUGAUCAUAUAGAUCGGAUGGAGUGAUGAUUUAUUCAAAAAUUGACUAGAUUGUUUUAAAAAUGAAUAAAUUGGUAAAAUCGAUUGGAUGGUAUUGACGGUUUAUUCAAAAUUGGUUGGAUUGUCCACCGAUAUGUAGUUUCAAAACUCACAAAUUUUGUUGCAACGCAUUAGUCUAUGAGUUUUCUAAAUUCAAGAUUUGGCCUCAAUAUAUAUCAUCUCAACAAUGAGGAAUUAUUUAUGAAUUUCUUCAACUUAAUGUCCUUUACACAAGGAAUUUUUAUCAAUUCUGAUAAAAUGGCCAAAAGAUGAUUGUUAGAUGCUUCUAUUCUAAUGUGCAAAAGUUGCUCUAUUAUCUUCGAGGCCAAUGUCACCAUCGUGAAAGGGAUCAGAUCCAACCUUACCUUGUGCACUACCCCUUUGGAUGAUACAAAACUAUAAACAUGCAAGUCUCAUUGGAUUACAUAUCUGAGACACAAGGUGGUUUAUUCCUAUCGUGGGAUCCCCUAUGCAGCAUUCCCUUCUAAGGUUUAUGCAUGAUGCCAAUUUAUCAAAGCAAUUAAAUAUGCAAUUUGAAAUGAAAACAUGACCUAAAGGGACCCUUUGUAUGCCAGGGUGGGCCUAAAAUGAUGUGCAAUUAUUAACCUACAAAUGCAAUAUAUUGGAAUUUAAACGUGCAAUAACCUAUCUAAGAGAGUAGGUUCUAAAAGAGUAUCAUACCAGAGCUCUUAUUUCUAAGGCUUAUGAAUGCAAUAGAACAAAGAAAGGUUAGUUCAAUUGAUAUAUGACACAUAACACAUUGGAGCAAACAAAAAUAAUAUGAAAAAAUAGAAGGCAAUUAAAUAAAGAAGGGUGCAAUCCCUCCCCUCAUGCCUAGUGUUCCUAUUUGAGUAAGGUUGACUCUAUCUUAGGUAAUUUCUAACAUGGAUGCAUGAAGUUGGGUUCACUAAUGCAUCUAGACUCAAUAAGGUUCAGGUCCUCAAACUUUCAGACCAAAGGCGAAGGGUCAUCAUCCAAGACCUAAGAGUCGAUGGUUCGAAUAAUCCUUGGACAUUGCUACGCGCACGUCAUGCCACGGCCACAUGUCCAAGUAGAUCGAUCCUAAUCCUAAUCGGGUAGAGUGGUGUGACAACUAUUAAAAGUAAAAGAAAUGAGGGGUUAUAAAGUAAAACGUAUGCACAUAUGAAGUGCUCCUUUUGAAGGGAGGGAUUAAAUACCAUCAAAUGCGGGUGAAGGUUCUAGGAUGGUUAUUCCCCAACAUGCAAGCGCGAUAUACAAACAUAAGUGAAUGAAAGAAAAUAAACACAUUAUUUAUCACAUACACGAAUAUCGAGAUGAUUUGUACGUGAGAAAUGCAAGAAAAACCCUGAAAAGGAAAAAUGCAACCUAAAACCACUAAAUGUCAUAUAUAAAAAGGUUAGAAAAAGAAAAGCAUUGACGAAAUCAAAUGCUCGGACUCUCUAAGUCCCAGUGGAGUCGCCAAACUGUCGCCGCCCCAUUUGUGAUUGAAAAUAACGUGUUUAUAAAAAUGGAUUUUUGAUUUAUUUUGAAUGAAAAUUGGUUUUGAUUUUUAGAGAAUAAAUAAAGAAAAAGUGCCUAAAAUGGGACUCAAAAAGUGCGACGAUUUUCGUCCAAAAUAAUAGUUUAAAAAGGGUUUUUAAGAAAAUAUAGGAGUCGCACUUGGUAUUGAGUUAAGGUGUACAAGUCACCUAAAAAUGAAUUUCAAAUAAAAAGUAGAGACAACCUUUUUUAAUCGAUUCCAAGUCUUCGAAAAUCAGAGCAAAAGUCCGGGAGUCACGAUUGAAGAAAGGGAAGGCAAGGAUAAAAUCCAAGGCACCCUUUCAACCUAACCAAAGCUAGUUGCGUGAUUUAGUCAAAAAAUUUUCUUAUUUUAACCUAAAAAUUUAUUACAUUUGGAUGUCGCUAUAUGGAUGCAAAACCUAAACUUAGGAGGAUUCGAGGGGUCGGAAUAUUCUUCAAAUCUUAUUUGGUGCAAAUCACAUUAAUUGUGAUGCCCAAGAGUGACUCUUUGAAGAGGGACGAAUAUGCAAAAAUAUGAGACUCGGAGAAAAGAAAAGAAAAUAAUAAUUAUACAAAUAUACAUGAUCUAAAGGAAUGCAUCAUAACGGGUGCGGGGGGGAGGGGGGCUAAAAUUCGUGACUUUAAUUUUUCCUUUAAUAGAGGGAAUACGAGCGUGCUAAGACUAGAAAGCAAUACUCGUCCAUAUCCCAUAUUCGAAGGGUAUUUUCUAUCUAAUUAAGCAAAUGAUCUAAGCUAGUUCUAAUUCUUAAAUGGAAUGCAAGUCUAAUGUCAUGUUUUCACACAUAGGGGUAAGGGAUAUACAUAUAGGGGAAAUAUCAUGCAAAAUGAUAAAAAAUCCUAAGAAGUAGAAAAUAUGCAUGAAAUGUAGUGAUUUUGUCACAACAACAUGAUCUAACACGUGAACGGUUCCUAAGGGUCUAGCGUUGAACUAGCCCAUGUCUACAAGUUCUCACCAGCGUUGGACUAGUGAGAAAUUGAAAAGGACCACAACUAGCGUUGGACUAGUGUGGAGUCGGGAAAAAGGCCACAACUAGCAUUGAACUAGUGUGGUGACGUCAUGCACUUAUUAAAAUCAAAUAAUCAAAUAAACAUAAUAAAAAUAAUUAAACACAUAAUAUCACAUAAAACAUAGCACAUAAGCAUGAUAUCUAAAUGUAAGACCUAAGAAAGCGAGUAACAUGUAACACACAAGCAUGCAAAACACACAAAGCAAAUAAAACAAAUAAAGACCUAACUAUUAUAUUUGGGGGGCCCUAACUACAAUCUACGGGGGGGAAAAGAAUAAAAUAAUAAAACAACCACCUAACUAUUACAUAUCUAAAUACAUGUCUUGAACCCCCUAACUAUUACAAUUUGACAUUUAAAUGCCUCUUAAAUAAUCAAACAUUAAAUUAAAAUGAAUAUGUGAAAUUAAAAGAAACAAAUAAAGUGAAUAAAUAAACAAAACAAAAUAAGUAAUGAAAGUAAAAACAUUCAAAAUCAUGCAAUUACACACAUAGAUUCACAUAUGGUCAAGUAAAAUCCAAAUAAAGGAGUAGAGUGUAUUUCCCUUGAAUUGGUGACCUAAUAAAAUGAAAUUUCUCUUAUUUACCCUCCAAAACAAUAAAAUGGUUAAGGCAUCACUUUAAUUAACAAAUAAUCAUAAAAGAUGGAAAUAAACAUGAAUUUGAACAAUUAAACAUUUAAAUGAAAGUAAACAACCCAUAUUCAAGAAAUUAAAGCAAAUAAGGACCUAAUUGAAACAAUUAAAGAAGUUUUAGGGGUCAAAUCAUUAUUACUACAAAUGUAAGGGUCUAAAUUAAAAUAAAAUAAAAUUAAGGGUUAAGAUGAUGUGACGCCCCCACUUCUCCCUAAGGCGAACAAAGGGUAUCCGGGACGCCUGCCCAACUCUCGCAGGACUCAAGACAAUUCGAUUCAACUUAACGAUACAUAACCGUUCAUACAAGUCUAAUAAAGAAAAAUCGCUUCCAUAACCAAAUAUCUCGUCUUACACCACGAGUUCCAAAAUACAUCAAGUUUCCAAAAUAUACAAAUGCCAAAGGUCUAGUCGAUUACAUUUGAAACCCGAAUACAAAAGUACAUCCCAAGGGUUUCUUCGAGUUUCACUCCAAGGUCGUUCCUGUUAAGGAAAACAAAUCUACUGGGUGAGCAAUUGCUCGUGAGGCCAAGAAACACACAUGCAAGCACGUUGUCCAAAUAACAAUCCCAAAUAACAAGAAAACGAUAAUAUUCGAGUAAUUAACAAUUCAAGUGAUAUAUAACGGAAACAAUUCAAGGAUAUGGUAGCUCUCAGGAGCUAAGUUCCACUUACUUUGCCAGAUCUCAAUCGUAUACCUUCCUGUGAUGACUCUCCGUCAACCGGGUCGGUAUUUCCAAUCCGUAGACUCCACUUUACUUCACAAGUCCUUCCACCUUACAACCCCCUACCGGGCCCAAACGUCGAUAAAGGCGCUACUGCACGAGUAGGCCAAGCAAGAUCUCCCCAAUAGAUCAAGUUUUAUUUCAUUCCCAUGGCUCACCAAAGUUCCCGACCAAGCCCACGCCGGCUCGAGUCCCAAGGUCAGCCUAUGGGUUUGGGCGUCCCCUUUAACAUUUAUGAGUCGAGGAGAUUCACUCCAACGACGUAUGCAGUCAUAGCAUACCAUUUCAUUUCAUUCAAUCAUUCAAUAUCAUUCAAUCGUUCAUUUCAUUCAAUCCAUUCAAUACAUUUCAUUCCAUUCAUUUCAUUUCAAUCAAUUCAAUCACGAUUCAUUCAAAUGAGAAUGAGUGCGGUAAAGUACACACUCGACUCCAUUUUCAAAAUCUCCAAUCAUUAAUAACAAUUAAGCAUGUAUCAAGUUUGCAUACACUUGAUACUCACCAAGUAAUUCAAGAAGUAAAGCACAAGCAGUUGUUUAGGCGUCUCCGGUGAUAUCCUCUUGAAGGUCCUUUGAGUGCUUGAGCAAUAAUAUUGAAUUAUUACACACUAUCACUUAAAACUACUUAUCGAGAAAGAUUGCACUCAUGUACAAUCUAAGAAGAUAUCAUGAGAAUGAGCCUUAAUUAGUCGUAAAUCGAGACUCAAAAGUAGGGUUUAAAAAUACAAGAAAAAUCUGAUUUUCAUCUUUGAAAUCAAGUGUAAAACGGUCAAACGAUAUCGAAGGAAAAUGGAGAGUUCUAAAAACUCAAUUUCCUUUAAAUUCGGAAAUUUCAGAUUUGACAAGCAAUCUUUGAAAAUUUGUAUCUCACUCUCUGUAGGUCCAAAAUUGGAAAACUUGGUACCGUUGGAAACUAAUUCCAAGUACUAAAAGUUCCUAGAAGACACUUUUCCAUGAUUCAAAAUGGAAGACAUUCAAAUUUUGGCCUCAAGUUGCUGAUUUGGGCUCCCCGGACAGAUUCGGGGUUGGUUUUUGACAAAAUUUGGAAAUUCGGCAAAAUUCACAAAUUAUGAACUAGCCUCUCAAAUUUGAAACUCAAUUAGAGUUACAAUCAAUGUUUAGAAUCCAACAAACGGAACAAGAAUCAGAGUUUUGAGCGCCAGGAUAUAGCAGCUCAAAGUUGUUGAAAAUUCCUCACUGAACAAGGAUUUUCCAGAUUUGAAACAUAAACUUUGGGACUUCAGUUGGGCCUCGAAAUGGACUUGAAAUGGCACCAAAUUUGGUAGUAUUACCCUACCAAUAUAAGGGAUAUUCCUCUGUGAAAUUUCAUGCAAAAUUCAUACGGAAGGUCAGUUAACAAAGCCACUAAAGUUCCAAGAAUUUCCAAGACAAACUUGUCUUGUACUUCCGUUUUCCUUUUUUUUUCUAACUUUUCCAAUGAAAUCGACUCAAAUCCAGUUCAUUUAUGAAGACAAGAUCUAAGAAACAUCCAAAAUACAUUUGGUAGGUGAUUGACACCAAAAUUUUCAAAAUAACAAGUCCCAAUUCGAAAUAAGCCAUUGGCUAACCCAAAAUUAGGGUUUUCAAUCACUGAUGCAGUUCUGUAAUUCAGCCACACCUCACUCAAUUCAACUUGGAAUUGGGCGUGAUUGGUGGCGUUGGAAACUAAUUUAUAAGACUACAAUUUCUCAGAAGAAAUCAUUCCGAAAUUUUGUCCAUAACUAGCUCAUAUUCGAGCAACAAGUCACAGCACAUAACUGGUUUUCUAACACGGCAGUGAAAUAGGACAGUUAAUUUUGAAAGGCUGUACGGUUCACUCAAGUUGAAUUAGGGGAUGCAUUUUAUACCAUUAGAAAACUGGAAGUGUCUAGUUUCUAAUACAGCAAAUGAACUCGAUUUUGACAUUGGAGCAAAGAGUUAUGAUCGUUUAAAGUUCGCUGCCAGAGUAACUCUGGACACGUUUUCCAGCAAUGAAGAAAUUUCGAAAUUCAAACAUUACCCAACCAAAUCAAGUGAUUUUUGUGAAACUUUCCACACAACCUAUACAACAUAUCUACAUCAAAAUCAAGACAAUUUGACCACAAAAAAUCACACCAAAAGGCCCGGUAAGAACAGGGCAGAACCGGCCCUUCUUCCUUUGAGUUUCUUUCUAUUCUUUCAACUUAAAUCCACUAGAUUAACACUCAAUCAACAUAAAUAACAUUCAAAAUCAUCAAAUCAGUCAACAAGUCCAUUGUGGGAUUUCAUAUAGCCCACUCACAUGAUUUUGACAAUCCAAAGCUACCCACAUGAAGCUACAAGCUUCUAAGUGCAAUCUAACUUAUAAAAGCUAAGAUUCAAGGGUUGGAUGAUUAACUACCUCCUUAGAUGAUGAACUCAGAAAUUUUCGGUCCUUUGAGCUCCAAGAAACCAUGAGGAUGAAGCUUCUUCCUAGUCCAAGAUGAUCUCCAAGUGGUUUUGAGUUUGUGGUAGAAAUUUGAAGUGAUUUGGUGCAAGAAAGUGAGGUGAAAUGAUGAAGGUUUUGCUCCUUCUUUUCCUUGGUGUUGUUCGGCCACAAUGAGAGAAAAGAGAGAGAGUGUUGUAGCUGCAAAAGCUUCUUGAGUAAGCUUGAUAGGUGAGAGGUUUAAGUGCUCAAACGUCAACCCUCCAAUAGUGCGUGUACGCGCGUGUUCGUGCUCGUUUCCUCUCGGGUUUGUUUCACUUGUGCACUAAACCUCUAAUGCAUUUCCAUUAACACUAUUAUUAUUCACUCUUAAUAGUCUAAAAAUAAAGGUCUAAAGUCUCUCAAUUAAUAGCGCGCGCAAAAUGCGUACUUCCGAUUUGUGCGCGAUAAAGCAAAUUUCUAAGGAAUUCUUAUAACGAUAGUAUAACUAACUAAUACUUGGGUAAUAAAUCAUGAAAAUAACUAUUUUGGAGCAAACCAAUAAAUAAGUGAAUAAAUAGAUAAAAUAAUUAAUAAAAAUAAAUGAAAAUAAAAUAAAUUAUGGGUCCUCACAUCCUCUCCCCCUUAAGAGAAUUUCGUCUCGAAAUUAUAUCUUGAUUUACGAACAGGUUUGGAUAUUUUCCUUGAAUUUCUUCUUCAACUUCCCAGGUUACUUCCUCCAGUCCAUGGUUCCUCCAGAGAACUUUCACCAAUGGAAUUUGCUUGUUCCUCAAUUCUUUCACCUUACGAUCUAGAAGCUUCACCGGUUUCUCCUUAUAAGUCAGUGUCUCAUCAAUUCCUAUACUUUCCGGUUGCAAGAUAUGAGAAGGGUCCGGAUGAUACUUCUUAAACAUGGACACGUGAAAAAUGUUGUGAAUCCGAGACAAACUCGGUGGUAGUUCCAACUUAUAUGCUACAUUUCCCACGCGUUGGAUAACCUUAUAAGGUCCUACAGAUCUCGUUGUAACUUCUUUCCUUUUCCAGACAUUAAACUUGCUUUCAGAGGCAUAAUCUUAAGAAAUACUCGAUCUCCAACUGCAAAUUCCAAGUCCUUCCUUCGGUUAUCUGCAUAACUCUUCUGACGACUUUGCGCGGUUUGAAUCCUCUGGCAUACUAACUUCACUUUUUCAUUGGCCUCCUCAAUCCAAGGCACUGUAGUCGGGUCUAAGAUUUUUCGUUCACCUACUUCAUCCCAACAAAUAGGAGAUCUACACUUCCGACCAUAAAGUGCUUCAUACGGGGCCAUUUGAAUAGAAGAAUGAAAGCUAUUGUUAUAAGCAAAUUCCACCAAUGUCAAAUACUUACUCCAACUCUCCCCAAAAUCCAAAACACAAGUUCUUAACAUGUCCUCAAGGGUUUGAAUUGUCCUCUCAGACUGUCCAUCGGUCUGGGAAUGGUAUGUAGUAUCGAAAUUCAAUUUAGUCCCCAAUAUUUCUUGCAUCUUUUGCCAGAAUUUUGAAACAAAUCUAGAGUCUCUAUCAGACACAAUACUUACAGGUAUCCCAUGUAACCUGAUAAUCUCAUCCAAGUACAACUUGGCUAACUUUUCCAAUGGGUAUUUCAUGCUAAUCGGUAGAAAAUGAGCCGAUUUGGUUAAUCUAUCCACUAUUACCCAAAUGGCAUCAUGACCUCUUUGUAUCCUAGGUAACCCUGAUACAAAAUCCAUAGUGAUGUUCUCCCAUUUCCACUCAGGUAUCUCUAAAGGUUGUAGAAGUCCUGAGGGUUUUUUAUGUUCAGCUUUAACCUGUUGACAAACAAAAUAGGUCUGGACAAAUUGAGCAAUCUCCUUCUUCAUGCUCUCCCACCAAUACAAACUCUUCAAGUCUUGGUACAUUUUAUUCCCUCCAGGGUGUACCGUAAAUUUCGAUCGGUAUGCCUCUUCCAAAAUCUCUCUUUUAAGCUCUUCAUUGUUUGGCAUUACUAUCCGAUUCCGAAAUCUCAAUAUACUAUUCAUUCCCAAGUUAAAAUCCGAUUUUUCUCCCUUUUGGACUCUUUCUAACCACUUUUGUACUUCAGUGACCUUUUCCUGGAAUUCUUUAAUAUGUUCCAACAAAGUGGAAUUCACUACAAUAUUCCCAAGAAUUACUUUCCUCGGUUCGAGUCUAGGAUUCCAAUAACUAAAUUCUUCUAACAAGUGUAAUUCCUUAAUCAUCAAUCCGGCCACUUGCACUUGACGACUCAAAGUAUCGGCCACUACAUUGGCUUUCCCUGGAUGGUACUUUAUCGUGUAAUCAUAAUCUUCCAAAAAUUCCAUCCACCUACGUUGCCUCAAAUUUAACUCCUUUUGAGAAAACAAGUACUUAAGGUUUUGUGGUCAGUAAAAACCUCAAAUGUUAUUCCAUACAGGUAGUGUCUCCAUUUCUUUAAAGCGAACACUACAGCCGCUAACUCUAAAUCAUGAGUCGGUAAUUUCCUUCAUGCGGUUUCAACUUCCUAGAUGCAUACCCUAUCACUUUAUCAUUUUGCAUUAAUACACAUCCCAAGCCUUCCUUGGAAGCAUCUGUGUAGACCAUAAAACUAUCCUUUCCAUUCGGUAGAGCUAAUACAGGUGCUCUUGUCAAACGUUUCUUCAAUUUCUGGAAACUUUCUUCACACUUAGGACUCCAUAUAAACUUCCCACUUUUCUUGGUUAAUUCAGUCAUAGGUCCAGCAAUUCUAGAAAAAUCCUUAAUGAAUCUCCGGUAAUACCCUGCUAACCCUAUAAAACAUCGAAUCUCAGUAGGGUUUUCCGGUCGUUUCCACUUUGAAACAGCUUCAACUUUAGCUGGAUCCACCUUAAUCCCAUCCUUAGAAAUUAUGUGACCCAAGAAUGUUACUUCCUUCAAGCAAAACUCACACUUGCUAAACUUAGCAUACAAUUGGUGUUCCCUCAGGUUUAGUAAAAUAAUUCUCAAGUGCUUCUCGUGAUCCUCCACAUUCUUAGAGUAUACUAGUAUAUCAUCAAAUACCACCACAAAUUGGUCCAGAUAAGCUUUAAAGACCCUGUGCAUUAGAUCCAUAAAAGUAGCAGGUGCAUUGGUCAGUCCAAAUGGCAUUACUAUAAACUCAAAGUGUCCAUAUCUCGAGUUAAAAGCAGUUUUGGGUAUAUCUUUCUCCAAAAUCCUCAAUUGAUAGUAACCCUGUCUCAAAUCCAACUUCGAAAAUACUACCACCUCUUGCAAUUAGUCAAACAAUUCAUCAAUGUGGGCAAUGGAUACUUAUUCUUAAUAGUGACAUCAUUCAAGUCUCGGUAAUCUAUGCACAACCUUAAACUCCCAUCUUUCUUCUUAACGAAUAAACCGGAGCUCCCAAUGGUGAAUCACUCUCUUUUAUAAAACCCGUUCCAACAAGUCCUGCAAAUGUAACUUCAAUUCUUUCACUCAGCUGGAGCCAUUCUAUAUGGCGUUUUAGAGAUAGGUGCUACACCCGGAGUCACAUCAAUCUUAAAAGUUAUUUUCCUUUUCGGGGGUAAAGACUCUAACUCUUCAGGAAAGACAUCUAGGUACUCUUUCACUAUAGGCAUGUCCUCCAGUCUCACUUUAUCACUAGGAGUGUUGAUUAGAAAAGCCAAGUAUCCCUGAGCUCCCUUACUUAACAUUUUCCUAACUCGAAUCCCUGAGAUAAGUGCAGAUGAAGCUAAUCUGCCCCUUACAUCCAGUUUCAAAGUCGUCUCUCCCGGAAUGCACAAUUCUACCAUUUUCGUCUUACAAUUCAAUUGGGCAUUGUAACGGGCUAACCAGUCCAUUCCUAGGAUCACAUCGUAUCCCUUAAUCUCUAAGCCUAUCAAAUCGGCCAGUAGUUUCCAUUCUCCAACCCAGAUCUCACAAUCUCUGUAUACCAAGUUAGCGAUUAGACUUUGGUCCCCAGUAGGUUUCCUAACCUCCAAGUCAUAAGGUAACUUAAUUGGUUUCAAGUCUAUUCCACUCAUGAAAUUAGGGUUUACAAAAGAAUGUGUUGCACUCGGAUCAAUUAAAACCUUAGCUAAACGGUGAAAAUAGGGAUUGUUUUAACCACCUCAGUCGUAUCGGGUAUCUGUUGAUGGUGCAGUGCAUAAACCCUAGCAGGUACCUUAGAUCGACUUCCCCCAGCACUGGUCUGCUUAGAGGUUGACUUUUCGGGUCGUGCUACCUCCCACCUUCAGCUUAUUUGGACAAGUCGCGAGUGGGUGCUCGAUACUACCACAAACCAAACACUUCCCAGACUUUCUCCAAUAAUCAUUCUCAGAAUGGUUGGGUUUACCACAAUACCCACACAGUAACUUAACUUAAGGUGUCACUGCCGAACCACUAGAAGGCACUCCUCUUGCUUGAACCGGCCCACUACAACCUCCUCUAGAUAAAGCUCCCCUUGAAGCUCCAGCGGUCCUUAUUCCUUCCAUUCCUCUUCCCAUUUUGGAAGGCUGUGUAUUCUUACUAGUCUAUCCAGAAGUAUGACUAGAAAAGUUCCCCUUCCUAUUGUGGAAGUCCCUAACUUGCAUUAUUGCACUCUCGACCCUUUGUACUUUCUCUAGAGUCUCAGUAAAUGUAGAGAUUUGGGCUGCGGCCAAGCCCUCCUGGAUUUCUACAUUAAGCCCUUGUACAAACCGUCUUAUCCUUUUCGUUCAUUGAUUACCAAUUCAGGGGCAUACUUAGAAAGCUUAGUAAACUUCCCUUCGUACUCCGCUACACUAAGAGUUCCUUGUUUCAACUUGAUGAACUCAUCCUCUCUCUUUUCUUGGAUUAAAAGCGGAAGAAACUUUUCAUUGAACUCCCUCGUGAAAUUCUCCAAGUCCAAGGAGUUUGGGCUCUCUCCACUUUCCCCUUAUCACGUCCCACCAAGCAGCGAGCCACUCCCUCAAAUUGAAAAGCAGCAAAGUUCACUCGCCUAUCCUCGGUAUAGUCUAAAGCGGUGAAUAUGUUGGUCAUUCUCUCCAACCAAUUCUCCGCUACCUCCAGGGUCAGGUUCACCAAUGAACUUAGGCGGGUUAAAUUUCAGGAACCUCUCCAAGGCUCUAUCUUUCCCUCUAUCCUGUCCCCCUGUUUGAUUAAGUGGUCCAAGACGCUGUUUCUCAGCUAACCGUUCGAGAAUAUCAGUCAUUCUAUUAAUGGCAGUAGCCACUUGGUUACCCUCUAUGUUCCAUUGUCCUUGGGUAGGUCCAGUUGCCGAUCCCUGGUCCUCCCCAUGAGGUUGGGCCUGUCUAGUCCCUCGCCCAAGGUUUCGACCACUCCUUCGUCCUUCUAUUAUCCUAGUUGUGCCUAGUGCAAGAAAUGAAUCAAUUACGCGGGGAAAAUACUUAAAACAAGGACCAAUCACAAAAAACAUUGAAAAUAGCAAUAAUUUACAUUCAUUAUCAUGUCAAGAUCCAUACAAUUAGCAAGUCAUGGAGGAGUACAAAAAUAUAGCACAUAGGUGACACAAAAGUACUUUUAGUCACAUAAGACUAAAGUCAAGUCAAGUGCCUCAAAAGUAGGCCACACAGUCAUACAAAAUACAAUGGCCUCAGCACUAGUAUCACCCCAGCUAAUUCUUACUAUAUCAGUCAAAAGGGUCAAAAGGGUCAAUCACUCUGGGUCUAGUCCACAGUAGGGCUACCAGGUGGAAUCUCCUCCUCAGGAUCCUUCUCCGGAUCCUCCUCCUGAUCUGGACUCUGGAUAAUAUCCAUCACCUCAUCAAUCAACCUACCAGUAUCCGUUAGGAUCCAGAAAUCCGAUCUCGGACCUCCUCACCUAACAUAGUAAGUCGAGCCCUAGUCCUCUGAAGCUCCUUGCAAGUGACCUCAGCCGUAGCUACCUCGCCAGCUAAUACCCUCAAGCUCAGCGAUUCUCUCACCCUGAGCACUAACCAUCUGUCUCAACUCAUUCACCUCCUCAAGUAAAUCUCGGUUGGUGUUCACCAACUGACGACGCUCGUCGUCCAGAGCUAGUACAAGGUGGUUCGGGUAGGCAAACGUCAACCUACACGAACAUCGAGAAUACCUAGUAGAGGGCGAAUAACGCACAGGUGCUCCCCACCUAGAGCUCAGUAGUAAAUAGGCCUAGGAGGCUCUACAUGGCCAUUAGCAUGGUCAUUCCCAUUAGUUGCAAGGGUCCCGUUCCCAUUCUCCAUCCCUGUAAAACAACCACACUUUUCGGAUUAGAAACUUAGUCACUAGCUCUCGCUCAGAUAUCACUUAAAAUAUGACUAAGUCAUCCUAUCUCAAAUUUUAAGGGUAAGGUUUCUAGUAUAUCUCCCAAAUAGAUCUAACCUAGCGCUCUGAUACCAACUGUGACGCUUCCACUUCUCCCUAAGGCGAACCAAAGGGUAUCCGCGGGACGCCUGCCCAACUCUCGCCAGGACUUAAGACAAUUCGAUUCAAGUUUAACGAUACAUAACCGUUCAUACAAGUCUAAUAAAGAAAAGUUGCUUCCAUAACCAAAUAUCCCGUCUUACACCACGAGUUCCAAAAUACAUCAAGUUUCAAAAUAUACAACUGCCAAAGGUCUAGUCGAUUACAUUUGAAACCCGAAUACAAAAGUACAUCCCAAGGGUUUCUUCGAGUUUCACUCCAAGGCCGUUCCUGUUAAGGAAAACAGAUCUACGGGAUGAGCAAUUGCUCGUGAGGCCAAGAAACACACAUGCAAGCACGUUGUCCAAAUAAUAAUCCCAAAUAACAAGAAAACGAUAAUAUUCGAGUAAUUAACAAUUCAAGUGAUAUAUAACAGAAACAAUUCAAGGAUAUGGUAGCUCUCAUGAGCUAAGUUCCACUUACUUUGCUAGAUCUCAAUCGUAUACUUUCCCGUGAUGACUCUCCGUCAACCGGGUCGGUAUUUCCAAUUCGUAGACUCCACUUUACUUCACAAGUCCUUCCACCUUACAACCCCCCACCGGGCCCGAACGUCGAUAAAGGUGCUACUGCACGAGUAGGCCAAGCAAGAUCUCUCUAAUAGAUCAAACUUAUCAUUUCAUUCCCAUGGCUCACCAAAGUUCCCGACCAAACCCAUGUCGGCUCGAGUCCAAGGUCGGCCUAUGGGUUUGGGCGUCUCCCAUUUAACAUUUAUGAAUCGAGUAGAUUCACUCCAACGACGUAUGCAGUCAUAGCAUACCAUUUCAUUUCAUUCAAUCAUUCAAUAUCAUUCAAUCGUUCAUUUCAUUCAAUCCAUUCAAUACAUUUUAUUCCAUUCAUUUCAUUUCAAUCAAUUCAAUCACGAUUCAUUCAAAUGAGAACAAGUGCGGUAAAGUACACACUCGACUCCAUUUUCAAAAUCUCCAAUCAUUAAUAACAGUUAAGCAUGUAUCAAGUUUGCAUACACUUGACACUCACCAAGUAAUUCAAGAAGUAAAGCACAAGCGGUUGUUUAGGCGUCUCCUGUGAGAUCCUCUUGAGUGCCUGAGCAAUAAUAAUGAACUAUUACACACUAUCACUGAAAACCCCUACUUAUCGAGAAAGAUUGCACUCAUGUACAAUUUAAGAAGAUAUCAUGAGAAUGAGCAUUAAUUACUCGUAAAUCGAGACUCAAAAGUAGGGUUUAAAAACACAAGAAAAAUCUGAUUUUUAUCUUUGAAAUCAAGUGUAAAAUGGUCAAACGAUAUCGAAAGAAAAUGGAGAGUUCUAAAAACUCAAUUUCCUUUAAGUUCGGAAAUUUCAGAUUUGACAAGCAAUCUUUGAAAAAUCGUAUCUCACUCUCUGUACGUCCAAAAUUGGAAAACAUAGUACCGUUGGAAACUAGUUCCGAAGUACUAAAAGUUCUUAGAAAGCAUUUUUCCAUGAUUCAAAAUGGAAGACAUUCAAAUUUUGGCCUCAAGUUGCUGAUUUGGGCUCCUCGGACAGAUUCGGGGUUGGUUUUUGACAAAUUUUAGAAAUUCGAAAAAAUUCACAGAAUAUGAACUAGCCUUUCAAAUUUGAAAGUCAAUUAGAGUUACAAUCAAUGUUUAAAACACAACAAACGGAACAAGAAUCAGAGUUUUGAGCGCCAGGAUAUAGCAGCUCAAAGUUGCUGAAAAUUCCUCACUGAACAAGGAUUUUCUAGAUUUGAAACAUAAACUUUGAGACUUCAGUUGGGCCUCGAAAUGGACUUGGAAUGGGACCAAAUUUGAUAGUAUUACCCUACCAUAUAAGGGCUAUUCCUCUGUCAAAUUUCAUGCAAAAAUUCGUACGAAAGGUCAGUUAACAAAGCCACUAAAGUUCCAAGAAUUUCCAAGACAAACCUGCCUUGUACUUCCGUUUUCUUUUUUUUUUUCUAACUUUUGGCCAAUGAAAUCGACUCAAAUCUGGUUCAUUUAUGAAGACAAGGUCUAAGAAACAUCCAAAUACAUUUGGUAGGUGAUUGACACCAAAAGUUUCAAAAUGACAAGUCCCAAUUCGAAAUAAGCAAUCACUGAUGCAGUUCUGUAAUUCGGCCACAACUCACUCAAUUCAACUUGGAAUUGGGCGUGGUUAGUGGCGUUGGAAACUACAUUCAUAAGGUUACAAUUUAUCAGAAGAAAUCAUUUUGAAAUUCUAUCCAUAACUAGCUCAUAUUUGAGCAACAAAUCACAACACAUAACAGGUUUUCUAACACAGCAGUGAAACAGGACAGUUAACUUUGAAAGGCUGGUACGGUUCACUCAAGUUGAAUCAGGGGAUGCAUUUUAUACCGUUAGAAAACUGGAAGUGUCUAAUUUCUAAUACUGGAAACAGAACUCUAUUUCAAUGUCAGAGCAAAGAGUUAUGGUCGUUUAAAGUUCGCUGCUAGAGUAACUCUGGACACGUUUUCUAGCCAUGAAGAAAUUUCGAAAUUCAAACAUUUACCCAACCAAAUCAAGUGAUUUUUGGUGGAAACUUUUCACACAACCUAUACAACAUAUCUACAUCAAAAUCAAAACAAUUUGACCACAAAAAAUCACACCAAAAGGUGCGGUAAGAACAGGGCAGAACCAGCCCUUCUUCCUUUGAGUUUCUUUCUACUCUUUCAACUUAAAUCCACUAGAUUAACACUUAAUCAACAUAAAUAACAUUCAAAAUUAUCACAUCAGUCCAACAAGUCCAUUGUGGGAUUUCAUAGAGCCCACUCACAUGAUUUUCAACAAUCCAAAGCUACCCACAUGAAGCUACAAGUUUCUAAGUGCAAUCUAACUUACAAAAGCUAAGAUUCAAGAGUUGGAUGAUUAACUACCUCCUUAGAUGAUGAACUCGGAAAUUUUUGGUCCUUUGAGCUCCAAGAAACCAUGAGGAUGAAGCUCUCUUCCUAGUCCAAGAUGAUCUCCAAGUGGUUUUGAGUUUGUGGUAGAAAUUUGAAGUGAUUUGGUGCAAGAAAGUGAGGUGAAAUGAUGAAGGUUUUGCUCCUUCUUUUCCUUGGUGUUGUUCGGCCACAAUGAGAGAAAAGAGAGAGUGUGUUGCAGCUGCAAAAGCUUCUUGACUAAGCUUGGUAGGUGAAAGGUUUAAGUGCUCAAAGUCAACCCUCCAAUAGUGCGUGUACGCGCGCGUUUCGUGCUCGUUUCCUCUCGGGUUUGUUUCACUUGUGCACUAAACCUCUAAUGCACUUCCAUUAACACUAUUAUUAUUCACUCUUAAUAGUCUAAAAAUAAAGGUCUAAAGUCCCUCAAUUAAUCGCGCGCGCAAAACGCGUACUUCCGAUUUGUGCGCGAUAAAACGAAAUUUCUAAGGAAUUUUUAUAACGAUAGUAUAACUAACUAAUACUUGGGUAAUAAAUCAUGAAAAUAACUAUUUUGGAGCAAACCAAUAAAUAAGUGAAUAAAUCGAUAAAAUAAUUAAAUAAAAAUAAAUGAAAAUAAAGUAAAUUACGAGUCUUCACAGAUGAAGCCUAUCAAAGCCAAAUGCUAAAAUUCACAAAAAUAAAUCAAAACCCUCUCACCAAGCCCCGAAACAAAAAUAUUACCCAAAUCUAAACUAUUUUUCAAAAUCCAAAUAAAAAACUAUGAAUCUACCAAAAAUUAUUAAACCUCCAAAUUUCAUCCUAAAAUUCACCAAUAAUCUAUCCGAAAAAUCAUAUUAGAAUAUACCAAAGAAAAUAACAUUUUAAAAGGACAAAAUUGAUUAAAUUUUUAAUUUUUGGGCCAUAGUAGAAUUAAGUCAAAAUCAGGGGGUCAACAUGCAAUUUUGGAAAGUUUCCAUGCAUAAGCUUCGAAAAAGCUUUCCUCUUCACUGAUUUCCUUUUUCUGCCACUUUCUGUGUUUAUAUGGUGCAAUUUUUUCUUUGCUAAACACAACUAAAUUCUCAAUUAACAUCAAAGCUUUGGUUUUAAGCGGCAAAAUCAUAGAAAUUCAAUGAGUAAAUACGCAAAUCUUCUGCAACAAAAGUUCCGCAAUCUUCUGGGUUUCAUUCCAAUCGUAUAAAUCAUGCCAAUCAAACCUCAAGCUAGCAAAAUGUGCAACUUACACCGUUUAUCGCUAAAACCCAACAAUCAAAAUUUCACCAACACAAAAAACAGCAACUAGGGAAACAUCAAGACAGCAAAACAUGAUAACAAUCACGGAGCCAAACCAGCAGCAAAAUGUCACAGGAUUCAUGCCUUUUGGACUCGGAUUCUCAUGAAAACAGUGUUAAAGAAAGAAAGGGAGAAGCAAUGGUUACCUCAGAAUGUUUGUGGCAUCAAACCAACGUGAAAUCUCCAUGAAACGGCGUGCCGACUUUGAAAUGAAGCAAAUGGAACUUUGCCGCAAAAAUUCAGCGAUGAUGAACCUGAUACUUUGGGUCCCGAUUUGGGAGGGUUAUAGAUGUUUUUUUGGGGAGAUUCCUAAGUGAAAGUUCUUUUAUUACUUGCCAAGAUGGUGCAGAAAUCAAGAGCUCACUUAAAAGCUAAGAAAUUGGUCAGAAUUUGCCACGAAAGCAGGCUGGUUAGUCAGCCUGGUGAUGAAUUUUUUUGCAGCAGAUUUUUCUCUUUUUCUUCUACUCAAUCGUCCCUCUCUUUUCCUCUCUCACUCUCUUUCUUUUCCCUUUCUGUUUCUUGUCUGAAGUUCUCUGUUCUCCCCCAGAUCCCCCCACUUUCUUUCUUCCUUUUCUCUAUUCUUUUCUUCCUCUCUUCCCUUGCUUGCUCCCGAAACCCUCUCCUUCCUUUUCUGGUUUCUCUCCUCCUGUUUCUUUCUUUUUGCUCUUUUCCUUUUCUUCCUCCUGCCCUCAGCUCUUUCCUUGGCUUUUUCCCUCUUUUCCCAGAUUUCCCCAAGCUCUCCUGGUUUCUUUCCUUUCUUGUUUUUCCAGCCCUGCCCGUAGCUCUUUGUUUUUCUUUUCUCCUUGCUUUUUCCUCCUUUCUUCCCAGAGCUCCUCACCAGCUCUUUUCUUUUGCUCCAGCCCGCAGCUUUUCUUCCCUUUCUUGCUUUCCAAUCCCGUCCUUCCUCCCUUUCUUACUCAGCUUUUUUUUUGUUUUUCUCUCUCCCAGAAUCUCCUCUCUUUCUCCCUUCUUCAGUUUUUUUUGUUCUUUUUCUCCCCCCCGGGGCGAAAGCUCUCUCUUCUCUCUCGGUUCCUUUUCCCCUUGUCCCGUAGCUUCUUUUCUUGUUUUUCCUUUUUCUUUUGUUUGUUUUUUCCCGAGCUUCCAAGUGUUCUAGCCACCUAUCCUCUAGAUAUUGUGGUGUCAAAAGAAAAAUAGAGACAUUUGUUUCAUUUGUAUGCACUCCACCUAGCUAUUGUGCAUGGUCUCCACCUAUCUUCUUUUUAUUUAUUUAUUUUUUGUUUUUCAAAAUCAAUUUAAGUAAACAAAAAUAUUAAUUCCUAAUUGAAAUUGCAUUGCAAAAUUUUCAUUUAUUUGAAAGAAAUUGAAUCUUAAAAGGAUUAAAAACAAAUUUUUUGAAUUUUUGUGAGAACUUUCCUUUUAAAAAUUUAAUGCAAAAAUAUCUUAAAAAGAAAAAUGAUGAACCUAAUUUAUAAAAAUAAUAAAAAUAAACACUAACUAUCAUUUUACAAACUUAAUCAAUCUAAAAUAACAUAAAAACAAGAAUAAAAAAUAAAAAAUAAAGCUAAAAUUGAGAAAAACAAAAAAAAAAGAAAUUUUGGUGUCUACAAGUACUUUUUAACAAAUCACUGUAACCCCAAAUGAACCUUAAGAAAGACUCAAUUCAACAAAAAUAAUAAAGCAACACUAUGUACUUGUAUAUAAUAAUAAUGAGAUAAAUAAGGACAAAAUAUAAAUACUAAUGAAAGUAGCUACUUAAAACCAAUUUGAAUUAUUUACUAUAAACAAAACCUUAUCAUUAGCACUGAAUUUCAAAACUUUUGAUUUUUGAAAUUCAACUGUGCAAUUUUUGAAUUUGAAAUUCAACUUUUGCACACAUAUUAUGAAUCAAACGACAAUUGUGUAUACAUUAUCAGUGUAUAUAAGAUUCACUCUAUCUAAAAUGAUUAAUCUUUCAUACAUUAACAGUGUAUACAUUGUCAGUGUUGGAUGAAUGACAACUAUGCAAAAUUUGAAUUUGAAAUUCAACUUUUGUACAUAUGAUAUAAAUCAAAUGAUGAUAGUGUGUAUACUAUCAAUGUAUAUAAGAUUUACUCUAUCUAAAAUAGUACAUGAAAAGAAUAGAAAUAGGGUUUCUCUAUUGGGCACCCGUUAAUAUAUCUAACAUUCACCUAAUCUACCAUAUAUACAUAUAUUAAUUAUUUUUUUUUCUUAUAAUUAUAUACUUUCCUUAUUUAAUCUUAUCUACCAUCAUUUGUAUUUAUUUACUUUUCCUAAUUAAUCAUACAUUUCUAAAAAUAUGACACCUGAAAUAUAUCUUAGUGGGUGCCCAAGCCCACAAAAAAAUAUAUAUUUAGCCUUGUGUAGUUAUAUUUUUUAUUUUAUUUUAGUACGUACUUUUUUCAAAAUAAAUCACAGCAAAAUCCAAAAGAAGAUUUUAAAUGCCAGUAUUAAUUUUUUUUAGCAUUAUUGAUAGACACUAUCCCUAAGGGUGGACACGAGUCAGGUACCCGUCCUGUGCACCAUUUGGCUGACCUGAUCUGCAUCUUGUGGGUUAGCCAUUUUUUGACCCUUACCCGCCUCACAUAUCAGCGGGUACCCUGUUGAGAUAGGAUCGAAUUAAUGAGUACUCGUCCUAUCCCACUUAUCAUUUAAUUUUUUUAAAAAGUAAUUUAUACUAAUUUAAUUUUAUAUUUUACAUAUUCAUAUAAGAUUUAAUAAAGAUUUUUUCUCAAAAAAAAGUCUCCCACCAACAAAUAAUAUGUGAAGUGAACACAAGGAAAAGGAAAAUUUAAAAGAAUUCAAAGUCAAUAAAAAUUUGAAAUAAGUAACACAUUUUUUAAAAUAUAAAUUCCAUAUUAAUUAAACUUUUUUCUAAAAAAUAUAAGAUCAUGACAUCGACAAAUGAAUCUUAUAAACAAACUAUAGUCUUUGAUAUUUGUAAUGCAAUUUGUUGAAUGAAAUUACUCAUUUAACUCUAAAAAUAUUAUUUUAUAGUAUAUAUAUAUAAAUAAAUAAAUAAAAUAUAUAUAUGUGUGAGCGGAUUCAGUACCCAUGAGUCUUUAAUUAUGUGACCCUAGCCCACCUUGUAUUUAAAAUGGUAUUUGACCCUCUUUUGACCCGAUCAAAUAAUAUGAAUCGGAUAUUUUCGGAUCGGAUCAAAUUAGAUAUGGCCGAUUUUUAGAUUAGUGGGUGCUUUUGCAAAUCCUUAACUGUCCCAAAUAAAGAACAUGUAAUGUAAAAACUACCAUCAUUUGUUUAUUUCCUUUUCGAAAUUGAUAUUAUUUUUUAAUUUUGAUAUUUCCUAAGUUAUUUUUUAUUUUUCUUUGCCAAAUUAUUAGUAUGUUUUUGGGUAGUGCUCUACCAAAAACUUAAAGUGUUAUCUUUUCAUGCAUAAAUUUGUUCUUUUGAUUUUUUAACUUUAGACAAUACAAAUAUUGUAUGUUUAUAAAUUGGACAUUUUAAUUUAAUGUUUAAAUAGUAGUUACAUAUUUAAGUUAGAAUUACCAAAGGUAAUAAUACAUAUUUAUGUUGGAUUACCUAAAAGAAUGACUGGAGUGAAUGUUAGUUCCUUUUUGAAUUUGAUAGUAUGUUUUAUCUUUUAUAUUUGAUAAGUUGUUUUCAUUCUGUUAUUACAAUUUGAAGGAUUUCAAAUAUUUGUUUCCUUAUUUGCAAUAAUCAUUUAUAAGUGUGGUAUUGUGUUAGUAUGUUAAGUUUUGUUAAUAUUGUAGAAAUGUUACUCAUUCAUAAAUGCCUAUAUGAUAAGUAUGUAAUUUCAAACUUUGCUAGUAUUUUGAAUGUUGAUAAUAUUUCGUUCUAAAAUAUUAAAAUUAAUUCAAAAUUAAAAUUUAACUAACUUAUAACCGCAUACAUGGUAAGUAUGUAAUUCAAAGAUUGAAAGUUAUUUAUUUAACUAAAAAUAAAUAAACAAUAUAAGAAAAAAGAUGGGGAGUUGGGAGCUCUCUAAAGGAGUCUACACUGAAAUUGUAAAUAAUUUCUGUUAUUGGUUAAUUAUUAUAGAGUUGUAGGAAUUGUAAUUAAAUUUUGUGUUAUCAAUCUAAAAUUUUGCAAACAUGAUUUGGAUAAGUUUUACAUAAAUUAGAAACUAUAAGGGUCAACUAGACAUGGGGAAGAACUGGAAAUCGUGGAAUUUAAUUUGCAUACCAGUAUCAACAAAAGAAUUUGAAAUGGUUUGAUUGUACCAAAUUGUGGAGGCAAUGUGUGUGAAUUAAAAUAAAUGUAAAAUUCUAGGGAAAAGGAAUUGGGAUUUUGGAGAUGUGUGAAGGUUUAUGAUAAAAAACCCUCCAUCUAUUACAUAUAUAUAAAGAUAAGACAAUAAGUAAAAUUCUCAAUUUGUACAAUAGGAUUGAGAGAAAAAUGUAUCAUUUUUACAUUUUGACGAUAGUCAUGCAUUGCUAUUUAUCAAUUUGUCAAACCAUUUAUUUAAAUUUAUAAUAUCCUAUAUACAAAAAAAAUUUACAAAUGACAAUACAUGCUAUUUGUCAUCUAAAGCUAAGGAAAACAUUAAAGUAAAAAAUUUUACUUGGAGAGAAUUAUUGAUAAGUUGGUUAAACCAAACCUUUUCUGCCUAAAAGAAAUGUUAAAAUAAAGACAGGUUUUUUGAUAAGGUAAUUUAACAAAAAUAUUUCCUACCUAAAAUAUAGGGAUUUAAACAUGUAAAUUAAACAAACUAUAAUCAUUAGAUGACAUUAAUUGAAACUAAUAAAAAAUAAUAAUUCAAAAUCCUUGAGAAAUGACACAUGUUAACGUAUAUAUAUGCUAUUUGUCAUUUGCAACUAAGGGAAACGUUAAAAGUAGUAAAUAUACUAAAUUUUACUUAGAAAAGGUUAUUGAUAAGUUAGUUUAACUAGGAUUUUUAUGUCUAAAGGAAAUAAUAAAAUAAAAUAUUUACUUAGAGAGGCUUUUUGAUAAGUUAGUUUAACAAAAUACUUUUCUAACUAAAAUAUAAUAAUUUAAACAUUUGAACUAAACAAACUAAUAACUAUUAAAUUACAUUAAUUGAAUUGAUUAAAGAGUAAAAUAAUUCAAGAAUACAUGUCAUAUUAUUAGAAAUCUUUUGGAAAACAUGGACUAAUAAAUUUCUAGUGUAAUAGAUUUCCUCGUAUUUGUCCCAUUACAAUCUACACACUACUUUCAACUUUUUAUUCUUCUCAUGCUUUGGUCCAAACCGUUUCCUCCUGCCCAUUCAUUCAUGCGCGUCCAACUUCCACUAUCACUAUUUUGCCCAGGGGGCCAUAAUUAUUGUUUCCCACACGUGUCUCGUCCACACUGUGCUCCAACAAUAGGCACGGUCAAAGUGUGCCUACCAUAGACAGAUCCAAGUACAAGCCAAAAAAAAAAUGUCUGGCCAGGAGUGAGAGAUGGUUCUCUGAUUAUCCUUUAUAGUUGCAGAGGAUUCCAAGAAAUUAAACUAGACAAGUGCCAGUGCCAGUGCCAGUGAAGCAGCUUCAAACUAUAGAUCCGAGCAAUGUCUGGCCAGAGUACGUGAACUCUGUUACUCUUCAAAAUUAGAAGAAGACGAUAACUAUCCAAUUAAAAGAAGUGGAAUGUCAAUCGAACUCCUUACUUAUUAAUGCUACCUUUCCGAAGCUUUUGACUAUGUUAAUCAAAACAAAAAAAAAUCCUUCCCUCCAUUGAACUUAUAUUUUAGCAAUGGUAUAAAUUUGAAAAUAAAAUGAAAAGUGGGGCCUUUUUUUUAAUAUGAGUAAAAACAAAGGGAGGGAACUGCCACCAGCAAAUAAGAAAGCGCUUUUAACAUUUCUCUUAAAAGAAAUGAUGAAGGAAAUACUAGGUUUCUUUUUUCUUUUUAUACCCCGAAGUUAUAGUUGUAUUUAGCAUAAAUUAUAUAAAUGCACAUGCAGUAACAAGUUGAAGGUUAUGAUUUGGAUACUAUGAUGGUUUGUAUAACUCUUAUAACGAGGCAAAUCAAGUAGAAUAUUUGGUGUUCAGCCUCUAUUUGUAUAAUACACGAAUAGGAUUCGAACUCGAUCAAAUAUUAAAUGAGUUAUAAAUGUUACUCAAAUUCGAUUGGUUAAUUUGCAUUGAUAUUCGAGCUCGAAUUCGAAUUCAAUCUUGUUUCAUUAAACUAAAUGAGUGAAUUUGAGCUUGAACUCAAAUUCGAGCCUAAAAAAAAUUUAAUUAUAUUUUAUAAAGGUAAUACAUAUAUUAUAAUAAAUUUAAUUAUAUUUUUUAAAAAAACAAGUAAUACUAAAUUUUCUAUAUAAUUACCUUUUUAAGGAAAAUAUAAGGUAUAAUGUAUUUAUAUUUGGAAGGUGUCUAUACAUAUAUUUUUUAAGGAAAUAUGUUGUUCUAUUUCUAUAGUGUCUAAUUAAGUUGUAGCUAUGCAUACAUUAUACAUAGUCUCUAAUUAUUAUUAUCAUUAUUAUUUAAGAAAUUCAUGCAGUAUUAUAAAUCCUCAGAAGAAAAUUUAUACUUUUUUUCAGAAACGAUAAUUGUUGUAUAACUUAAUCUAUCCUAUAUUAGGGGGGGGAGCGGACCUAAGGAGGCCCAAGAAUAAUUCGGAGGUGACUAAACUACCACUAAUCAGACAGGUGCACUACUUACCUACCUGAAUUUUUUUUUAAACAAAGUCACUUUAAUGUGAUAAUUGAACUCUUGCCUCCUAUCCUAUCCAACUUUUAAUGCUUUGAUGUUAGCGUUUGAACAAAGAUCAGUCGCCAAUUUUGAAUUUUCAUCGUACCUACUACCGAUUACUAGAAAGGCAACGUUGAAAACCGAUAUUUCAUUCCAACUAGUUUUAGUUCAGCAGGAUCAUGUUCUAACCUAUACAUGUGUUUCGUACUAAUUAUGAUAAUAGCUAUUAAUGAACGAACUCAGGAAAAAAAAUCAUUUAGAAGUAAGAGUAAAUUCUAUAUGUACUCAUAGUAUAUACACUGUUACAUUUAGAUCUAUAACAUAUAUAAAAAUUUGAACUUAUAAUUCAAAAUAUACAUAAUUAUCAUUUAUCCAACUUAAUAAUAUAUAUACUAUCAGUGUAUAUGAUCAAAAGUUUGCAUAUGUUCUUGGAAGAGCCUUGCAGCCAAUUGUAGAAGCAAAUAAAAGGAGUCAAAUAAUAAUCUCCCUAUCUUUCCUCCAAAAAUACAUCCAACUACAAAUAUGUCAAGCUACGUUAUGUGGGAUAGUGUGAUAAUUGUCUUCCCCAUAAUUGAUAAUUAUAAAGAAAACAAAGAUUUUGAAUUUCUUUGGUUAAGACACAAAAAAUGAAAAAAAAAUUGAAGGAGUGAAUUGGGUGAAUAGACACAAGGGGCUUUUAAAAAAUUUGACACAAGGUAAAGGAUCAUUGAGGAGGUAGCCAAAUGAAUGUUGAAUUCUUGACUAGUAGCACUGGCUUUGUCAAACUCUUGACCUCUUCCUGGCUUGUCUUAUUAUUAUUAUCCACACAUCUUUUCCAAGUAAAGUGAGCAGAAACAUCAGAGGUUGGAUCAUUGAGGGGGUAGCAAAAUGAAUAUCGAAUUCUUGACUAGUCACACUAGUCAUGACACCUGCAAAUUACUGGCUUGUCUCUUCCAAGUAGAGUAAAGAGAACAGAAACAUCAGCUGUUGGCACUUGGCAGUCGUGUUGGUGAUCAGCAUGAAGUUAAAAUUGCUAACCACUUUGCUUCUGCUCUCAAUAUUUUCCUUAAAAUUUGCUUCGCCACGAUCCAUAGUCGAGACGCUACCAGGAUACUCUGGUACUCUUCCAUUCAAACUCGAAACAGGGUAUGUAUUCCCCUUCCUACUUUAGCUAGACCAACUUUAAUUAGUUCAAAUUGUCGGAAGUAGUGACGAAAAUAACUAUUGGAUAGAAGUAGUAUUUGAUAGAAUUGCUCAGCUAGAGUUGGUAUUCACAAUAACAUUGACUUUGUGGCUUGCGUUAGGUAUAUUAGCGCUGGAAGAGACGAUGAAGUGCAGUUCUUCCACUACUUUAUCGAGUCAGAAAGGGAACCCGACAGGGACCCUCUGAUGCUUUGGCUCACCGGUGGACCUGGUUGCUCUGCUUUUUCCGGCCUGGUUUAUGAAAUUGGUACCUACUUCAGAGUUCAAACACACAAUUAGCUUGCUAUUUACUAGUUAUUCUGCCCUCGUUGUUAACCAAGCUGAUCACCUUGCGAGAUUGUUCUCCUUUUAUUGAGUCCAUAUGUACUCGAAAACGCUGUUUCUUGAUGUUUCACUCCCUUUUUUCUUUUGGAGACAUCUCGGGAAAUUUUCCAAGAGUAAACUAUUCUUCUUGUUGUAGGGGGCGUAAUACACAAUCCUGUUCCUUUCAGAUUCAUUAUUUUUUCACUAUUACGACAGUCCUUUUUUUUUUUUCAUUUUUCUUCCCCUAAAAAUUACAGGGUUAGAUGUUAAACCAUUCUCUGUUUCUCCUCCUCCCUCUUUCCCCCACCUCUCUCCUCCUUCCUCGUUCCCCUCCCUUCCUCCUUCCUUUUCCUCCCUCCCUCUUCCUCCCCAUCCCUCUUUCCUCCCUCCCCCUCUCUUGUCAUGCUGGGUUGUGGGGGGAGGAAGAUGGGAGGGGAGUGUGGAGAGAGGAGAGGGAGGAGGAAGAGGAGGGAGAGGCCGGUGGUGGUGAUGGAUGAUGGGAGGGGCGAUGGUGGGUGGUCAAAAUUUUUUAAAAUUUUAAAAAUAUGUCAAUAAAAUUUUAAAAAUACCCAAAAUACAUUUUAAAAAAUAUCUAAUACAAACGGGCCAUCAACAAUAGUUUUUUCUCACAUUUACCACCAUAGUCAAAUUUUUGAAAGAUAGUGCGAAAACUCCUAAUUCAUAUAGAUCCUAUAAUCUUCGGACAAUGUUGACUUGUGUACUAUUUGAACAAUAUCGUUUCCUAAAUUGUCGAAGAACAAAUAAAAAAGAAAAGAACUUACACGUAACAAAAGAUGUUAUGUAGCCGAAAAGAAAAUUGUUUUAUUAUCCAAACUAAAAUAAUUCUAUCUAUCUGAUAAAAUAAAUGGAAACCAAAUUCCAUGCAGGCCCACUGAAUUUUGAUUUUGAGACUUUUGAUGGGAGUUUGCCGGCGUUCGUCUUGAAUCCAUACUCGUGGACAAAGGUUGCAAAGUCUGUGUUUAUUGUUUACAUUUAAGGAGAUUAGACUAACUUCGGGGACACGGUUGCAGUGGUUUCUGAUACUGAUAUUUGUAUAUGUUGUCUUGCAGGGGAAUGAGGCAGGUAUGAUUAGUUUUAGGUAUAAUUAGUGCGAUUAUUGUACCCUUUUCAUAAUUUGGUAUAUACGGACAUAAUUUUGUUGUAUUUUAUGAUUUGUACACAUUUACGUAACUUUUGUUGUACAUCAUGAAAUAAAACAAAACUAUGUAAAUAUAUAUCAAAUUAUUAAAAAAAAUACAAUAAUCACAUCAAUUGCACUUAAGACCAACCAUACCUGCCCCAAAUCUGUCUUGUGGCACUUCUUAGAUAGCAAGCAUUAUUUUCUUGGAUGCGCCAGUUGGUACCGGAUUUACUUAUGCAACUACCUCAGAGGGUUAUCAUUCUUCAGACAUACAAACGGUUGGAGAUAUAUAUACCUUUCUUCAAAAGGUCACCAAUAAAAUUUUCAAAUUUUUUUUUUAUGAAAGGUUAACUGCAAUAAGUUUAACUUCAAAUAUAUAUAUAUAUAUAUAUAUAUAUAUAUAUAUAUAUAUAUAUCAUGUUUUUGCUAAGAUAUAUCACGAGCGAUAAGGAGUAUAUGAUGCUUGCAGUGGCUUUUAAAGCAUCCUAACUUUAUCAAGAAUCGCCUGUACAUUGCUGGUGACUCAUUUGCGGGCUAUCUUGUUCCAAUGGUCGUCAACAAAAUAUCGCAAGGUUAAAAUUACGCGUUUGUUAUUUUUCCCUCCCUAUUGUAUAAUUAAGAUCAAAGUUUAUCAAUUUUUCCCGAUAUAAUAUAAUCAGCCUAUAAACCCCAAAUAUAAUCACGUAUUGUCAUAUGAGGUGCACAUAUUGCAAGGAAAAGACAAUUAAGUUCAAUUACAUCAUAUACUCUGUAUGUUGUUUUCAAUUGGUUUUUACAAACAGAAGUUAUAAUAUUUGAUUUCAUAAGCAGGCAUUGAGGCAGGCGUCAAUCCAAGAAUGAAUAUUCAGGUGAUUUAUGUACAGUCUGCCUUAAUUUCUUCCCCCAGAGGCAUUAUUAUGCGUGCUUAUAUGAUUGAGUCAGAAAUUCGACAAUAUUCACUAUGAUAUAUUUUUACUAUUUUUACUAUGAUAUUUGAGUUAGGGGUACGUGAUUGGAAAUCCAGGAACAGAAUACCACAUCGAUAAAAAUUCGGUACUACCAUUUGCUCACCGCAUGGCACUUUUAUCAGACAAAUAUUAUCAGGUGUGAAACAAACCAAAAAUCUUAAUUAUGUUGCUGUUAAGUUUGGCAUUGACAUUUUUAUUUAGGAUGCAUUUGAUAAAAUUAAAAUUUGAAAUCUCAAAUCUGACUCUAUUAAUUUAUUGAAUUGUUAAGUAUUAAAAUAUUAAUAUUUAAGCAUAUUUUGCAUUAAUUGAUAAGUGAAGAUUAAGAUUGUUAGAAGCCAAUAGUACGUAGACAGUAGAAGAUUAAGAUAAGCCUUUUCAUUUCAUGAAGCCACUGCUAGGCUGCUGAAAGUCAAUAAUUAGGAAAUUACCUACUAAAAACAUACUGACACCCGCUUGAUAUUGAGAUUGUUUCAGAUGGCGAAAGUUAAUUGUCACGGGGAAUAUGAAAAUCCAGAUCCAAACAACGCGUGGUGCCUUUACGCUCUCCAGUUUUAUAAAGAGGUAGGAAAAACCAGCAUUACAUAGCUUAUCGUAGUAGUUUACAUAAUAAGCGUGUUUCUUGUUGCUUUUGUACCCUGAUAAGUUCUCUCAUAUCCCCAGUCAUAACUUGCUUUAUAAGGUGUUAUCAUUAUUUUUUUCGGAUAUGAAAAAAUUCCCUUGCUAGAUGUAUCUUAAUAGUUGCAUAUUCUUAAUGUAUUUUCUACCAUUAGUUCAGUUUUUACUUGAAUUAUGAUAGAAACUAAACUAUGCUAUUUUAUUUCCUAAUUAGUUUCUUGUUUUGGUUUUUGGUCUUGCUAAAUUUAGUUUUCAUAUUAAUUUAGGAAAUCUCAAGUUAGUUCCAAAUAAAUUUCUGUUUGCAAUUGUGUUUAUUUUGGGAGUUUUGCAGUCUAUAAAUAUUACUAAUGUAGUUGAUUAUUACUUGAAGAAUUGAGUUGAGUCUUAAAAGUGAAUUAAGUGAAAGCAUCUAAGCAUUGUUAUUGUGAGUUAUGGUAAGCGAAAAGGUACAAUUUGAUAUUUUAUUAUUGGGUUUUGAGUCAAUAAAAUUAGUUGAGUUAUUGUAGUAAUUUUGUCCUCCUCCUCUUCUGAUAUUAUUUUAUUUGUUUCAAAAUUGUUUUCGCUGUGCGUGUAUUUUUUGUGUCAACAAAUUAUUUUUAAAAAAUAAAAAGCUUAAGGCUCCCCUCCCCAAAGCUUGCAGAAAGUCAAGAUAGAUUUGGUGAUUUGUCUCAACACCAUCCACCUACCACUAUAGACUAUAGAGUUUAGAUUACAUACAUACCGAACCUGAUGGACUCUGUGAAGUGAUGGUAUACUCGCAAAAUUGGCUUACAAAAUGCAAUCUCCAUUAUCAGUGCAUUAGAAACAUAUUCCAAGCAAAUAUUUUGGAACCGGCAUGCAAAUUCAGGUCAUCCAAGCCUAGUGCAUCGGAAUUGGAUAAGAACACCUAUUUGGAAGAUGACCCGAUCAUCAGGAUGCUCCCUCAAUCAAAUAAAAAGGAAUCGCGGUGUCGGGUAAGUUAUUCAUCUUUUUUUUUGCGUAUCUAAGUUAAUUUUAUAUACACUAUUAUGAUUGAAUAGAUAAAAUAUAUGCAAAAUUUAGAUUUUAAAUUUAAAUUUAAAUUAAUUGUUAUACACUAAAUGAUAGUAGUGUAUAUACUGUUAGUGUAUAUAAAUUAAUUCUAUAUACAUAUAUACUCUCAACUUGGGAGAUCAUUUGAAAAAUUAAUACCCUACAUAUACGCAUGUAGAAUGACAAUUAUGUGCUAUCAUUUGUGUGGGCAAAUGAUCAAGCCGUCCAAGAAGCUCUACACGUUAGAAAGGUAAUGUCGAUCUCAAUCCUCGUCUUCACCCGCAUUUUUUUUAUUUCCCCAAAUAUAUGGUCGUAAUACUCUUAAGGUUUAUGGCGUAUACUUUCCUCUAUGUGAUACAACAGACCUUGGUCAUUGUGACAUAAUAUGCACGUCGCUAAUCUUCAAGAUUAAUUUAGUUACUAACUUGUAUUUAAUUUUUUUUUUGAAAAAUUAGGGAACAAUUAAAGAGUGGAGAAGGUGCAAUAAAAGCUUAUCUUAUGACCAAAUUGAAUACAGUGUUGUCCGAUAUCAUAAGCUGUAAGCAUGAGUUUUGUAACCCCUCAUAUUAAAUCUCAAUGAUUGAUUUUAACGGUUACCAAGGUGUCUAGUAAUUGGUUUGCUAUUAAUUUGAACUAGACAUUUAUUAGGUCUAGUCGAAUUUAUUCCUUCUUAUCACUUAGUUCAUAAACCUUAUGAAUCGUUAAAACCAGCUCUAACAUUAGGUAACAAGACUUCUACAAUUUCGGGUUUUGCUUAGAAAUCAGUCUGAUAGUUUAACUUGCUUCGUCCAAGUUUAUGAGUUGCUUUUUUUUUUUUUCCAUAUUUGACAUUUCAUCUGACUUUAAUAUGGGGACCAAGUUAGUAUUGUUGACAUUUCAUAUCUAAGACUUCUUAAUUAAUUGAUUUGGUAUAAGAACUAUAACGUAUGCGUGUUUUGUAAGCUUUCAUGUUUUUUUUUUUUUUUAAUUCUUGUGGACCAGCAACGGAUAGUUUCUUCUAGUACCAAGCUUCCUUUGAAGUUUUUUUUUUUUUUUUUGCGUGUCCAAAUGUAAAUUAAAAGAACCCAUCAACUUUGAACAAGUCUAUAUCUAGUAAAGAUAGAUAUAAAGAGGGAUACUAUAUCACUACAACGAAAAAGGGAUUUCGCGAGGAGCAAAAGUCCACGCCAAAAGUUUUGACUUCCUUGCUAAUUAAUUUCAACGAGAAAAAUGCUUCCUCGCCAAAUUUCUUGCUAGAUGCUCGUCGCUAAAAGUUAUUAGCGAGGAUGCUGCUGCUUUUCUCGCUAAUGAAACAGAUCAAUAGCAAGGGUUGACCUCCUCGCUAAUAGCUCAAAUACUAUGGCAAGAAAAGCUUUCCUCACCAACUAAAGUUAAAAACUCCCCACAAAAACCAGUAGUUCCUUGCAAAUAGUCAAGGUGUUUUGCUAGGAAAAUAGCGCAUCCUCACCAAUAGUAUAGAAUUAGCAAGGACCCGUGUACCAGUAAAACAUUUUUGGCCAGGAAAGUAUCCUCUCUAAUAAGCGAUAAUUGAUUAUUGCCUAACUGUUUGGUGGGAAAAUGUUCCUCUCCAAUGCUGUUAUGAACAUUUCUUAAUCCCAUUUUAGCAUGCUAAUCUUAAUUCUCUAAGCAAAGUACUGGGUGGUUUUAUUAGAAAAUUUAGCUGCAAAUAGCUUCAAUUUGGCUUCUCAUGUGUCUGCUGUACAUUUUCCAGGUUCUUGUAAGUAUCAAAUUGUUUGGCAAAAAAAAUUUUUUUAAUGAAUCAUGACCAACGUAGCUGCUCGUUAAAUUUAAACUCAUAAUCCCUGGUAUUUGAUAGGUUUUUGGAAUAUCACUUGGUGCCAACAACCCCCUUUUGCUACUUUGAUAAACAUUCAAUAGAAAACAUACAAAAGCUUUGGUUAGCUAAAAAUAAUUGCUACCACAGUAAUACAUCAACAUCCAGCUCUUUCAACAUCUUGAGCCAUACAAUAGGAAGUGCUUGAAAUCAAUUGGCAAUCCAAAUUCUUUUUAGCUCAUUAACUAUCCUAGAAAUCGCAACUUCAGUAAGUCAUUACAGAAGAAGAUUUCAUCGAGAGAACACCACAAAAAGGAGAAGCAGAAAAAAAAAUAUAACAGAGAGAGAGAGAGAGUUAAACUAGUCAUAUGGACACAUAUUUGUCACCUCAGUAUUUCCGAUUCCUUAAUUAAGUCCAGUUAUCUUGGAACUCUAUCGGCAAUCCAUGGAACAUUUUUUGAAUGACAAUAUGCUGUUGCAACCUUUUGAUGAAGACUUCAAAGGUUCUAUGAUAAGGUUGCAUUUUUGUCAUUAAUUCUAUGAUUAUUUUCCUCGUUUAUAUUACCAAAUAUUGUAUUAAUUGAUUGAUUCUACUUAUAUUUGAUACUUUGUGUCAAUUGUAGGAAGGUGGAGCAAAAAGUAAUAAAAGAGAUGAUUUUCAAGAGUUUUCCAAUUCAAGAUGGAGUUUACGUGGAGUAUUGGAUGAAAAUUAGGAAACUACAACUUUUUAUUAGAUGUCUUAUUAGGGAACAAUUAGCAUUAGUUGGAGAAGUUUCCUUUUGCAAUUAGAAUUCUAUUUUUAGUUGGCCAAUGGAUGGCCGAAGUAGUAGACUUCGAUUAGGAAACAAAGAGAAAAAAAAAAGAUGGCCGCUGGUCUCUUCUUUAGUGAGUCUUUAGGGAAAAACCAAUGGUUAUUGAUGGAGUCAUGCGGAUAUCCCCUGAGGAUGUGAAGCUAAAUCUCCGUUUUCUGGUCGAAUGUCAAUCUGAGAACUCGGUUCCAAACAUCUGUGAGAUCAAAUUAUUUUACUUAUUUCUUUUAUUCAUUGGUAUUUGUGCAUUUUCUGAUUUAACUUCUUAUGCUUGUUAUGUUAUUUGAAUGUCAAGGGACCGAUAUUCGAAUUAACCUAAUAAUCUACUGCCAGAUUAAUUGAGUGAAUCCGUAAUUGUUCAAUUGGUUUCAUGUUAGGGAAAUGUAUGAUUUAACUUAAACAAACCCUCGUAGUGUGUUUGUUAGUUUGAUUGAGUUUUUCUAAUUCUUAUUGCAAUCAAGAAAUUAAAUCCUACAGUCGUACCUAGGGUUAUUUCUUGGUUAGAAAAAUAGUUAAUGGUCGUACCUUGACUAUCGAAAAAGUAAGGAAAUGUUGGUUAUUUAUCGCGUAUAUAACAACUAUAACCAAUCUAUUAAUUAGUAAUUAAAUUAUCUUUGCAUCGAUGAUUAAUUGAAUUGACCGUGCCUGAAAAGUUACACCUUUAACUAGAGUUGUAUUGGUUAUUGAUUAAUUCCUAUUUAUUUCUAUUAGUUGUUUCAUUAGUUGGUUAAUUAGUUAUUUUAUAUUUUCCAAUAACCCCCCAUACUUCGGACUCUGGAAGAAAUGAAUUAUCCCCAAUCCCUAUGGAUGCGACCCUACUCACCGUAGGGGCGGGCAAAAAAACCCGCCGAUCCGAAAACCCGAUGAACCCGAUCCGAUCCGAUCCGAAAAAUAGGAUACCCGAUCCGAUUUUUCUUAGCGGGGCAGAUGAGGGUCGGGUACUCGAAAAAUCGGGUACGGAUACGGAUCAGAAAAAUAAAAAUCCGCGGGUACCCGACCGGCAGGGUAUAUUUUAUAAAUAUUAAAAAAGUAGGGAUCAUUUUAUAAUUUUGUAAUUUUUAAUUCUAAGUGCAAGUGAAGUGGCUCGCAGCCUCAUAUUUUAAUCCUAUAUGAUCUACUCUUCUCAUUUUUUUUUUAAGAAAGUGAAUAUUCUCGGUGAAACAUGAACAAAAUGAAAAAAAAAAUUUGUGAAACUCUGUUAUAAAAAUUGUCCAUCCCUUUCAUCUUUUUUAUUUUUAUUCUACCUCCAUCGAUCUUUCCUGCAAAUCUUGCAUCAAUUCAAUCAAAGAUUUUUGUUUCGAGUCUCAAUUUUCUGUUAGCUAGAUAAUUAAAAUAUUUGUGUCAUUCAUUUGCAAUUAUAUCUCUUAAAUUUGUCUCUUUUAUUUAGUGUAAGAAAUUUAUUUUUCUUUUUCAUCACCUUAAUACCAUAAGGUCUAUUCCAAAGAUGUAAAGAAGUUGGGGAAGAUUUUUAACAUUAUUUUGGUUAUAUUUUUUUCAAAAAUAAUUAGUUCUAUUCAAUUAUUUUCCGAACUUGAUUUCACAAUUGACUUAUUUGAGAUGCGGUCUUGUACCAUAAUAUCCUUGGGGAAGUUACCAAAUACUUAUUAUCCUUGUGUUUGUUGUGUUGUAGAAGUAUGAAAUGUGUGAAAAUGGUGAUGUACUCAAAAUUAUUAUGAAACUUCGUUUUGUCCAUUAGAUAUUCUAAUAUGUACUAAAUUUAUGAGAUCGAUUUGAUUAUUGGAUGAAAUGUGUGAAAAUGGUGAUGUAUGGACUUUAAUUACAAUAUCUCUACCAAUAUUAAUUGGAAAAGCAUGUUUUUUUUAUUGAAAAACGUGUUGAUAUUAAGUAGAAAAUACAUUUUUUUAUUGAAAAAUAGUUUUUUUUAGGGGCGGGUACCCUAUGACCCGCCCCUUUUUUCGGGUACCCGCUAUUCGGGUACCCGAAAAUAUUAGGAGCGGGUUAAGGUCGCAAAAUGGCUGAUCCGAUAUAUUAGGGUCGGGUCAGCCAAAUCAUGUUAGGGGCGGGUACCCGACCCGUGCCCACCCCUAACUCACCGCUAUAUACAAAUUUGUAUUUGUCUUGAAUAGGUAAUUAUUAUUGCACAGAUUCGACACCUGUCAUUCUAUAACUGAAUACAGAGUCAUCUUUUCAAAGAUUUCCCAUGCUGCAAAAUGUACUCUACGAGCUUUAUUUCAUCUUCCUCCCCUAUAAAUUUGCUGAUUCCAAUCUGCCUAAGAUGUUCAACAAAGCGUAUUGGGAAAACUGUUUGAAAAAGUAGAUUCCAAGUCCUUGUAUAUGCAGAGUCCUCCUUCCACAACUUUACAUAUUGAGAAGAUCAAAAAUUGCAGAACAUAAUAAUACUUGAAAUUAGUGAGAAUAUAUCCAAAAGAAACAAAAUAUUAAUACCUGAAAUCAGGUUUUACAAUCAGUCCACAAAAAGCACCUAAACCCAAAUAGCCCAUGUUGGAAUAGACCAAGUUUAGUUCAACUGCAGAAAUUCCUAGUACAAUGGAACUGCAACUUCAACUUCAGUAAAUUGCAAGCUGGUAUUAUGAUUCUAUGAAUCCUGAAAUCUCCCCCAAGUCCUCUUGCCUCCAACACUAAGUAUGUACACAGACGCUGACCUGUUCUAUACACUAGGAAAAUUCAGAUCAGACGGCAUUCAAUAGAACUGCCUUGAUUUGGCUCCAUAUCAGCACUAUUGCUCUUUAAAUCUAACUUGAUUAAGCUGCACAAAAAGGGAAGAUUACAUUAGAUGGAGAAAUUUUACUGAUUGCAUAUGAAAUAGGGGCUAAAACCAACUAGGAAAAGCAGAGAAGUUAACCUCAACCGACCAGGAAACAAGAUGCAAAAGUCAGAGGUUGUUAGCUUAAACCUCAACCAAACGAAAAAUGCAAUCUUUGAUAUUAAACACAUAACCCACAUAAGUUAGCUUCACAGACUCCAGAAGGAUGGUUGGAACUCAAUUUUCCUAAAAUUGUGAGGAAAAUAAUGCAAUCUUAGGAAUCUAACACAAAUAAUGGUAAUAAAAACACACAAGAAGGGUAUGAAGACUUACAAAAUGGCACCAAAAUAUAGAUCUAACAGUAUUUGAAGCAAAUGGAUGAAGCAUUGAAGUUGUUCUAAGAUUUUUUGACAGCAAUUAAACCUAAGCUCCUUCACGUUUAGCAAUUCAUAGGAGAUAGAUAGGAGGCAGGUCUUCUUUUUUAGCAAUUCCUCAGAGGUCUCCUUCCCAUUUAGCAAUUCCCGCAUCUGUUCUUCUAUUUUUGGACUAAAAACCACCGAUGUUGGCCUUUGAGAGAAGAACAGAUGCUUGCUUCUCAAUUGACAGAGACAAGAGAGGACCAGCCUUUCUAUGUACAUAUCCCUCAGCCUCUAACAAUCCUUUGAAUUUUGAUGGACGUUGCGGGAAAAAUAAAAUUCUUGGAGGGAAUAAAACGCGCGUCCUAAAUUCUAAUUUAAGUGUUGUAGUUAAAAAUUUCUAAGAAUUGGAGUAUAUUAUAUAAUAUAUAGAAUGAAUAUUGAGUAUUAGAAGUAUAUAAUUUGAAAGAAAUCAUGUAUGAGAAAACGAAACUAAUGAAAAUAUUCAUGUGCAAUCAAUAUAAUAAAUUGUCAUAUUUAUAAUUUUUAAGUUUGCAAUCCAUAAAUAUAGUAACAAAUAAUGUAAUUCAUGUGCAAUCAAUAUAAUUAUAUUGUUAAUUAAGGUUAUAAUUGUGCUAUAUAAAGUAUUUGGGACAAUUUGAAAAAUAUCUAGAAAUUUGGGACUACUUAUAAUAUAUUCAAAAUGUAUUUUGAUUAAACUAGACAACUUGUUCUUUCUUGUUGGAAAUCGAAAUUCAAUUAUGGAACAAUAUACAUGGAAAAGUUGACCUUAUAUGUGUAUAAAUCAUCUUAUUAAUAAAAUAGUUAAACACAGUACAUUUAGUUAACUAUGAUUUAGUGAUUGAUUAUUACAUCAUUUUUUAUAUAAUACGAUAAUUAAAUAUUACAUAUAUAAUAAAAUGUUUCAAAUAUAUUUUAAUUGAUAGAAAAAAUGGUAUACAUACAAUAAAAAAAUAAUUAAAGAAAAUUUUGAGAGUAGAAUUUUGUGCUAAAAAACAUGUAUUUUGGGUUCAAAUUUAUAACCCACCACUUAUCCACUUAGAAUUAGCAAAAGUAUUAAUUCAUUUCUAAAGACUCUAAACCAAACUAAUUUAUUAUAAUAAAGACACAAAACACUAGCUCCAUGUGAUAACCUAUAGCAAAGAUCAUCUAUUCACUUUAGAUAAAUAUAUGAGUCAAAUUUAAAGAUUCAUCAAAUUUUCUAGGUUUUAAAAUUGGGGUGAUUUAUUUACAUGGAUUUAAAGCUGUCUAAAUAUAGUUUACUAUGCAAUAAACGACACUCAAUUUCGAGUUUUCUACACAAAGAUAUGGCCAAAAUACCAAAAUUGUUACUUAAUUUUUUGAAAAAUAGUAGGGUCGUAGGAUCGUAUGAUCUGGAUCACGAUCCUAUUGAUCUUGUUAAUUUAAUGCUAAUUUUUUAUCCUACUUACAAUUUGGAUCGUUAGCCAUGAUCCAUAUCGUAGGAUUGUAGAUCGCGAUUCUAACAACUACGGUUGUAGUUAAAAGUUUCUAAGAAUUGAAGUAUAUUAUAUAAUAUAUAGAAUGAAUAUUGAGUAUUAGAAAUAUAUAAUUUGGAAGAAAUCAUGUAUGAGAAAAAUGCAACUAAUGAAAGUAUUCUCAAUAUACAGUUGAAAAAAUAACUAAGUUUGUUGAAGCUCUAGUCUUUUGCUAAUUGUUUUCUCACCUAUAUCUUAUUUGAUUUGAUUAUUUAUUUAAUUUCUUAAUUAGUGAUUAAAAACCCUCUAAAUUUAAAUUUUAUUAUUUUUAUUAGAGUAAUCAAAGUAGGAAAAAUUAACUCAUUCCUAUAUGUUUGACCGUGGAGUACUCCAAGUGAAUUAUUAUUUCGAUCAACCCUAUACAGUUAUAGAAAUUCAUCGAUCACACAGCAACUAAAAAAAAAAAUUAACGCACAAUAAUGUCAUGAGCACAGUUCCCAUCUUAGUUGUUCAACAUUCACGGUGGAUUUCAAUUAGUGGUAAACAGAUAAAGGCAUCGAAAAAAGUAAUCUAAUUACUAGAUAAUUGAAUUUAUACUACAGCAUAUUUCUUUUUUCUACUGCAAAAACUUAACUAAUUUAAGACAAUGUAGUCCAAGCUAAUUGAAGAUUAAUUUUCCCCAAAAAAUGUUCAUGAUAAAAACUCAGACAAAGAGAUAAUACAACAACUUACUUUUGGAGGUGAUCUUAUACGGUUUUUAUUAACAAACUAAUUAGCCACUUAAGCCUUUUUUUUUUUUGGGACAGUACAUGACAAAAUGAGGAGUAAAUCAUUCACUUAGCAUCUAAAAUUUUCCCUCCAUAUAAUUAGUUCAACCUGAUUUAAGACUAAAAUUUUUACUAUAGGAAUGUUCGUGAUUCAACAAUGAAACACCAUAUAAACUUAUUUUGGGAGAUUUUUCCUCGAAGACAAAAAAUGAGCAACCAAUCAGAAAGUCAUACUUACAUAUCAAAAUCGAUACAGUCUACUUAAUUCACCAGCUAUGUAUAUUUCAUCCAUUUUCACAUGAUAGAAAGAACAAUAAUGCAUGGCAUUAUCGAUCAUAAAUUGCUCAUAUAAUAUGCGAUCUAUUAUGCAUCUAAGGCUUUGAAUGGAACUUAACUCAAUUAUACGAUCAUAGAAAAUGAGCUUUUAGUAGUUAUUUUUGCCUUAGAAAAAUUUCAUUCUUAUUUAUUAGAAGAUAAGUGAUUGUGUAUUCUGACUAUGCAGCGCUACGGUACUUAAUGACUAAGAAGGAUGCUAAACCAAGAUUGAUAAGAUGGAUUUUGCUUCUAUAUGAGUUCAAUUUGAAAAUUCGUGAUAAAAAGGGAGAAGAGAAUUUAGUUGCCGAUCAUUUGAGUCGAUUGUCGAUUGUCAAGGAUGAUUUUAUAUUGAGGAAAACUUUUCCUAAUGAGCAACUAUUUUCUGUUAAUCCCUCUCUUCCUUGGUAUGCGGAUAUUAUUCAUUUCUUGACCACUAAUCAAUUGCUUGCACAUUGGUAAAAAACAAAAUGAGAUAAGCUCAGAUGUGAUGCUAAGUAUUACUUAUGGGAUGACCCCUAUUUAUAGUGGCAAUGUGCAGAUCAAGUACUGCGCAGAUGUGUAAGUAAGAGUGAAUUUAAUUCUAUUUUACUAUUUUAUCACUCUUAUGCAUGUGGACGCCAUUUUAGACCACAAAGAACAGUUCGUAAAGUAUUGGAAAGCGAUUUUUAUUGGCCCACAAUUUUCAAAGAUACAUACUUGUUUCGUAAGUCAUGUAAUAGAUGUCAAAGGUAGGAAAUAUUUGUCAUAAAAAUUAGAUACUAAAAACCCUUAUGAUUUUUUUGUGAAAUUAUUGAUACAUGGGAUAUUAAUUUUAUGGGUCCAUCUCCUUCAUCUUUUGGUUUCCUUUACAUCUUGUUGGCCGUAGAUUAUGUGUCCAAGUAGAUAAAAACAAAAGCCACCCAAGCUUAUGAUUCUAUAGUGGUUACAGAUUUCAUUCAAUCACAUAUUUUUGUUCAUUUUGGGGUACCACGAAUUAUAGUAAGUGAUCGAGAAAAACACUUUUGCAAUAAAAUGAUGGCGGCUGUAUUUCGUAAAUAUGGAGUGACUCAUAAGGUAUUUACAUCCUAUCACCUCCAAACAAAUGGUCAAGCAGAGAUUUCGAAUAGGGAAAUUAAAUAUAUAUUGGAGAAGAUGGUUCGCUCUGAUAGGAAGGGUUGGAGUUCACGAUUGAACGAUGUACUCUGGAUUUAUAGGACAGUCGAUAAGAGUCCUAUAAGUAUAUCUCCCUAUAGGUUGGUAUUUGUGAAGCCGUGUCAUUUACCGGUUGAGCUCGAGCACAAAGCAUAUUGGGGGAUCAAGAAAUGCAACAUGGAUCUUGAUGAGGCUGGAAUACAUAGAAAACUUCAAUUACAAGAAUUGGAAGAGUUGAGGAAUAAUACUUACAAGAAUGCAACACUAUAUAAAGAGAAGAUUAAGGUUUUUCGUGACCAAUAAGUUGCAAGGAAAUCAUUUGUAGUUGGGCAAAGAGUUCUUCUCUAUCAAUCUCGUCUAAAGCUCUUUCUAGGUAAGUUACUUACGCUCUCGUUGGGCUGGUCCAUUUGUUGUGAUUAAUAUUUUUCACUAUGGCGCAGUGAAAAUUCAGAAUAUGCAAAUAGCUAAGAAAUUUGUGGUUAAUGGUCAUUGUUUUAAACCCUAUUAUGAAAGUGUUUCAAUGGAGAAGGUGGAGAUAAUAAAUCUUGAAGAUCCCACUUAUGCUGCUUGAACAAUAUUCGACCAUGUCUAAUCAAAAACAUUAAAGCAAGACGCUUAUUGGGAGGCAAUCAAAUUCUUUUUUUAUUGUUUGUUCACUAAUAUUAUGUGUUUCACUAUGUUUAUCUUAGGUUUUUCAAAUUUGGUAUUUUAAUUUUAAUUUUUAAUGUUUUAUUGGUUAGGUGACUUUCUCCCAACAAGGCGUGCCCACGCCUUAAAGGCAUGUGGUAAUGCACAAAUAUCCAAUUCCAUCAUUAGAAAACUAUGGACCAACAUGACAUGCCCACGUCUUGAGGGUAUGUUGUAACUCGUAAUUAGCCGACUUUAUCAUCAAAAGAGUUUCAACCAAUAAGACGUGCCCGCGUCUUGUCCUAGCAAGGGAAAAAAAACCAAUUGAACCCAAAAGAAUUUUCUUUUCUCUUCUUUUUUUUGCUUUCCUUUUUUUUAUUCUUUCCUUUGCCUUUUCCCUUUUCUAUUUCUUUUCCUUUCCUUCUUUCUUUCUUUCUUCUUUCUUUUUUUCUUUCUUUAUUUCGCUCUUUCAUUUCCUCAACUGCAUGGCCAAAACUCUACAUGUUGCUUGCACGCCGUUCAUCGCCCCACCGUCCAUUGCUGUCGCAAUUCGCUAGUUUGUCUCUACUACCUUUGCUGUAUUCGCUAUUCGUCAAAGCCUGUCACUGGUUUUGCCAUUGCCCAUCUCUAGUUUCGUCGUUGCUCGCUAUUGUGCCAUUCACCGCUGCUUGAACCACCAUGAACGUCCAUCCUCUGCCAGCGACAGCCAUCGCUCCGCACUUUCUCUGUUGUCUUGUUUCUACUGACCCAGUUUUUGGUAUUCUUGUCCUUCUCUUUUAAAUAUUGUUGGGUUGCUACUUCGGAGUUUAUUAGAAUUUCUUUUUGCAGGGUUGAUUUAAUUUGUUGAUUGGGUAUUCCUCGAAUUGUUGGAUUGGCACUACCUGACAUUUGCUUGUUUUCUGAUGAUGACCACUAACUUGCACUACUAUUUUGCAUCCAUGGGGAUUCAAUGCUGAUUGGAGGUUAUAAACUGUGGUGAAAUUGCCGCUACUUACUUGCCAAUUGCUAAUUGUUGAUAUUGAUAGGAGGUAUUGUUCUUACAUUUCUAGUUUUGUUAUUAAAUAGUGUCACAUCUCUUGGCUCUUUACUGUACACUUUGAUUUGAGAUUGCUUGGCUAUCUUUAGUCGUUUGGCAAACAUUAGAGGCUCGUAUUUCGCCAUUGUCUGAAUUGUUGUUUAUAGCUAUUUUUGGAUUUAGUUAUCUAAAUGGCUAAGAAAAAAAAGACCACCAAGGCCAACACCCCUAUGACUAAAACCACUCCCCCAUCCCAACCAACUAUACCCAUGACAGACCCUUCUACCAUCCUUCUUUUUCGGGUAAAUGGGCAUGCUUAGGUAGGGACAAGGGGGUCUAUAUCUCCUCACUGUCCCACUUUGGAGGUAAUUUGGCUCUCACCAAAGCCGUCGAUAAGCAAAGAUACUCUAAUUAUUAUGAGUGGCAAAUUAUUCCUUGUAAAUAUCUUGACCCUCCCAUCAUGGUUUCUUUGAAUAUCUUUGAGAAUAUUGCACAAAUGUUUACUGCCAUAGGCUGGCCUUCUUAUGCCGAAAUACAAUGUCCUACUUUUGUUGAAUUGGUUAGAGAGUUUUACGCCACCUUUGAGUUUGAUCAAUCCAUGGGGUAUUCUGUCACAACCUCGAAUGUGAUUCAAUUUUGAUUGAUGGGUAGGGAGUUUAAGUUCUCCAUUACCAAGUUUAAUUUGGUAAUGUGAUCCCAUUACCUAUGUAAGGUCACAAUGUUAGAGAUGUGAAAUUAUAUUGCAAUGGUCCCUAAAAUCCAACUUGAUCGAUAGGAACACUAAUUAGGUGAAUACGAGGACUCUGAUUCAACUCUCAUUUUUCCUCUCAAAUUACACUAAUAUUUUUAAUCAUACACUCAUCCCCUUACUAACUUCCUAUGGGCCCAAUAUGUUGAGUAGAAUUCGAUUGGAACAACCGAAAGGAAAAGAAAACAAAUACAAAACAAUGAAAUAAACACUUAGUCGAGUUGGAACCUCAGAGGAAGUGAGGAGCACAAGUGCGAACAGAUCACCAAGGAAAAAGAAACAAGUUUUUCGAGAAUGAAAUUUGAUUUCAAGCUCAAUCAAAUUCUAAGAGUCAAUGAUAAGAUCGAAAAAUGUGGAACCAUUGUUAAGAUGUAGAUGGAGAUGGUUGCUUAUUGAGCGUUGGAAGUAUUUCAUAUGCAAGUUGUAAUUAUAUCUCAACUUGUAUUUUUUUUUUUGAAAAACAGGUCAUGGAUGCGUCAAACGUACAGUGGUUCAGGCAAACAAUAUCCAAUCCAAUCUAUUCAAAGGCAACAAAAACAUCCGCUGCUCAUGCGACAGUAUGCACAAAGUGCUAUAUAUACAACCAAAAGGGAAUUUAUUUAUUCCAAGAAACAAUGCAUAUUCCUGUAUAUAGUCUUGGCUUUAACGAGUUCAGUCCCUUGUGCUAUUCUUUAUCCAUUCAAGAUAUUGGAGGUUGCCACCGGUUAUGGGCAAGGCGAUCACUUCUGGCACCUCGUAUUCGUGAUUCGCCUUGACAUGCUCUGUCUGAGCAUCCAAAAGUGAUUCCCUAGUCUUAAUUAUUAGCAACUCUUCAGGAUCUGUCUGCACCUCCCCUUUCCACUCAUAAACAGACUCUAUUCCUGGAACUCGGUUUACACAGGCUGCAAGCUUUUCUUUAACUAUGCUUUCUGCCAGUUUCUUUAUUUGGAACAGUGACAUAGACAACAAUGCUGGGAACAGUUCUGCUGCUUGCUUCCAUCCUUAUCCUAUUUGUACUAUGAACACUACUACCAACUUUUGAUCCCAAGAUUGGGAGAAAGUGGAGGGAUUGAGCACAACCCGUUUUAGAGGAGGGAUUAAAAGAGGGGCAGAGAUUGGAAAGACCGAAGCUUAGGACACAGAAAGUACCUACUAGUGGUAAUCGGCGACGAACUACUGAAGGUGAUACUAAAGAUGAGAGCUUUAAUGCCAUCUAAGAUUGGAAUUUGGUGGGGCUUUAUAGUACCACCAACUACUGUUUCCUUAGUGGAUGAUUUAUUCCCAACCGACGAGGUUGGGGAUGGCUCUCAACUUGUAUAAUUUUAAUUUAAUAAGAUUAAAUUAAUGACCAUGCCAAUGAUUUCUGCGUCAUGCAUGACAUUCUUUUUUCUUGUACUCUCCCAAAAGCUGAAAAUUCUCAUCUCAAUCUCCUCCUCCAGCGAUGGCUGCAUGUCUGUACAUGUUCCCCCACAACAAGAAUAAUGAAUCAAUUGCCAUAAUUGCACGCAUUUAAAUUUUUUGAGCUGGUGAUAAAUUGCAUAGUUUUGAUUUUUUCUGUUUCCGGUUCCCACUCUAGCUACUUCUAGAUUUAUUAAUUGGGAAAAAAAGAAGAAGGAAUAAAUUAAACCUUAUUUAAUUACUUUUUUAGUUAGGAUAUCUAUAGCGGAUGUAAUUAUCUCUAUAGAAAUGAAUGAAGCAUCCUAGCUUGUGAUCAUUAUCCUCUGUUGCAAUUCUCUUGUUCAAACUUCAAAUUACGGUUUUGUUUGAUAACCUAAUUCAGCACUUAAAUUUAAUAGAUUCAGAUUUUAACAUGUUCAAACACGUUUGAUAACCAAAAUUUGAAUAUUUGAAUAAAUUAAGUGGUACUAAAUUUUCUAGAUAAAACUUGCUCCUAAAGACAAGUGAUAAGUUAUUCACUUAUCACUUAAUAUGAUAUAUACUCAAAUGUAUCAGAUUUAAUACAUAACAAUUUAAUAAUUUAAUGAAUUCAAAUUUCAAAUUUUAGAUUUUAAUUUUAUCAAACGCAUCAAUGCGAACUGAAUAUGAAAUCCAAAGUUGAAAAUCCAAGGGGUUAGAACUUUGAAACAAUAGUGCCUCUAGGCAAAUUCAGCAUUUUUACAUUCUACUGAUUUAGGGCAUCUUCAAUUAUCAGUUUCAACUCCAUGGUAAAAUAUAGAUAUUACCUCUAAUAGUUAUACGCACUUACUGACGGGCUUUUGCUAUACGUACAAGUUAAAAAAUCCGAAAUACACCCGUUUCACUGCAAGUAUAGAGGUCAACUAGUAGUUAAUGGUAUAUAUCGGGUUGAUCCCACGAAAAAGAUUGAACAAUUACCGGCACUACUAAAGCUUCUCUAUUAUUUAGACUAUUAAUGAAUUAUAAGAAGUAAAACCUACUGAACUUAUACAAGAAAAUAACAAAUGAAAGCUCCUUAGGUUAUGGUAUUCCCUAAUUACUCAUGCAAAUGUUAUUUUUAGAUCAUUGAGAACUACUAUCUUGGCUAGCUAUGGUGUAAUUUCCUUAUGCAUAUGAAUCCUACUUUCGUAGUGAAUCAAUUAUACUCAUAAUUAAUCCAUACAUAUUCUCAUGGUUAUGAAAUUAGCUACAAGUUCAUUUCUUUUGUGAAAUUAUAUGAAAUGAAUCACUAAAACCACAUAGGUGCACCUCUAUUCUCAUGUGAGUGUACUCCCCAUGUUUAGCACUUCUUGAACCAGUGUUAAAUCUCAAUUUUCAUUGCAGAAACAACACCUUAGGUAAUCACAAUUAAUGACACUAGAUUAAUCAUGGUUUAAAGAGCUAAAAUGCUAAAUAACUUGCUCAAAAUAAUAGCAUCAAAUAGCCAAAUAAUAAACACUAGCAAUUAUAGAAAGUUCAACCAAAACCCAAGACAUAAACUUUAGAAACACAUAAUAAUAUAUAAAUCCAUAACUUGUAUAUUAACUAAACUUGGAAUGAAGUACAAAAGAUAAAGAGUUGGAAAGGAAUGUAACCCUUGUCACAUGAGUUCAUCUCCUCGCCUUCUUCAUCCUCCAACCUCUUCUUCAUCUAGCAAAUAAACAAGAUGGAUGAACUAACUAGCUAACUAUCUUAUACUAUACUAACCUAACACUCAUAAAAUGGAAGAACUACAUUUCUGCAGACUCCAAACUUUCUCCCGUAUGUCCCUCCUUGAAUCUUGUAAGUUUUGGCUAUAUAAACAUGAAAGUGGUCAAGAAAUGAGGCCUACACUUUUUCCCUUACAGUUGGUAAUGUUUGUCACAUGUCUAGCAUUACAUGUAACUUAUUGGAAGAGAAACCAAGUUGUCCGCGUACAGAGCAGCCUUUUUUAACAGAAAUCUGGCCAAGUUCCGACCAGAUUGCUACAAUGACCUUUUGUGCAGUUUCUGUUCAAUUUCCAGCUCUGGUCCGAUUUUUCCUCAACUUCAACUGAACUUUUCUUGAUGAUAGAAGAUGAUUUAACUCUUGACCAAAACAUAAAACUUGUAUCACUUUAAGUUAGCUUUCCAAUGCAUCAAGAAUCACCUCAUUUGGAUUUGUGUAGGCUAAGAAAUGAUUGAAAUACCCUUAACUGCUCAAUGUCCUAUUUCAGUUUCGACUAAUAGAAAUUAGCUACUGUAAUUUGGAUUUUUGACCUGGAAAACCUUAGAAUUGGAUUUUGAUGUCUUCACCAAAGUUGUAGAUCUAUCUCUUAUCGGUUCAAGAAUCAUCUCAAUCCGAUCACUGUAGCUCAAGUUAUAGCCAAAAUACGAAAAUAUAUCAAAACUGUAAAAAAUGCACAAAAUGCAAGUUAAAAGUGAUAAAACCUCAUUUAAUCACUUAAAAACAUUUUUCACCAAUUAUAGCCAAAAUGAUUCAUUUUCUUCCAAUAAUAUAACCAAAGUGACUAAAAAUGAUAUAAAAUGUCAUUCAAUUAUUACGUAAAUUAGUCACUUAUCACUUACACAACAAAUACAGAUUGUGAAAUUAAUUGUAUAAUUUGAUAUUUUGUAGGUUUUUUGGAUAUAAUUUUCACGUUUAGGAAAAAGAAAAUAUGUUAGUAAGUAAUAAUGUGAUACCCCUUGUCCCACGUUGGAAGUGGGAGGCGAAAAGGAUUGAUAUAUAUAAGAUUUGGUCUCAUAAGUUACUAGUUAUUUGGAAUAACCAUUUCGGGACAGUGAAUUUCGACACAAAAAUUACUUAGGCCAACCAUGGGCUUGGAUGGUGACAAAUAACUUACUAGAAGCUAGGUAUAUUUAUGUUUAUAUGUCCUGAAAGCAGAGUAGUUCAGAAUCUAGAUAAUGGUAACGAUAUGAUGAAAAUGAGAAGUUAUAUGGUAAACUUUAUAGAUUAAUAAUUUCAUCAAGGCAUCAUAUACAAGCAUGAUGACACAAUCCCAACUUUCAUUCUUUUGUUAAAUCUUAGUGUUUUUGUCUUAGAUUUUUUUCAAAUAAAGGAAGGAUGGAAUUUAAGCAAUAGAGGGGUGGAAGGGGAAUUUGAAUUCAAAAUCUCUAAUUUCUAAGUUUUUCACUAAGCAAUCGUCAAAACCAAAAAAUAAAUAAAUAAAAAGCAAAAAAAUGAGGACCUUGUGGUCAAUGCUCCUGUUCGAAGACAUCAUCUCCCUCUAUUGAAAUCUAAGUACCCUUGGUUGACAAUUUGUUUCCCUGAGCAUCCAUCAACACUUUUAUAUAGUAUUAGAUUAGAUUAGAUUGUCAAUGCACCAUCAAUAUCCUUAAAUAUAAAAGCUAAAGUAUAGUAAUCAAAAUACUGUUAGUAAUCUGUAUGAUUAUUUUUUAUCCUUUAAUGUUUUAGUUUUAGGAAGAUCACAAAUGCUGCGUAUCAAGCAUGCCCUAGGCUAAAUUAAGGUAAAUUAAGUACAUUGCUAAAAUGGAGAGCAUUGCUAAAUUAAGUACUUUAAGAUAAAGACUUAAGCAGCCAGAUCCAUUUGAUGUCAGCUGCUUCAAUAUCCACCUCAAAAUAAAUUAGCCUUUGUUCUAGAUUUAGCUUAAUGCUAAGUCCCUUCACCAUUCUUAGUAAUAAUUCAAUUCUGCCUCAAUUUUCUUCUGAUCUUCAAGGUAAAUGUACAAUAAAUUUCAAAAUAUAUCCCAAAUAUAUGAAUUUCUUGAAACCAUCCUUCAAUCUCAUUACCUACUCAACAAAAUGUUCCAUAAACACAAAUAUAUUAAUGAAUUUGGAGUUGAUUCGAAGAAUUGACGAGAACAACAGGGCUCCUUAGAUUUAACAAUUUCAAAUAACCCCAAGCUAGAAUUUUUCAUAUAUUCAAACAAGAAAUUGGAAAAAUCUGACUAGCUUGCAACGAGUACUACAUCUCAAGACAAGGGAUCUUUUCAGUCAACUCUUUUAUUGUAUCGAAAACCUACUUGCAUCUAUGAAUAAGCAAUGCUGAGUGAUGAUAUUUUUAAGGGCAGUCCAAUUCACUCAAUACAAAAAAUAUUUUUAAAUGAUGAUAUUCACAGGAACGUCUAUCUUACUUAAACAAACAAUAAAAAGGAGAUUGAUUGAGAAAUGGCCACAUUAUCUUAUCAUUCUUAAUUAUCAUUAGUUCAAUAAUCAACUUUAGCAGUCCGGAGACUUGUUCAAGGCUGCAACUUGUACAAGGACAAUAAAUUCUUUAUUCCUGCGUCCGGAGACUUGAGACGUGGACGCUUCAUUAGUCAAUAAUAAUAAAAGUGUGGAAUUCGACGACUAUUCUUAGCUCGUUCAAGGAAACAGAGAAAAGACGCUCUUGUACAAGCAACAGGCACAGCUACUUAAACUAUUGGAUAAUUUCAUAGACCUUUCCUGAAGUUUUGGACAAUUUCAGCUAGUACCCCUCUUAUUUUCAAUAUUACGCUGACCACUCUUACUUUAACUAGUGUUGUGACCAAUUCAGCCCAUAUAGGUAAAAGAAAUGGAAUAAAUUGACAAGAAAUGGUAUCAUCACAUUUUAUUCCACAUUUACCCUUGUAGACCCUAAAAGAAAUAUUGUAACAUAGGACAAACUUCACUUUGUCCCUCCGAAGUUGAAUCACUUUUCUAUUCUAUACACUGAACUUCAAUUUUGGAUGCUUUGCAUGUGGUUGGAGGCAAAAGCAUAGCAGAGCCCUUUUUGAGUCUCUGAUCGUUAUUAUCACAUGACCAUUGCUAAUUAUACUAUUGCUUUUGAAUGGAAAUAGCAUAAAAGUCUUAGUGAAUGAACAAAUUGAAUAGACCAUUUCGCAGAGCAGUGAAAUAGUCCAAAGCUGUGAAGCACAGUGAUAAGCUACAAAUUAUAGUGGUUUGUAUUUAUUAAUUGUCAAUGAAUGGUUGUAUUUGAGCUAUAAUUUGAAUGGAUGUUGCCUAAUUUAAGUAUAUGUUGGUUUUUGUGGGAAAAGCACGCGAUUGAGGAGGAAAUGAAUCGAAAACGCAACAAAAGGGGAAGAAUGCCAAGACACAAGGAUCCGUGGGUGGAUCCUAUGUCCAACGCCAAACAUUGAAAGGGACUUUGCGAGGACUUCUUCUAGUUCUAAUGAUUGGAAAACCCACUCAAACUCGAUUUUGGUAAGUUUUCAAGACCCAUUCUUACCAUAUUUCGGAUACAACUUUGAGAGACUAUAAAUAGGACAUUCUAGGAUGUUUUUAGAUUAGAAAGCAUUUGGCUAACGUUAGUUCAUCAUUUUUAUACCUUCUUUUCUUGAGAGAUCACAAUGGAAGUGUUGAAGAAUCAAAGGAAGUUCAAGAUGGAGAUUGAAGCGGGGAAAAAUUGAGAAGUUUUCUUACUUUUAACUUCUUAUUUUGUCUUUCAUUUGAAUUCUUGGAUUUAUCUAUGAAUAUGUUGAACUCAUUUAUAUCUAAAGUUAGGAUUUUGUGAAGGAGAUUUAAUUAGAUAAAUUAUUUGCUUUUGCUUAGAUUUAUUUAUCUUGCCUUUAUUACAUGUUUAUGUUUUGCCACUAUAGAUAUGCUUUUAGGAUUUGUAUUGAGUUAAGAAGUGAUGUACAACCGUACAUUAGAUAGAUAAACAUACUUAAUAUAAUCAUGAAAGUGGGUUAAACAUUGUAUGGCAUAAUUAUAUCACCUAAUAUUGUAAAGGAUUUAAUUAUAUACUUAUGAUCUCGAGAGCAACGUGAGAUUUCAUUAGACAAAUUUAGAAGUAUUGAGAGAUAAUCUAAAGUACUUUUCCGUGAUACAUCUUUGACUUGUUAAGAAAAUAAUUGGAUAUAUAAUUCCAAUUCGAAAUCAAAAUUUAAAACUCUAGUCUUUUGCUAAUUGUUUUCUCACCUAUAUCUUGUUUGAUUUGAUUAUUUAUUUAAUUAGUGAUUAAAAACCCUCUGAAUUUAAAUUUUGUUAUUUUUAUUAGAGGAAUUAAAGUAGGAAAAAUUAACUCACUCCUGCAGGUUCGACCCCUGGAGUACUCCAAGCAAAUUAUUAUUACGAUCGACCUUGUACAGUUAUAGAAAUUCAUCGAUCACACAGCAACCAAAAAAAAUUAAUGCACAAUAAUGUCAUGAGCAGAAACAGUUCCCAUCUUAGUUGUUCAACAUUCACGGUGGAUUUCAAUUAGUGGUCAACAGAUAAAAGCAUCCAAAAAAGUAAUCUAACUAGAUAAGUGAAUUUAUAUUGUACAACAUAUUUCUUUUUUCUACCGCAAAAACUUAACUAAUUUAAGACAAUGUAGUCCAAGAUAAUUGAAGAUUAAUUUUCCCUAAAAAAUGUUCAUGAUAAAAACUCAUCAAAGAGAUAAUACAACAGCUUACUUUUGCAGGUGAUCUUAUACGGUCUUUAUUAACAAACUAAUUAGCCACUUAAGCCUUUUUUUUCCUUUUGGGACUACGCAUGACAAAAUGAGGAGUGAAUCAGUCGCUUAGUAUCUAAAAUUUUCCCUCCAUAUAAUUAGUUCAACCUGAUUUAAGACUAAAUUUUUACUAUAGGAAUGUUCGUGAUUCAACAAUGAAACACCAUAGAAACUUAUUUUGGGAGAUUGUCCUAGAAGGUAAAAAAUGAGCAACCAAUCAGAAAGUCGUACUCACAUAUCAAAAUCCAUUCAGUCUAAUUAAUUCACCAGCUAUGUAUAUUUCAUCCAUUUUCACAUUAUAGAAAGAACAAUAAUGCAUGGCAUUAUCCAUCAUAAAUUGCUCAUAUAACAUCAAGAUAUUCAUGGUGUGGACCUCAAAUGACUCGUCAUGUCUACUGGCUACAUUUAAACAUAUCUUAUGGCCAGAAUGUUCAUCUUAUCAACUUGACGAGUUUAUUCAUGGUACCAUACCAUUAAAUUAAAAAAUUUUCCACCUUUUACCUUUCAUAGAUAUCAGGGAAUAUAGCUAAUAACGCACUUUUGGCAGCAAUAUUCCUUCAACCAAUUAAAGAUUUUCGGAGCUUAAAGUUCAGCUCCUAAAGCUCUUCUCCACCAACCAACAGAGAAAUUACUUUUAGCAAAGUUGUUAAAUUUUGGCACCAGGUUUUGAUGGUAUCUUGGUAAGAUUGGAAGAUUAUAUUGCGCUUCUAAGAUAAUUUUUAAAAAAGAUAUUUUAGUGAGAGCAUUAUGGUCAAUUUGCCCCUAAUGAUAUUGACAUUAGGUCCCAUCAACAUCAGAAGGGAGCUCAUUGUAUUAUUGGAUAUAACAAGGGUGCGAGUGAAAUUAUGAAAACCCUCAAGGGAGGAUUUUGAAAUUAACCCUAAAAUACUCAUUCCACGCAAGGCGUGGCGUUCCCCUCCUAGUUCCUAUAAAUAGGGCACCAACUCAAUGCACUAGUCACUCGAUAUCAAUAAUUUAGCACAUUAUUUACAUUUUGAGUGAGAUUGUGAUAAAAUGGCAUCUUCAAAAAAUUUGCCCUUUCUUAUUGGCGUUCUCUUUGCACUUGUGCUCCUCAUUUCCUCUGAUGCAACAGCUGCAGGUACCUAGUCCCUUUUUUUUUUCCUUUCAUCCUUUUUUUUUUUGCUGCACCUAAAUAUUUAAAUGAAUGGAGAUUUGGAGACUCAUUAUUGGGAUGUGAAUUUUUAUGGAAGGCUAUUUGUAUAUUAUCAAGCAAGUCAUAUUAAUGUGCUAAUAUCCUUUUCAUUGUUUAGCAAAAGUAAAAUUGGGUUGCUUCUAUCAAUGGUUAGUGGCACAUCUGAUUUUUCAUGCAUCCUUAUAGUAUUGCUGUAAGGAUACACGUUCCAUAGUGUCGCACCAAAGCUUAAACUAACGUCGAAACCAAAUUAAAUGCUUCUAAUUAUAAUUUAAAGCAAAAUAAUUCAUAUCCAAGUCGCACCAUCUUAUAUGCCUGGACUGUUUUGUUUAAUCCAUAGUAUUCUUUUCUUUGCAUAUAUCUUGCAAAUUUUCAGCCUAGCCGGUCACCUAACGUUCGCAGCUUAAGAUAAAGCUCCAAAUAUUUAUGUCUCCUUGUGUCUUGAAACAGAUCAGAAAAGCGUGAAAACCACUGGUGUCCACGAUUCCAGUUCAGGCGAAGAUCGUUGCACAUAUGGUUGCUGCCACUGGUACAAUGGACAUUGCCAAAGAUGCUGUCCACCUGCUGAGGAGACUUGCAGAUAUGGUUGCUGCUACUGGUACAAUGGACAUUGCCAAAGAUGCUGUCCACCUGCUGAGGAGACUUGCAGACAUGGUUGCUGCUACUGGUACAAUGGACAUUGCCAAAGAUGCUGUUAACCUACUGAAGCUACAUCCGGAGAUGAGGUCAAAAAUUAAUGCUAAAUAAAUAAGGGUGUGAGACAGGAUCCGUGACACCUAUAUUAUUACGUUAAUAUGUUAUGUUGUGUUUGCGUUUGAUGGUUGAUUUCCUAUAUGUGUAAAAGACUUGUGCGGCUUCUCUUUGAAUUGGUGUAGAAUCAACAGGGGAAGCAUGUAAUGAGUACUCAGUUCGAGUGCUCUUCUUAUGUUGUUGUCAUGUUGAAUAAAUAAAUCUACGUGAUCAUCUACUACAAUUGAUGAUCUCUAUCUCAGUUACGUCAGAAACUUCUGUACCUUGGACCUGCUAGAAUUUAGCGUGAUUGAUAUAAGACGUGCAGAAUGUUCAAUAUAUGUAUAUAUGUGCUUCUUCAUCGUGCCAUGCCAUUACAAUGUGAAAGAAUUCAGCAUCGACGGAGUGAAACGUACCCAAUCCUGCUCCUGAGAAAGGAAACAAAGUCCCUCAAAAAUGGAUAUUUUGGAUGCCAUCAAGAUUUUGAAUUGAAUGCCAUUUGGAGAUCUGAAUGUUGUUUUUUUUCCCCUUUAUCUUCGUUCAAGAUUUUUUUUGGUGGAAAUGCUUCAUUUAUGGACAAUGCUACAGUGCCUAUAGUUAUGGUAACGAUAUUAGAGAAACCUACUAUUACAGGUUUCUAUUACCUUUAGUGACAGAUCCAAUUUUUUAGCGACUUUUGAAAUAUUAUAUUAAAAUAAUUAAUAUUAAAUUUAGUAAGUUUUUAAUUAAAACUAGUAAGUUUAUGCCUGAAAGAUAAGUUUUAGUCAGAAAUAGAAAUUUACACUUUGAGUAAUUUAAUUUACUUAUUAUUUGACGAAAAUUACUUAUUUUUGAAUUAAACUUACUAAUACUGCAAGUAAAAAAUGUUCAUAUUUAAGUAAAAAAGUUACCAGUUUCUAAAAAUGGUUUUGGGUUCCUGAACCACUUUCGGAUAUUAUCUUGUUAAAGUCAUCUCCCUUCUUAUUACUUAGUUCUCAGUUUCAACAUACGAUUGAAUUCCCAGGCAAAGGUUUCCACUUUGGUCCACACUUUCUCUUGGUGACAAGUGAAUAAAUUUUCCCACUUCAAAUUUUCAUCUUCAGUUCCCACUUUCCCUCUAUCCUUUCUCAUCGAUCGGUUGUUUUUGGGUGCUGCCAUAUGCAGACACAAUAAAAGGGUUAGCGACGGUGGUAGCCAACCAAAGAGCAUAUGAAAAAUAGCAGUGACGAGGUUAGCCUAUCAUGUCCUCUUGAAAUCGUUUGAUUAUAUUGCUGUAAUUUAUUUAUAUUUCAUUUGUUUUGUUUGUCAAGAUUUUCUUGCGAAAUCAAGGCUGAGAAUUUGAAGAUUUUAUUGCAAUUUUGGGGCUGAAAAUGUCCACUGAAACAUCUAGCCUUGAUUUGGUUGUAGUUUUGAUUGUCUGCUGGUAAAAUAUACUUAAUAGCCAUAUGAAGCAUCUAGGAAAGGACUUGAGACUAGGUGUUUAAGUUAAAUGUGAUUAAUUUAUGAAUGCAUAUAAGAUGUUUGGUGAAAUGUCAAAGAGAAAUCUGUGUGUUAUGAUUGCUGCUCUGUGCUCUUCAGCAGCCAGAGAUGAGACCAGCUCUUAAAGAAAUCACCCUCGUCAGUCGACAACAGCGCUCAAGAUCACCCUUGGGAUUGUAAAUUGUAUAAUCUUUUAUACAAUAGAUUAUAAGAUGUAUAAUCUAUUGUAUAAUUUAAAUUAAAUUUAGUUCACCUAUAAAAUGGUCCUAAAAUAAUUAGUACACUAUGAUAAAUGUUAUUUUAACAACAAAAUAUUUUUUUUUUACUAAAAGUCGGAAAUAUCCAUGACAUAUGUAUGAGAGAUAUUUUACCAUAUUUAUAUCUCACAUCUAAUCAUGAAAGUUAAUUUGAGAAAAACUAUUUUUAACAAUAGAAUUAUUUUGAAUUUAACCAACAAGUUGAGAUUUUUUAAACAAUAAAAGUGAAAUAUUUUGGGAACUUUUUUUUUUUUUUUUUUUUUUACAUAAAUAUGGUCUUUAUUGGCAAAGAAAAGAGAAAUUACAUAGAUCGUGUGACUAACCUACCCUGAGACCGUACAGACUCUCACAUACGGAGUUGACAACCUAUCUAACUGCAAAAGAGCCCGAACUUUAGAAGGGAGAGCUCUUUCACUGAAAAAUCGGGCAUCCGUUCGUAGGUCCGAGGAGGCCAAAGCGUCGGCGACCGCAUUAGCCUCUCUGAACGUGUGAACCAGAGACACCCCCAAUUUUGCCACCAAGCACCGAAUAUGCCUAAUUGUGUUGCAUAACGGCCAGCCAGCCGUCAUCUUAACGGACACGAGAUGCACUAAAGUACUAGAAUCCACUUCUGCUAUGACUCCCGUGAGAUUGUUGUCCUGGCAAUACCGAAGACCCUCCAGCAAAGCCAACGCCUCUGAGGAGAGAACGUCUUGCUCUCCAAACUCCUUAUAAAAGGCAAACACUAAAUUACCCUCACCCGAGCGCACCACCCCUCCACCACUUGACCGCCCGCUUACCACACUAGCAUCAGUGUUGAGUUUCACCGCUUGCCCUGUAGGUUUUACCCAAGAAAAGGCUCGAAGCUGUAUCAAUUUGUUCUUGGCCUUACCGAAUUUCACCCAGUCGCAAUCUGUGUCCCCUUUGAAGAACUCCAACUUGAACAGGCCCCCCCUACCCAACUGCUCAACCAAUGCGCACACCUGGUUGGUUACCUGAUCUGACGACAUACUCAUCCCCUCAAAGCGGGCCUUGUUACGGCCCUUCCAAAUAAACCACAAGAUCAAGAGCGGGAGGAUGACACGAAUAUGAUUCUGUGAGACAAACCGGUGAGAAAAGAGCCAACAUGAAAGCCUCGAUGCCACCCCACUCCCCUGGAGUACCAGCCCAAAGCGGCAGGAGAAGUGCCGCCAAACCCUGCUCGCUAAAGGGCCCGAGACAAAAAGAUGGUCUCCUGUUUCUGGCGCUAGGCCACAACAGUAGCACUUUGACGCUAACCUCAACCCUCUACCUUGAAGGAGAUCAUCCAAGGGGAGCCAACCACGCAACAACCUCCACACAAAGAAGGAUACCUUCAGAGGGACCACCGAGCUCCAGACCAGCGAAUCAAUAACAGAUCGAUUACGCUUUGACCGAAGAACGUCCCAAGCUGAAGACACAGUAAAGCUCCCCGAAGGUGACGCCGCCCAAAUCAUUUGGUCUUGCAUAUUGGGAAAAAUACGCAGCUCCAAGAUCUUCGACACUAAGUGCCCCGGAAGCAGCCUUCUGAGCCACUGCUCAUCCCAACCAUCAGAAAGAAAAAAUUCCCCUACCAACCUGUGAGACUUAGGGCCUGGCACCAACCUGGCGAGCGGAACAUCAGUACACCACCUAUCCUGCCAAAAGUCAACUAAGCCCUCCCCCAGACACCACCGGAUAUUCCCCUCCGUGAGGUCCCUCACCUCUAUCAAACGGCGCCAAAUUGGGGACGGGCGGUCAACUGAAACUAGAAGAGGAUGCCCCCCUCUGACAUACUUAACGUGCAUGAACUCUGCCCAAAUGGAUGCCCGUUCCCUCAACUUCCACCAAAGCUUACAUGAGAAAGCCUUAGCGACAUCCUCAAAUGGGCGAAACCCCAGGCCCCCUUCCUCGACCGGACGGCACACCUUAUCCCAAGCCGCCCAGUGGAUCCGUUUGCUUUCAAUAGAGGUAUCCCACAAGAAAGCAUUGCACAGACGGCCUAACUGCAGCAGCACAGCCUUCGGCGGUUGGAGUACCUGGAGUAAGUAGACCGGAAGGGAACACAGGACACUUCGUAAAAGGACAAUCUUCCCCCCCAUAGAUAGCAUCUUUGAGCUCCAAUGGAAUAACUUUUGGCGAACCUUGCCCAGCAACGCAUCAAACACUGCACAUGUGACCCUACCGCGAAUCAUCGGCACCCCUAGAUACCUGAACGGAAAAACCUGGCACUGGUACCCCAGGGUCGUGCUUACCAGGGCCCGCUGGGUGUCUGUAGCCCUAGCCGAAGCGUAAAAAGCACUCUUAGCAAUAUUCACCUUCUGACCAGAACAACUUUGGUAGAGCUGCAAAAAAUCCUUAAUGGACACCAACGCAUCCUGCGAGCACCGAGUAAAGAUGACCAUAUCAUCCGCAAAGGCUAAAUACGGCACUUUCGACCCAGCAGAAACGAAGUAUCUACUGUCCUUGGAAUCAAAAAUCCUUUGCAGCCCUCUCCCAAGAAAAUCCGCCACGAAUAAGAAAAGCGCAGGAGAAAGAGGGUCACCCUGUCGCACCCCUUGAAAUGACUUCACAAAACCCGUUGGUUCCCCAUUAACUAGGAUCGAGAACCAAGUGUUAGAAAACGUUCGAAAGAGCAAAUCCACUACUACCUCUUCAAACCCAUACUGCCUAAGCAGAAAAAGUAGAAAGGACCAAUCAACCCGAUCAUAUGCCUUCUCCAUGUCCAGCUUCAAGAUCAAAUUCGGGUCAAUCAACCUCCUAUCCAAGUCUAAAAUCAGCUCCUGUGCCAAAAGAACAUUGUCCACUAUCCCACGCCCCGGAACAAAACCUGUUUGCCAUGGUGAAAUGAGCUUCGGGAGGAGCUUGCUGAUCCUGAUGGCCAAUAUCUUAGACACAACCUUAGAGGUUACAUUACAAAGACUAAUAGGCCGAAAAUCCCGCCAGUGGGAUGCACCCUCCACUUUUGGGAUGAGCACCACCAUAGAGUGGGACCAGCUCCUGGGUUGCUCCAUACCCUGGAAGAAGUCCUGGAUAGCCAUAAGCAAGUCAUCCUUGACAAUGUCCCAGCAGCUUUGGAAAAAACCUGCUCCAAACCCAUCCGGACCCGGAGCACUCUGUAUCUCCAUUCCAAACACUACCUCAUGGAUUUCCUCCAUCGUAGGAAGACGUUUCAUAAUCUCAUUAUCCUCCUGGGUGGCUCUAGGAACCUCAAAAGGAAGCUCAGUGAGGGCCUGUACCUGACGGUUGGAUGCGAACAAGUCCGAAAAAAAGGAUAUCGCUGAGUCCUUAAUCUCCUGCAGGUCUUCAUGCCAUCCCCCCUCCUCUUUCCUAAUACGGGAAAUGAAAUUCGAGUUCCGACGCUGGCGGACCCAAGAAUGAAAAAAUGCAGUAUUAGCAUCCCCCGCCUGUAACCAUUUAAUACCUGCCUUCUGAUGCCAAAACUCACACUCCAUGGAAAGGGCCCGAUUGUAUCUCGCUCUGGCCUCAUGAAGAUGAAUCUUCGACUCCUCACUUCUAACCAAAUCGUACUCCACCUCCCUCUGUUUUACCUCCUGAUCCGCCUCUGCCACCUGAGAAGAGACAUUGCCAAAGACCACACGGUUCCAUUGCUUCAAUGCAUCUCGCACCGUUUUGAGCUUGUUGUAGAAUCUAACCAUCCCCAUGCCAUAGACCUCCUUACUCCAUGCGGCGAACACUAUCUCCCGGAACUGGGGGUGCCCGCGCCAAACAUUAAGAAACCGAAAGCAAGACGAUGUAGCCCUAUAGCCUGCACAUCGAAUCAACAACGGACUGUAAUCCGAUCUCCCUCUGGCCAUAUGGGAAACCCUAGAAAGCGGAUAGACCUCGGACCACCGCCUAUUCCCCAACGCCCGAUCCAAGCGCUGCCAGACUGACCCAUUAGUCCAUGUGAAUCGAGACCCAUCAAAAUCAAUUGUAGAUAGCCCGCAUUUGAACAUGGAAGCAUUAAAUUCUUCUAUGUUCCGAACAUUAGCUGGAGCCCCCCCUUCACGCUCCGCUGCCGAAGCUAUGACAUUAAAGUCGCCUGCUGCUACCCAGGGUUGAUUGUGUGAGACCGAGGAAGCCACACUUUCCAUUGCCUCCCAGAGUGGCCUCCGCCCAACCCUCGUGCACUUGGCAUAUAUCGCAGACACCCAAAAGGAUGCCCCAGAGCCAAAGGAAACGUGAGCAUGAAGCAUUUGCUCAGCGUACUCGACACAGCUAAAUCGUAAGAGGCACGACCAAAACACCCAUAUUUUACCACCAAUAUAAAGAGCUGAGAAAUCAAAAUUUAAAAACCUCCGAACCACCUCCAACUGACACUCCGCAGACAUUGGUUCUAAUAGAAAUAAUAACCUAACCUUGUUAUCGUAGCACAGCUUCUUCAGAUAGCGCAAAGAGUCCCUUCGGGAAGCCCAUCUGAUAUUCCAAACUAGCAUAUUAAUCGGAUCUAACAUGAGACCGCAAUGAGUAUGAAGCUUGCGCCAAGGGUACACACAUGCCCCCCUUUCUUGGUCUCCCCCGUUUCCGUCUUAGAACCGUGGCGGCAUCAUCCUCCUCCAAGUCAUUACAUAAAUCCCCUUCAAGAAGAGUUAAAGAGUCCAAAACAGUGUCAACACCCUGGACUGGUUGCGCCUUAGCAUUGAAAUCCCGUUGAAACGCCUUCAAUUCUUCAAGCGAGACUGAGACAGCUCUCACGCUAUCCACUGAACGCCCUCGGUGAUGGCAGUCCCGUUUCCAACCUCUCGACGCUGACCGUACAGGGCUCCUGUCUCGCUGCUCCUCAUCUGCGGAUUCACCUUCCAACUCUCCUAGAGCAGCGAAAGAAUUUGUCACGCGUAUGCUUCCCUCCUCUUCGGCGCCUAUACGAGACCCGCCCUGCAGCUCAAUCCACAGGUGACCAGCACUCCUGUGGCCGCACUUGUCAUUCCCCAUUCCUUCCGACUGAAUAACUAGCCUGCCCUCCUUCCCCUUAUCCCCAUUACUCCCCAGACCCAAAGUCUGUACCAUCUUAUUGUCAUCUGCAACAGGCUCCAGAGACGCUGCACUCACUGCCGCAUCAGUCUGUUCCAAUGCUCCUUCCGACUGGAGCAGCGCACAACCAGUACCAGCAGCCAGUCCUUGUUCACCGACAGCAGCCGCCUGCACACUCUCCCGCGACACCUGGUCCUGGCCAGGUGCCACCGCCAACUCCUUCCCAUUCACCACUUUCGGAACGUACACUUGCCGAUGUUUCAGUGUUUUUGCCUGGGCAGCGCGAGGCUGCGGAUCCGGGCGCAAGGAAGGAUUUCUAUGAAAACACUGCUCCUCUGUAUGGCCGAAUCUGCUGCAGAACCCACAGUAGUCUGGCCACCCCUCCAUCUCAACAGGCUGCCAGAAACCGAAGUGAUCAUCACCUAUCCAAAUACGACGCACAGGGGUCGACACUACGUUUACCUCCACCAAUACUCUGGCAACGGACGGACGGCGCAAAUCACACGUUGAUGCGUCAAUCUUGAGGGGCCUGCCCAACGUAGAAGCGAGCUUGAUUAACUGGGAUCUCUGGAAAAAAGGAAUCGGCAAUUCUGGGAAGCAAACCCAGAUUGGAGCUAUGGCUAACUCCUGAUCUGCCUUAAAUUCCAACGACCACUUGGAAAUCGACAUUGGCGAGCUGCUAACAUACCAAAUCCUCCGCGCAAAGAGACGGGUGUAGUCUUCCUCCAGAACGGGACGAAUGAGAACGUGUUUCUGGUCGAGGAGGCCAACCUUACAGUCCCCUCUGAGACCCAGCGACAGAAAGAACUUUCUGAUGACUUCCAUGGGUGGUCUGUUGAAGGAGAAACGCCCCACCAACGAAUUCUGAAACGGUUCCGAAAGCUGCUCAAUUUCCCUACGAGAGAUACGCAAAGCAGGUUCUCCUCUGAAGGUAGAGACCUCCCCUAAAGCUAUGGCAUCAGGUUUAUCCGAAGCGCCUGCCAGAACCGAAGCAAAGGACCUCUGAACCGGAGACUGACUGGCCUGUGUGUGUGACGGCCCACAGGCCGCCAUGUCCGGUAAGAAGAUCUAGCCGCACCCUCAACCCUAGCCGCACCCUCAAACCGUCAAAAGUCGGUAUAUUCUAUAUUUUGGGAACUUAGUUGUUUAUUUUCCCAUAAUUAAAAAUUUAAAAUAUGACAAAUUAUUCUUACAUAUUUUAUAAGGUCAUAUGCAAAAAAAAAAAAUUUUCAUAGUAUAUUUAAAAUGCUUCAAACAUAUAACAUUUAUAAAUGAUAUGUACAAUUGUAAGUUUCUUUAAGUAAAAUAGUAAAUUUAUGCCACAAACUAUUAAGUUUUGAUGAUUAACCAAAUUUACUAAUCUAUCAACAAUAUUUACUAUUAAUCUAUAAAAACUUACUAUUACUUGAACUAAACUUACCCUCCAAAAACUAAGUUUCAGAUAUAGAGUAAUAUUUUAUUUCAUAAAAAACAAAGUUAGUUCCAUAUUUAUUCAAAUUUACUUUUUGAGACAUAAAAGUUACUAAUAUAUUGAGUUAACUUACUAUUCUUUAUGCAAAACUUACUAACCACCAUUUUAGGUACUAUUUCAUUUAGAUGACCAGUAUAACAGGUCAUCAAAUGGUCGCUAAAAGUAUUUUUACCUGUUAUAUCAGGUAAAAAUAAUUUCGUUACCAUAACUAUCGUUACUUCAGACUUUUCCUUCAUUUAUACGAAUUUUCCUAGUUAGUAAAGGCUUCUAUUACACUUGUACAAUACACAUUUAAAAGUAUAACACAAUAAAAGCUUGUGUAGUUCAUAUAUUUCAAAAAUAUUCAUACUUUCAACUAAACUAUAAAAAUACGUAAUAUAUUCUUGAUACAUUAUACUUUACGAACUAUACUUUAAAUUUUAAAAAUAUUUAAUACUAUCACUUAUUAAUAACUCCACAUGUUAGUUUGUCUCCCAAUUCAAUAAAUUAUAGUAGCUAAUUCUCAAAGCUAUUCGACACCAAAAUUCCCUUACUCGUUCACCUCCUAGUGGAUUAUUAUUAAUUACAUUGCAUUUAUUUCCUAAGCAUGAGUUUUGUAACCCCUCAUAUUAAAUCUCAAUGAUUAAUUUUAACGGUUACCAAGGCGUCUAGUAAUUGGUUUGCUAUUUUAAUUUGAACUAGACAUUUAUUAGGUCUAGUAGAAUUUAUUCCUUCUUAUCACUUAGUUCGUAAACCUUAUGAAUCGUUAAAACCAGCUCUAACAUUAGGUAACAAGACUUCUACAAUUUCGGGUUUUGCUUAGAAAUCAGUCUGAUAGUUUAACUUGCUUCGUCCAACUUUAUGAGUUGCUUUUUUUUUUUUUCCAUAUUUGGCAUUUCAUCUGACUUUAAUACGGGGACCAAGUUAGUAUUGUUGGCAUUUCAUAUCUAAGACUUCUUAAUUAAUUGAUUUGUUAUAAGAACUAUAACGUAUGCGUGUUUUGUGAGCUUUCAUGUUUUUUUUUUUUUUUAAUUCUUGUGGACCAGCAAUGGAUAGUUUCUUCUAGUGCCAAGCUUCCUUUGAAGUUCUUUAUUUUUUUUUUGCGUGUCCAAAUGUAAAUUAAAAGAACCAACAACUUUGAACAAGUCUAUAUCUAGUAAAGAUAGAUAUAAAGAGGGAUACGUAUACACAGAUUAUAUAAUUUUUUUUCAAAUGUAUGAUUAAAAGUUUAGUAGUACAAAAAUACGAGUUUAUCAUUAUUAUGGAUAUCAUAUAAAUUCAUAUAUGAAUAGUAUGAAUAAAUAUAAAUGUUAUAGAAUUAGGUAUACAAGUGAAAUUACUAUAAUUUUGAAUGAUUAUGCUAGUUUUAUAUCAAAUUUAAUGCUGAUCCUUGUAUAUAUGACAUCAGAUUUAUUAAAGUUUUAUCACUUUUUUACAUUUAUAUUUAUAAUCCAUCUAAAGUUUGUUAUUUGACAAUACCAUUUGAUAUAUACCUCAAAAGGUACGUCAUUAUCUUGUCUCACUUUUUAAAAUUUAAAGUAUAAAUCAUAAAGUAUAAUGCAUCCAAAAACAAGUAUAAUGCAUCAAGAAUUUAUUAUAUAUUUUUAUAGGUUAGGCGAAAAGUAUAAAUAUUCUUGAAAUACACGAACUAUAGAACCUCUUUUGUGCUAUACAUAUAAACGCGUAUUGUAGAAGUAUAAUAGAACUAUUUACUAGCUAGGCAAAUUCGUAUAAAUGAAGCAUUUCCACCAAAAAAAUCUUGAACAAAGAUAAAGGGUUCAGAUCACUGAAUGCCAUUCCAUUCAAACUCUUGAUAGCAUCCAAAAUAUCCAUUUGAAGGACUUCGGUUUCUUUCUCAGGAGGGAACGGAGUUGAGUUUGACUCCGUCGAUGCUGAAUUAUUUUACAUUGUAAUGACAUGUAUAUAAAUAUUAUUGAACAUUAUGAACGUCUUAUAUCAAUCACACUAAAUUCUAGUGUUCCCAAGUAGGGAUGAGCAAAUUCGGUUCUUACCGAAUUCAUAACCGAUUUCAAAUUCAAUUCGGUAAUUUGAAAUCGGGUAUUUGGUAAUUUGGUACAAAUUCUGUGAGAACUCGAAAAUUUUCUUAUUUUUAUAGAAUAUUACUGGAAUAUUUAAAUGAUUAUUCACUAAUUUUCUUCGAAUUAUUUAUUUCGACCAUUUUAAUUCCAUUUAUAUGGAAUGACGCCUCUUUAUAUUUUUAAAGCGUUUUGUUGAAAAAUUCGCUUUUCGAAAAUUUGUUUAGUCCGGAACGACGGGUGCACGUUUUUCUAGGCCAUACUUGAAUCGGGAGUGUAUUAUUUAUUGGAGAAUUAAGAACGAUCAAUAAUAGAUUAAGAAAGGUUAAAGGAGGAAUUAAUACUCAAUUCACGUGAGGACUCGUAAAAUUAUUAUUUUAAAAUCCCUAAUUUUGGCUAAAUUAAUUACUUAUUUAGAUUUUUGCCACGAAUAAUAUUUUCUAGCCUUUUUAGACCUAAGUACAUGGUUUUAUAGUUUCGUUAUAUUUUUAAAGUGUCUCAUUUCAAAAAUUAUUUUCUUAUAAGCUUGUUUAGUGAAAAGGUGAAAACGUGUCCAAACACUUUAGCCAAUUGGGAAUAAAAUAAGUUCAAAAAUUUGAGACAUAUACAAUGGUUCUAAAAUAGACAAUUUUAGAUUUAAGCACACAAGUGAUAGCUAGUGGUACGAUUGUUAUAAGAAUUUCUCGAAAGUUUCAUUUUAUUGCGCCUAAAUUGGAAAUACGUGUUUUCACGUGCGCGCUUAAUUGAGGGACUUUGGACAAUUAUUUUGGGACAAUUAAGAAUGAAUAAUAUUUAUAUGAAUGUAAGUGCCCUAGAGGUUUAGUGCACUAGUGUAACAAACUUAAGGAAAAUUGAACACAAAACGCGCGAGUAGGGCACUAGUUGCAAUUAAAUUUUUCAUACUUAAAAUAUUAGACGGUCGGCGUUCUUUGUAUGCAAAAAGGAAUCAGACUAACAUUCAUAUCUGCAAGCUUUAUGGACGGCUAGCAACUGCAGCAAAGAGCAACCGAAAACUUCCACCAUUUCCUCUACAAACUCCACCAAAUUCAACCAAAACUUCACACACACUUAGCUCUUCACUUGGACAAUCACUUGGACAAAGAACGAGCUGCACAUUCACGGUUUUUCUUGGGGCUUUUGGACACCAAAAUCUGAUCUUUUAGCACACAAGUAAGGUAACCAUGAUCCACUCUUCAAAUCUUGUUCGUUGAAGGCCAACUCACACUUAAGAGCUUGAUUAUGCUUAUGGGUAGCUUAUUAUUGUUAGAAAUUGUUAAAUGUGGGCUCUAUGAACUCCCACUUUGAGUUGAUGGCUGUGAUGAUUUUGAUGAUGGUUUUAUUGUUGAAUUAGUGCUUAAGGGAGUAGAUUAAAGGUGCAUUAUCGCCAGAAACUUCAUUGAGCUCUUGAAGCAAAAAGUUCCCCUGCUCCGUUCGGUGGCAGAAAUUUGAGAAUUUAAUGGCUUGAUUGUGUUGUUUAUAUGUUGUAAAUUUUCAUUGAAAAAUACUGAGUUUUGGUUGGUCAAACGAAUUUAUUCCCAAAGCUAGUAAUCUGGAAAACGGUUUCAUCGUAAUCCAGACCAGUGUUCGUAUUUCGUCCAUAACUCCGUACUCCGACGUCAAAAUCAAGUUCCGUUAGCGGCAUUUGAAACUAGACGUUCCCAUCUUUCCAACGGUAUAUAAUGCACAUUCUGGUUCCAUGUGUGUGAACCGCACCACUCAUCUGAAUUCAGCUGCCCUGUUUCGCCGUUCUGCCGAAAUGAUUUGAUGAUGCUGCAACUUUAGGCUUAAUUUCGAGCUAGUUGCAUGCUGAAACAUAAAAUGAUUUCUUCUGUGAAAUUAUAGUCCUAUGCAUGUAUUUUCUAACACUAUCAACCAUGCUCAAAUCCGAGUUAAAUUGAGUGAGUUAUGAUCAAAAUACGGUGACUGUUUUGUUCUUGAAAGCCUUGGAUUUGGACAGAUUUGACGUGACAUUUGUGGUGGUCUUACUAAAUGAAUUUCUUGAUACUAAACACCUACCACAUGUACCAUGAAUGUUUCUUAAACUUUCCUUUCGCAUAUGAACCAUGAUUGGAGGAUUUUCUUAGCCAAACGAUUGGAUUUGGGAAGAAAAGGAUUAAGGACAGAUUGUCUUGAGAAUUUUUUCAAACUUUGGUUGAUUGGUUAACCACCUUCCCGAAGGUAUUUUUCCACGAAAUUUUGUAGAGAGAUACCCUUCAUAUAGUAGUACCAUACUACAAAAUUUGGGGUCAAUUCAAGUCCGUUUCGACACUUAACAAAAGUUCCAUAGUCGGAACCAAAUCUGGAAAUUUUGUAACAGUCUUGAAUUUUUCCCAACUUUGAGCUACCAUAUCUUGGUGUUCGAAACUCCGAUUCUCGAUCCGUUUAUUCUACCCUAAACCUUAGUUGCACCUCUAAUUGAGCUAUAAAUUUUAAGGGCUGGUUUGCAACGAGUGAAUUCUGCCGAAUUUCCAAAGUUAGCGAAAAGCCAACCCCGGGUCAAUCCUGGGUGAUCUGGGAUAGCAACUUUAAACUCAUUUUUGAAUACCUUUCAUUUCGAUUCGUGGAACAGUGUCUUCUAAGAACUUUUAGUAAUUUCCAAGAGGUUUCCAACGGUAUAAAGUUUUCCAAUUUUAGACUUGUAUCGAGUGAGAUACGAUUUUUCAAAGAUCCAUAUCAAAACUAAAAUUUUCCAACUUUCAAGGAAAUAGAGAUUUCCAAGAACUUUUUAUUCUUUUGACAUUAUGCAAACAUUUUAACCUCAAUUUCCAAGAUAAAAACCCAAAUGCUCCUGUGCUUUAAGAAACUCUAAUUGAACCUCGAUUUACGAGUAAUUGAGGUUCGAUUUCGUGAAAUUUCCUUAGAUUGUACUAGUGUACAAUCUUCCUUGAUAAUUGGGAUAUAUGAAUGAUAAUACGUUAUUAUUUGCCCAGGCGCACACGAGGACCUUCAAGAGGAUCCUACCGUGCACACUUGAACUUCCAGAAAAUAUUUCUUCUUGAUUUGCUCGGUGAGUGUCAAGUGUAUGACUACUUGAACACUAUGGACUUGAUUCAUGCUUGGCUUACCUGAUUACAUGCUUAGCCUACUUGGUUUUGAAAAAUGGAGUCGAGUGUUUAUUUUAUCGCACUCGUUCUCAUUUGAAACAAAUGACUCAUGCUUAACAUGGUUUGCCUGAUUUACAUGACCUGAAAUACAUGUUUAGACCUGUCAAAUGCUUGAAUACAUGAUAUGGUAUGCUAUGGCUACAUACGUCGUUGGAGUGAAUCUUCUCGACACUUACAUGACACAUGGGGGACGCCCAAACUCAUAGGCCGACCUUGGAACUCGAGCCGACAUGGGAUUGGUCGGGAACCUCAGUGAGCCAUGAGAUUCACAUGGUAAGCUUGAUCUAUUGGAGAGAUCUUGCUUGGCAUACUCGUGGAGUAUCGCCUCAUAAAUAUCGUGCAGGCCCGAAGCGGUGUAUGGUGGACGGAUGAGAAGUAAGUGGUGAUCUACGGUUUGAAAAUAUCAACCCGGUUGACGGAGAGUCAUCACGGGAAGAUAUACGAAUGAACUGGCAAAGCAAGUGGAACUUACCUCUUGAGAGCUACCAUAUCCUUGAAUCGUUUCUGUUUACAUUUUGUUGGCAUUGUUAAUUACUUGCAAGUUAUCACUUGAACUGUUACUUGGGUUUGUUACCUGAACUAUGUGUCUGCAUGUGUGUUCUUGGCCUCACGAGCGUUUUGCUCACCCUAUAGAUUUGUUUUCCUUAACAGAUUUGAACUCGGAGGCGUACUGGAAAAAAACCUCCUGAUGAGCUUUUGUUUAGGAUUUCUAUUAAUUUUGGCUAUGUCUUGGCUUUUGGGUUGUAUUUUGGAAUCCGAAUGUAACUUUUGGAGCAUAAUGUAUAUUUGGGAUAUAUGAUGGUUGUUGAAUACCCGAUGUGCGGGUUGGAUAACGGAUGACUUUUAUUAAACUUGAACGCUUCCGCAUUUAUUGUAUCUAAGUUAUUGACUCGUAUUGUAUGGUCCAGUAAUAAGCUUGAAUGGAAUUGCUUGAGUCCUGGCGAGAAUUAGGCAGGCGUUCCGCGGAUACCCUUUAGUUCGCCUUAGGGAGAAGUGGAGGCGUCACAGUUGGUAUCAGAGCAUAGGCUUUAGAUCUUGUAGUGUAUCCUAGGUUUAAAGUUUAGGAUGCCUGACUGUGGGAUUAAUUUGAAUAUUAUGUGAACUAGAGGGUCUAUUGUAUCCUACGGGUUAAAAAAAUUGGUUACUUGAGAGUUUCUUACUUGGGACUUGUAGAAAUAAAAAUUGAGGAAUUAGCUGUGUUAUAUUGAAGGAAAAUAUGGGAUGAGAGAUUAGUAGUGAAAGAUUGGACGAAUUUGAAUUAUUAUUAUUCUUGUAAGUGUGGAAAGAAGUGAGACAAUUAUUAGUGCUGGCUAAAGCGGAUAAGAGACCGAGAUUUGAUGGUCAAACUCCAUGUAUCGUGAUUGUGAAUCCAGAUGAAAGAGUUUCAAAGGAAUAAAAUGCAUUUUCCUGCUCAUUUACCUCUUAGAGAAUUUAUGCUUUGAAAUUCUAAAGAAAAAAUGAGGAUGUACUAGUUUUAUUUUCAAACGAUGAUUGGAAAUAAUAUAUAUAUGCUUUAAGUAUGUGUAAUUCUUCGAUUUUGGUAAAUAUGUGAAUUUUACUUGAAUUUCAAUUUAAAAAUUUGUGAAUAACUGAUGAGUUUGUUGAAAUUUUGUAUGUGAUGGGCUGAUACAAGGUUAAAAUUUUCUAAACUAGAUUUUCCCCCUUGAUUGUAUACUGGUGUAUUCUCACACUUGAAUUCAUCUAUGCUUUACAAAAAAAAAAAAAAAUAAUAAUAAUUAAAAUAUCUUGAAUUUUCGGAAGAACGGCGAACUUAUGUUUUUAUAAUGAAAAUCUUGAACUUGAUAAGAUUUUUGUUACUUUAAAUAAUCUUCUUAUCUUUUAAAAUUCUUGGUUUUCAAGAAGGGUGAGCCUAUCUUUAGGUGUACGGAUUGAUGGAACUUUGAGAUAUAGAGUAACCGCAUUCAAGAACACGCAGUUAAUGUGAAUUGACUUGGUUUUCAUUUGACACGUAAGUUAGCAAGUUGUACUUAUUUCUUGGGUUUGAACUUGGAGCUUGAAACUUUAACUAUAAAACCCUAAGACUAGUUAUUCUUGGAGAUGAUGGUGCUCUGGUUGGUGGCUUGCUUAUUAAAGAUUUUGAAUUUCGAAUGGAUAACCUUUGGUUUCCGCUUGUGUUAUGGUUUGAUUGGAUCUAAUUUCGUAAAGGCAUUUGAUCUGAUUGGAAUUAGUGAUAUUCGGACCCAUUGGUUUAAUUAAGGACUUAGGAAGGGUGGUGCACGCCGUGAGACCUUUUGUAUCCCGCUUGCAUAUACUUCUACAUUUUGUGACCCUUAAUUGCCUAUAUACAGUAUUUGACAUAUUGGGCUUGUUUUGUGACUUCUUAACUCGUACUAUAACCUUCGAUACAUGUAAAGAAUCAUGUCUUGAUUCUAAAUAUUUUUGCAACUUAUAUAUGCAUUAAGUUCUUUUAUGAUUAAUUAUUUCUUUUCUUGCGCUUAUAGACUCCUAUUAAGUAUGGUAGCAGGAAUAGGAAAAAGGGGUCGUGGCCGAGGACUUAGACAACCCUGUACUCGUGAGAAAAAUUGAUGGAUAGUCUUAUAUAAUUUAAUGAGUUUCUAGUACUGAAUAUGAAUCGAGAAAAAAAUCAGAAGAUUAGAUCUACCAGUGUAUAAUGGAUUAACCUAGUUGGGAACUUAGUGAGAUUUUCCUGUGUGAAAUUUUAAUAACUGUUUUAUACGUAUAUUAUGAUUGGUCCUGUGGCCAUAUUUCAACUUUUGUGAAAGUUUGAACUCCAAAAGUAUUUCGUGGGUUUGGUGAGAUGACCUGAACUCAUUACCAAUUUGUUCUAUUUGAACAAAAGCGCUUUCAAUUUUACUUGACUAAUACUAUAUCCAGAUUCACUUGUUUUACUUUUCACAAAAUUUAUAUAUAUAUAUAUAUAUAUAUGUAUGUAUGUAUACACAUUUUGAACUCGUUUGAGACUCGAAAUCAGAUAGAGUUCAAGUUCGAAUCUUUCUUAGGAACAUGAAUGCCUAUUUGUUAUGAAUCAGAUAUUAGAAAUGACCGGGUUUUAUGUACUUGUAGAGUUAACUCUUGGUUGGAUAAAAGGGUGGUAAAGGUAUUGGAUCACAGGUUAUGCGAAUAUGAACAUACAUGUUUACCUAUCUUUCUUAAAGGUAUUUUCUAAAAUAUACGCCUUACUCGAACAUAGAUUUAACUCGAAACUUUGAGGAAAAGUGUUGGAACACCCUCCAUGUAUAUGUUAUGAUUAUUAUGUAUAUGUUUUAAAAAUCAUGCAUUAAGUUGCAUGAUUAAUAUUCUUAAAUCUAUUUGAGAGAUUUUAAAUAUGUAUUGAUGAUUGUGGUUAAACAUUAUUUGAAAUCUCUUACUAAGAAAACUUAGUUUUGGGUCGUGAAGAAAAUUUGUAUCUUUAACUCUAAUUUUGAAAAUUUUGAAUCGCAUUUUGCCACAGAUACAUUCAAAAUACAUCAAAAGUCUUGACCUUAUCUUGUAAGUCAUGAUUGGUUUGAUUUAGACAAAAUUUUGAGGAAAGGGAUUUUGGUCCUGCUAGUGCGUAACAGUUUUUUUUUGUUAGGAUUUGGAACUUGUUUCAUAUGACGUGUAAUUUAUGGUUUCACUACACACGGGAGUAAGACCUUAGAAUGGAAGUACAUAUCAUUAUAUCAAGAGGUAUUACUUUAGUCGUGUGUGUGGAUUUUCUUAAGUAUCAUUCGAGGAGAGGGAAGAGUAAAUAUACCUGGAUGACUUAGAUGUGUGAGAAUUUACAGGUUGUGGAUAGUUGAGUUUCAAAUUCUGAUUUGCUACUUAUUUAGAUGCUUGAGCUGUUGAUAGGCUAACAGUCAGGAUUAAGAAAAUGGAUGAAUGAAAAGUUUGGAAGAGAUGCGUAUAGAAAUAGAAAUUCUUCACAAGGGGUUGGAAUUCCAAACUAAAUUGGCUGAAUUUUGGGAAGAAAAAAAAAGUCGAGAACUUAGGGUUGAAGAUGGGAUCCAAUGUUUAAUCACCAAUUUGAGAUAUUAAAAGUUGUGAGAUUUGGGUGAGUGAAAGGAAAUAUUUGAUGGCUUGAAUGAGCCUAACGAUUAGGGACCGGAUGUUAUAUUUGGAAUGGACGUUUGACGCUAUAUAUACAUAGAUUAUUGAGAGUUGAACGAUGAGACUAUUAAGAACAAAUGCUCCAUAGUCUCACAUAAACAAGAAUUAUAAUCAAGGGUCAGAAGCAGCGAAUAAGGGAUUUAAAGUAGAGUUACUACCAACCGGGAAUCCUAGAAACUGAUGUGCUUAAAACCACUUCCAAUUCAAGAUGGGGAUGCUUGAAUUUUCAGUUAUGCCAAUUGGGUUGACUAAUGUAUUAGCAGCAAUUAUUGCAUUAAUGCAUCAAGGUUUUAAAUCGUAAUAGGAUUAAUCUGUGAUGGCAUUUAUUGAUGAUGUAUUGAUAUACCCUAAAGUUUGAGAAGAUCAUGAAAAAAAAAAUACCUGAUGAUAGUUUUACAAACCCCGAGAGAACGCUAACUUUUGUUAAGUUCAAUCAAUGUGAGUUCGAUGGGAAGAAAUAGCCUUUCUAAGUUAUAUAAUAUAUAAGGAAGAAAUUGUUGUUAACUCAUCUUAAGUGGAAGCUGUUUAAGAGGAAAUGACUAGAAAAUCCUACCGAAAUUUGGAGUUCUUAGAGGUAGUCGAAUAUUACCUUGGUUUGAUCAGGGACUUCUAAGGAUACGAGACUUGGCAAGUUAUUUGAGAUUUUAAAUGUGAGGAAGAAUUUGAAGGUGAAAAUCGUUUAACCAGUGCACUUGUGUUGGCUUUACCGAGCGGAUAAGGUGAUUUUGUGAUUUAUACAGAUGGUUCAAAGGAUGGUUUAGAAUGUAUAUUAAUAAUAUAUGAUGAGGUGAUUGUAUAUGCCUUCUGAAAGUUAAAAUCUUCCGGAAGAAAGUAAUCAACUCAUGAUUUGGAGUGAGUUGGAAAACGUAAGUCAAUGAUUGAUCUGAUAGGCUUAACCAUGAAGGGAAUGAUAUUGUUCUAAGUAUGAAUUUCGAGGACGAAAUUCCUUUCAAGGAGGGGAGGAUGUGAGAACCCGAAAAUUUUCUUAUUUUUAUAGAAUAUUACUGGAAUAUUUAAAUGAUUAUUCACUCAUUUUCUUCGAAUUAUUUAUUUCGACCAUUUUAAAUCCAUUUAUAUGGAAUGACGCCUCUUUAUAUUUUUAAAGCGUUUUGUUGAAAAAUUCGCUUUUCGAAAAUUUGUUUAGUCCGGAACGACGGGUGCACGUUUUUCUAGGCCAUACUUGAAUCGGGAGUGUAUUAUUUAUUGGAGAAUUAAGAACGAUCAAUAAUAGAUUAAGAAAGGUUAAUGGAGGAAUUAAUACUCAAUUCACGUGAGGACUCGUAAAAUUAUUAUUUUAAAAUCCCUAAUUUUGGCUAAAUUAAUUAUUUAUUUAGAUUUUUGCCACGAAUAAUAUUUUCUAGCCUUAUUAGACCUAAGUACAUGGUUUUAUAGUUUCGUUAUAUUUUUAAAGUGUCUCGUUUCAAAAAUUAUUUUCUUAUAAGCUUGUUUAGUGAAAAGGUGAAAACGUGUCCAAACACUUUAGCCAAUUGGGAAUAAAAUAAGUUCAAAAAUUUGAGACAUAUACAAUGGUCCUAAAAUAGACAAUUUUAGGUUUAAGCACACAAGUGAUAGCUAGUGGUACGAUCGUUAUAAGAAUUUCUCGAAGGUUUCAUUUUAUUGCGCCUAAAUUGGAAAUACGUGUUUUCACGUGCGCGCUUAAUUGAGGGACUUUGGACAAUUAUUUUGGAACAAUUAAGAAUGAAUAAUAUUUAUAUGAAUGUAAGUGCCCUAGAGGUUUAGUGCACUAGUGCAACAAACUUAAGGGAAAUUGAACACAAAACGCGCGAGUAGGGCACUAGUUGCAAUUAAAUUUUUCGUACUUAAAAUAUUAGACGGUCGGCGUUCUUUGUACGCAAAAAGAAAUCAGACUAACAUUCAUAUCUGCAAGCUUCAUGGACGGCUAGCAACUGCAGCAAAGAGCAACCGAAAACUUCCACCAUUUCCUCUACAAACUCCACCAAAUUCAACCAAAACUUCACACACACUUAGCUCUUCACUUGGACAAUCACUUGGACAAAGAAGGAGCUGCACAUUCACGGUUUUUCUUGGGGCUUUUGGACACCAAAAUCUGACCUUUUAGCACACAAGUAAGGUAACCAUGAUCCACUCUUCAAAUCUUGUUCAUUGAAGGCCAACUCACACUUAAGAGCUUGAUUAUGCUUAUGGGUAGCUUAUUAUUGUUAGAAAUUGUUAAAUGUGGGCUCUAUGAACUCCCACUUUGAGUUGAUGGCUGUGAUGAUGUUUGAUGAUGGUUUUAUUGUUGAAUUAGUGCUUAAGGGAGUAGAUUAAAGGUGCAUUAUCGCCAGAAACUUCAUUGAGCUCUUGAAGCAAAAAGUUCCCAUUUUACCCCUGCUCUGUUCGGUCACUUUAAUGCAGAAAUUUGAGGAUUUAAUGGCUUGAUUGUGUUGUUUAUAUGUUGUAGUAGUUGUGUAAAAAUUUUCAUUGAAAAAUACUGAGUUUUGGUUGGUCAAACGAAUUUAUUCCCAAAGCUAGUAAUCUGGAAAACGGUUUCGUCGUAUUCCAGACCAGUGUUCGUAUUUCGUCCAUAACUCCGUACUCCGACGUCGAAAUCAAGUGCCGUUAGCGGCAUUUGAAACUAGACGUUCCCAUCUUUCUAACGAUAUAUAAUGCACGUUCUGGUUUCAUGUGUGUGAACCGUACCACUUAUUUGAAUUCAGCUGCCCUGUUUCGCCAUUCUGCCGAAAUGAUUUGAUGAUGCUGCAACUUUAGGCUUAAUUUCGAGCUAGUUGCAUGCUGAAACAUAAAAUGAUUUCUUCUGUGAAAUUAUAGUCCUAUGCAUGUAUUUUCUAACACUAUCAACCAUGCUCAAAUCCGAGUUAAAUUGAGUGAGUUAUGAUCAAAAUACGGUGACUGUUUUGUUCUUGAAAGCCUUGGAUUUGGACAGAUUUGACGUAACAUUUGUGGUGGUCUUACUAAAUGAAUUUCUUGAUACUAAACACCUACCAAAUGUACCAUGAAUGUUUCUUAAACUUUCCUUUCGCAAAUGAACCAUGAUUGGAGGAUUUUCUUAGCCAAACGAUUGGAUUUGGGAAGAAAAGGAUUAAGGGCAGAUUGCCUUGAGAAUUUUUUCAAACUUUGAUUGAUUGGUUAACCACCUUCCCGAAGGUAUUUUUCCACGAAAUUUGAGAGAGAGAUACCCUUCAUAUAGGAGUACCAUACUACAAAAUUUGGUGUCAAUUCAAGUCCGUUUCGACACUUAACAAAAGGUCCAAAGUCGGAACCAAAUCUGAAAAUUUUGUAAUAGUCUUGAAUUUUUCCCAACUUUGAGCUACCAUAUCUUGGUGCUCGAAACUCCGAUUCUCGAUUCGUUUGUUCUGUCCUAAACCUUACUUGAACCUCUAAUUGAUCUAUAAAUUUCUACGGCUGAUUUGCAACGAGUGAAUUCUGCCGAAUUUCCAAAGUUAGCGAAAAACCAACCCCGGCUCAAUCCUGGGUGAUCUGGGACAUCAACUUUAAACUCAUUUUUGAAUACCUUCCAUUUAGAUUCGUGGAACAGUAUCUUCUAAGAACUUUUAGUAAUUUCCAAGAGGUUUCCAACGGUAUAAAUUUUUCCAAUUGUAGACUUGUAUCGAGUGAGAUACGAUUUUUCAAAGAUCCAUAUCAAAACUAAAAUUUUCCAACUUUCAAGGAAAUAGAGAUUUCCAAGAAUUUUUUAUUCUUUCGACAUUAUGCAAACAUUUUAACCUCGAUUUCCAAGAUAAAAAUCCAAAUGCUCCUGUACUUUAAGAAACUCUAAUUGAACCUCGAUUUACGAGUAAUUGAGGUUCGAUUUCGUGGAAUUUCCUUAGAUUGUACUAGUGUACAAUCUUCCUUGACAAUUGGGAUAUAUGAAUGAUAAUACGUUAUUAUUUGCCCAGGCGCACACGAGGACCUUCAAGAGGAUCCUACCGUGCACACUUGAACUUCCAGAAAAUAUUUUUUCUUGAUUUGCUCGGUGAGUGUCAAGUGUAUGACUACUUGAACUCUAUGGAUUUGAUUCAUGCUUGGCUUACCUGAUUACAUGCUUAGCCUACUUGGUUUUGAAAAAUGGAGUCGAGUGUGUACUUUAUCGCACUCGUUCUCAUUUGAAACAAAUGACUCAUGCUUAACAUGGUUUGCCUGACAUGACCUGAAAUACAUGCUUAGACCUGUCAAAUGCUAUGAUAUGCUAUGGCAUACGUCGUUGGAGUGAAUCUCCUCGACACUUACAUGACACAUGGGGGACGUCCAAACUCAUAGGCCGACCUUGGAACUCGAGCCGGCAUGGGCUUGGUCGGGAACCUCGGUGAGCCAUGAGAUUCACAUGGUAAGCUUGAUCUAUUGGAGAGAUCUUGCUUGGCAUACUCGUGGAGUAUCGCCUCAUAAAUGUCGUGCGGGCCCGAAGCGGUGUAUGGUGGAUGGAUGAGAAGUAAGUGGUGAUCUACGGUUUGGAAAUAUCAAUCCGGUUGACGGAGAGUCAUCACGGGAAGAUAUACGAAUGAACUGGCAAAGCAAGUGGAACUUAGCUCUUGAGAGCUACCAUAUCCUUGAAUCGUUUCUGUUUACAUUUUUUUGGCAUUGUUAAUUACUUGCAAGUUAUCACUUGAACUGUUACUUGGGCUUGUUACCUGAACUAUGUGCCUGCAUGUGUGUUCUUGGCCUCACAAGCAUUUUGCUCACCCUAUAGAUUUGUUUUCCUUAACAGAUUUGAACUCGGAGGCGUACUGGAAAAAAACCUCCUGAUGAGCUUUUGUUUAGGGUUUCUAUUACUUUUGGCUAUGUCUUGGCUUUUGGGUUGUAUUUUGGAAUCCGAAUGUAACUUUUGGAGCAUAUGUAUAUUUGGGAUAUAUGAUGGUUGUUGAAUACCCGAUGUGCGGAUUGGAUAACGGAUGACUUUUAUUAAAUUUGAACGCUUCCGCAUUUAUUAUAUCUAAGUUAUUGACUCGUAUUGUGUGGUCCGGUAAUAAGCUUGAAUGGAAUUGUUUGAGUCCUGGCGAGAGUUAGGCAGGCAUUCUGCGGAUACCCUUUGGUUCGCCUUAGGGAGAAGUGGGGGUGUCACAAAUUCGGUACAUGCCGAAUUCACCGAAUUCUAAUAUGGUAUGAAAUAGGUAAUAAGAUUGUGAAUUUGGUAAUAACCGAUUUCGCAUUCAAAUUCGGUAAUUGAAAUCGGGUGCCGCAUUACCACAUUCGAAUUACCAAAUUGAUAUAUAAAAUUAUAUAAUAUAUAGAUAAAUGCUAUUUAGUAUUAGUAUAUACUACUAAUACUUUAUUAUAUUAUAUAGGUAAAUGCUAUUAAUAAUAAUUAGUAUAUGGUAUUAUCAUCAUAUCAUGUACUUAUAAUAAUAAUAAUAUAUAAUAAUGUACAAUAUAUUCUUUUAGUAUUUAUUAAUUGUUAUAUGACUAUAAUAAUAUAAAUAUAUAGUAAUACAUAACAAUAUAAGAUAACUAUAAUACUUAUUAUUUUAUACAUGAGUAACAUGACUAGAAUUAGAUAAUAAUUAAUACAUAUAUGUAUAAUACUAAAUAUUAAACAAUAAACAUAAUUAAUAAUUAGAAUUUAGAUAUUGGUAAUUUGAUAUAUCAUUCAUGUUUGAAUUAUUGAAUAUUUGAAUGCGUAAUCUGUAACUUGCAAGUAUUAGUGUACUCUACAUAUUUAACAUAAAAAUUCAUAUUAUCUAUUCACUAAUCUUAAUUCUUAAGGCUUUAGCCUUUAAGUAUAGAUAAGACAACUAAGCAGUUAGCAGUGUAAGUGAAUGCAUAUGAAUUGCAAAUCAAUGUAUUAGUGUAUUGACUUUCACGAAUAACAUAUGUAAGUAAAUAAGUUUUAUUUUGAUUUGAAAUAAAUUAUAAGUUUGUAACUAAUAUAACUUACCACUAAUCAUUGUAAUUUGUAAGUUUGUAACUAAUAUUACUUAUUAUUAAUCAUUGUAAAUUAUGAAUUCAUAAAUUAUCACUAAUCAUUGUGUUCCUUAAAUCAUAGACUAAGGAUUCUAGGUAAAAGUUAUCAAAUAAGUUAUAAUUCAUAUUAUCUAUUUACUAAUUUAAGGUUUUAAGUAUAGACAAGACAACUGAGCAGUGUAAGUGAAUGCAUGUAAAUUGCAAAUCAAUGUAUUAGUGUAUUGACUUUCACAAUAACAUGUGUAAGUAAAUAAGUUUUUAUUUUGAUUUGAAAUAAAUUAUAAGUUUGUAACUAAUAUAACUUAUCACUAAUCAUUGUAAUUUGUAAGUUUGUAACUAAUAUUAUUUAUUAUUAAUCACUGUAAAUUAUAAAUUCAUUGUAACUACUAACUAAUAUUACUUAUUAUUAAUCAUUGUAAAUUAUAAAUUCAUAAAUUAUCACCAAUCAUUGUAUAGUCUAAGGUUUAUUCUAGUUUAAAUUAAUAGAUAAAUUAUUACUUUUUUUUAAUAGAUGAAUUUGGUUAAACCGAAUUCAUUACCGUUUUCGAAUUUGAAAUCGGUUGCGGUAUGAAUUUGGUUAUGGCUAAUUCAGAAUUGAAAACGGUUUAGAUUUCUAUAUGUAGAAUAACCGAAUUCACCGAAUUCAGUGCACCGAAUUACCGAUUUUGCACCGAAUGCACACCCCUAUUCCCAAGUUACAGAAGUUUAUGAUGUGUAUUAGGGGUUUCCUCAGCAAUUCGACAGCAUCUGGUGCAUCGUCCAUGGAACCAACGACAGCAACCAAAUCUGCAACAAUCCACGGUUACGGUGUCCUCAUCUCCAAAUUUAUUCUCACGGAUCUCCUCAGCUGUUUGACAGCAUCUCGUGCAAUAGAUGAGGUACCAGCGGCAGCACGAAAUCUGCAACCAGUUAAGUGAUCAAUCUCACCUGAACUGGCAUCCAGCGGUCUUCAUGUUGUCGUGAUCUGUUUCAAGACAUAAAUAUUAGGAGCAUCGUCUUAAACUCCAAAACGUUAGGUGACUGGCUAGGUUGAAAAUUUGCAAGAUAUAUGCAAAGAAAUGAAUACUAUGGAUUAAACAAAACUGUCUAGGCAUAUGAGAUGGUGCAACUUGGAUAUGAAUUAUUUCGUCUUAUAAGCUACUAAUUAAAUAUUUAAUUUGGGUUUUGACGUUAGUUUAAUCUUUGUCCUGUUAAACAAUAGUGUGACAUUUUGGAACGUUUAUCCUUACAGUAAUACUAUAAGGAUGUGAAAAAGAUAUUAGCACUUUAAUAUAACUUCCUUGAUACUAUACAAAUAGCCUAUCAUAAAAAUUCACGUCCCAAUAAUGUGUCUCCUAAGCUCCAUUCAUUUAAGUAUUCAGGUUCAUCCAAAUAAAUAAAUAAAGGAAGGAGGAAAAAGAUUAGGUGCAUUCAGUUGUUGCAUCAGAGGAAAUGAGGAGUACAAGUGCAAAGAGAGCACCACUAAAUUUGUUGAUAUCUAGUGACAAUUGCAUUGAGCUAAACAAUAUUUGUUGAUAUCUAAAUGACCUCAUUUUUUAUGUUGAUGGGACCUAAUGUCAAUAUCGUCAAGGAAAAAUUGACUGUAAUACCCUCAUUUAGAAGCAAAAUAUCAUAUUCCAAUUUUACCAACAUGCCAUCAAAACUCGUCACCAAAAUUUAACAACUUUACUAAAACUAAUUUUCAAAGGCUGGUGAGCUUUGGAGAAGAUCUGAACAUUAAGCUCCAAAAUAUUUCAUUGGGUGAAGGAAAAUUGUUGAAAAAAGUGGCUUAUUAGCUUUAUUCUUUGAUAUUUAUAUAUAAUAAUUAAAAGAUGAAAACUUUUUUAAUUGAAUGUGGAUAUUCACAACAAAAUGAGGUACCGAAUGGAAGUUUAUGGUCUUCAUGAUUGAUGUGGUUCCAUGAAUAAACUCGUAGAGCUGAUAAGAUGAACAUUCUGGCCUUAAGAUGAGUUUAAAAUGUAGCCAUGGUAGACAUGAUGAGUCAUUUAAGGACCACAUCAUGCAUAUCUUGAUAUUAUAUGAGCAAUUUGCGAUGGAUAAAGCCAUGCAUAUGCAUGCAUGUGCUUUAUAUAAUGUGAAAAUGGAUGAGUUAGAUAAAGCUUGGUGAAGUAAAGUUAGUAUACCGAAUCGAUUUUGACGUGUGAGUAGGAUUUUCUGCUUGGUUGCUCUAUUUUAAGUGAUUAUCACUUUGUUGACAAAGAUCUUGUCGGACAAUCUCCCAAAAUAAGUUUCUAUCGUUUUUCUUUACUGAAUCACGAACAUUUCUUUAGUGAAAUUUUAAUCUUAAAUUAGGUUGGACUAAUUAUUUGGAGGGAACAUUUUAGAUGGCAAGUGACUCAUUCACUCCUCAUUUUUGCAUAUAUAGUUGAAAGAAAAACAUAAGUUUAAGCAACUAAUGACUUUGUAAAUAAAGAUUGUAUAAGAUCACUUCCAAAAGUAAGUUUCUAUACCAUAUCUUUGUUGAGUCUUAUCAAGAAAAUUUUGGAGGGAAAAUUAAUCUUCAAUUAGCUUGGACUACAUUAAGCUACUACUUGGUUGAUUGUCAAUUUUAUCAUUUUUAUUGUUAUUAAAAAAUCCAUAAUGUGAACACAAAAGUAAACGAGGAUAUCACAAAAAUUGAUUAUCUAUAAUCAAAAUCUCUAAAUAGUUAAAAUAGUCAAUAAAAAACAAGCAUGUUGUAGUAUAAAAUUUUUUAGGUAGACUACUUUGUCUGUACCUUUAUAUGUUGACUACUAAUUGAAAGCUACCAUGAAUUUUGGAUAAAUAGGACGGACCUGAUUCUACUCAUGGCAUUAUUGUGUAUUAAAAACUUAUUUUUUUCCUUUUAGCUGCUGUGCUUCAUGCCAUUUGGAAUAGUUCACUCCUCAUUUUAUAUGUUUUUUCUUUUUUUCUUUUUUGGAAAUAGCCCUUUUUACAACAUAAAUAUGUUACAAUAUUUCUUUUAGGGCCUAUAAAGGUAAAUAUGGAACAAAGUGUGCUGACAUCAUUUCUUGUCAAUCUAUUGCAUUUCUUUUGUGGACACGGGCUAACUUGGUUACAAAACUAGUUAUAAGUAAGAGUGAUCAGCGUAAUAUCGAAAACAAGAGGGGCACUAGGUGAAAUUGUCCAAACAUUCAGGGGAAGUUUGUGAAAUUAUCCCAAUAGUUUGAGUACCUGCCCUGUUACUUGCAUUAGAGUGGCCCUUUAUUAUUGACUAAUGCAGACGUCCAUGUCUGCACUCUCAGGACGGAGGAAUAAAGUAUUUGUUGUCCUUGUGCGAGUUAUACAUAGUCUUUCUUGACUGCAAAAGUUGAUAAUUGAGCUAAAGAAUCGAAAGAUAAUGUGGCCAUUUUUCAAUCUCUGAUAGGAAGGAUAUCAAUCUCCUACUUUUCCGUCUUCAUGUCUGGAUUGUAUAUCAAUUUCUUUUUCUUUUUCGUUUGUUGGUUAGGUAAACUUUCAUUUUCAUCAGUCUAAAGGCCUAAAGGUCCCUGCCCAUUUCAGAAAUUUACUGAUUUUAAGUGGGCGUAAUAGAGCUUUAAUUAACUCUAUCAAGAUCUUUAUACAUUACGAGCAACUUUCCUGUUAAAAUACUAAUUCAAACAAGCUGUGCAAAUUCAAGGAUGGAACUAGAUGUUGAAAAGGAAUAGUUUAUACUUCAUAAGAAGUACUGAAUUCGUGGAUUAAUUUUCUUGUGCUAUUGCUUUAGAGUUUUAUUUACAUGAGUAGAUUUGAAUGCGCGAUAAGUAAUUGUGAUUCAAACUUGAAGUCAUAUUUUUGCACAUGAAAGAAAUAGUCCAAAAUAUUUUUUUUCUUUUUAGAACUCUACAUGUAGCUUUAACUUGACCAGUCCUAUUACUAGUCGUUGACGAGCACGAGGUAUACAUACAAUAAUUAAGUUCAUUUUACAUUUAUAAAUUGCUAAAUGCUUCAUACACGAUUUUUUGCAAGCAUAUAGAUCGAGAUUGAGUAUAGGGUUUUAAAUGUCGGACUCAUAGGAAAGAUUGUCAAUUACCGAUGAUUUUCGAAUUAUUUUAUUAUUUAGACUAUCACAAGUACAAGAAAUUAAAUCUACGUACACUAUAAACAUGAGAUAAAAGUAAUAAAAAUAACAAUAGAAAGCUCCUAAAAGUAUGAAAUUUCUAACUACUCUUGCAAGUGAAGUUACUGGUUAAGUAAAUAUUAUUAUUUUAGCUAAUUAUGGCGUAAUUCCUAAUGUAUGUGAAACAUAUUCUCGUAGUAAAUCAACUAUACUUGUAAUUAAGCCAUACCUACACAUUCAAACAACCUGUGCAAAUUCGAGAAUGGAACUAGAUUUUGAAAAGUAAUAGUUUAUACUUCAUAAGAAGUACUGAAUUCUGGGAUUAAUUUUCUUGUGCUAUUGCUUUAAAGAUUUAUUUACAUGAGUAGAUUUGGAUGCGUGAUAAGUAAUUGUGAUUCAACCUUGAAGCCAAAAUUUUGCACAUGAAAGAAAUAGUCCAAAUUUUGUUUUCCUUUUAGAAUACUACAUGUAGCUUUAACUUGACUAGUCCUAUAUCUAGUCAUGGUUAAGAAGUUUCAGAAUAUUAGUAAGGUUAUGCAUGAUAAAUUCUGUAUUUAUCCAUUACUUUGUUAAGCCAAUCUCUAGAAAGGUUUGUACUUAUUAAUUCCUUUCGCCAUCUAAACUUAUUGAUAGAACGUAGUAAUUUGUGUCAACACCAGAAACCAGAAAACUCGACCACUAGCUUAUCGAACUGAAUUUAGGUCAUUAAUUUUUUAUGCCCGUCAACUUAAGAAAAACAACAUAUCAUGCAGAUUAAUAAGUGCAGUUCAGUCCAUAGGGUAAAAUAUAAUGCGAAUAGAAUUAAAUCUCUAAAUGUAUAUCCAAGAUAAAACGCGUAUGAUUGAAAUGAUUUGUACUAAAUUUGUUUGAAAUUGCAGUGCUAUAAGUCGAAAAUGUUAAGAGUGCAUGAAAAGCAUGGAAGACUAUGUACUAACUUGACAAAGUGACUUAUUUGAAUAAUAAUGAUAACAUUUUAUAAUUUUUGUGGGUCAAUUUUUGUUUUAAUCUCUUACAGUAACAAGCAUGCUUUGAUUUUUUUUUUUUUUUUUUUUUGGGCUUGUUUGGAUCAUGGCCAGUCCGUAAAUACAAUAAAACCCACCAACCUUUACUCAAAAAAAAAAAAAAAAAAGCACUUCCACCUCAAAAUUUACAAAAAAAAUGGAAGAAAGAAGAAACCCUACUCGUUCUCUUCCAGUGCUAUACGUUUAUCAGAAUAAAGGUCGAAACUUGCAAAAUAUCAUUCUUGAAAGCAUUCAUUAUUCAUCCUUUUUGUCUUACGUCAAAGUUAGACAUCUUGCAAUUCAUAAUUUUCAUGCUUGACAACUCUUUUGGAUAAGAUUGAUGUUCCUCUGAAUAUCAACAUUAAAAUUUUUUUUUUCGAGUAAGUUGUACCGUCGAUACUGAAGAACUUUGAUUCCUUUCUCAGGAAGGAAUAGGAUUGGGUUUAACUCUUGUCGAUACUGAAUUUUUUUUACAUUGUAAUGACAAGGAACGAUGAAGAGCACAACACACAUAUUGAAUAUUCUGCACAUCUUAUAUCAAACACAGUAAAUUCUAGCAGGUCCAAGGUACAGAAGUUUACGAUGUAACUGAGAUAGAGAUCAUCAAUUGUGUUGAUGAUCAAGUGGAUUUAUUUAUUCAACAUGACAACAACAUAAGAAGAGCACUCGAACUGAGUACUCAUUACAUGCUUCCCCUGUUUAUUCUACACCAGUUCAAAGAGAAGCCACAUAAGUCUUUUACACAUAGAGGAAAUCAACCAUCAAAAGCAAACACAACAUUACAUAUUAAGGUAAUAAUAUAGGUGUCACGGAUCCUGUGUCACACCCUUAUUUAUUUAGCAUUAAUUUUUGACCUCAUCUC